Molecule: long non-coding RNA, 221870 nt
Filed under: Malus domestica (apple)
Lineage: Eukaryota; Viridiplantae; Streptophyta; Magnoliopsida; Rosales; Rosaceae
Source: RNAcentral
CCCGGAAUGUCUGUGAGUUUGCAUGAAUGACUUAGAUACAGCUCUCUCAUACUCAACAAUUCUGAAAAAUCUGGCAUUGUUUCUAGUGCAGUGCACAAACCCGCUCGCAACACUUUCAAAUUUGUUGGUAAAUUUGGGAUUGCAUGUAGGUUUGUGCAAUCAUCUAAACACAAUGUUUCAAGCUUAGAAAGACCACUGAGGCUUGGUAAGCUACAAAAACUAUUUUUUCGAAGAUCUAAGUCUUCUAAAGAAAUUAGACUCCCAAGAUCUUUCGGGAUUUUGUCAUCAGUCAAAGUGCAGCAUCCGAGAUCUAAUUUCCGUAAAUAGUUUAUGCCAUGUAAAGAAGGGGGCAAAAGACUAGUUGAUGGUGACUCUUUCAAAACAUAUUGAGAUGAAAAACUCAGCCUUAGUAUUUGUCUUAUGGGUGUGCCAUCUGCUGUCUUCUGGUAACUCUUUCCCAAGCCUUCAGCCAAGUUUUCAAAUCUUGAACAGCCGUUAAGAAGAAGAGUUUCAAUAGACUUGGAAUUAAAGAAAUUCAAUGGGAGAUCCUUGAGAUUUUUGCAGCCGUCAAGAUUAACCAAAGUAAGUCUUUCAAGAUUCCCAAUGGAUGAGUGAACCUCGGACAAACUCUCACAAUCAUUCAAUAUCACUUCCUCGAGAUUUGGGAGUCUUGAGAAGUCUGGUGUUUGUGCCAGGUUAGGGGAAUGACUGAGAUUAAGAAGCUUCAACUUCUCGAGCAACUGUUAAGACAAAAGGAAAAACUAAAAUAAAUACAAAUGGAAGAGAGAAAGCAUGAAGUUGGUGUUUAUAAAACCUGGAAGAAAGAAUUAACAAUUUGGUUGAGGCCAUAUCAUACCAAAUCGGAAUCCUCCCAAACUCGUAUGAGUUUGCUAUAGCUCAGGUCAAUAGCAACUAGGUUUGGUUGAUCAAAAUCUUUUGGUAUGACCUCCAGAGGAAAUCCAUGCCAACACAACCAUCUUAACUCUUUGGAAAGAUUGUCGUAACUUCCAGUGAGCUUUAUGUUAUUGAGUUUGAGCAAUCUCAGACUCUGCAUGUUUCUAAAUAAUUCUGAACUGAAGCUACACUCGUCAGACUCUUGCAUAUCUAAAGCGAGUCCUUCAACGUCUUCCGUUCCCUAUUACAAAAAAUAGUUAAAAAUUUAAAACAAACAAACAACAACAACAACAACUACAGACGAACUAAGAAAAGGGUUAUAGGCAAGUGAAAAGGUGAUUAAACCAUACAUCAGAACCACAAAGCCUUGAAUUGGAUGGAUGAACCACAUGAGAGGUAGACAAUUAGACAAUAUAGAACAUGGGACGUCUCAUAGGCAACUUUUAUUAUAUAUCUACUAUAAUGUGCUUAUAUGUCUGGAUUAUAACCAUAGAGUUGUACUUUACAUCUGUCUACAUUAAUUAGGUAUCUUUAGCAAGCUUCUGUUACGGGUAUCAUAAUUAACAAAUUGUACUUAACGAGAGCAGGACAUGUGUGAUUCUGUUAUUUAAUUUGAGAUGAUUCAAUACAAAAGGCUCCUUUUUUGUCUCUUACAGGUUCCCUUCUCUGCUACAUUGGUACAUGCAUUUAACAUCAAAUUUAAUUGCAAAAGUACUCACAGAUUGCUUCGUCAAUACGUCUGUUAUAUCUUCAUUAUGCCACAAUCUACUACGUUCUCCAGGAUUGUCAGGCGAUUCUGCACGCACGAUUUCUCUGCCCAUGCCUUGAAUCAAAUCAUGCAUCAUGAGAUUGCCUUCUUUAUCAACAGUUCCUUAUCAACAGUUACAAGGCAUUGAUCUUGGAGUUCUCGAAUCCCUAUUUCUGGAUAAAACUGACAGCCAUCCAGUACUGUCAUGACAUAGUCCUUGUUCAUUCCAGCAAAGAAACAAGAGAUGUCUAGGAAUAUAGCCUUCACGUCAUCAUCAGUUAGCCCAUCAUAGCUUAUUUCAAGUCUUUUGUGAAUUCCCAAUAAGGCUGUGAUCUUUUCCAUUUAUCAAGUACAGUCUCCCAUUCACUUGUGCUUUUUGAACAUAGAUAAGAACCUAAGACUUCAAGUGCAAGUGGCAAACCUCCACAGUAGCCAACAGCCUUUCUUGAGAGCUCAACAUACUCUUCAUGAGGAUAAUUCUUUCUAAAGGCAUGCAAACUAAGUAGCUCAAGAGCUUCUCUUUCAUUCAUUGCUGGCAGAGGACAUAUCUUAUACACAUUAAGUAUCCUUAGCAAAUGUUCGUUUCUUGAAGUUAUAAUGAUUCUGCUCCCUGGACCAAAGGAGUCAGGUUUUAUAGCCAAAGCAUCUAUCUGUUCAACGCUGUCUAAAUCAUCAAUUACGACAAGUACCCUUCUGUUGCCUAACCUUUGUUCUAUCUCCUUGGUCCCUUCAUCGAUACAACUUACCACUUUGUAGGCCGGUUUCAAGAUAUCAGAAAGAAGUUGUUCUUGCAAAUCAACCAGUUUCUUUUCCCUCACCUUUUGAAGGAAACUUGCACCGUCAAAAUUAUGAUGAUGUUUGUUGAAAAUGGCUUUUGCAACCGUUGUCUUACCCAGUCCGCACAUACCCAAAACUCCAAUUGUGCGAAUAUCAUUUGAUCCUUCAACAUUUAAAUGCUUACUAAUUUCCCGCACACGAGAAUCUAUUCCAACUAGGUUGGUGGGUACCUCUAAGCUUGUGGUGAUGCUCUGUUUUCCAGUGAUCUGAGAAAUAACGUUCCUGAUAAAGUUUCCUUCAUGCCUGGUUGUUAAAAUUCAACAAAGCAAGAGUGAAAAUUUAUUAUGCAACUUCAAGAUUACAUCAAUCUUUCAGAAAAUGACGAGUCAAACUCUCCAGAUACCCUUACAAUUUCUUAAACUGAAAUCUUGGAAGUUAAAAUUCAACAAAGCAAAAGUGAAAACUUAUUCGGUUUUCACUUUUUUGAAAACUAAAAUCUUAUGGGAAAUUUUAUUUGAAUCCAUACAACCUCUUUCUACACCCAUCUUACUCUUUACACCCAAAUUAUUUUUAAUUAAAGAAUCAAUCUCUCUUUAAACCCAAAUUUACUAUCUAAACUACCUUUACAAACUCAAUUCAAUAUAAAAAAAUUCAUCUUUACACCCAUUUAGAAAAUAAAUCCUAAAUGAGUGAACGAAGAAUUAAGAUUUUGUCAUGGCAACCAAUUGUUAUAGAUGAAUUGAUCAACAGCAUCAAUUUGUUUUUUAAACUUUUGCGACGUCGGUUUGGAGUGCAAGAUUGUUAGGAAAUGAUCUUCGCCAACCUCUUAAUAUAGUCCAAGUAGCUAGCCUGAAUGUGAUUCGUGGAACUAAGUGAUGAAUUUGCAAUUCAAGAUUACACAGUUCAGUAGUUGCUAGGCAAGCAGAUGAAAUAGUACUUUUGGAAUUUGAAUCAUGUAAAAUUAUGUGGACACCUUAGUGAAAGUAAAUUUCAGUAGAACUUCUCAUCACGUUGUCUUGAAGGAUCAUGGCAGUAAUUUUCAUUUGAGCGAUAUAUGCUUUUACAGGCAUACAUAGUUCAAUUGGAAGCAGAACUGAACAAAUAACGAGAAGAGAACUCACACUUUAGACAUGCACUCGUAAUGACAUGGAAAACAUUUCGUUGUGUUGAAAGCUUUCUGACUUUUUUGUUUCUGGUGAUGAUAUUGUUUGUAAUUAUUGCUCUUGCCAAUCGAGUUAACAUGAAGCUAGAGAGGAAAUGAAAAGCAACCAGAUUUGAUUAUUAGGUGAUCGUAGGGCUUUGUGGCAGCUCUUAGGAAUUUAGUCAGAAUGAAUGUAGGAUAAAGAUUGUGUGAUGGUAGAACUUGAUUAUUGAGUACGGGUUUAUGGAUAGAUUUUAGUUUUAUUCUUAGUUUCAUCUUGUUUUAGAAUUUAAGUUGGAUGUAGUAAGAGGUUAGAUGGGUUCAAAUAAAAUUUCCCAAAUCUUAUUUGUUAACAACUUUCAAUUUUCAGAAAAAUGAGAACUGAAAGCAAAAAAUAAAAACUGAAUGCCAAAUUGUAAAAACUAAAACCAAAACGAAAAACUUCCCCUUUUGUUUUUCAGUUUUUAUUUUUUUAUUUUUAUAUAAACUCAAAACUGAAAGUAAAAAUUAAAAACUAAAACAGAAAAUUAAAAACUAAAUGGUUACCAAACCAACUUUAAAGCUUAUAAGCCUGAUUUAAUCAUUAUAUACAAAGAGAUAAAUAAAAUGGACGGGAAAUUUAAAGCGCACAAAGUAAAGAAAAUAAAAGGGAAAUAAGAAAAAUAAUUACCCGUCAGUCUCCCUAAAAUUUAAUCCGGCCAAAACUCCAGCUUCCCAAAGAGCCUUUCUCCAGAGACAUACCUUGUCUUCGUUAAUUUUCUGUUCGUAUUUCUGAAACGCUUGCGCAAAACUACCACUCUGUUUCCGGACAUCUGAGGGAUCAACAUCAAAGAAAAUUGGAAAAAACAUUUGACCCAGUGUUUCCCUGCACUCCAUGAUCUUCACCAGCUCCUUGAGACACCACAAGGACUCCGGAUACCCUCUUGAGAAGACGACGACGGCAACCUUAGACCUUUCGAUUGCUUGAAUCAGAUGUUCUGGUAUAGCUCCAUUACUUUCUUCUAGUUUGUCAUCGUACUCGUCUCCGUACAUGAAUACGUUGACUCGGUGGUCUUUUAAUGAACAGUAGAGGUGGUCCGUGAAGGUCCUGCGUGUGUCUUCACCUCCAGAACUCAAGUACACGUCGUACUUGCUAUCGUCUUUGGAGGAUGAAGCCAUCAAUUGUUACUCCAGGGAUUUCUUGGCAGCACAGAUCAAAUUUGAGAUCUACAGACAACCGUAAAGAAAAGGGUGAACUGGGAAGAACCGAGUCAAUUGCAAUCGGUCCACCCACCCAUUUUUCUUUUUCAUCCAACGGUAUCAAAAAGCUCAGCAAGGAAGAUAAUGUUUUCUUUUACCAUACGUUUGUUAAAGACAAAAUAACAGCUGUCCUUCCUAUAGAAAAAUAAAAUAACAUCUGCCACCCAAGGGCCAAGACAAAAGGAAGAAAAGAUGCGACAAUUGUGAACGGGUGCUAAAUCAACCACUUGUCUCAAUCGUUAUUCGGUUUAGUACUUUAUAUUAUGAAUAUUUUGUUGUGUGGAUACAAGUUGCGUUUCGAAUUCUGGCAACAGUAAUAGUCAAGGAAGGCUGACAUGUUCCUAUGUGUGUUCUGGGUUUGUAAAUUAAUAGAAUGUUGUGAAAUCAUCAGCUAAUAAUAAUUUAUUUUUAUAUAUUUUUUUUAAGAAAAAAACUACAUAAGAAAUGCUCCUGUGUUGGGUUUGUGAACCAGCACGUUGGCUUCUUCCCUCCCGUGACACCCCAUUUCCUCGUGUUCCUUCCCUCCCAUAUCUCAAGCUCUCUCUCUCUCUCCCUCACAAUCUCUGCAAAACACCCAUUGUUUAUUCUCCUUUCUCCCCCCGUGACACAUCCCAUUUUCGAGAACACCCUCUUUCUCUUCUUCCCGUGCUCUCUCCCUCACCUCACUUCUCUGCAACUCUCACGUUCAAACACACACACACACUCUCUCUCUCUCUCCCCCCCCCCCCUUAUUCCCCUCCCUCUCGUUCCUAUCAACUCUGCAUGCAUGGCAUGCACUGUGGAACAACCACUUUCUGUUAAAGUCCCACGUUGGUGAUGGGAAGAAAAUCAAAUGGGUUUAAAUAUGUUUACCCCACUCUAACUAAUACCGAGAUCUUUUAUGGUAAAAUCUCAACUAAUACCGAAAUCUUUUAUGGUAAAACCCCACACCUGACAGAUUGGACAUGUGGUAAAGUUGGGGACAAUAUCAGUGUCGUUAGAGUGGGACGGGCCUGGCGAUUCAAAAAUUUCAACAUGGUAUCACAGCCCAUAGUUGCGGGCCCAUGCAAGCCAACGAGCUUGUGUGCAAGCCAAUGAGCUUGUCACCACUAGGAAGGAAACAAGUAUGAGCUCUUAACAUAGAGACGACUGCUGAGUUCCAAUUGAAAAUAAGUGGGCCCAACGUGAGCCGACCUAUGAGUUUCAAUUACUGAUGUGGAUCUCCACGUGUGAACCACUAAAUAAGGUUACAGGUGAGGGUCCCACAUCCCACUACUACAAAAUGGACUUAUUGUGUCACUCGGUGAUGUCGCUUUAAUAUAAUAUAGUGGCAGACAAGACAUUUGCGACACCUACUGAAUAUGACGUCGGAUUUAUUGUCGCUUGUAAGCAUCAUAAAGUUUCUAUGUCGCUUUUAACCAAUGUAAACAUUUAAUGUCGCUUAUAACCGACGUACAUUUUAAUAAUUUUUAAAUAAUGGUGUCGUUUUAAAAAAAAAAGUGUCGCUUUAAAAAAAUGUUGCUUUUAAGCGACAUAAAGUAUUGGUGUCGCUUCUAGUCAACACUGACACACCACGACCUAAAUCAGGGCGUGUUGGCUGUCACGUGAGAGUGACGUAACCAUGUGCACAGUGCGGAAGCAAUAAAGAUAUAAGGAAGAGCGAAUAAAUAAAUAAAUAACCAAAUCGGCUAGAGUACUAGCUAAAAUAAGGUGCACGAGUGAGAUUAAGUGUGAAAUACACUAUCAGAGCAUAAAUAGCCUAAGUGCAGUCAAGCAAGACAAGUACUAAUUAUACAACACCCAAAGGUGAUCCUACAUUUAUGAUGUUCUAUCAGAACCACCGUCGAAAUCCUUGUGAUCCGCCAAAGCACUCCUACCUAAAACCUGGAAGGGCGCAAAACAGAAAGUGUGAGUGGGUAAAAAAGCUUUUCAAAGUCAUUUCAUUUCUCAAAAGUUCUAACCCCCCGCCGUAAAACCGUAUAAUUUCCCAGAAAAAUAAUAAUAGUAGUAACAUGCUAUACCAGAAAUCAUGCUCAGGAUGAAAAUCCAUAGAAGUAUACCAUGCCAAAGUAUCUCAAUGCAAUGCCAUAAGUAAUCCAGAUAAAACAUAUCGAUGCCAGAUAUCACAUCAGCCGAAUCCCUUAAUUCAAUCUGUACAACUGAGUCUAUAGCUCAUAACCAAUCUCAACUGUAUCAAAUCCUGCACACGAGUCGGAACCACCUAAAGUGGUCUGUACGACAAGGCUAGGUGUAAAACAAAUAUGCUCUAGUGCUACGAUCACAUGAAGGCUGUGCGAAUGAUUACGGGUCACCUACGAGUUGGAACCACCUAAAGUGGUCUGUACGACAAGCCUGUGCACCUAACUCGGAAUCACGUGAAAGAUUGUGCCUUAACUCUGGGCGGGAGCACUAACACUGGGGUGCAGGUUUAUGAGCUCUCAAUACAUCACAACAUAUCUCGCAUAACUGAAGUAAUCUCAUAUCUUUAAUUUAUGAACUUACCUGGCACUUACCAGUGCGUCCGCAACACCAAUCAUAAAUAUAUGCAACUAUUAAUGCAUAAGUAAAAUAGGCAGAUACUUUGCAUGGCAUUUUAAAACGUAUAAUCAUUCAAAUUCAUUUUUUGGGAAAAAUACCAAGUAUAUAAGUAUAUACUGAAAACCAAAAGCUCACCCACUGAUAUGUUGAAGAGUCGUAGCCCCCAAGCUUCGAUUGAUGGCACUCAUCCUCAGGAUAUAUCUCACCUAUAUGCGAAAUAACUGAAUAAACGUUAUUUAAAGCACAUAUACCAAACUAGGAAAUAACUUCUCAUACAUUGCUCAAAUGGGGUAUUUGAAUAUACCAUCAUGACCUACUCAACCUCAGGAACAUCCCCAAAAUUUUAGAAAAAUGUUUCAUGACCCCACGCGCCGCCCAAAGCACGGCCAGACAAGCGGCUCAUGCACAAGCACGUGCCUGGCACGCCAAAUGGAUUCCCUAACGGCGUUAGAGAAUAUUCCGUUAAAAAGUAGCAUAUGCCGUUAAAGCUACCUGACGGCGUCAGAAUAUUCGGUCAACUUUGACGGAAUAUUCUUCUCCUUCUUCCUUGGUUCGUCGGAGUCUGGCGCCGGUCACCGCUGCAAUCGCCGAAAACUGGAAAAAUUUAAAAACUUCAUAUCUUCUUCAUUGCUCAUCCAAAAUUCACUAAAUUUAAACCAAAUUGAAGCUUAAGAUGAGAAGAACAUAUUCAUACCACUUUGGGGACCUAAAACCAAUGGAAAAGUGCCUGAAAAACCUUCGAUAUUUCGGCCAAACCUGCAACUCACUAAACAUGGGCUUCCUGACGUCCAAAACACUUCAAAAUUACUCCCCGAGCUUCAUGAAGAUGUUUUAAGGCUCCCUAUAACCUUAAACCUCCUUAAAAACUUCACGCUUACGUUUGCAUGAAAAGUACCCAUGAUCGGGGUUCCUAGGUUCUUGAGUUUACGAAGGAUUCACAUUCAACUAAGGGUAUGGAUGAGUUCCUGAGCUCACCGGGAACACUAAUAUAGUCUCCAAAACCUCGAUCCGUGAAGAAAUUGUUUGGUUUGAGGUUUGUCAGUACGUAUUGUACGGACAAUGGAAGAAACUCGAGAAAGGGAGGAAAUAGAAAGGUCAACGGAAGUUGGGUAUGGGCGUGAGUGUGUGUGUGGGGUCCAGAUUUGGGUUACUAACAACAACUAAACCCACUAACUUUAAGUUCCAAAAACUUAGGAACUAACUAAAUUAGUUUAAAACCCAAACUCAAGCCACAACACCACAUAACGUACUCGACGUCCAAGGGCAAUUUAGUCAUUUCAUGCCAUCGAUAAAAUAAUUCAGGACGGGCUGUCACAGACACUAAUUAUUAUUUUUAAAUAUUUUAAAGUAUGCGUUAGUUUUGAGCGACAUAGCUUUUUUUAUUUAUUAAUAUUUUAGGGGAUACACAAAGACUAUCAAUCUGUCGCUUACAACCGACACCGGGUUUAUGAGGUAGCAUGCAACUAGGCCUAGCAAACGGGUCGUGUCUAUCGUUUUCGUGUAACACCUGUUAUCUUAACGGGUCAUGUCGUGUCUCACCCAUUAUCUUAAUGGGUCUUUAACAGGCGACCCGUUAUGACCUGUUAAGAAAUAUAUAUUUUUUUUCUUAAAUUUGCACAUACCACACAUUGCCACAUAAAAUAUUACUUCAAAAAAUUAUAACACAUUUGUCAUUUAAGUAUUACAUCUACACUCGAAAAUAAAAGCCUAACAAACAAAUAUCCAUACACUACUACUCUAUUACAAAAUGUUAAAUGUGCAAGGAUAUGCAAAAUGAAAGAGUUUUUGUUUUCAAGGUUGUGAAAUCUUUCUCAAAAGUUUAAACCUUGCCAAUGGAACUCAAAGCUUGCAUGUUAUUCCUUUUACAAAAUCCUCAAUUUUCAUCGAUCAUCAUGACAUAAGAUUUUGUGGUAUCCAUUUCUAGAAAUAUUUUAAAUUGAUGAUCAAAUUAGUUCGUUGUAUUCAUAUAGGAUCAAGGAGUGUAGCUGUAAAAAAUCAUCAAAAUCGAAGUUAAAAUAACUGCUAAAUCGUGAUUUUUCGUUUAUAACUAUCGGAAAGUUUUGACUCGUUACUUAAUCUCUUAAUGUUUGUUUUUUUGCAAUUUUUGGCUUAUGCGAUCUCAAAGCAUAUAUAAACAAGUUUGACGGUUGGAUCGUUGAAAUUAGUUUCGUAGGAUACGUAUCCCAUCAAAACAAUAGAUUCACUAACACUUAGAGUUUAUUUAUACUUUCAUUAAGUAUAACAUAAGAUUUUGUGGUAUGCAUUAGUGUAAAUAUUUUAAAUUGAAGAUCGAAUUCAUUAUUGUAUUCAUAUAGGAUCAAAGAGUGUAGCUGCAAAAAGUAAUCAAAAUCGGAGUUAAAAUAGCCGCUAAAUCGUGAUUUUUCGUUUCUAACCGUUGAAAUGUUUUGUCUCGUUACUUGAUCUCUGAAUGUUUGUUUUUUGCGAUUUUUGGCAUAUGCAAUCUCGAAGAAUAUAUAAACAAGUUUGACGGUUGGAUCGUUGAAAUUAGUUUCGUAGGAUGCAUAUCCCAUCAAAACGAUAGAUUCACUAACACUUAGAGUUUAUUUAUACUUUCAUUAAGUAUAACAUAAGAUUUUCCACUAGUGUAAAUAUUUUAAAAUGAAGAUCGAAUUCAUCCAUUGUAUUCAUAUAGAGUCAAGGAGUGUAGCUGUAAAAAAUCAUCAAAAUCGGAGUUAAAAUAACCGUUAAAUCGUAAUGUUUCGUUAUAAUCGUCAAAUAGUUUUGUCCUGUUACUUGAUCUCUGAAUGUUGGUUUUUUGAGAUUUUUGGCGUAUACGAUCUUGAAGCAUAUAUAAACAAGUUUGACAGUUGAAUCGUUGAAAUUAGUUUCGUAGGAUGCGUAUCCCAUCAAAACGAUAGAUUCACUAACACUUAGAGUUUAUUUAUACUUUCAUUAAGUAUAACAUAAGAUUUUGUGAUAUCCACUAGUGUAAAUAUUUUAAAUUGAAGAUCGAAUUCAUUCAUUGUAUUCAUAUAGAGUCAAGGAGUGUAGCUGUAAAAAAUUAUUAAAAUCGGAGUUAAAAUAAUCGUUAAAAUAUUCAUACAAGGGUUGGCAUGGAAGAGACUCAUUUUCAUGAAUCAUUACCGUUGCCUACCUAGUUCGCUAGUUAUGACAAUGCCGACGACGACAUAAUAGAUGAUGACAUGGAAUAAAUAUAUUAACUAUUUUAUGUGCUUUAAGUAUUAAUUAGACUAUAUUUUUGUUUUUAAUUACGUAUUUAUUUAAGUUCAAUUUUAUUUAAUAAAAUCUUAAAUUGUUAUAUGAGGUUAAAAAAAAAAAAAACUCGUUUUUUUUUUGUAUGGGGACAUUUAAAAAAAAAAAAAAAAAAACUAUUUUCUUGUCGGUUUUAGGAGACGGCAUUGGUCAGAUAAUUUGAAAUACACUAGGCGGGAACUUUUCCGUUUGAAUUUAAAAUAUACUAAAUUCGAUGUCAUGUGAAUUUAAAGCUUGUCAGUUAUCAUGUCAUUUUAAAUUGACGCCAAAUGUAUUUAAACCGACGCAAGGUGCACUUCAUUAAAGCUUGUCAGACUAUGGUGUCGGUUUUAAUCGACACCAAGGUUAACUAAAGCGACACCAUGUGAAUUUAAAAAAACUAUGUCAGAAAGUGGUUGUUUGAUUUAAUGUACCAAUAAAGUGUGUCAGUGUUGGUGUCGGUUUAAACCGACACCAAGUUUAACUAAACCGACGUCACUUUUGGUCCAAUAAAUGUUGUCAGAAAGUUGGUGGAUUUAAUUCAACAUAAUGCAUGUCAGAAGGGGGUGGCGGUUUCAACCGACACUAAGCCUAACUUAUUGCAACGCCAGUGGAUUUUAAUACGACGUUAGGGACUUAAUGUCGAUUUCAACCGACGCCAACUGAGCAUCCAUAUUUAAACCCCUUUUUCCCCCAUUUCAUCUGUGCUUUCAUUUUUUCCCUAAUUUCAGUCUCUCAUUCUCCUUCCCAAUUUUGUCUAUACUUCCAUUUCAUAUCCGUUUUCACUUUUUAGUUUUUUUACUUUAUCUUCUUGCAGAUUGUUUUGCUAUGGAUCAUUUUGAAGAUGAGCAUGCUGACGAAAUCCAAUUCGAAGAGGAAGAAGUCGAAGGUGGUCCAUUUUUAAUUUAUUAUGGUUAUUAGUUUUAGUUUUUUGUUUUGUAGUCUAACUAGUAUGAUGCCCAAAUUGAAAAUUGUUUUUUGGUCCUUGGUUUUUAAUUCUGUUUUUUUUUUUUUUGUAUUUAUAAGGAACAACUAAACGAGGACGAGGAUCCUCAAUUCCCAACUGGAAGGAACAACCUUGUUCUUUUGAUGCGUCUGGAAAAUGCAUUAGUGAAAAUUCUAAUGCUUUUUCAAAACAUGUAGCGGCGGAGGUUAGAGAUUCCGUUGGUGAGUGAUUGGCGUAAGAUCAAGGAAAAUGGCAGGGAAGCUUUCUGGAAUAGAAUAAAGGUAUAAAUAUUUUUUGUUACUCUAAGAGAGUAUAAUAAGUCAAUGUUUAUAGUAAUAAUUAAUUUGCUUGAUUUUUUUUAUAAGUAUAGGAAACCAGUCGAGGAGCACGAGAACACACCUCUUAAUGUGGAUCCUCAACAGUGAGCACAAGAACACACCUCCUAAUUUAUUUUAUUAUAGCUUGAAAUUUGUUUAAUAAAUUCUUCUUUUUAUUUUCUUCAGGAGAUUUCUGCAAAAAAUAAGCAUAAUAGGCGGUUGAAAACAAUGAACUACACAACUGGUGCAAAAUCUUUUGCAAGAGUUAGGGCAGAACUUGUAAGGGUUGUACAUUUUCAAGAAAUGUAGAUAAUUUAAAUUUAAUAUAUAAUUGGUAGAAAUUUAUUUUUAAUUCGAUGGUUGCUGAAAAUUGUUUUUUUAUUGACUUAUAAUUGUAGUGGAAAAACCAUGGGAAGGAGGCGGAUCCUGUUUCGUUUUUUCAUCACUGUCAUGACAGAUGAGUUUUUGUAUGUUAUGUGAAAUAUAAAUGUAUGUUAUGUGAAAUAUAAAUUUUUGUUAUGAGUUUUGUGGCUUUGAUUUGUGAAUUUGGAUUUGAAACCUAUAAUUCUAACACCACAGGGAUGCAUCUCAAAUAUGGUUUAAGAAUAUCGAAAUACGCAUAAAAUGGUAGCGUCAGCUCACUGGCCACGUGCCGCCGCCAAGGUUCUAAAAAACGCUAAGCGCUAGUUGGGAGAAAAUGUAAUGAAAAGUAAAAAAAAAUGGUGGGGACCAUUUCAAAGAAAACGUUGCAGCUAUAGAUAAAAGAUGGCGGGACCAUCUUAAUUGAAUCGUGCAAAAUCAAGUUAUGGAACAGUUUUCUUCUUCACGGAGCCAACUAUGCAACAAAACAAAAUUGCAAAUUCUGGCGUCUUUAUAUAAGCCUGAUUAGUCUUCACCCAGCUUGGCCUAGCCCUGUCCAGACUUACAUAUCUCCGCCUAGCCACCGGGACACCUGUGAAUUUUGUGGCUUUGAUUUGUGAAUUUGGGUUUGAAACCUAUAAUUCUAACACCACACGGAUGCAUAUCAAAUAUGGUUUCAAAUAUCAAAAUACGCAUACAAUGGUAGCGUCGGCUCACUGGCCACGUGCCACCGCCAAGGUUCUAAAAAAUGCUAGGCACUAGUCGAGAGAAAACGUAAUGAAAGGUUAAAAAAAUGGUGGGGACCAUUUCAAAGAAAACGUCGCAGCUAUAGAUAAAAGAUGGUGGGACCAUCUUAAUUGAAUCGUGCAAAAUCAGGUUAGGGAACAGUCUUCUUCUUCGCUGAGCCAACUUUGCAAAAAAAAAAAAAUUACAGAUUCUGGCAUCUUCAUAUAAGCCUGAUUAGUCUUCACCUAGCUUCGCUUAGCCCUGUCCAGACUUGCAUAUAUUUGCCUAGCUAACGGGACACCUAUGAGUUUUGUGGCUUUGAUUUGUGAAUUUGGGUUUGAAACCAAGAAUUCUAACACCACAUGGAUGUUGCGCUCGAUGAGAGCUUUCCCUAGACACCAGAAUCACCUCGAUCGGAUGUCGACGGAGGAGUUAGAGCCGGGUCAAGGAACAGGGUCGGGUCGGGUCAGGUUGUAUGGAUCUAAAAGGAUCUGAUGCUCCCUCACCUUCCUUUUUUCUCUCCCUUCUUCCUCUGCCCAUUGGUCAUCUUGCCCUCAUUUUCUCUCCCGUAUCCCUCAUUUCCUUUCUCUCUCUUGCUGCCACUUGGUAGUUUCCACCCAUUUUAUUCCAUUUAUUUAAUUUUUUUUUCCAACAAUGAAAACGUCUCUAAUUUCUUCAUUAUAACAUCAUUUCACGAACUGCUUUCGCCUACGCACUUAUAGGAACGAACUCUAUCCAUAUAUGUCAAGAAAUACGAUAAAAUACGUCCUCGUAAAAUUACGUUUAGUCAACGAGGGGCAUUUUCCACUUAUCGAAUUUUUUUUCUACAUUUUCAUGUAUUUUAAAUUUUCUAGGGCUUUAAAAAUACCGAGGCCUUUUGUGGUAAAACUCCACACCUAACGGAUUGGGUAUGUGGUAAAGUUGGGGACAGUAUCUGUGUCGUUAGAGUGGGGUGGGCCUGGCAAUCCAAAAAUUCCAACAUGGUAUCAUAGCCUACGAUUGCGAACCCGUGCAAGCCAACGAGCUUGUGUGCAAGCCAAUGAGCUUGUCACAACUGGGAAAGGAAUGUUAAAGUCCCACAUCGGUGGUGGGAAAGAAAACCAAAGGAGUUUAAAUAUAUUUACCCCACUCUAACUAAUAUCGAGGUCUUUUAUGGUAAAACUCCAAACCUGACGGAUUAGGCAGUAGGUAAAGUUGGGGACAAUAUCGGUGUCGUUAGAAUGUGGCGGGCCCGGCGAUCUAAAAGUUCCAACAUGAUAUCAGAGCCCACAGUUGCGAGCCCAUGCAAGCCAAUGAGCUUGUCACCACUGGGAAAAGAAUAUUAAAGUCCCACAUCGAUGGUGGGAAAGAAAACCAUGGUAUGAAUAAGGGAAAAACCGUGAACUUUAUUCGGUUAUGGUUUUGGAUAUGGUUAUUGUAAGAUCCCACAUCGCCCAAGGGCGAGGAUCCUGUAAGUGUUAUAUGUAUAUUCCCAUCUUUACCUAGCACGAGGCCUUUUGGGAGCUCAUUGGCUUCGGGUUCCAUCGGAACUCCAAAGUUAAGCGAGUUCGUGCGAGAGCAAUCCCAUGAUGGGUGACCCACUGAGAAGUUGUCGUAUGAGUUCCCUGAAACAAAACUGUGAGGGCGUGGUCGGGGCCAUAAGUAGACAAUAUCAUGCUACAGUAGAGUCAAGCCCGGGAUGCGGUGGGGGCCUAGGCCAGGAUGUGACAAUUUGGUAUCAGAGCCAAUCCCUGGACGAAAGUGUGCCAACGAAGAUGUCAGGCCCCUAAAGGGGGUGGAUUUUAAGAUCCCACAUUGCCCAGGGGUGUGGAUCUUGUAAGCCUUAUAUAUAUAUUCUCAUCUCUACCUAGCACGAGGCUUUUUGGGAGCUCACUGACUUCGGGUUCCAUAGAACUCUGAAGUUAAGCGAGUUCGUGCAAGAGCAAUCCCAUGAUGGAUGACCCACUGGAAAGUUCUCGUGUGAGUUCUCAGAAAAAAAUCGUGAGGGUGUGGCCGGGGCCCAAAUCGGACAAUAUUGUGCUACGGCAGAGUCAAGCCUGGAUGUGAUGGGGGCCCGGGUCAGGAAGUGACAAUUAGGUAUCAGAGCCAAUCCAUGGCCGGAAGUGUGUCGACGAGGACGUCGGGCCCUUAAGGAGGGUGAAUUGUAAGAUCCCACAUCGCCCAGGGGUGAGGAUUCUGUAAGCCUUAUAUGUAUUCUCAUCUCUAUCUAGCACGAGGCCUUUUGGGAGCUCAUUGGCUUUGGGUUCCAUCGGAACUCCGAAGUUAAGCGAGUUUGUGCGAGAGCAAUCCUAUGAUGGGUGAUCCACUGGGAAGUUCUCGUGUAAGUUCCCAGAAACAAAACUGUGAAGGCAUGGUCGGGGCCCAAAGCGGACAAUAUUGUGCUACGGUAUAGUCAAGCCUGGGAUGUGGUGGGGGCCUGGGCUGGGAUGUGCAAUUAUAAGGAUCCCCAAUCCAUAUCCGUCCCCGAAUAUAUAUAUAUAUAUAUAUAUUAUAUAUAUAUAUAUAUAUAAUAUAAUAUAAUUUUAUUCAAUUUACCGAACCCUCCCUAUACAAAUUCAUUAUGCAUGCAUUAAACCCUAUACUAUCUUUAUUAUGCACCAAACAUCAUGAUGGGGCAUAUCAACAACCUCAUCAAUUCAAUACUCUUAUUGUUAUACUCAACCAAAUUAAUUUAUUGAAUCAUUUUAUAUAUCAAUUAUCAAAUGUUCCAAGUUUAUUAGAUUCAUCUCAUUUUAUAGUGCGUCAAUCGGAUGAAUAUAAUUUUUUUUUUUUUGACGAAAAUGGAUAUAACCGAUAAUUGAUUGAAAAUCCGUUGCCCGGUGGAUAUGGUUAUGGAUAAUCCCCGAUGGUUAAUUUGUGGUUAUGGAUAUGGUUAAUUUUCGUGGUUAUGGGGAUGGAUAUAGCAUUUCCGUCCCUAAACCAAACCGUUGCCAUCCCUAAUCAUAAUCUCCAAGUAUACAAGAUGGUUCGUACAAGAAAUCUAGGAUGAUAUUUUCCCAUCUUCAUUCGAAUACGAGAAGUGAUUAUAACCACUCGAACGAUUUCUUUAUUCUUUCACUCGUGAUAAAAACAGGUAUCUACUUAAUGACUACGCAAUCUCCUUUUUUCAUCUCAAGUCAAAAGUAGAAAGAUCGAACUUGGAAAUUAGCUAACAAGAUUUCCUGAUGAUCAGUAAAUAAUGUCACAUCAGUACUCGUGAGUUCUACUUAAGGUGGAAUAGGACAUGCUAAAGGGUAUUUAGUCAUUCAUGUGUUUUUCUAUUAAAGUUGUUGAUAACUACAUUUGCACAACCGGUGUAAUACUUGAUGGCGUAAUCGUAGGCAUAUAUUUGUUUCUUCCAUCGCCGCUAUCUAAGAUUUGUUUCUUUCGGGUGAAGAUAUACUUGAGAAAUUUAUGUGGUCAGUAAAGACUUUGACAUGUUUCUCCACGGAGAAGUGUCAUCGGAUUUUCAAGCAAAUAAGGUAAUCAUUGACUCUACGUCAGGAGUAAAAUUGUUCACUUCAUGCAGUUCCAACCAUCGGUAGACAUAAGCAAUACCCAUCAUGGUGCAUUAGCACACAUCCAGAAUAUUCAAUGAAACUUCACUGUAGAUAUAAAAUUAUCAAUGUCAUCGACAAGUGUAAGAACAAUGCUCAGAAAGAGACAACACUUCAGUUGUCAGAAACUUUAUUCACAUUUAACGUCUAAAACUAAACUAACUUUUCUCAAUCAACUUGUGAGGAAAACGCUAUAGCUAAAAAAUCGUUAACAAAGCUUUUAGUAAUCGUAAAAAAUAAGGGUAUUUCGUAUUUCACAACACUUUGUUAGGAUUUCAGUUUUCUUCCGCUACAACCUUUAGGGGAAAUGAAAAGAAUAUCGUCUGCUGAGACCACAUCUUCCAAGAAAGGUACCUAAUCUAAAUAAAGCUACCAUUUGAGGAACUUGGUAUAAAGUUGACUAUCGUUCUUUAGAAAAUUUGAUCUGCUUGUUGGAAUAGGUAAGAAAGUCGUUCGGAACAUAAUGGUCAUUCAAGUCUUGAUCGCAACCUUGGGAUCAUCAACGCUUCUGAUCUUCAACUGGUUGUAACCAGACUUCAGAUCAACUCGAAUAAAAUUCAUUCUUUACUGAGUUGGUCGAAGAGACUAUCAGUUCGACACAUUGUAAACGGUUAUUAAUUGUCACUCAAUUGAACUACCAGAAAUCUACGUACAACCUUAAGGUUCAAUCUUCAUCUUCGCAAAUAGGUUUAUGAUUGCCUAAGAUAAAUGUUGGGUUGGAUAAAUCCCUAAUCAAUAAGCUUUUGUAACUAAGUUAUCUCGAACACGCCCCAACCCAGAUGUUCAAAUGACACCUGAAUGGCACUUGUUGGCCGACACUUAAGAGUGGCGAAAGCCACAAAUAUAAAAAUGUGCAAAGACAUAAGGAAACAUGUAAUCGAGAAGUCACACAAGAAACAACAAUCAUAAAGAAUGUACAAACGCUAAAGCAAUAAUAAUAAUAAAUAAGCGUUAGUCAUAGAUAAGAAGGAUGUCCAACAGUUAACAAACCGAAAGAAAUGACGCACGAUUAUGUUUAGAGCAUACUACUAAAUGAGAGUGCUAGUGAAACGAAAGUCAUUAAGUUACAAAUACACAUAAAGAAAUCGUACGCAGUUCGAAGAACACAAGAUCAUUGGCAGGGAAAUGCCUCGAAACUCGGGUUAUUUUCCUCGUCACUUGGUCCUUAAAGGGGCAAAAAAAAAUAAAAGGUGCGUAGAACAUAGUUUAUAAUAACCAUAAUAAUAAGAAAGCCAUUUUAUUUCUGAACAUACUAACCCCUUGUUUUAAAAAAAAAUUAUAAUACUACGUGUUUAUACCAUACUUAGGGCCUCCGUAUUUAGACCUCGUAUAAAUACUCGGGGGACUCAAGUGUAAUUAUGUAAUAAAUGAAGGGGCAAAUAUGUAAUAAGUGAGGAUCCCUUAGUCUAUAAAAGGGACUUCUCACCUUCACAAUCAGAGGCCCUCAUCCUCACAUACAGAAGCUCUCUUUCCCUCACAACCUUCUCACAAAUAGAGAAAUACAAUAUCAGUGUGGACGUAGCCCAAACAUUGGGGUGAACCACGAUACAUCUUAUGUUCUUUACUUUCUUGCAGAUUCACGGUCGGAUUUACGUUGUUCCAAGACCUCUCUGAUUUUAUGCAUAAACAUUUGGCGUUAUCUGUGGGAAAUGACACAAAAAACUAUGUCGAUUCUCUUUCAUUUUUUCAUCAAAUCUCACAUUAUCGACCGUGAAUCGACAGAAACUCAGAGACUACGAACGCUGCUGCCAUGAGAGGUUAGAGCAACAGCGGAUGAUGAGGGCUGAGGGGAAUUGCCUCGCUCGACAGGGGUGCGCACGAUAAGAAAAACCACCACCGCCACCACCAUAAUGAUGAGAUUAAUCAUCACAAUAACAAGUGCACAGCGUUUUCAGACACGACGCACGAUAGCAAGAAGGGUGGGUCUUCGUCGGGGAGCGGAGAGGCGGCGGCGGGGCCAGAGAUGGUGUGGCCGCCGAAGUUUGUGAUUGCUUUGACUAAUAAGGAGAAAGAAGAGGACUUUAUGGCAAUCAAAGGGUCAAAAUUUCCUCAGAGACUAAAGAAGCGAGCCAAGUUCGUUCAACGCACCCUCAAUACUCUGAAAAUCUAAUCCAAGCUGAAUUCGUACGUCGACCCAAGUUAAAAACUCACAGGUGAUAUGACGAAAGGUUCCUAGCAACCGGUCUCUCAACUGAACGCCCUCACUCGGCCGGAUCGCCACUGCCAGAUUUCUCAAAAACUCGAUUCCAAAUCCUCCGAAUCACAGAUCCAAACCCGUCGCAGAUCUGAAUCUCCUGUACGCUGCAAUGGCUAGACUGAAACUAAUUACAGGUCCAAUUCCUCAAAGCUCCUCCAAUCUCAUCCACCUCACCUGACUCUCCCACCGAGGCUCCCCUUCAUGCGAACGGUGCCGUGUUGAUCUUGGGGUUUCAUGGACGGAGGAAGAGCACAAGCUUUUCUUUCUUGGAUUGCAGAAAGCGGGAAAAUGAGAUGGAAGCAGGAUCUCAAGAAACUUCGUGAAGACUCAUCCCCCUUCACUGCCGUCUUUGCCAGAGAGCUUGGUUUUGUCCAAGAACUUCUUGAAAGAAACCCUCUGCUUGUUUUCGGGGAAGGAGAAUAUGGGGUGACUGAUAUUUUCUAGGUUGCUGCAAGGAGCAAGAAUGUUGAGGUUUUCAGGCUGUUUUUUUACUUUGCGGUUUCGCCAAGGUUCCCUCUAUCUACAAGUGCAAUGGAUGCUUUUUGUUUUUCUCAUUCUUGCUCCUCGUCUCUUUUGACCAAGCAGGCACUUCCUUCAUGCUCUUCAAUCAACUUCGCAGUAGAAGUUGGCACCAUCUCAGUCCUCCACUUGUCCAUGCCCUCCCUCAAGCCUCGAGCUUCUCCUAACUCUAUUAGAAAACACAUUUUAAUUGAGCUCGCCGUCCCAGGAUCCGGAUAGCAUGAACUGACCGUCGGAGGAGAGGACAACAUCCUCGACGAAGUGGGAAUGUUUGGUGAGAAGAGAAUAAACUCUGAAAGAUUGGAAUUUGACUGGGUAGGACCGCAAGUGGGUAGGGGACAAACUGCAAAGAAGGUAUUAAUGAUUAAUUGGGUGCACAUGCAUGACAGCAACGCAGAGACAGAGACAUAGAGAGGUGCGGUGGAAAAGAGAAAGUAAAAGCAAAAGCAGAAAGCAAAAGAAGAUAAAAAGAAGCAGACAUAAUUGCGGUGGUGAUGGCAUGCAGAAAAGGGAAUUAUGGGAAUGACCCAUUGAGCAGAGGGUCGGAUUUAUUUUUGAAUGAUGUAAUUUAUUUUUCUUAUCUUUCGGAGACAUCUGUAUAACCCCAUCAGAGGGUAAUAAAAAAAUAAAUAAAAAACGGCAAGCCCAAAAUAAUGGGCUGGAAUGUUAUGUGGAGGGCGAAAACCCAUAUGCCCAAAAGAGCCAGGCCCUCUAUUAUCACUAACCAAGUGAUCAAAAGUACGUCCAGUACUCCAAAAAAUUAUUCGGCAGCCUACUGCUAUUACCACCAACCAGGUGAUCAAAAGUACGUCCAGUACUACAAAAAAUUAUUCGGCAGCUUGCCGCUAUUACCACCAACCAGGUGAUCAAAAGUACAUCUAGUACUCCAAAAUUAUUCGGCCGCCUGCCGCUAUUAUCACCAACCAGGUGAUCGAAAGUACGCCAAGUACUACAAAAUUAUUCGACAGCCUGCCUCUAUUUUCACUAACCAAGUGAUCAAAAGUACGUCCAGUACUACAAAAAAUUAUUCGGCAACCUGCCGCUAUUAUCACCAACCAGGUGAUCAAAAGUACGCCCAGUACUCCAAAAUUAUUCAGAAGUCUGCCGCUAUUAUCACCAACUAGGUAAUCAAAAGUACGUCCAGUACUCCAAAAUUAUACAUGUGCAUUACUCAUGUCAAUCAUACAUAAACAUUCAUGAGCAUCACUCAUGUCAAUCAUACAUAAACAUUCAUGACCAUCAUUUAUGUCAACAUUCAUGAGCAUCACUCAUGUCAACAUUCAUGAGCAUCACUCAUGUCAACAUCCAUGAGCAUCACUCAUGUCAAUCAACAUAAACAUUCAUGAGCAUCACUCAUGUCAAUCAGCUUCGAAAGCUUCAUUUACAGAGCUCUAGCUUUGAGAGCUCCAGCUUCAAAAAGCUUCAUUUACAAAAGCUCCAGCUUCAAAGCUUCACUUGCAAAGCUUCACUUGCAAAGCUUCACCUACAAAGCUUUAGUGCAUGGUAUACAAAUACCGCAUCCGAACAACCGCCACUUCGGCCCAUACAUGGAUUGAAUUUCAAGUCUCCAGCCAACAACCUCUAUUAACUGAAGACUUGGGGGACUACACUAUGUACCAUAUAUUGAGCUUCCACAACUGAGCCUCAUGAAAAAUACUUGGGGGACUCUAGCCCAUUAUUUAUGUACUGAGGAGUGAACCCUUAUUCUAUAAAAGGGACUCCCUCACUUUCAUUAGAGAGCACUGAUGCGAAUAAUAUAAGCACACUCAAAUUAAACCCUCUUUUUGACAAUUGUAGCAAAGUAUGUAAGUAGGGAUCGUUCUAAACCGGGGAUUAGGAGGGCUUGCUAAAACCUCUAAACUGACUCAAAAACAAAAAGAAACAAAGUUAAAAAUGUAAACAAAAGAUUUUAAAACAAGAAAGUAAAAGGGGGAUUUGAGUUUGGUGAAGUUGAAAGUAAAAACGAAUGAACUAAAAACUUAAAUAGAUUUUAAACAAAUUUGGGUUGAAUGGAUAAUGGAAGGCUAGCUAAGGGGUUCUUCUCCACACAUGUCUUGCUUGCAUACAAAAUGAUUUCCAAUUGCUCUUCUAUAAGUUAUGAAUACUCAACGCCCCAAAUUAACCGUGAAUUGCACUAAUUAACUCUCAGUUUUUCAACAAGUUAUUAGAUUGGAUGAUUGCAUACGACAACCCAAAACAUUCCCUACAAGUUCCCUACAUGAAUUGCAUAAUAGAGAUACAAGCAAGAAUCAUUAAGUUCUAUGAAAAACAUAAGUAUUGACGAGGCACUCGUUACUAUGAUUUGCAUGAAACUUAUGCCAAGAAUUUACUUAACGUGAUUGUGACUAGCAACCUUCACUACUUGUGAAUAUAAGUUCAUAACGAUUAGGUGAAACUCCCUUAUAUUCUAGCGUCAAAUUCAUGCAUGAAAAUUAAGCGUGCACUCUCAACCAACAUACACAAAUUAGUUUUUAUACGAACGGAUAAGUAAAUUGAAUUCACAAUUCAAGAAACGCAAUUGGAAGUAAUCAAAUCAUAUAGCAAGCAUUAACAUGGUUUUGAAUCCCCCCCUAGCCAAGGGGGGUUUAGUUCCUCAUUAUUACAAAACAAAGAUAAACAAAUUUAACCAUUGAAAAACAAAGGGAAGAAAGCACCUAAACGUUCCAACGAUCCAUGUUGGAUAGCAAGCGCGUCCAAGGACUUUUCUCCUUCUCCUUGCCGCCACAACAAGGUUGGAAUGAUGUUGAAGGGUUGGUUAUUUGGAGGAAUGGAUGGGAAGGGGUUUAGAUAUGUAGGAGAGGCAAGGAAAGGCUUGGAGAAUGGUUAAUUUUUGGAUGAAUUGAAUGAGGUUGUUGCCAUGGUAUUUAUAGGAAAAGGAUGGACUUGUUUAACACAAAAUUAUGGUGGAAUUGAGUAGGUGAGCAAGGCAAAGAGUGGGAAUUGUUGGUGGGUUAGGUAUUGAGUCAUCCAUUCACAUGUCAUGGUGAGCUAAGCAUUGCAUCAUCACUCAUAUUUCUGGUUGCUUUGAAGUAAAAGCCACGGCAUUGAGGUUUUUGAGUGAAGUUUUGGCCAAUCCUUCUAGAAACCUAUCCCUUCUUGCAAUUUGUAUUUGUUUCACCACAUUUUUAGCAUGUUCCUAGCCUCAUUUGACUUCAAAUUCGUCCAUCCUCAUGUCUCCAUGUUUGCACCAUCCAAUCAUGGCCCAAAAAUGCUCCAAAAUGCAUCUUCUUGCAUCCUUGGCCCAUAGAACCUACAAACACCCAAAAAUGGCUUAAACUACUAACAUAACUAAGACUAAGAACAUAAAUGCACGAAAACAAACAUACUAAGUCGCAUAAAUAUGCUCCUAUCAAAUUCCCCCACACUUAGCUUUUGCUAGUCCUCGAGCAAAACAAAGAAACAAAACAUAAGAACAAAACACCUGAACCUUCCAAUAUUUACCUUAGGGAUUUUUAAUGCAACAUGACAUGCAAAAGAUCAUCAUAACCACAUAUUUUGGCCUUCCCCACCCUUGAGCACAUACUUAAUUAUAGUCACCACAUACUAGUUCACAUAUAACCAAUUAAAACUAUGUUUUGAAUGUAGUAACAUGCCUUAGAGAAUCUGCUCAAUUCCUUACAAGAUACACUCUUAUUUUCACUCCGAUUUUCUGACUACACACCCUACACUAGGUGUAUGUGAGAAGAUUGAUGUAAACAUGAAAACGAACACUCACAUAAGUUUAUAGCAAAGAAAGCAAUUUAUGGAGUUAUUAAGCAUGUAUAGAUAUGAUCUCAUGACUGGAAUGCUACUACUUAGAUGCGAGAACCAUGGACACCAUAUGCUCGUACCAAUCCCAAACUCCACAUAUUGAAACACAUAACACUCAAGAUUGAAGUUAAGGGUUGUAACGGGGUUAGGGGUGAUUGGCUAACAAUGAAAGGUAAGGAAACAAACGUUUUUAAAGCAUAAUAAGCAAAGUAAUGAAAUUGAUGCUUAGAAUUCCCUUUGAAUGCAACAACUAACUUUAAACACAAUGGGGUUAUUCAUUCAACUUUUUAGGGCUGAUUUCAACUUUUUGGACCCUUUCUACAACAAACAACACUUGUGAGCCUUUCCUCACUUAUUUCAAACUCUUUUUCUUUUCUUUUCAACACUUUUUCUAUUCUUUUUUUUUCUUUUUUAACCAGUGCCUUAUUACUUUCUUUUGGCACACUAAACACAAAAAUCUCAUUCCCCCACACUUGUUUUCUGCAUAAGGACAAUCAAAAGGAAUUCAUUUUAAGUCAUGCUUCAUUAUGCUUUAAAAACAAGGGUAUGGAUAGUCCUAAUCUAGGCUAGGUAAGGGAAAUGUGGUUUAACAAAGAAAACAGGCUAAACAAGGCUCAACGGGGUUAAACUUAAACAAAUAUGCACGGGAUAAGCUUUUUGGCUCUAGUUCACUACACAACUUCAUCUUGAAUAUGUGUUAUGCAAAUCAAUGUCAUGCUUUGAAUGGAACGGGCAUAAGUUCUAGUAUUUGGAACUUAAAUGAUGAAACGCCUUCUAAGUAGCAACCAAGCAAAGAAUGAUGAGAUCAUGCAACGACUUUAGAAAACAAAAAAUGCACAGAUUAAUAACUCUCCAAAGAACGUAUUAGGCUCAAGUCUCUCAAGGUUGUAGUGUUAGUUUGAGUUCCUUCCUUCAAGCAUGUUACAAAAACUGAUUUUUUUUUUUUUUUUUUGUGAUUACAUGUGAAUUCGUAAACUAUAACUAUAACCAAGCAUAAAUCAAGAGCAUAUCAAACUUCCAUCCAUGUUUAUAACUUUCUUUAACAGUCAUGCAAUUAAAAACCGAAUCCUCAUCAUUGUGUUGGAAAGUACCCUAAGACACAAACAAACACACAAAAACAACUCUUUUUGGGUUUUUUUUUUUUAAACAAUUUUUCAAAUUUUUAUGGGAUUUUCGGACUUUUGACUUAAAACACACUAAAACAUACCAAAACAGCUUAAAAAGGCUUAAAAACAGUGAAAAACAACAUUAGAAAUUAUGAGUGAGAAAACCCUACAAAUUUGCAUCAAACACUUUGGUUAUCCCCCCCAUACUUAAAUCAAACAUUGUCCUCAAUGUUUCAAGCAUAGACUAACACAAAUAACAAACAAACAAACAAAACAGCAACUAAGCAAUUUUAACAUGGCAUAAACGAAAACAACAACAAAGAGAAGGGUUUAGGAACGCAAAUCUGGAAUUUGGAGUGCUCUCUAGGUCUUCCUUUGUUGCAUGCAUGGGUUGCCUCCCAAGUAGCGCUUGCUUUAACGUCGUACAGCCGGACGAAGAACCCAUUCACUCCUCAAUGGAGUCCACGGCAUGCAAGGGAAUGUCAUCCACGGUAUGCUCCUCAAAGUUCUCGUAGUAUGGCUUCAAACGAUGCCCGUUUACCUUGAAUUCAUGUCCUGUUUUCAAGCUUUGGAUUUGGACUGCACCAUGAAUAAAAACAUUAGUAAUAACAAAAGGUCCAAUCCACUUGGAACAUAACUUACCAGGAAACAAACGUAAACGGGAAUUGAACAAUAGCACUUUCUGCCCAAUUGCGAAUGUUUUGCCUCUAAUCAUCUUAUCAUGGAACGCCUUGGUCUUUUCCUUGUAAAUGCUUGCGUUCUCGUAUGCCUCGUGCCGUAUCUCAUCAAGCUCAUUCAAUUGGAACUUCCGGUGACUUCCUGCUUCAUCGAGGUUCAUGUUAAACUUCUUGACGGCCCAAUGAGCUUUGUGCUCCAACUCAACGGGGAGAUGGCACGGUUUGCCAUAGACAAGCCGAAAGGGGGACAUUCCAAUGGGUGUCUUGUACGCCAUACGAUACGCCCAAAGUGCAUCAUCUAACCGUAAACUCCAAUCCUUCCUUGUUGGCCCAACGGUCUUCUCUAGGAUUUGCUUGAUCUCACGGUUGGAAACCUCGGCUUGGCCAUUAGUUUGAGGAUGAUAAGGCGUAGAAACCUUAUGAUUGACAUUGUAUUUCCUUAAUAACGCCUCAAUGGUCCGGUUGCAAAAGUGUGACCCUCCAUCACUAAUGAUCACUCGUGACAUGCCAAACCUUGCAAAAAUGUUAGUUCUAAUAAAAUCUGCAACCACUUUAGAAUCAUUAGUCCGGGUGGCCUUUGCUUCCACCCACUUUGACACAUAAUCAACCGCAAGCAAAAUAUAUAUAAAACCAUACGAAGAAGGAAAGGGACCCAUGAAAUCAAUACCCCAAACAUCGAAAAUUUCAACAUUUAGGAUAGAAACCUGCGGCAUUUGGUCCCUAGCACCAAUGUUACCCAUUCGUUGGCAUUUAUCACAUGUUAAGCAAAAAGUUCUAGCAUCCUUAAAAAUACUAGGCCAAUAAAAUCCACAUUGUAAUACCUUAAGGGCAGUUCUUUGUGUGCCAAAGUGCCCACCACAUGCAUAUGUGUGACAAAAACUUAAAAUUGAACGAAAUUCAGAAUCAAGCACACAACGACGAACAAUUUGAUCCGGGCAAAAUUUCCACAAAUAUGGGUCAUCCCACACAUAAAACCGUGCAUCAUGCCUAAGUUUCACGUUGGUGCCUAGUGUAAGUGCUUGGAAUUCUUUUUGUCACCAAAAAGUUCACCAAAUCAGCAUACCAAGGUUCACUAACCUUUAUGGACAUCAAUUGUUCAUCGGGGAAUGUCUCCAAAAUCGGCAAAGCCUCCUCAUUAUGCACCAUUCGGCUCAAGUGGUCAGCCACUACGUUCUCACUUCCCUUCUUGUCACGAAUCUCUAUGUCGAACUCUUGAAGUAGCAACAUCCACCGAAUUAGCCGUGGCUUGGCCUCCUUUUUGGUGAGCAAGUACUUCAAUGCUGCAUGGUCAGUGAAAACAAUUAUUUUAGUACCAAUUAGAUAUGAUCUAAACUUAUCUAAAGCAAAAACAACGGCAAGAAGUUCUUUUUCUGUAGUGGAAUAGUUCAAUUGUGCAUCAUUCAACGUCCGUGAGGCAUAGUAGAUGACGUGUGGCUUUUUGUCCUUCCUUUGUCCCAAAACAGCCCCUAAAGCGUAGUCGGAUGCAUCGCACAUAAGCUCGAAAGGUAGGCUCCAAUCUGGUGGAACAAUGAUGGGUGCCGUGGUUAACAACUCCUUGAGUUGAUUGAAUGAUGCCGUGCACUCCUUGGUGAAUUCAAACGCCACUUCUUUUUGUAGGAGACGGCAAAGAGGUUGUGCUAUCUUCGAAAAAUCUUUGAUAAACCUACGAUAAAAUCCUGCAUGACCAAGAAACGAACGAACCUCCCUAACCGAAGUCGGAGAGGGUAAGUGACGUACUAGAUCUAUUUUGGAUUUAUCCACCUCAAUGCCGUUUUCAGAGAUAAUAUGCCCUAAAAACUAUGCCUUGUUUUACCAUAAAGUGACACUUUUCCCAAUUUAAAACGAGGUUAGUUUCCAUGCAUCGUUUUAAGAUUAAUGUGAGAUUCUCCAAGCAACCAUCAAACGAAUCGCCAAAGACACUAAAAUCAUCCAUAAAUACCUCAAUAAUUUUCUCAAUAAAAUCUGAAAAAAUACUUACCAUGCAUCGUUGGAACGUGGCCGGUGCAUUGCAUAAACCGAAUGGCAUGCGGCGGUAAGCAAAAGUACCAAAUGGGCACGUGAAGGUGGUUUUUUCUUGGUCUUCCGGAGCUAUGACAAUUUGAUUAUAUCCCGAAUAACCGUCAAGAAAACAAUAAAAAGAAUGACCGGCUAACCUUUCUAGCAUUUGAUCGAUGAAUGGUAGUGGAAAGUGGUCCUUCCUUGUGGUGUUGUUGAGCUUCCUAUAAUCAAUGCAUACUCUCCAACCUGUUUGAAUACGGGUUGGUACAAGCUCGUCCUCGGCAUUCUUCACCACAGUGACUCCGGACUUCUUUGGGACAACUUGAACCGGUGAGACCCAACGGCUAUCCGAAAUUGGAUAAAUCACCCCACAAUCAAGAAGCUUUAUAAUCUCCUUUUUCACGACUUCCAUCAUUGGAGGGUUGAGUCGGCGUUGAGCCUCUCGAGUUGGUUUAGCCCCCUCCUCUAGAAAGAUGCGAUGCAUGCACGUUGUAGGGCUAAUUCCCUUAAUAUCGGCCAAUGUCCAUCCGAUGGCUGUUUUGUGCUCUUUCAACACCCGAAUCAACUUUUCUUCCUCUAAUGCCGUGAGUGAUGAAGAGACAAUGAUGGGCAACGUCUCUUCCUCUCCCAAGAAUGCAUACUUUUAAAUGAUCCGGCAACGGUUUAAGCUCAAGAACGGGGGCCUGAAUCACAGAAGGUAACAACGUAUUAGUGGAAACGGGAAUUGGAAUUGGGUUAGACGGCUUACCAUGAUGUUUUGGCAAUGAUUCCAAGGCAGCCACAAGCUCGGCAUGUUCAUCAUUUGGUACGGCCAUGUUGGGUUUUGUGCCAAAUCCUUGUGCAAUUGUCGUUUCGAGUGGAUCGUCUUCCAACAUAUCAAGAUAAUCCUGCGCCAAUUCAUCCAAUAUAUCAAUAGAAAAACAAGAAUGAUCAUCUUUAGGAAAUUUCAUAGCUUCAGAAAUGUUAAAGUUAAUAAUCUCCCCAUCAAAUUCCAUUGUCAACGUCCCUUUGAACACAUCGAUCUUGGUGCGUGCUGUUUUCAUGAAUGGCCUCCCAAGUAGAAUCGGCAAUGGGGUGACAUUUGGUGAUUCCUCCAUCUCUAAAACGUAGAAAUCCGCUGGAAAUAUCAAGUUAUCCACCUGCACCAAUACAUCCUCCAAAACUCCUUUCGGAUAUGCAUUAGAACGAUCGGCUAAUUGAAUUAUAACACCAUCGUUUUUAAGUUCUCCUAAGUUCAUUGAUGCAUAAAUUGAGUAUGGCAUGACGUUAAUUGAGGCUCCUAGAUCUAACAUAGCAUGUUCAAACUUGGUAUUGCCUAUAACACAUGGAAUUGUAAAACUUCCCGGAUCUUUGCAUUUAGGAGGUAAUUUUCUUUGCAAAACAGCAGAAACAUUCUCACUUACCUGGACAACCUCUUUGUUUGAAAUUCUCUUUUUUGUUGUACAUAGUUCCUUUAAAAACUUGGCGUACCUAGGUACUUGCUUAAUUGCGUCAAGGAAAGGUAUAUUGACUUGCACUUUCCGGAACGUCUCUAGAAUGUCCUUUUCAGCUUCUUCUUUCUUUGUUUGCUUGAACCUACUAGGAAAGGGGACAUUCAAAGGAAAAUCAUUAGUAGGAAUGGAAUUGGACACGGUUGUACCUUUAUUUGGCAGAUUGGAUGGCUUAGGAGCCAUGGAGACUUGCGGCAAAGGAACCUCUUUCCUUACCGUGGCCAACCCUUGUUCCUCCUCUUCAAGUAUCACUUCCUCCACCUUGUUUAGGGCUGUUCCAACUUGUUUCCCGCUUCUUAACAUGAUUGCCUUGGCAGAUUCAAAGCCUCCUUUUGGAUUUGCAAUGGUUGAGCUAGGCAACUUGCCUUGCUCUCGAAACUGCCCCAUGAACUCGGCAAUUUGCCCUACUUGUUCUCCAACUCGUCCACCUUUUUGUCCCUAUUUUGCAUUCCCUGUGCCAUAGAAGUUAGUAAAUUAAAAAUUUGAUCAUUAUCAAUAGACGAACCUGAUUUUUGGGCAGGUUGUGCUUGGGGUUGAGUUGGUGCAAACGGCUUUUGAUAGAAACCCGGGGGUUGUUGCCUCAAUCCGCUUUGUUGUUGGCCUUGUUGGGGUUCUCGCCAUUUGAAAUUUGGAUGAUCACGCCAACCGGGAUUGUAAGUAUUGGAAAAGGGGUCAUUCCUUGGUUGGUAUUGGUUGCCAAAUCCCACGGCAUUGAGGGUCUCCCACCCUCCAUUUUCUAUCAACUGUGGGCACUUGUCCGUAAGGUGGCCUUGCAUGGAACACACGCCACAAAGCUGCCACGUUUUGCACUUUUGGACCUUCCACUACCUGAGAAAGCAAAGUAGUAAGGUUAGCCAUUUGAUUUUGAAGUUCGGUUAUGGCACUUACCUCAUUGACUUGAUGUGGUCGUGGGUUACUCCUUUGUCCAACGCCUUCGUAUUGUUGAGCAUUCAAUGCACGGUUGGAAAUUAAAGUCUUUGCUGCCGUGGGGGUCUUGUCCACCAAGGCUCCUCCCGCCGAGGCAUCUAGCAUUUGACGUUCGAUAGGUAGUAGCCCCUCGUAGAAGUAUUGCAAAAGAAGUUCCUCCUUCAUCUGAUGCUGUGGACAAGAAGCAACAAGAGAUUUAAAACGUUCAUAAUAAGUAGGAAAAGAUUCACCUUCCUCUUGUUGAAUUCCACUUAUCCUUUUCCGUAGGAGGAUGACUCGAGAAGUUGGGAAAAACUUCUCUAAGAAGGCCCGUUUCAUGCUUUCCCAUGAUGUGACGGUUCCGGGCGCCAAUUCGUACAACCAAUCCUUCGCCUUUUCCAAGAGAGAAAAAGGGAAGGCUUUCAUCUUCAAAAUACUCCCAUCGACAUUGACGGGGGUCAUGCUCGAACAUACUACCUCGAAUUCUUUCAAGUGUUUGUUAGGAUCUUCCAUGGACAACCCAUGGUACUUCGGAAUGUGGUGUAACAAGCUUGACUUCAAUUCAAAUUCUUCUGUCUUUCCUCGGGCUGCUGCGGGGUAUUGGAUACAUAGAGGCGCGGCAUUGUCCAAUCCCGAGGCUGAAAGUUCUUUGAUUGUUCGAUUGUCCACCUCCAUGUCUUUUUCUGCCUCCUCCUUUUCUUCAAAUUCGGAUUCAGAACUAGAACUAAGUGGAUUAGGUUCUGGUUCUUUCCUUUUCCUUCUCAAAGUUCGUUCAAAAUUGUCGUCAAACUUCGAUAUGUGUGCACGAACUGGUUGAGAACUACGAGUCAUAAACUAGUACCUUAAAUAAACAAAAUCAAAUAAAAUUAAAACUAAAAUUAAAACACACAAAAAAGAAAUAAAAAGAAACAAUGGGGAUUUAGCAAAGUUGCUAAUCCCCGGCAACGGCGCCAAAAUUUGAUGCGAAUAAUAUAAGCACACUCAAAUUAAACCCUCUUUUUGACAAUUGUAGCAAAGUAUGUAAGUAGGGAUCGUUCUAAACCGGGGAUUAGGAGGGCUUGCUAAAACCUCUAAACUGACUCAAAAACAAAAAGAAACAAAGUUAAAAAUGUAAACAAAAGAUUUUAAAACAAGAAAGUAAAAGGGGGAUUUGAGUUUGGUGAAGUUGAAAGUAAAAACGAAUGAACUAAAAACUUAAAUAGAUUUUAAACAAAUUUGGGUUGAAUGGAUAAUGGAAGGCUAGCUAAGGGGUUCUUCUCCACACAUGUCUUGCUUGCAUACAAAAUGAUUUUCCAAUUGCUCUUCUAUAAGUUAUGAAUACUCAACGCCCCAAAUUAACCGUGAAUUGCACUAAUUAACUCUCAGUUUUUUCAACAAGUUAUUAGAUUGGAUGAUUGCAUACGACAACCCAAAACAUUCCCUACAAGUUCCCUACAUGAAUUGCAUAAUAGAGAUACAAGCAAGAAUCAUUAAGUUCUAUGAAAAACAUAAGUAUUGACGAGGCACUCGUUACUAUGAUUUGCAUGAAACUUAUGCCAAGAAUUUACUUAACGUGAUUGUGACUAGCAACCUUCACUACUUGUGAAUAUAAGUUCAUAACGAUUAGGUGAAACUCCCUUAUAUUCUAGCGUCAAAUUCAUGCAUGAAAAUUAAGCGUGCACUCUCAACCAACAUACACAAAUUAGUUUUUAUACGAACGGAUAAGUAAAUUGAAUUCACAAUUCAAGAAACGCAAUUGGAAGUAAUCAAAUCAUAUAGCAAGCAUUAACAUGGUUUUGAAUCCCCCCCUAGCCAAGGGGGGUUUAGUUCCUCAUUAUUACAAAACAAAGAUAAACAAAUUUAACCAUUGAAAAAACAAAGGGAAGAAAGCACCUAAACGUUCCAACGAUCCAUGUUGGAUAGCAAGCGCGUCCAAGGACUUUUCUCCUUCUCCUUGCCGCCACAACAAGGUUGGAAUGAUGUUGAAGGGUUGGUUAUUUGGAGGAAUGGAUGGGAAGGGGUUUAGAUAUGUAGGAGAGGCAAGGAAAGGCUUGGAGAAUGGUUAAUUUUUGGAUGAAUUGAAUGAGGUUGUUGCCAUGGUAUUUAUAGGAAAAGGAUGGACUUGUUUAACACAAAAUUAUGGUGGAAUUGAGUAGGUGAGCAAGGCAAAGAGUGGGAAUUGUUGGUGGGUUAGGUAUUGAGUCAUCCAUUCACAUGUCAUGGUGAGCUAAGCAUUGCAUCAUCACUCAUAUUUCUGGUUGCUUUGAAGUAAAAGCCACGGCAUUGAGGUUUUUGAGUGAAGUUUUGGCCAAUCCUUCUAGAAACCUAUCCCUUCUUGCAAUUUGUAUUUGUUUCACCACAUUUUUAGCAUGUUCCUAGCCUCAUUUGACUUCAAAUUCGUCCAUCCUCAUGUCUCCAUGUUUGCACCAUCCAAUCAUGGCCCAAAAAUGCUCCAAAAUGCAUCUUCUUGCAUCCUUGGCCCAUAGAACCUACAAACACCCAAAAAUGGCUUAAACUACUAACAUAACUAAGAACUAAGAACAUAAAUGCACGAAAACAAACAUACUAAGUCGCAUAAAUAUGCUCCUAUCAAGCACCUAUUAUUUAUGUACUGAGGAGCGAACCCUUAUUCUAUGAAAGAGACUCCCUCACUUUCAUUAGAGAGCACCCACUAUUUAUGUACUGAGGAGCGAACCCUUAUUCUAUAAAAGGGACUUUCUCACUUUCAUUAGAGAGCACCCAUCAUUCAUGUACUGAGGAGCGAACCCUUAUUUUAUAAAAGAGACUCCCUCACCAUCAUUAAAGAGCAUGGGCGCCUGCUAAGCAACCGUCUCACCACGAGCAUCACUCCUAAUCCAUCACUUAUGUAUUGAGGAGCGAUCAUUUAUUCUAUAAAAAGGGACUCCCUCACUAUCAUUAAAGAGCAUCGCCGCCUACUGAGCAACCGCCUCGCCGUGAGCAUCAACUCUAGCCCAUCAUUUAUGUAUGGAUGAGCUAGCCCUUAUUCUAUAAAAGAGACUCCCUCACCUUUAACGCCACAAGCCGAGCCAACCAAGGCAACAUAAGCCACAAGCCGAGCAGCCUCGCAACAUGUGCUACUUCUAGUUGAGCUUCAUUUCACAUUGAGCACCGCCUCAUAUCGAGUAUCAGUUCUGGAUGACAUCUAGUUACUUCGGCCCACACAUGGACUGAAUUUCAAGUCUCCAGCCAAAAGACUCUCUUGACUGAAGACUUGGGGGACUACUAUUUAUACCAUACUUAGGGCCUCUGUAUUUAGACCUCGUAUAAAUACUCAGGGGACUCAAGUGUAAUUAUGUAAUAAAUGAUGGGGCAAAUAUGUAAUAAGUGAGGAGCCCUUAGUCUAUAAAAGGGACUCCUCACCCUCACAAUCAGAGGCCCUCAUCCUUACAUACAGAAGCUCUCUUUCCCUCACAACCCUCUCACAAACAGAGAAAUACAAUAUCAGUGUGGACGUAGCCCAAACAUUGGGGGUGAACCACGAUACAUCUUGUGUUCUUUACUUUCUUGCAGAUUCACGGUCGGAUUUACGUUGUUCCAAGACCCCUCCGGUUUUGUGCAUCAACACUACGUAAUAGGUUUGUCGAAACUCUACAUGUUAUAAAAAGCAUUUGUACGAUAAAAUCAUAAUUGAAGUGAUAUCAAAUUCACCUAAAGGUAAAAUCCGUAAAAGCUCAUAAGUCAAAAACACUAAUGUACUCAAUAGGGGCAUCAUAUUCGCCUGAAGGCAUAUCCAUCACCCAAGGGUGAAGCUGUAUGACACCGGGUUACGCCAGUGAAGAAACAUGGUAGAUCUAUACCCAUCUGAGGCCGUGUCAUGGUCGGAGUUGGCCCAAAAAAUUACAUGAAGAUGGCCUGACGGCCAUGGUUCUACUUUUUCAGAAAACUAGGAAAUCUUCCUCGAGGUUUUUCUGCACUUAAACACCACCAAAACAUGCAUUCAAAAUUAAAAAUCAUCACUAAAGGUAGAUUGAGGGAAAAACAAUGCUUACCCUAGAUCAGGCAGCCGAGAAAUCUCAUUGGAGUUCAAUGAAGAAGACAGUGAACAGUGGCAUAAGCCACUGAGCAAUGCCAAGCCUUGGUUCAAUAAUGUUAUUUCUCGGUUAGUGGUUCGUGACUGGUCUGUGUUUGUAGUGGAGGUGCUCGUCGGAGUAGUGAAGGUGAUGAUAGUGUUGUUUCUCUGCACUUGUAGAGAAAUGAGGACGAGAAGGAGCUGAGAGAAAGAGAGAGUGUAAAGGGUAGAGAGUAAGGAGAGUUUUUGUGAGUGAGAAGUGAGGGAAAAAGAGAGUGACAGUAUGAGAGGGAGACAUGGAGAGGGGACACGGGAGAUAGGGGAAAGAAUGGGGCAUGGGCCCCACUUGGCACAUAGCUCAAUCCACAAAAAGAAGAAACAAAAAAUAUCUCAUGUAAAUGUGAAAUUACCAAUGCUCUUCACAUUAAAAAAUUCGUAAAAUCUUCGUCGUAACUUCUAAUUCAGUUCUGCUUGUGCCCACGCGUUCGUAUCAUCAAGUACUCUAAAAAUAUAUGUGUAUCAUUGGUUAUGCCUAGAUAAGUAUUAAUUAGGCACAAAGCCAAAUUAAUAUAAUACUAAUGUAGACGGGCCUACUUGCCCACUUGAUUAAUGAACCCAAUGAAUAAGCUAUUGAAAUUACAGUUUGUAUCUAGCAAUACCGAUAACUCACUGUUGUCUCAAUAAACAAGUAAUAAAUUCCUAAGAGUACAAAAUUACCAUUUUGCCCCUUAUUGGGAAACGUGCCUAAAUAGUCCAAUAUAUACCUCGUUUGCGCUCAUGUGUUUGUAAGGACACGUACUACCUGAAAUAUGGGCAAGGUGAUAUAGAGUGUUAAGGACUCAAACGUCCACGUAGGAUUUCCACCUAUCAGGGGCAUAUUCAUAAUUUUACCAAGGUUAGGGAGUAAAAUAAUAUUAAACUCGGGAUGGGACGUCACAUGGAAUGCCUCUAUAAGUCUUCUCAGCCCAUAGAAGGGAGGAAUGCUGUGGCAAGCCACCAGCUGGUCUUAAAAAAAAUUAAAAAAAAAAAAGAAAAAAACUGGAUAAGCAAUUCUCGUCCCUCUUACCAGAUACCUUAAUGUGUUACUUAUGUAAUUGCUUUAACAUGAAUGGUGUUGAAUCAUAAUCUUUGUCAUGCAGUUACGUAUAUAUAUAAUCUAUUAUGAAGAUUAUAUUAUAUGAAAUUAUAGAGCCAAGCGUAUUAUAACAUUUUGUACAGAAAUAAAAAUCAUGAUUGUUGGAAUCAAAUAUGCGCACAUUCACGGACAUAGGUUAAAUCUAGUUGGAAUUGCCCAUUAUCUCUAACAAGGAAAGAAUAUGGUUGAUUGGAGGGUGUGGUUAAAUCCGAAUUGGACUACCUACAUAUCUCCGGGAGGAACAAAAUGUUUUUUUUUUUUAACCAAGUGUUUGUUUAAGACAAAAUAAUAGAAGUCACCCAUGUUAAAAGGAAGAAAAUGCGAAUCGGUUAACCGGUUCUACAAUCAUUGGUGCUAAAUUAAUCAAUUAUGUCGGAAUGGUGUCAGAUUAGGACCUUGACCCAAUCCUUCUUAGUUUAGUAGUAUACAAUUAUGAAUAUUUUAUUAUGUAGAUACAAGUUUAGUGUACAUGGAUAAGUGACUUGAUUCCUAGCACUGGUAAAUCACACGAUGAUUGUCAAGGGAAACUAAAAUACCUUUGUAAGUCUUUUCGGCCCCUAUAUGAAUGGAAAUGUUGUGGCAGCUGGUCUUCUUUUUUAAAGAAAAAAUUGGAUAAGCGAUGCUCGUCCCUCCUAUCACAUACCCUAAUGUGUUACUUACGUAAUUGUUUUAACGUGAAUGGUACUGAAUCAUAAUCUUUAUCAUGCAGUUAAGUGUGUGUGUGUAUAAAAUCUAUUAUCAAGAUUUUAUUAUGUGAAAUUAUAGAGCCAAUCAUGAUCUAACAUUCUAUGCGGAAAUUGAAAUUAUGAUUGUUGGAACCAAAUAUGCGCGCCUCCACUGACGGAGGUGAAACCAGUCAGAAUUGCCCAUGACCUCUAAUGAGGGGAGAAUGGAGUUGACCGGAGGGUGUGGUUGAAUCCAAAUUAAACUGCCUACAUAUUUGUGAGAGGAAGAAAAUGUUUUUUUUUUAAAAAAAAAAAAAAUCAUUUAUGCCACCCAUGAUAAAAAAAAAGUAAGAAAAUGAUGCGAACCGGUUCUACAACCAUUGGUGCUAAACUAAUCAAUUAUGUGGGAAUGGUGUUGAAUUAAGCCCUUGUCCCAAACCUUAUUCAGUUUAGUAUUAUAUAAUUACGAAUAUUUUAUUAUGCAGAUACAAGUUGCGUUUAAAUGGAUAAGCAAUUGUGGAUUCGCUUCCUCACACUCGUAAAUCAUACGACGAUGGUUAAGAAAGGCUGAAAUUUCUCUAUGAAUCUUCUUGGCCCUUAGAAGAAUGCUAUGGCGAAACCACUAGUUGGUUCCCUUUUUAAAGAAAAAAAUUGGAUAAGCAAUGCUCGUCCCUCCUAUCACAUACCCUAAUACAUUACUUACGUAAGUGCUUUAACGUGAAUGAUGCUGAGUCAUAAUCUUUGUCAAGAAUUUAAGUAUAUAUAUAACCUAUUAUCAAGAUUUUAUUAUGUGAAAUAUAGAGCCAAGCGUAUUCUAACAUUCUAUGCAGAACUUGAAAUUAUGAUUGUUUGAAUCAAAUACGUGCACAUCCACGGACGGAGGUGAAAUCCAGUCGGAAUUGUCCACGAUCUUUGAUGAAGGGAGAAUGGGGUUGAUUGGAUGGUGGUUGAAUUUGGACUGCCUACAUUUCUCUGGGAGGAAGAAAAUGUUUUUUUAACCAAAUGUUUGCUUAAGACAAAAUAACAAAAGUCACCCAUGACAAAAGGAAGAAAAUGAUGCAAACCGGUUCUACAAUCAUUGGUGCUAAAUUAAUCAAUUAUGUCGGAAUGGUGUCAAAUUAAGACUUUGACCCAAUCCUUACUUAGUUUAGUAGUAUACAAUUAUGAAUAUUUUAUUAUGUAGAUACAAGUUUGGUUUAUAUGGAUAAGCGACUCUGGAUUCGAUUCUUGGCACUGGUAAAUCACAUGAUAAUUGUCAAGGGAGUCUUAAAUGUAUUUGUGAAUCUUUUCGGCCCCUAAAAGAGUAUAAAUGUUAUGGGAGCUGGUCUUCUUUUUUAAAGAAAAAAAGUGGAUAAGCGAUGCUCAUCCAUCCUAUCACAUAAUGUAAUACCCUGAAAAUUUAAAUAUAUGAUUAUGUGGAGAGAAAAUCGAAAAAUAAAUCAAUUUAUGGUUAUGAAAAUUUAAUUGAAAAUUUUAAAGUUUUGUUUCUGGAAAUUACUAUAAUUUACGUUGUAAAAUUUUAACGAUAACGGGCCCUAGUUGGCUUAACAUAAUUAUACGGGGAUGCAUUUUAUCCUCAUGUAUUUUAUCUUAAUUCUUGACGUAGUUGGUUUGAGCUCGAUCCUCUGAAUGCAUAGGCGCAAAUCGUUCGUGAAACGGAAUUAUAAUGAAAAAGUUAUUAACGUUCAAAGUUAGGGACAAAAUAGUCAUUUAAUUGUAAAAUUUGGAAUGCUCCAGAUUUGUGGGAGAUUUGAUUAAGAGCCACGUGUGUGGCUGUGAUGAAAAGAAAAGGAGAGUGCGGGAGAGAAAAGGAGGGGAACGGACCAAUAGGGAGGAGGCAAAGGGGGGAAAGGAGAGAAGAAGAAAAUGGGGAGAAACGGGCUAACCUGUAUACCCCUUCGGACUCGACCUGUGCGCCACCUUUUCGACGCUUUUCCGUCGGUUUUCCAGUGAUUCAAAGCCUGCCGCCACAUGAAGACUAAGCAUCAUCCUUCCUUACUCCAUCUCCACCCAAAAUUAAAAGGAAAUUGGUGGUGUUUUUGUAGAGAAAUGCAUCGGUGGGUGCGGCGGGCAUUGGGGGUGAUCCACUAAAUCCGAAGGUAACUCCAGCAACCACCACCACCUAAAGACUCCCCUCAAUCUCAGGAACAAAGCCCAUGCAUUGGUUGGGGCAUCAAAGUUGUUUUGGAGUUGAAUCAAGAACAUCAAAAAUCAAGGGUUUCCUGCGGUUCAUGGGAAAUUUUGUGUUUCCCAGCCAAAUUGGACUUGGCCGCAGGUAUGAAACUUGCUCCACUAAUUGAGAUCUACAACCUUGUAAAAUUUGGUAAUUUUUUAAAUAGUUGAAUUUUCCGAAGAGUCGGGGCGGCCGACCGCCACCCGCGGCGGCACCUGCGGUAGCGCUUUGGCUAGUGGGCCGACGAUGCCUUUCUAAGUUCAAUUAGAUGUCCUGAAUCUGUAUUUGAUAUUCGUAUGAUGUGAUUUGAUCGUUUGAACCUAAUUUCACUAUGAUACACUACUUGAUCAAAAUAUGAAUCGACGAUCCGACUGUUGGAUCGUCUCCAAACUUUAAUACAAAAUAGAACGUAAUAUUUGAGGAUAUUAGGAACUGAUGGAUCAGGAAUCCGACCUACGGAUCUUCCUGAAUUGGAUUUCUAAGUUUGUAAAACAAAUUGUUGAUCACCACAUAAUUCUAGAAAUUGACGGAGAUCCGACCGUCGGAUCGUGAUGGAAUUUUAGUAUGUUGUUUUAGUGGAAUAAUGUGUAUUUUAGAAGAUUACGGAUCCAAAAUCCAAUGUGUGGAUCUUCUGGAUCAAAUUACGUAGGGAUGAGGACCCCAUUGUUUAUCGAGAGUUGACUUUUGGUCAACAUGUCUCGAAACAUUCUAAAUACUAAAAUUAGUACUACGGGAGACUAAGUGAAGUUUGGGGGGCCUACAUCGGUUAGAGACUGACUUGAAUAUAUGUGAGAUGGUUAUUACCUUAAUUUCUUAUAUUAAUAUCAUUUGUGAAUAUGACUCGGUUUUAUGAAUAUGAUUUCUAUUGAAAUGUGAUUUUUAUAUGUUUAGCCAUAGACCUAUGAUUAUUAAACAUGAUUUGGAUUGUGUAUUGAUGAUGAUGAUGAUUGUGUUAUAUGUGUGUUCAAUUAUCUUUUAGUAAAGUGAAUGUGAAUCUUUUAGUAAAGUGAAUGUGAAUUACGAAUGGCUUGACCCCUCCGAAGGGUAUGAGGCAGUCUAACAAGAAGUUAGGUGCAUCCAUAAAAUAAACGAGGUUAAAGAAUUGAGAAUAUAAUUGUAUGUUUUGGUAAGAGAAUUAUGGUUAUACAUCAUGUGUGGAAUUAAGGAAUUUAAUUAAAAGAUCGCAAUUAAUGGUAGUAAAUUAAACAAGAGUUUAGUUUGGGCCUACCAUCGAUAUUAAUUUCUGAAAUAAAUAUUUCGGAGUGGGGCGUUACACAUACCCUAAUGUGUUACUUAAGUAAUUGCUUAAACGUGAAUGGUACUGAAUCAUAAUCUUUAUCGCGCAGUUAAGGGUGCGUGUAUAUAAAUAUAUAUAUACAUAUAUAUAUAUAUAUAUAAUCUAUUAUCAAGAUUUUAUUAUGUGAAAUUAUAGAACCAAUCGUAUACUAACAUUAUGUCCUGAAAUUGAAAUUAUGAUUGUUGGAACCAAAUAUGCGCACCUCCACUGACGGAGGUGAAAUCCAGUCGGAAUUGCCCAUGACCUCUAAUAAGGGGAGAAUGGGGUUGAUUGGAGGGUGUGGUUGAAUCCAAAUUAGACUGCCUACAUAUCUGUGAGAGGAAUAAAAUGUUUUUAUUUAUUUAUUUAUUUUUAUUUAAAAAAAAAAAACCAAAUGUCUGAUUAAGACAAAAUAAUAGAUGUCACCCAUGAUAAAAGUACGAAAACGAUGCAAACCGGUUCUACAACCGUUGGUGCUAAACUAAUCAAUUAUGUGGGAAUGGUGUUAAAUUAAUACCUUGUCCCAAUCCUUAUUUAGUUUAGUAUUAUAUAAUUAUGAAUAUUUAAUUAUGUAGAUAAAAGUUGGGUUUAGAUGAAUAAGCGAUUUUGAAUUCGAUUUCUGGCACUGGUAAAUUAUAUGAUAGUAAUCAAGGGAGACUGAAAUACCUCCGUGAGUCUUCUCGACCCCUAGAAAGGUGGACUAUUGUGGCAAAGCCACCAUUGAUCUCAUUUUUAAAGAAAAAAAUGGAUAAGUGGUGCUUGUCCCUCCUAUCACAUAUCCUAAUGUGUUACUUAUGUAAUUGCUUUAACGUGAAUGGUAAUCAUCAUUUUUGUCACGAAUUUAAGUAUAUACAUAAUCUAUUAUCAAGAUUUUAUUAUAUGAAAUUAUAGAGCCAGAGCCAUGUGUAUUCUAUCAUUCUGUGCAUAAAUUGAAAUUAUGGUUCUUGGAGCCAAAUAAGCGCACAUCCAAAGAUGGGGUUGAUUGCAGGGUAUCGUUGAAAUCACAUUGGUGCACCCUUCCAUUUGAAUCCUUGUUCUGCAAGAAAAGUUGCAAAAGAAAAGGAAACUAAAUCCUAAAGAUUAAAAAUCCUAACUUACCUAAAAUAAGACUUCAAGAAUAUUUACAAUUAAGACUCAAAUCAAUAGGUUUAGGCCUUAUAAUGUAUGUGUUUUAGAUGUAUGUGUGUGAAGAGAGAGCGAGAGAGAGGGGAAAGAAGGGAGAGGGGGUGAGUUUAACUAAAAUUUUAGGAAGGAUUUCAGGUCAUCUGAGGAGGGAGGAAGGGAGGGAGGGAGAGAGGAAAAAGGGCGGAGGGUGCGUGGGUUUAACUGAAAUUUUAGGAAGGAUUUCAGUUCAUUUGAGGAUAGCCGAGUUCUGGACUUCAUUAUCUGUUUAACUACAAGUUAUAGUAUUCAUUUUUCAGUCUUUGAUGCUUAUAUGGUUGAGGCUUUCUAACAGAAACUUGGAGUUGAAGAGAACAAAAACUUGAUUUUCCUAGUUCAUGUUUAGCCAGGCUAUGGAGAGUGUGCUAGUUGGAAAUUUGUUGGCGAACAGGACUUCAGAAACUUCAGUAAAAUGGAUGCACUGAAUGUACACGUUUUCCUUAUGAUCUGAAUUGCUUGAUCUUAAUGUACUCUUUUUUCUUACGAUUAUGAGCAUUUUUGUCAUUGAAUUUUUGCUACCUUACUAGGUUUUAACGAGGCACCAUCCUGGGCUGGUUAUAUCCUUGUGAGUUUUUCUACUUUCAUAAAUACGUAUAGUUCUAACAUUAUGCAUACUUUUCAUAUUUCUCCUUAGUCUAUAAGUUUUUCUCCUACAUUGAGUUUUACCAUAGCUAGGUUUUAUGAGUUUUACAACCAAUGCAUCCUUCAAUUAAAAUGAAACUCAAAUUCGCUCAUUAUGCUGCUGACUUGACCAGCUGAACUUCCUCACUGAAGACCUGAUGCAACAUUUUGAUUGAGUACUUACACACUCAAAGGAGAGUGUUGUAGUUUUAAUUAGUUUAAGCAUCUGAUUGUAUAAAUCCUAUUGGGAUUCUAUGAUAUCUUUUAGAUAGUGUCCUGAUUCAAUCGUAAAUUAAACUAUCGAUAUUUUUGUUAAUGUCGAUACUUUAUAUAUGAAAUAUCUUCUCAUAGAGCAGUGAAUGAAUGGCUGAGAUUGAGCUCAUAGGCUCUCUCUCUCUCUCAUUGUUUGUAGCGACUGUACGCCUACUGUUACAUUGUUGAAGGGAUAUACAGUGGAGAAACACAACUUGUGCUCUAAAAAAAAUACCAAAACUUCAUAAUCUUCCUCCAAUUUCAUUUCUGAAAUUAUCUACAAAACACACAUAAACACACAAUUAAACACUUAAUGAGGUCAUCACCUAGUCUUGCAUACGAUUGACAUCAUUGUCAUACUUACUUGAACAUGUCAUAAGAUUGGCUAUUUCCAUUGUCAUACUCACUUGAACGUGCCAUAAGAUUGGAAAAUUUAUUGACUAAAUUUUCCUGCUCCUGGUAAACCCCUAUUUUCUGCACCCUGAGAUGAAUAUCAUCAGUACUCCUGUGUCGUGAUAAGUGUGCACCAACAUUUAUCCUUGCCCCACCGUUCACAUUGAGCUUAUUGUUUGAUAAAUGUCCCAGCCAAAUAUAACUUUCAUGGCGAUUUAUUACGGUUGCAUACAGAGGGGUUGAAAACUCAGUGUGCUUGGAUUUGGAGUCGUCUGAAGAAUAAACGACGCACAGAGUCAAUGCUUUUGCAUCAUAGCCAAAACAUUGCGGCAUAAAUAUUUCAUCCUUCAGGUCAACGCAUGUAAACCCUGAUGGAAGAUCAUUUCCGGGGAGAAAAAGAUCACCAUUUCCGCUCGCGCUCCAUUCCUAUACCAUGGAGUAAGAUUUGUAAAAAAAGUUGAUACAUAUAAGCUGUAUACAGUUGGGUACAAACCGAGAUUAUAUAUAUACAUAGAGAGAGAGAGAGAGAUGACCUGUAGGAUUGCUUUUUUAAAAGCAGCAGUGAGAUUGGUGCACCCUUCCAUAUGAAUCCUUAUCAUAUUGUUUAACGACUUAUCCAAGCCUAGAAUCUCAGUGAGUUUGGGGGAGUGAUUCAGAUGCAGUUCUACCAUACUCGACAUUUUUGAAAAAUUUGGCAUCUCUUCCAAUGCAAUGCACUCAUCCGCUUUCAGGAUUUCCAAUUUUGUUGGUAAAUCUGGGAUUUUCUGAAGGUUUUGGCAAUUCGCAACAGAUAAAUACUUUAGGUUCUUCAAUUGUAUUAUGGAGUGGUGAAUCUUGGACAAACUCUUACAGGCUUCGAGUAUCAAUCUUUCAAUAUUUGGGAUUCUUGAAAAGUCUGGUGAUUCUUUCAGGUUAUCACAAGAACCAAUAUUGAGAAACUUCAACUUUUCAAGUGACUGUGAGACAAAAUGGGAAAGCAAAUAUCAAAAUUCAAUAGAAGAGAAAAAGCAUGAUGUUGGUAUUUAAAAAAUCUGUUGGAAAGAAUUGAUAGUUUGGUUGGGUAUGUAUUUUACCACGUUGUCAUUCCAGACUUGUAUAUUGCUACAACUCAGGUCGAUGUCAACUACGUUUGGUUGAUUAAAAUCCUCUGGGAUGGCCUGCUGAGGCAAGUCAGACAUACUUAACCAUCUUAACUCAUCGGGAAGAUGUUCGCAGUCUCCAGUGAACUUUACGCCUUUUAUUUUGAGUAAUCUCAGGUUCCGCAUAUUUCUGAAUGUUUCUGUACUGAAGCUAAGCUUGUCAGGUUCUGGAGAAUCUAAAGCGAUUCCUUCUAUUUCUUCCGUUCCCUGUUAGAAAGGAAAAGAAAAUAAAGUAAGACAAGGGUUAUUUUCUUAGACUUUAACCGGUGCAGAGCACCAAUACUGGAUCAAUGCCAUAGAGUUUGUUUAGACAUCAGUCUUGUUUUAACAAUCUAUAUUAGUCAUCUGUGUUACAGGGAUAAUUUUCAAAUAAUUCAGUAAAUAAAAUCAGCAUUUUUUUUCUAAUGCAAUUUGAUUGAGGAAGUACUUACACUUUUUUUCCUCAAAACGUUUAUUACAUCUUCAUGAUGCCACAAUCUACAGCGACUUUGAAGCUUCUUAGGGGAUCUAGCACGUACAAUUUCUCUGCCCAUGUCUCGAAUCAAACGGUGCAUCAUCAUCAGACUACCCUUUGGAUCAUCAGUUACAAGGCAUCGCUCCUUGAGUACUUCAAUAUCUGUUGUUGGCUCACAGUAACACCCAUCCAAUAUGGCCAUGACGCGGUCCUUGUCCAUUCCAGUAAAGAAACAGGAUACAUCAAGGAAUAUAUCCUCCACCUGGGCAACCUUAAGCCCGUCAUAACUUAUCUUAAGCUUUUCAUGAAUUUCCGGAUAAGGCUGUGAUUCGUUCCAUUUUUUCAAUGCACUUGUCCAUUCUUUCGGGGUUUUUUUAUGUAGGUAAGAACCUACAGCUUUAAGUGCAUGUGGUAAACCCCCACAAUAACGAACAGCUUCUCUUGAGACUUUGUGGAAUCCUUCAUUAGGAGAACUCUUUUGAAAGGCACGCCAACUAAGGAGCUCAAGAGCUUCAUCGUCAUUCAUUGCUGGCAGGGAACAUGCCUUAUCCACCACUUCAGGUGUCUUUAGCAAACUUUUAUCUCUUGUUGUUAUAACAAUUCUACUUCCUGGACCAAACGAGUCACGUUUUAUAGCCAAUGUAUCUAUCUGGGCCACAGAGUCUAUAUCAUCAAUAAUGACAAGAACCUUUAUUUGGCGAAGUCUUGUAUUUAUCUCCUUGGUCCCUUCAUCGGGCAUACCCACCUUUCUGUGGCCCAAUCUCAAGAUGUCAAACAGAAGUUUGUUUUGCGAAUCAACCAGUUUCUUAUCUUCUCUCACAUUCGGAAGAAAAGAUGCACCACUAAACCUGUGCUGGUAUUCGUUGAAAAUAGCUUUUGCAAUCGUUGACUUCCCUAGUCCGCCCAUCCCCCAAAUUCCGAUUAUGCGAACAUCAUUUGAUCCUUCAACAUCUAAAUAAUUACUGAUUUCUUGCACGCGAGAAUCUAUUCCAACUGGAUUUGUAGCUACAUUUAAGCAUGGUUUCUUCAGUAUUGUAGCGAUCUGGCCAACAACUUCCCUGAUAAAACUUCCUUCAUGCCUGGAAUGAAAAAUUCAUAACCAAGGAAAAGUAAGAUUUACUAUGAGACUGAAGGAUUAAAAUGUACCAAUAUACUAGUCAUCACCGAACAAACUGAUAUCAAGUGAGAUAGAUCAAGCGUUCAUAUAUUAAUCCUCAUAUCAGAGUUUCUAAGCUUUGCAAUUAAAUUUUGGAAAACAAAAUGAUUUAAAGAAUUACUUUGUCAAAGGGAAAUAAGCAAGUUAUUACCCGUCAGUCACUUGAAAGUCCUUGCCGCUCAACCCUGCAGCUGCAUGAAGGGCAUCUCUCCAGAUCCGGACCUUUUCCUUAAACUCUUGUUCAUCCCUCUGAAACUCUGCAGUUGCCUUAAAAUCAUUUCCCCACUUGCGGACCAUUUCUUCCUCAAACUUUUGUUCAUGGUUCUUGAACGCGGUUUCAAAACUACCAGUCUGAUGCCUGACAUCUGAAGUAUCAACAUCGAAAAAAAUCGGAAAAACAUGUUGACCCUGUGUUCUGCUGCACUCCAUGAUCUCCACCAGCUCGUCAAGACACCAUCUGGAUCCCGCAUACCCCUUUGAGAACAUGAUGACAGCAAGCCUGGACUCUUUGAUUGCUUGCUUCAGAUUUUCUUUUAUAACAUCCCCACAAAUCAAUCGGUCCUUGUCCCGAAAGACAUUGAACUUGUAGUCGUUUAAUGUAUGGUAGAGAUGGUCCGUGAUGCCCUUGCGUGUUUCGCCUCUAAAGCUCAAGAACACGUCGUACUUGCCGCCCGCGGUAUUCAUCUGUUGGCAAGUCAGCGAUUCUCUGAUGUCUGAUGGGCACUGCAAAAUGGCACCAGGGGCAGAUGGUUUUUGAAUUGAACUGGCAAAGUCAACUACUCCUAGUUUCAAGUCCACAAAAAAAACAAAAAAAAUGGUGUACGUUGUUAAUAAAAUGUACAGUACAAUCCUCAAAUUGAAAUAUGAAAAUUGUAAAAGCUGCUAGACCCAUUGAGAUCGUCUUCAACCUUUGGUUAAGAGUUAAAAUUUUUAACAUAUAAAAUUUAGAUUUUGUUACUUAAUAUUAUAUUCUAGUAGUAUUUUUAUUUACUGGUCAGUGAUAGGUUUUAAACUCGAUUCUCGUCAAAAGCAAAUUUGAACCACAUUAUUACUAGUUUAUUAUGAGGCUCAUCCUUUUAGUAUAAAUAAUAUCAUUUGUUAGAGAGUGGGGUCGAUAGGCCCAUCCACUUAGUAUAAAUAAUAUCAUUUAUUGGAGAGUGGGGUUAAUUUUGUUGGAGAAUGGGAUUGAUUGGAGAGUGUGAUUGAAUCGUAAUGAGGGUAGGUUUAGUAUUGAUGUACUUUAAAAAAAAAAACUGUUUUUGUGCUGUGAGAAUAAACUUAUUUUUGCUAUUUCGCAUUUUCAGUUUUUUUUUUUUCUUCAUACAAAACUGUGAAAAUAAGCUGUUUUUAAAUGUUUACCAAUUACUUUUUUGAGCUUAAUUUUUUUUUGAUAUUCAUAUUUUAUAAAAGUAAAUCAGUACCAAAUCAGUAUUUAAACUGUCUACAUAUUUCUAAAAGGAAAAAAUGUUUGCUUUUUUUUAAGCAAAUGUUUGUUUAAAACAAAAUAAUAGAUGUCGCCCCUGACAGAAGGAAGAAAAUGAUACGAACCGGUUCUCCUACCAUUGGUGCUAAAUUAUUCAAUUAUAUGGGAAUGGGGUUAAACUAUAAUUAUAAUAAAAGGGAGAUGGAGAAAAGAUAACGUGUCAUGAUGAUGAACAGGCAACCAAAUGGCGAUUUUCAGCAGCAGUACUCGCUGUCGUUCACCAUGAGCACAGCUGCCAUAAAUCCUAAAGCCACUCACGUGCCAUUCAAACAGAAAAGGCCAAACAAAAGCCUGCUCUUAUUUUCUUUGCUGCUGCUGGGCACCGAAAACAGAACAUGGGGAACAAGUGGACAACAAGUGGAUGAGAUGGGAAUCAAAAAGAGCAUCUAAAGCCUACUGCCAAAACCUCACGUAGCUUUCAAGCAAUAGUCACGAUUAGUAGUCACUAGUCGUGGCCGUUGUUUUUAUUAUUAUUACUCGCAUAUGGGGCACAUGAAAUUUUUUAAUUUUUUAUUUUUGAAGUAGAAGGAGGGAGGAAGAUAAUGAUAGAAAAUGUAGGAGUUGUUGCAGAUAUAAUUUAUUGAAUAGUUAUGGAGGUCAUAGAGAAAGAGAGGGGUGCAGCACAUAGAGAGAAAGAGAGAGAUGUAUAAUUGAGGGGUGUGUUCUAUUUCAUCUUAUUGUGUCUUUAUUUAUAACAGUAGAAAAGAUUAAUUUCUUACCUUUUUAGGAUUACAACUCUUAAUAGGUAAUCAACUCUUAACAAGAAUAUAAAAGAUAUUCCAAGAUAUACUAGGAUUUAUACAAUCACAUUACUAUUCUAAUAGGACUGCAACACUCUCUAUUGAGUGUGUAAAUACUCAAGUAAAUGACGCAUCAGGUCUUCAAUGAUGAAGUAAGUAUAGUUGAUGAAAUCAUUGGCACAAUGAGCGAACGCGAGUCUCAAAUUAACGGAAGAAUGCAUAAAAAAGUAAAACUCACAAACCCUCGAUAUGGUUAAACCCAAGGUGGGAGAAAAACCCAUAGACUAAGGAGAAAAGUGAGAAGUUGCAUUAAGUCAAAACUAUACGUCUUUUAGAUGCAAGUAGAAGAGCUCAUAAGGGUAUGAUCAGCUCAGGAUAGGUGCCUUGUUAAAACCUAGUUAGGUAGCAAAAACCUAGUGGGAAAAAUGCUCCUAAUCAUAGGGAAAAAGAGUAUAUUAAGAUCAAGUGAGUAUACUUCUGGAUACUCCUCCUGAGUUUGAGACAACUUCCAACUGAGAACUACAAGCACAUUGCAUAUGAAUAGUUAGGCAUACCAAUUCCUCAGACAAGCUUCUGGAAGGUUGACUUCGGUAGUGACUUCGUGUAGAGGUCGGCAAGGUUGUCUAGGAUUGGGUUGCAUGACUUCAAUCUCCUGAUGCUGUGCUGAUGUGAUGUACACGCAAUAUGUCUUGGUGUUGACUUCAUUGAUGUAUCAUGACUUGGUCGAGUUGAUACAUGUGGCAUAAUCUUCAUGGAUCGUCGUCAAGACUCAACGAUGGAUGAAAACACAACAAGUGCUUUGAAUAUGCUCAACAAGAACCUAACCAUGUCUCACUUGUGGCGUAAUGAAGUGAGGUGAGUCUUGGAACGAUUCAAAGAUUUCGCAACUAAGGUCAUAUCAUGGACCUCCAAGAUAUUGCGAAAUCCCUAACGGUAAAGACAUAACCAUUCGGGGAUUUUACCCUAUGCGGGUUUGAUAAGUAACAUGCGUCAACAUAAUAAAAAAGGCAAACAUCAUUCCGAGGAUCAGAGGAUUGGAUCCGCUAGAGAUGUGUCAGGAUUUGAUUUGCUCAAAUUCGUAGUACCUUCAGGGUACGUCUUUGAUACCAAUUCAGUGGUUGUGUGUAGGCGUGGUGCUGCAUCUUUACCAAGACCAACAGCGAAGGAGAUGUCUUGUCUAAUACAAUGAGCUAAGUACAACGAAGCGCAAAGUUGAACUCAGAUAUGGAAUUUCAGAUUCCAUAAUCUCUUCAAGGGUCUCGUUUGCAUAUAACGUAUGGACGAUCAAAGGUAUACUCAAAGGUAACACAUUCGGGAUGUAGUUUAAUUGGUAGACCAAGGUACCAUCAGAACAACGCUUGAACUUUAGGUCAAGGCAUAAACGAGUUUUCCCAAGAUCCUUCAUCUCAAAUUCCAUCUUAAGGUGCGAGACAGUUUUCUCAAGCUCUUCCAGAGUCUUAGUGAGAUUCGUGUCAACGACAUAAACUAUAACUCUAGUAAUUCGGAAUAAGACUUCAUAGUUUAACACGCAAGGGCAUAAUUCAUCCCUGACUGAUCAAAUAAUCACUUAGACGGGUAUACCACAUCCAUCGGAUUGUAAGUGAAAGCCUAAAACAAGUUAAGAGGGUGUUUUGUGGUUUGAAACUAUUUGAACCAGUCCAUGUAAUUCUUCGGAAACUUACAUGUAAAUCUCCAUAUCAAUAUACUAACCACAUUUCAUAAUGCUGCUAUCAAUCACAAGACAUUUUAGGAGAAACCUUGCGCUGUAAGGUGUGCAUCAUAUUGCACUAUUUCAUUCAUCUCAUAACGCUUCAUUUCCCAUUUGGAACACAAUAGGGUUACCUUGGGCAGUCUAGGAACGACAGGUCCAUUACAUACUUUGGUAAGGAAUUUGACCUGGAUUGUAAUUUUGGUUGUCCAAUCAGUUCUACGUUGUCACUUAAUCAACGGAAUACAGUUCGAUAUCGUCGCUUUUCAUUUAUGUCGAUAGCUACCAUAUAAGUGAAAACAUCAUCGAUGGUAAUCUCAUUUCAAUUUCAUUUAGCUCAUCAAACUAGUAUACUGGACCAAGAACUUCAAGUUUUAGGAGUAAUCUGGAUUAAUCUCAUGAGAUGGAAAUGAUUUGAGACAGCGAUCGAGUUUAGAUUCAUUAUUGUGUCGUGUCUUCCUCUUCUAGGGAAGUGAAUCCUAUGAACCGAGUGAUCUGUGUGCUCCAGGCUAAGACAAAUUGAUUGGCUAUCCGCCGGUGUACCGGACCGUCUAACAGGGGUAUCCAAACCGUCUAACAAGGGCGGCACACCCUACAGGGAUGUUGACUCGACGUCCGUUAAGUACGUCUAUCCUUUCAUGUAUGUUUGCAGUUGAUAUAUGAUCUCGUCACUUUAGCUAGAUCAGAGGAAUGAGUCUGGAGCAACAUUUUGAAAGCUAGAAUUUAUCGCACUUGCCUAUCACACUUGUGCGGUUUGGGGAUUAAGAUGAGACAUAGUAGGCAACGUCCAUGCAAAUUCGCGCCGUUCUCCAGAAACGUUGACAUUCUUAUCUCCCCCUAAUGGCAGGAAGACUGUCUCAUUAAAGUGACAACUCGCAAAUGAGCGAUAAAGAGAUCGCGUGCAAGGGCUCUAGGAGAGCUAGAGUGAAAGAGAAUCAUAAUCGACAAAGAUUCCCAUCCUUCUUUGUGGACCCAUGUUGGUACGUUGCGGCGAAGCAAUUUGGCACAUGGAAUGCACACCCAAAUGCAUAAAUACGAAAAUCAUUACGUUCGUACCAGUAACCAACUGUAACGUCAAAUAGGUUGGGUGACAAUGGGCCUUAAGGUGGACCAACAUAGCUGCGUACAAUAUUGCAUAGCCCUAGGCAAAAAUUGAAAACUUGGUAUGUUCUCCAAAAUCCAGGCGAUCAUUGAAAUUGCGCUUUAUGAUUGCUAGGCGAGGCAAUUUGGGGUGAACAUGGGAUUUCGAUGUUCAAUUAUAAACCCAAAAUACAUGCAAUACUUUAUAAAAACCGUUGAUAUAAACUCUCCAACAUUAUACAGUCUCCCGGACUUUAUGGGAUAAGUAGGGUGGUGAACCUUUAAUCGGCCAUGAGGUUUAGCAGUAAUGUAUGUGGACAAACAUGUGACCAGUUUGUCGAUUCAUAAACCAAAACCAUAAGUAUUUAUAUGGUCUGCAUUUUGGUUGGAUUAGUCCACAUAUAUUCCCUUGAAUCCACUUAUGAAAAAUGAUGAUUUUGUAUCUUUGCGAGGAAUGAUAUAGAAAAUCAAUUUUCUUAAUGAGCAGGCUUGACAAAGUGUGCUUGUAGGCACAAGAUCCUUACUUCAGGUAAGGAGAUGCGUCAUAGCAUCAUUGUUCGACCUAAGUGUCCUAAAAAGUCGUGCCAAAGCAAGUAAACUGCUCAAUCACCAGACUCUAGGCCUGCCAUAUGUGGUGUGUUCCCAGUUGGGAGACAACCCAUUGGCCCUAAAUCAAAGCUUUAGGCUCAUUUUUGGAGGUGGUGCAAAGAUAUUUCAUGCUAUUUUCUUCAAUGGUUCAUUUAUGAUCAUUGUUCUAUCGAAUAUCCUUAAAAACUAAACGACAUGGAGAAUUUAAGGUCCCUUAAAUGGUGAUGCAAUACCAUUCAUACAACGAGGAGCAUGCUAAUGCUCUUAAUCAAGUUGGAUAUAUACAAUUUAGUUAAAUAACAAAGAAGUUUACCUAGAACUAGCAAUUUUUUUGUAUAAAAUUAACAAGAAGGUCCAGGGUUCAAAACCUAUGUGUGUUUAUUUACUUUUCAAUUUUUACGAAUUUCUUUCGAUAAGAGUAUACAUUUUUAAAAUUUGGUCAAAUGAUCAAGAAAUAUAACAAUGAGCAAUGAUUUAUGUUAGUGUUUAUAUCACAAAUGAUCAUUGGAAUUGAACCAAAUUGAUCUUUGAAAUUGAAAAUCAAUCAAUGUAAUCCCUAAAAAAUAGAUGUCACAAAUCAAUGUUUCAUCAUAAUGCUGUAAAAAAUUCUAUUAUGUGCUGAUAUGACACAUAAAUAGGGCCCACAAGAUGUAAGAGUUUUUAUCACAAAUGAUCCCUAAAAUUGACCUGCAUGAUCAAGAUGGUCCUUGAAAUUGAAAAUCGAUCAAUGUAGUUCCUGAAAAUAGGUGUCGCAAAUCAAUAUGGUCAUUCUGUCACACUUCUGUAAAAAAUUAUGUUAUGUGCUAAUGUGGUUUAAUAAUUAAUUAAAAAAGUUGUCAAAACACACUUCUGCACAUUGAGAUUAUCUCAAGGUGUAGCUCGACUAUUUCCGCGUCACCAAGAUCACCGAGGGAGCACCUAAUAAGCUUUCAAAGAUUAAGGUUAUAAGGUUGUCUAUAACAACCCGUCCCAGGAUUUUCGAAACUGGAUAAGCAAUGCUUGUCCCUCCUAUCACAUACCCUAAUGCGUUUACUUAUGUAAGUGCUUUAACGUGAAUGAUGUUGGAUCAUAUUCUUUAUCACGAAUUUAAGUAUAUAUAUAAUCUAUUAUCAAGAUUUUAUUUUGUGAAAUAUAGAGCCAAGCGUAUUCUAACAUUAUGUGCCGAACUUGAAAUUAUGAUUGUUUGAACCAAAUACACACACAUCCACGAACGGAGGUGAAACCCAAUCGGAAUUGUCCACGAUCUUUGACGAAGGGGAAUGGUGUUGAUUGGAUGGUAGUUGAAUUUGAAUUGGACUGCCGACAUUUCUAUGGGAGGAAGAAAAUGUUUUUUUAACCAAAUGUUUGCUUAAGACAAAAUAACAGAUGUCACCCAUGACAAAAAGGAAGAAAAUGAUGCAUACCGGUUCUACCAUCAUUGGUGCUAAAUUAAUCAAUUAUGUCGGAAUGGUGUCAAAUUAAGACCUUGACCCAAUCCUUACUUAGUUUAGUAGUAUACAAUUAUGAAUAUUUUAUUAUAAGUUAGGUUUAUAUGGAUAUCAAUUAUUGGCACUAGUGAAUCACACGAUGAUUGUCAAGAAAGUUUAAAAUGCAUUUGUGAGUCUUUUCAGCCCUAAAAGAUUGGAAAUGUUAGCCACCGGCUGAUCCUCUUUUUUACAGAAAAAAAUUGGAUAAGCGAUGCUCGUCCCUCCUAUCACAUACCCUAAUAUGUUACUUGCGUAAUUGCUUUAAUGUGAAUGAUACUGAAUCAUAGUCUUUAUCAUGAAGUUAAGUGUGUGUGUAAUCUAUUAUCAACAUUUUAUUAUGUGAAAUUAUAGAGCCAAUCGUAUUCUAACAUUUUGUGCGAAAAUUGAAAUUAUGAUUGUUGGAACCAAAUAUGCACACAUCCACUGACGGAGGUGAAAUACAGUCAGAAUUGCCCAUGACAUCUACCGAGAGGAGAAUGGGUUUGAUUUGAGGGUGUGGUUCAAUCCAAAUAUGAUUGCCUACAUAUAUGUGAGAGGAAGAAAUUUUUUAUUUUUUUUCCAACCAAAUGUCUGAUUAAGACAAAAUAAUAGAUGUCACCCAUGAUAAAAGUAAGAAAAUGAUGCAAACCGGUUCUACAACCAUUGGUGCUAAACUAAUGAAUUAUGUGGGAAUGGUGUUAAAUUAAUACCUUGUCCCAAUCAUUAUGUAGUUUAGUAUUAUAUAAUUAUGAAUAUUUAAUUCUGUAGACAAAAGUUGGGUUUAGAUGAAUAAACAAUUUUAAAUUCGAUUUUUGGCACUGGUAAAUUACAUAAUGGUAGUCAAGGGAGGCUGAAAUGUCUCCGUGAGUCUUCUCAGCCCCUAGAAAGGUGGACUACUAUGGCAAAGCAGCUAACUGAUCCCAUUUUUAAAGAAAAAAUGGAUAAGUGGUGCUUGUUCCUCCUAUCACAUACCCUAAUGUGUUACUUACGUAUUUGCUUUAAUGUGAAUGGUGCUAAAUCAUCAUCAUUUUUGUCACGAAUUUAAGUAUAUACAUAAUCUAUUAUCAAGAUUUUAUUAUGUGAAAUUAUAGAGCCAUGUGUAUUCUAACAUUCUGUGCAGAAAUUGAAAUUAUGGUUCUUGGAACCAAAUACGCACACAUUCAAAGACGGAGGUGAGAUCCAUUCAGAAUUGCCCAUGAUCUCUGACGAGGGGAGAAUGAGGUUGAUUGCAAGGUAUCGUUGAAAUCGCAUUGGUGCACCCUUCCAUAUAAAUCCUCGUUCUGCAAGAAAAGUUACAAAAGAUAAUGAAACUAAAUCCUAGAGAUUACAAAUCCUAAUCCUACCUAAAAUAAGACUCCAAGAAUAUUUACAAUUAAGAAUCAAAUCAAUAGGUUUAGGCAUUAUAAUGUAUGUGUUUUAGAUGUGUGUGUGUGAAGAGAGAGAGAGAGAGGGAGAGAGAGAGAGAGAGAGAGAGAAGGGAAAGAAAUGGGAGAGGGUGAGUUUAACUAAAAUUUUAGGAAGGAUUUCAGUUCAUCUGAGGGAGGAAGGGAGGGAGGGAGAAAGGGAAAAGGGCGAGGGUGCGUGGGUACGUGGGUUUAACUGAAAUUUUAGGAAGGAUUUCAGUUCAUCUGAGGAUAGCGAAGUUCUGGACUUCAUUAUCUGUUUAACUAUAAGUUAUAGUAUCCAUUUUUCAGUUUUGAUGCUUUUUUUUUUUUUGAAAGGAAGUUUUGAUGCUUAUUUGGUUGAGGCUUUCUAACAGAAACUUGGAGUUGAGGAGAACGAAAACUUGGUUUUCUUGGUUCAAGUUUAGCCAGACUAUGGAGAGUGUGCCGGUUGGAAAUUUGUUGGCGAACACGACUUCAGAAACUUCUGUAAAAUGGAUGCACUGAAUGUAUACUUGUCCUUACGAUUUGAAUUGUUUGAUCUUAAUAUACUUUUUUUCCUUACAAUUAUGAGUAUUUUUCUCAUUGAAUUUUUGCUACUUUACUAGGUUUUAACAAGGCACCAUCCUGACCUGGUUAUAUCCUUGUGAGCUUUUCUACAUUCAUAAAUACGUAUAGUUCUGCAUUAUGCAUACUUUUCACAUUUCUCCUUAGUCUAUGAGUUUUUCUCCCACACUGGGUUUUAUCAUAGUGAGGUUUUGUGAGUUUUACUACUAAUGCAUCAUUCAGUUAAAAUGAAACUCAAAUUUGCUCAAUAUGCUGUCGACUUGAUUAGCUGAACUUUAUCGUUGAAGACGUGAUGCGACAUUUUCAUUGAGUACUUACACACUCACAUUUUGAUUGAGUAUUUACACACUCAAAGGGGAGUGUGCAGUCUUAAUUAGUUUAGGCAUGUGAUUGUGUAAAUCGUAUUGGGAUUAUAUGAUAUCUUUUAGAUAAUGUCCUGAUUCAGCUGUAUAUUAAACUAUCGAUAUUUCUGUUAAUGUCGAUACUUUAUAUAUGAAAUAUCUUCUCAUAGAGCAGUGAAUGAAUGGCUGAGAUUGAGCUCACAGGCUCUCUCUCUCUCUCUCAUUUGUUUGUAGCGACUAUAUGCCUACUGUUACAUUGUUUAAGGGACAGACAGUGGAGAAACACAACUUGUGCUCUAAGAAAAAUACCAAAACUUUGUCAUCUUCCAAUUUCAUUUCUGAAAUUAUCUACAAAACACACAUAAACACACGUUUCCAAAAAAAAAAAAAAAAAAAUAAACACACACACACACACACACAUAAACACACAAUUAAACACUUUCUUAAUGAGAGUUGUUUGGGUUAAUAUUUGAAUAUUGGGCGUUAAUGAAGGAAAGUCGGAUGACUUACCCGAAGCCCAAUAUCAAGCCCAAGAGCAAACUGACGCCUUCUUAAGCCAAAACACAAUCCACGUGUCUAUAAUUGAAAUGAUAAGUGAUGGAGAUUAACCUAUAUCUGCCAAAAAACGUUUUCCAGUGGCAUUGCUAGGAAAAAGUUGAUGACUCACUACCCUUCAAGUGCUUUCGGGCAAGAUCAAAAGCUACAGCAGUCGGGCCAAACUGCCUAUAAAAGGUAGAAAAGACAACGGGGACGAGGAUACUCAACCAAUCAAACAAACAAAUAUAUAAACUCUGCUCUCAAACCAGAUUUGCAUUCAAAAGCUAAAAUCAACCCAGAUUCAAUCAUUUUCGCGAUAGUUCUCUGAAAAAGCUAUCUCUUGUCUAGUAUAAAAGCUCUGCUACCUCCCAUUAGUGUUGUAGUAUCGAUUCUCUCGUGUAAACUUGUUUACCAUCCAUCCCUUUUUAGCAUAUAAGCCUUGUAAAUUCAAAGAGAAGUGAGUGCAAGAAGUUCAACCUUGCUAAACAAGGUGAAAUCUUGCCUGAAGCUCUUUGUUUGUUUUCUAAAUUAAUAGAUCUAUUGCUUAAUGCACUCUCCAGUAUGUAUUCAAGUUAUUUCCACCUGUUUUUCUAUUUUAAGAGUCUCAUUUGCGUUUGGAUCUGGUUAGUUUGGUGGAUAUGAUUUCAUUAAAAGUAAUUUGGGACCAAACAAAUGACUUAAUGAGCUCUGGACUCCCUUCAUUUGAACAUACAAGACCAUGAACUAAAAGUCCUUGUUUACAAGGCAAGAAAAAGAACCUAAUACAGACUUAAUCCAUCUGUGAUAAUCAUUUGAUAACAAGAAGUCUGAGUAACUUGGGGCGCAAGUAAUUGACUUAAAACAUACUUGUUCUACAUCUGCUAUACUAAGCAGUGGCACGCCUAGCACUUGAUUAGUUUUGAUUGCGAGCCUCAAGGUCUACACCUAAAGCCCCACAAAGGUACCUUUCGGAACUAACUUUAUUCUCUUCUUGUAGCAUUUCAACAAGCAAGAGCCUGACUACACACCCAAAGUGCCAAUCCCUUGGGAAGUUUCACUAAGGUUCGAGGAGUCUUCUCCAGAGAAAUCUUUGCCCAAACAUAGUUUUGGCACGCCCAGUGGGACUCAUUUAGUCUUGUAUGCCAAGAAGGAAGAAGAAGGAGCGAACCUUCAGGUGGAACACAGAAUAAGGGCCAUCCCAGUAUCUAGUAAGAUCAAGCAUGACAGAUCAUCCAGAAGACUUCCCCUCCAUACGAGGACCAACUAUUAUGGGAAGCCCAACUUCAUCUAAGAAAUCAUGAGGGAAAGUGACCAAUGAAGACUUGCAAACCACCAUGGUGAAAGUGUUGAAAAGUAUGAAGAAUAUCUCUUUGGAGACCAGAGGAGAAGUAAGGAAACUCUGCUCCUUACAUGAAGUUUGUAGAUAAGACUAGAACUUGAGUACUCUACUCCAAAAGGCAGCUAUGCUCGAGAAAUGAUAAAAGAGGCAAGUUCUGAGAAGGAACCAGCUAUUCCCCUAUUUCCCUUACUCGAGAAGGAGAAGGAAAAAGAAAAGGAGAAAGUAGGGCCUAGGGCUAGCUAGCCAAUAUUAGAAGAAAUCCUGGAGACAGUGUUGCCCGACCCACUAUUGUCCUCACUAGAUAGUAAGGGGCAUGUCGAGCAAGAAAUAAAGAAGUAUGGGAUACCCCAAUUAAUUGGAGAAUCCAGCGGGAAAUAUGAGUUCAUAACUGCAGACAAACUUCCCUUUUAUAGGCCACCACUGUUGGCUAAUAAGGGAGGAGAGGCCAAAUAGAGGAAGCCCGAACAAAAAAAAAGAAACUUUAUCGGACAAUGAUCGUAGCCCGAAGUGGAAACCUCUUUAUACCCUACCUAAUAAUACAGUCAAUUAGCAACUCAGAAAAGAGUUAGCCGAGCUAAGAAGGAUGGUGAUCCAGAAUGCUCAACCUCAAGCUUGCCCGCUGUUUAGGGUCACCUACCAGAAGCCAUAUCCUGAAUAAAUUGAUGAGUAUAUUCCUUUUCGCCUCAACUUCAAGAUGUUCGCGUUUCCCACUUUUAGUGGAAAAUAUGGCAGUGUGUCGUCUAGAGAUCACAUUUUCAAGUUCUCUAACCAUUGUCUGGCGUUUGAAGACAAUCUUAACUAUAAGUUAAGAUUGUUUGGGAACUCGUUGGUUGGCCUAGCAUCUCAAUGGUAUUCUAUGUUGCCCCCCAAUUCCAUCGCUAAUUGGGGGCAAAUGGAGAUGGCUUUUCAUGAAUAGUUUUAUAGGGUGGAGCCCAAGAUGACUAUCAAUGAUCUAGUGGAGGUAAAACAAUAUAAGCAUGAAUCUAUGAAGGACUUCAUGAUGAGGUUUAUAAAGACAAGGAUGAGGUGCCAAUUCCCUAUCAAUCAUGACCAACUUAUAUCCAUUGCUCAAAAGGCGUUGAGGUUGCCUUUGAGAAAAAAAGUUUUAUGAUGUGCAGUUCAAUGAACUGCAAGAGUUGGUAAGUGCUGCCACAAAGUAUGAGAAGCUGCUAAUUGAAGAACAAUAAGUGAAACACUCAUCUACGAUGCUUCAUUUCUAUAAGAAUAAAGUUGCAAUUCACCAAGUAGAGUUUAAAGAAGGAGAGCCAGAAGGAAGCGGUGAUAAUGAAGGAGAGGGAAUAUAGAUGUGUGCAACAGAAAUGACCGUUCCCUUCAAACCUUUAAUGGUGAAGGGAUUGGUCCAGCCAGUCAAAGACCAGAAAGUGGUAAUGAAUGAUGGCAGUUUUGUCCCUAUGAAAUUUGAUUUGACUAAAGCCUCAGAAAUUUGACUAGUUAUUCUUUUGAUUUGACUAAAGCCUCAGAAAUUUAUGAAGAGUUGGUGCAGGUAAGAGUAAUUGUGCCCGACAACACUAAGAAGAAGCCUAAACCAAAAGAAUUAUACCUUCAAUCAUUCCAUAACUAACAGUGUUCAGUUCAGGGAUUGGAUACAAGACGUCAUAGUCAAGGGAAAGUUGCUUUUAGAAAAACCCUAGGCGAACAUGAUAAUUGAUACAGAUCCAUUCCUAGAAGCUCCAAUAAACAUGAUCAUCCUGACCUGGGAUGAAAAAGGGAAAGGAAAAGCUACUUGAGAAGUAAAAGUAGAAAUAAGGCAAGAUGAUAAGCAUACAGAAGGAGUUAUCAAGUUGUCCGAGAGCCCCAAAACAGCCAUAGUUAAAGGGCUGGUGUUGUGUAAUAAGUACCAGUGUGAAUGUGAACUAGAAGUGCCAGCAUCAGGAGGAGUUGUUAUUGAUCAAAAGUUGAUCAGAAGAAGAGAGAAAGAAGAACAAGAAGCCUGUAAAAACAUCAUGCAGGUAGCUGAGAAAGAGACUUCCAAAAAUGUUUUCCAAAGAUUAGAAGGAGAUUCUGAACCAAAAAAAUUGUUCGAGGUAUUUAGGAACCACGAAACCUUGGAAGAAGUGGAAGAUAAAAAAGCUAAAAUACCAAAUUGGGUGGAGGUUAGGCUGCCCUAGUCGAGUUAUGAAGGUGGUGAUGUCAGGAUGAGGGGAAGAACAAAGAAUAUAGUAUCCCCAGUCACUAAGAAGGGUUGUGCCCAACUUGGGCAGAAAUGGUAUGUAAUUGGAAAAGAUAGGAGACCUAUUAAGGAAAUGGGAGCUUCUAUGAUUAUAAGAGUCCAAAGACAGCACAAAGGCAAUAUGAACUCACUAAAAGUUUUUGCUACAUCAUAAACCUCUGAAAAUGUAAAGUUUGAGAAAGUACCUAAUGGGGGAAGAAAACAACCUCAUUAGAUGAGCAAAAAUGAGGUAGAAAAGACGAAUAGCAAGAUUGAGAGGGAGGGAGAUCAUGUGCCACAAAACCCUCAUCCGGGAAAGUACAGAAUCUUGAGGAGAGCUUAAGAGGAUAUGGCAAUGAUGUCAACCCUAAGAUGGAGCCCAUAACCCAUAUGUUUUGGACCUAUCUUGCCUGAAGGGAGAAUGCCUUCAUCUUUGCUAGUUGAUACUCUUUGUGAAGUCCCAUAACAGGUAUAGAACUUUAGUAUAACUCGGGAGGAAAAGUUGAUCAAGCUAAUGUUGCCAAAAGAAGCACAUGCCUGGUUAGAUGAAUUCAUAGACCACAUUAUGGGCAAGAAAGAGGAUUUACUUAAACCUAGCAACUUCCACGUAAACAUGACAUAUGUUUUAUCUGCCAUGUUUUGCACCGAGCCUGAUCAACCAGCCACAAUGGAAGGUGAUUACUUGGCAACAGAACUUAUGAUGACACAUGUUAGUGUUGAAGAAACAGGAAAAGAAGAAUCCAGCUAGACAGGUUUGCCGGAACACUUAAGGAAAGAGCCUGAGAAAGUGUAUUCUGACAAAAUGGUCUUUAGUUGCCCGAGUAUGUCCUUAGCUAAUCAUAUUAAACCUAUAUACGUAACCGCUCAUCUGGAAUAAGUGCCAUUCAAGAGGAUUCUAGUUGAUGGAGGAGUUGCGGUCAACAUAAUACCAUUGAAGUAAAUGAAGAAUUUAGGAAGAAGUGAAGAAUAUCUCAUUCCUACGGAAUGACUGUGUCUAGCUUCUCUGGAGCUAUUACUAGAACACAUGGGAUACUGCAUUUGGAAGUUGACUUGGGAUCCAAGCAAAUCAUGCUAGUUUUCUUUGUAGUGGAUAAUAGUUCCACUUAUGGAGCUUUGCUUGGCAGGGAAUGGAUUCACCAAAGUCUAUCUACACCAUCUACAUUACACCAACAUAUUACAGUUUACCAUGAAGCCAAAACCAAAAAACCAGAGUUUGGGAGAUGGUAGAGGCCGAAUCACAGCCAUUUCUCCCUACUACCAAUGUUGCAGAAGCCAGCUUUUAUAAUCCUAUUGUUGGGACUCUGCAAUGCCUAGGAACUGAUGAGAACAGCCACCCAACUAAAGUGAUAGCCCAAAAGCUCUUGAACCAAGGAUUGUUCCUCACUAGGGAGGAAUGGGAUAAACCCAGAUCAUCCCAAGUUCCUAACACUAGUAAUGUCAGAAGAAAGAAGGAAUGACCAAGUAGUUGCAGUCAGGUCCUUAAUCAAGAGACUGUUAGUGUAUGAGAGAUAGAGAAAGCAAGAAAAUGAGAGCUCGGCCAAAGAACAAGAGGGAUGGAAGGACGAAGCAUCAAGCAGCUAGACCAAGGGUGAAGAAAAGUUUUUUGGAAAAGAGUUGGAAGCAGCACGAGAGUCCGGAUUUAGUCAAAUUUUUGUGUGCAAAACCUGACAAGCCAGCACCAAAAGUACAAAACUUCUUAGAAACCAUUGAUUUUGGAACUGAAGGGGAUCCAAGGCCUAUACAGAUCAGUGCCCUAUUGGAAGUUGAAGAUCGGGCAAAGAUAAUUAGUCUUCUGCAUGAGUGCAAAGGCGUUUUGCUUGGCAUUACAUUGAGAUGCCAGGUUUAGAUUCAACCUUAGUAGAACACAAAAUGCCUAUUAAUGAGGGAUAUAAACAUGUAAAGCAAGCACCAUGAAGGAUGUCAAAAGAGAUCGAGGAAAAAGUCAAAGAAGAGAUUGAAAGGCUGGUAAAGGCUGGAUUUAUUAGGCCUGCCAAGUAUGUCGAGUGGUUGGUCAACAUUGUACCUGUAUUAAAAGCUAUAACUAAUGCAGUUCAGUAUUGUGUUGACUAUAGAAACAUUAAUGGAGCCACGCCUAAAAAUGAGUAUCACAUGCCCAUGGCUGACUUAUCCAUAGAUGCAGUUGCAAAACACAAAAUCCUAUCUUUCAUGGAUGGGAAUACUGGUUAUAAUCAGAUAAAAAUGGCUAAAGAAGAUAUACAUAAAACAGCUUUUAAGUUCCCAAGCCAUGUUGGAGCAUAUGAUUAUUUAGUCAUGCCAUUCGGGUUUAAAAAUGCUGGUGCAACCUAUCAAAGAGCAAUGAAUGCCAUUUUUCAUGACUUGAUUGGCCAUAGCAUAGAAGUAUACAUUGAUGACAUCGUGGUGAAGUCUAAAACUGAAGAACAACACCUAGUAGACCUCAAACAAGCCUUAACAAGAAUGAGGACCCAUAAGUUGAAAAUGAAUCCUAAUAAAUGUGCUUUUGGGGUAAGGUCGAGCAGCUUUUUGGGAUUCCUUGUUCAUCAAAGAGGGGUGGAGGUCGACAAAAAUAAAGCUUGGGCAAUAAUGGAAUCACCUCCUCCUACUACUAAGGUAAUUACAGAGGCCACUAGGGAAAAUCAACUUCUUUAGGUUCUCCAAAGAAAACCCGUAAUUAGCUUUUUGCCUAUAACUUUCCUUCUACUCACUUGAGGUGAGUGGCAAACUUAAAAUUAUGCAAACUUCCUCACCAUGGCCCACCUCUGUUGGUUCCUUUGGCUAAUUCCCAUUUUGUUUUAGUUGUCAUACAACUUAAACAUAAUGGGCCUCGGGGACCAAAACCCUUUUGAGCUACGAAACCUGAAACUAACUUAAAAGCCCAAUAGAACCUUUCGUAUAAUUAAUUAAUCUUAGCCAUUCUCAAUUAAAUUAUUUAAUUGCUUAUCCAUCUUAUUUAUAUUUGUUAACGUUCAUCCUUACUUGGUGUACGAUCCAUUAGGUUCCAUUUAGCAAAGCAAUGGGCAAUUAUUACUCUUAACAAUUGAUUGUGAAUUGAAAUCACAUUUCAAUUUUUUGUUUGAUGAAGAUUAGUAAUUGCUAAUCUUCAGGGCUUCCACAAACCAUAAGUGUCACCUAACAGUAUUUCAUGGGUACCCAAGCUAAGUAGAAGUGGUUGGAGAACCUAUCCAGUUACAACUACAAUGCAAUUCGGUCAUUCUUUAAUACAAUACUCUUGAUCACAUUGUUUACGUGAUAGUUUGUUUCAUGUCCAUUAUCCAAUGUGAUACUUCUCUAUAUGAUUCAAUUGAAUAUGAUUUGGAACAUUCUUCCUAAGUUAUAUUCAUAUGCUUUGUCCAAAGACUCCAAAAUCAUAUUCAAAGUAUUCUCCUUCUACCAUGGAAGGUUAGAGAUCCCUUGUGCAUUCACAUGCCUACAUGACUACAUAGCUUGACCCCAACAAUGUCGUGGACACUCUCAAUGGAAUGCUUUUGACAUAGUAGAAGAUCAAGGACCUAACCAUCAGAAAACUAUGAUGCCUCAUGUCAAAUGACUACUUUGCAUAUUGCAACUUAUUAGCUAUUACAUGACAUGUAUGUUCAAACUCUCUUUUGAUCGUUGUUCAGUGUACUCGAUUACCCUUUCGAGCACCUAUGUGUUUGUCUUAGUGUCCAACACUAAAUGACUUAAGACUAGUCAUACUCACGCUUGAGUCAACAUAACACAUACUAACCUUAGUGGAUUGUCAAUGCCCUAUUGGCAAUCCUAUGGCUAGGAAUGUUUUAGGAAUGAACAUAAGAGAAAUGUCUCGUUAAUCUAACUUACUUAGAUCACUUUUCUCUUAGAACGAAUACACUUGGAUUCCCCUAUUGCUUACAGUGAUUAACAAUAAGCUUUGCUCUUAUUAACCAAAUAAUAGUUUAACAUAUUGAGUAUUUCAAAAGCUAUUACAUCAAAUAAGUGGCAUUUGUGGGCAUGCCUCCAAUAUCUCCAAUGCCUAAGUUAGUUUCUCUGAAAAGAGUGCGUGUUUAGGGAUUUCUAUGUACAUAAAAGCUUACCCAUUUUUGGUGGAGAAAUGGGGUUUUUAUAAGAGAGGUGGUCAGCCUUUAGGGUUAAAUUUGGUGAGAAUAUUCCCAAGAUAUUGUGUAACUAAUAUCUUGGAAUAAUUGUGAAGAUAUCCCAGAAUAAACGUGAUUGGGAUUACUCACUUAAUAGGGUUUGUCUUCAAUUGGGAAUGUUUAUUUAGGGAUAAUGCAACCUUUGAUUUUUUUUUCCACGUGCAGAGGAGCUCUGAGUAGUCGUAGUUCGCUGCCUGCAUAUUCUGGGAUGUUAAGCUGCUCGUGGAGAAUUUAAAUAUGCACUGCUCAUUUAAUAAGGGCAAUCUUGUCUUUCUUGGCUAAAAGUCCACGUGUCGCCUCCAGGAUUUUUGGAAUUAUUUUUAGCUCACAAACAUGAAUCUCAUUGAGACUUCCAAAGAGCUUGAGAAAAUUGCCUCGCACUUAAAAGCAUAGUCUGAGAUGAAAGAUCUUGGAAAACUUGAUAUUGUCUCAACUUGGAGAUCCAGCAUUGUUCAGAGUGUGGCCUCGUUUUAAUGAGGAUAAAGCGAAGUCUUCAAGUACUCCUAUAAUCGUUCAUACGUUAGAUGCAAAACGAGAUCCUUUCUGAAGGAAAAAAUUUGUCCUAGCUAAGAACAAGUAUGAACAUUUGAAUACACAUGCAAGCUAUUAACACUUUAAAGUAGGCAUGCAUCCAAAAACAAUUCAUAAAACCCAUGACUUUCAAAGCCUAGUAUAUGGUGAACCAAAAUAAACUCUUUAACAACAUUAAAGAGAAAUAAAGAUUUAGUGAUUCUUUACCCUUGAAGCUCAUCCUUGAUUACACAAGGGAUUCACCCAAGUGGAGGGCCUUCAAGUCACCUCCAAGCUCCUUGAAUCCUCCUUGUGUUUUCCUCCCUUUAGUGCUCCUUUGAUGAUUUGAGGAAAAAGGAUUUGUUCUCCAAAACACCAAAAGCUUGAUGUCUCUAAGUCUCUUCACCAAGGAUGUAUCUUGUGAAGAUGAUAUGGAUGACUAAGGAAAGAAGAGAUUGCUAGAUGUCCCUUCCCUUAGUGGCCGGCCUCCUUAGAAGAAAAUGGAGAAAAUGUCUCACCCAAUUUCAACAAGAAGAACCCUAAUGAGAAAAUAGCUAUAAAGUUGCUUUUAUAACCUUUUCUUUGGUGAGUGGCAAACUUGUAAUUAAGCAAACUUUGCCAAUCCACCCUAAUGGCCGGCCAUCCUUUGUUAUUGGGCUAAUUUGCCCAUUUUGUUUUAGUUGUCAUACAACUUAAACAUAAUGGGCCUUUUGGACCAAAACGCUUUUGGGCCCCGAAACCCAAAACCAACAUAUAAGCCCAAUACGAACCUUUCGUAAAAUUAAUUAACUAAUUAAUUAAUCUUGACCAUUCUUCAAUUAAACCAUUUAAUUGCUUAUCCAUUUCAUAUAAUUUCUUCACAUACAUCCUUACUCGGUGUACGAUCCAUUAGGUUCCAAUUAGCGAGGCAGUGGGCGAUGUUACUCUUAACUAUCGAUUGUGAAUUGAAACCACAUUUCAAUUCUCCCUUUAAUGAUUAGUGUUACCUAAUCAUUUGGACUUCCACAAACCAUGAGUGACACCUAGCAGUAUGUCAUGGUUACCCAAGCUAAGUAGAAUUGGUUGGAGAACCUAUCUAGUUACAACUACAAUGCAAUACGGUCCUUCUCUAAUACAAUACUCUUAAUCACAUUGUUUAAGUGAUAGUUUGUUUCAUGUCUACUAUCCAAUGUGAUACUUUCCUAUAUGAUUCCCUUGAAUAUGAUUUGGAACAAACUUCCUAAGUCAUAUUCAUUUGCUUUGGCCAAAGACUUUAGAAUCAUAUCUUAGAGUAUUCUCCCUCCACCAUGGAAGGUUAGAGAUCCCUUGUUGUGCAUUCAUAUGCCUACAUGAUUAGAUAGCUUGACCCCAACAAUGCCGUGGACACUCCAAAGGAAUGCCGUUGACAGGAUCAAAGAUCAAGGACCUAACCAUUAGACAUCGAUGAUGCCUCAGGUCAAAGGACUACUUUGCAUAUUGCAACUUUAGAGUUCAUACAUGACAUGUAUGUUCGAACUCUCUUUUGAUCGUAGUUCAGUGUACUCGAUUACUCUUUCGAGCACCUAUGUGUUUGUCUUAGUGUCCAACACCAAAUGACUUGAGACUAGUCAUACUCACGCUUGAGUCAACACAACACAUACUAACCUUAACGGAUUGUCAAUGCCCAAUUGGCAAUCCUAUGGCUAGGAACGUUUUAGGAAUGAACAUAAGAGAAAGGUCUCGAUAAUCUAACUUACUUAGAUCACUUAUCUCUUAGAACAAAUACAUUCCUUGGAUUCUCUUAUUGCUUAAACACGUUAUACAAUAAAUAGUGAUUAACAAUAAGAUUUGCCCUUCAUUAAACAUAUAAAAGUUUAAUACAUUAAGUAUUCCAAAAAGCUAUUACAUCAAAUGAGUGGCUUUGUGGGCAUACUUCCAACACUUUCCAUCCUAAAGAGGAUAAGGAUGAGGUUUUAGAGCCUGGAUAUUCAUACUUUACUGCAAUUGACGCUUUAUUAUACUUAACAUAAUGCACUAGAUCAUACAUCUCUUUCGCUAUUAAUCUUUUGACAAGGUAUAGUAAUGUGCGUACACGCAUACAUUGGGCUGGUUAUGUAUUUAACGUUAUAGACACCUCUAUUUGUACUAUACUUGACCAAUCCUGAAACUACUAAGCAUCGGUCAAUGUUAUACCGUCAAGGACCCAGAAGACUUUCCCUCCAACCAGGAGGCCAAUCAUAGCGGGACACAUGUCGAUAUCAGAAGCCAAUCAUAGCGCGACACGUGUCAACAUUAGAAGCCAAUCAUAACACGACACAUGUUAAUGUCAAAACAAAGAUAGAAACUCUCUUUUAUAAAAGUAGAUCAUUUUCCCACAAUAUUUUCGAAUGUCAUUUGUUAAAUCAUUCACUUGUACUUACUAAAGGAGAGCUUGAACUUAUGUACUUAUGUAAACCCUUCACAAUUAAUGAGAACUCAUCUACUCCGUGGACGUAGCCAAUCUGGGUGAAACACGUACAUCUUGUGUUUGCUUCCCUGUCUCUAUCCAUUUACAUACUUAUCCACACUAGUGACCGGAGCAAUGUAGCGAAGGUCACAAACUUAACACUUUCUGUUGUACCAAAGUCCUCACUGAUUUUGUGCAUCAACAUUUGGCACCGUCUGUGGGAACAACACUUAUUCCCACUCUCUUCAGCUUUAUUAAGCUGGUUUCCACCAUUCAUACACUCUCUUUUGAGCAGGCAACCCUUUCCAACAUAGGGAGCGAAGGAAGCCACAGCAUACAGAAUGACAUCCCUCUUGCAUCUGGUGCGAAGCAACGAAAAAAGGAACAAAAGAAGUUUGUUAUUCAAGCUAAAGUUGAUGAGCUAGAAGCUCAGAACAACAAGAUAGCAAUGAAGAAUGAGGUCCUCCAAGGGCAGUAUCAGAAGCUCUUUGAGACGCUCCACGAAAAUAGGCGUACUCAAAUACGCGAGCUCAUUGCCCCUGUGGACAUCAACCAUCAUCUGGGUGUCCCCCAACACAGAAGGUCACCUUCCUUCGACAUGGGUAUCCCUGAUGAGGAACGAGCUAAUCAUUAAAACAUUGAUCAACAUAAGACUUCUCUCAACCCAGUUGCUUCAACCCGAAGCAUGAGAAGUGGAGGAAAACACCUCCUUGCAGAAGGGUUGGAAGGAUCGAAAGCCGUUUAUCGUGACUGCCGAGACUUCCUAAAGCAACGUCGAGAGAAUCCCCUCCACAUAUGCUCGAAGAUCAACAACCCAAGGUUUCUGAAAGACUCGGUCCUCUCCCACGACCCAGGCCAGGUGCCAAUCUAAGGAAUGAACGACAGGUCCCAGAGGAACAUGAAGGUACAGGGGACUCUGAGGUAUUCCGACAGACUCGCCCUAGAAGUUAGUACGGCGAGUCCAAGGAAAAAUCACAUGCCCUUGCUCAAACUUUCCUACUUCCAAAAUGCGAUGAAGACUUACGAAAGAAAAUUCCAGUGGUACAUGACUCCACUCAAGACCCCGUGUCUUACAGCUCAUUGAGGAAGGAAACAAGUUGAAGGCCGAACGUCAGGCUAAGAUACCUAACUGGAACCAACCCAGGCCUGGCCCUUUCACAAGGAGGAUCCUCGACACCCCUUUCAAAUGAAGAUAAAACAAAAGCUUGGUUUACAACUCUAUACUGGAAGGGAGGACCCAAUUGAACACCGUAACCUCUUUAAGUCCACCAUGGCAUAUCGGAUGCACACCGACAAAAAGCGAUGUCUUCUCUUCCCUUCCACCCUCUCUGGCGGAGCUCUAAACUGGUAUUGCAGUUUUCCACCUGAAACAGUAGACUCAUUUGAGGAGCUGAGGAAACUGUUUGUCUUUCAACACAUCUUCCAGACUGAUCAUUUGCAUUCUGCAGAUGACUUGUACACUAUUCGCCAGAAGUCGGACGAGUCACUACAAGAGUAUGUCGGUCGCUUCAGCCAUGAGUAUUCUCGCUGUGCUGAGGCAGAUGAUAAAACCGCCCUAAAGGCCUUCAUGGCAGGCCUACGUGAUUGUUUCUUCCAUGAUCAAUGCCAACACUUGGAAGACUUACUCUAAGGUGAUGGCACAGUCUUACAACCAUGCCUCCGUUGAGGCAAGGACAUAUCAAGGGAAACCCCCCACAGCCACCCCUUAUCAGCAAGUAAAGAAUAGAAGCCAGAUCUAACCAAAUGAGAAGACCUUGACCUUCCAAAUGGCAGCGGUGCCUCCCUCUGCUUUACUUAAUACUUCGCCAAGUCAAUAGACAUAUCAAUCUCAGGGUAAAAGGAAAGAUUUACAUCCUCACCAGUCUCAUUUUAGUAAAAGGAGUAAGGGACACUAUCGCGAUAACCAAAGGUAUCACCAUGAUAAUGCCCGCCCCCAGGCAGUCAACACAGUGGGCCAAGCAUGUGUCAUGAUAGGCCCUACCCCGAGGUAUGAGACAUACACACAUUUGAACACCACAUGCAUGGCCAUUUACCCCAACAUAGCACACCUGAUACCGAAGCUAAUACCUAGGCAGUCAAGUUACAAGCCCCUGAAGAACAUGGGCACGUUUUGCUGCCACCACAAGCAUAACGGCCAUGACGGCGAAAAGUGUAUCACCCUUCGUGAUCAUAUUGAAGCUUUGGCACGUCAAGGAAAAAUUGAUCAAUUCCUCCGUCACCCUCCAAGGGGUAACCGCAACCAACGCCAGGUGAAUGUGAUAUAUUCCAUAAAUGGUGACACACCAUAUCUAAAUCUUCCAACAUGGCCAUGAAAAAUAGUGAACGAGCUUUAAGGUCUGGCCACCAAGUGUUUCACGUGGAAGACAUCAGGGGAGGCAAGUAUCAAAAGCCUAACUAGGAUCCAAUAUGUUUCUACCCAGAGGAAGAAAAAGGUAUUAUCUACCCUCACAACGACCCACUGAUCGUGGAAGCUCAUAUAGCCAACUUUGAAGUACGACGAAUCCUGGUAAACACGAGGGCUUCGGUCAAUAUCAUGUUUACUGAAGCUUUUAAGGGCAUUUAAUGUAGCUGAACACUUGCUCGAUCGCUCGAUUUCUCCUCUGAUAAACUUCUCCAGUGAUAUCGUGCAACCUUUAGGGAGCAUACACUUACCUUUCACCAUUGGUACAUGCCCUUAAACAACUACUAUUACAACUAACUUCCUAGUGAUUGAUUGCCCAACGGCAUACAAUGUAAUCUUUGGACGCACAUGCAUCAAUGAUCUCAAGGCCAUGGUAUCCACACAUAUGUUGUUGAUGAAAUUUCCAACCCCCUAUGGCAAUGGUUACAUCAGAGGAGAUCAACUUAGUACACGAUCAUGUUACAACACUUCGGUCAAGCAACAGCACCUACCUGUGCCCAAGAAAACACUUUCUAUACAUGACCAAGUUAUAAAGACCAGCCCAGACGAAGCCAACUUGGAUCUUCACAGUGGCAACAGUCAACCUGAUGAUCUUCGAGAUGACUUUUUCACCCAGCAAGCACAACCCGCUGAAGAGUUGGAGAAGCUCUCUAUCUUAAAAGAUUAUCCGGAUCGCAUGGUGAAGAUUGGCACCACCUUGUUACCACCCAUUCGGUUGUCAUUGAUCUAUUUUUUUACAAGAGAACACUGAGGUCUUCGCCUGGUCAUACGAGGACAUGCCAGGCAUCCCUCCCGAUAUCAUCUGUCAUCGCUUAAGUAUUAACACCAAGACCAAGCCAAUGAGAUAGAAGUUAAGAUCUUAUGACGCUGAACGGUACGAGGCAAUGAAGGCAGAAGUUGAAAAACUCAAAGGCAUAGGCUUCGUCCACGAAGUCAAUUAUCCAAUGUGGGUAACAAAUGUUGUCCUUGUUAAGAAGAAUCCGACCAAGGAAAUUCUCCUGCUCCAAAAGGUUUUGUGGAGAAUGUGUGUUGAUUACACUGACCUAAACAAAGGAUGCCUAAAGUAUAGCUUUCCUCUUCCUCUCAUAAAUAAACUUAUAAACUUUACGGCAGGGUGUGAACUCCUGAGCUUCAUGGAUGCUUACUCAGGAUACAACCAAAUCCUCAUGAACCCUCCAGACCAAGAACACACAGCCUUCACUACUGACAGAGGACUAUAUUGUUAUAAAGUCAUGUCAUUUGGCCUAAAGAAUGCAGGAAUGACUUAUCAGAGACUGGUCAAUUCAAUGUUUGCCAAACAGAUUGGGAAGAGCAUGGAAGUGUACGUUGAUGAUAUGCUAGUUAAAAGAAAACAUGCUGACCAAUAUAUCGCUAACCUAUCUGAAACUUUCACCAUUCUGAAGAGGUAUCGAAUGAGGUUGAACCCCAACAAAUGUGCCUUCGGCGUAGGCUCUGGAAAAUUCUUAGGCUUCAUGAUUAGCCAACAAGGCAUUGAAGCUAAUCCCGAGAAGAUCCAAACAAUCCUCUACAUGAAGGAACCGGUAACUUCAAAAGACGUACAGGCUCACUUGAGGAAUGUUACCUACAAGCAGCACAUCUCCAACUACUAUGACUCAAAGGUCAAACCUCGUUCUUUCAAAGUAGGGGACUGGGUAUUGAAGAAAGGAUUACUUUACGACAGAGUCUCGAGUGAAAGAACAUUUAGUCCAAAUUAGGAUGGACCGUUUGAAGUUGUUGGUAUCAAUCGCCCUGGCUCCUACAAGUUUAGAAGCUCUAAUGGCAAGACCUUUGGCCAUCCAUAGAACGCUGAUCACUUGAAGUACUAUUACAAGUAAACUCACAUUGUACAAGUGUUGAGCUUCAGCCAUUCGGCAUUCUAUGUAACGAAGACUAUUUGGCAUGAAUUCAAUAAAGAGGUGAUUUAGAUAACUCGGUCCAAAUCCUCUUACAUUCCUAGCAAUGAAACACUCGGGUUCAAAGCUUCAACAUGAAUGCUUCUAACAUGAAACAAAGUCUAAGUAUAUGUCAACAAGACUAUACAAAUAAACGAACAACUUCACAAUAUAUUCGUUCAAUCAUACAUUCCAACACAUUCAUACAUAAGCCAACUGUGCUUCAAAAGGGUUCAACAUACUUUAUGUCAUUCGACACUUGCUACAAUGUGCCUCAACACCUUGCCAUUAUUCUCACCAACCAGGUGAUGAAAUGUGAAGAAUGAACUCAACUUCAUGCCACCAACCAGGUGAUGAAAUGUACAACCCGUACUCUCCUUCAUGCCACCAACCAAGUGAUGAAAUGUACAACCCGUACUCUCCUUUAUGCCACCAACCAGGUGAUGAAAUGUACAACCCGUACUCUAAUGUCAUUUGGCAACUUGCCACUCAUGCCACCAACUAGGUGAAGAAUGAACUCAUCUUCAUGCCACCAACCAGGUGAUGAAAUGUACAACCCAUACUCUCCUUCAUGCCACCAAUCAUGUAAUGAAAUGUAUAACCCGUACUCUAAUAUCAUUUGGCAACUUGCCACUUAUGCCACCAACCAAGUGAUGAAAUGUACAACCCGUACUCUCCUUCAUGCCACCAACUAGGUGAUGAAAUGUACAACCCGUACUCUAAUAUCAUUUGGCAACUUGCCAUUCAUGCCACCAACCAGGUGAAGAAGGAACUCAUCUUCAUGCCACCAACCAGGUGAUGAAAUGUGAUGAAAGGUGAUGAAGGAACUCACCUUCGUACCACCAACCAAGUGAUGAAAGCAACUCACCAUUCAUUCCACCUACCAGAAGACGAGUGGUACAACUUGUACAUGUGAACUCCUAGCAUUCACAAAUAAUCAAAAACCCUCAAGCUUGACAACUCAACUAGGGGAGCACUUAUGCCCAACAAGAGUUAUAUAGUCACCAACAAAGUCUUAUUGCAAGCCAACAACAACUUCAGUGCAUGGCAUACGAAGAUCAAGCUAUUCAGCCCUCUUGCAUCUGCUUCAAACAUUUCUCCUCUGUAACAAUGCAAACACUACAACUCGUAGAAAGCUUCACACACUCUUGAUCAAGACAGUGUGAAGCAAAACCAAUUUAUGGUGCCAACAAGAGCUUCAUCAAUGGAGGGCAACCACAAUUCUCAAAAGCUUCACACACUCUUGAUCAAGACAGUGUGAAGCAAAACCAAUUUAUGGUGCCAACAAAAGCUUCAUCAAAGGAGUUCAACCACAAUUCUCAAAAAGCUUCACACACUCUUGAUCAAGACAGUGUGAAGCAAAACCAAUUUAUGGUGCCAACAAGAGCUUCAUCAAUGGAGGGCAACCACAAUUCUCAAAAGCUUCACACACUCUUGAUCAAGACAGUGUGAAGCAAAACCAAAUUUAUGGUGCCAACAAGAGCUUCAUCAAUGGAGGGCAACCACAAUUCUCAAAAGCUUCACACACUCUUGAUCAAGACAGUGUGAAGCAAAACCAAUUUAUGGUGCCAACAAGAGCUUCAUCAAAGGAGUUCAACCACAAUUCUCUCAAAAGCUUCACACACUCUUGAUCAAGACAGUGUGAAGCAAAACCAAUUUAUGGUGCCAACAAGAGCUUCAUCAAUGGAGUUCAACCACAAUUCUCAAAAGCUUCACACACUCUUGAUCAAGACAGUGUGAAGCAAAACCAAUUUAUGGUGUCAACAAAAGCUUCAUCAAUGAAAGGCAACUACAACUUAUAGAAAGCUUCACACUCUUGAUCAAGACUGUUCGAAGCAAAUUCAAUUUAUAUGGUUCAUCCAAACCUUCGACUACUUCAAUUUGUAUAUGUUGUCUCUUCCAUAUUUUCAAAUUUCUAGUUUCCCAACAAAAAAAAAUGGGAAAUUCAACAAAGCUUCAUCAAUAAAGGACAACUACAAAUUCUCAAAACCUUUACACUAUCUUGAUCAAGAUAGUGUGAAGCAAAAUCAAUUCAUGGUACCCAACAAAGCUUCACCACAAAAGCUUCACCAACAAAAGCUUCAUCAAUGGAGGACAACUACAAAUUCUCAAAAGCUUCACACUAUCUUGAUCAAGAUAGUGUGAAGCAAAAUCAAUUCAUGGUACCCAACAAAAUCUUUAACUCCAAAGCUUCACCUACAAAGCUUCAACUCCAAAGCUUCACUUACAAAAGGUUCAACACAAAAGCUUCACCUACAAAGCUUCAACUCCAAAGCUUCAACACAAAAGCUUCAUCCACAAAAGCUUCACUCACUAAAAAAGCUUCACCUACAAAAGCUUCACCCAUAAAAGCUUCACCAACAAAAGCUUCACCCACAAAAGCUUCACCCACCACAAAAGCUUCACCUACAAAAACUUCACCCACCACAAAAGCUUCACCCAUAAAAGUUUCACCAACAAAAGCUUCACCCACCACAAAAGCUUCACCCACAAAAGCUUCACCUACAAAAGCUUCACACUAUCUUUAUCAAGAUAGUGUGAAGCAAAAUCAAUUCAUGGUACCCAACAAAGCUUCAACCUCAAAGCUUAACCUACAAAGCUUCGACACCAAAGCUUAAUAUAUAUAUAUAUAUAUAUAUAUAUUCAAAAAUUCAAAAAUUCGAAAAUUCGAAACAAAAAAUUGCCUAAGCUUCCUCUUCUUUGGGCCUAACAACUUUCAUAACAAAUAUAUAUAUGAAGAAGGAGUUUUAGGCUACCACUUAGAAAGGAAAUGCCUCAUUCGUCAACUCCCUCGACCGGAGACUUGGGGGACUCCUACCAUAUGCUACUGCACUUUGAUACUCGAAAGUCUCACGACCACUCAGUGACUUGGAUUUUUCAAGUCUCCAACUGAGAAGUUUUCCUCACUUGGGAAAUUAAGGGAGCACUACCUCAACAUACAUGCUUCACUCACAAAGCUUCAACAUACAAGCUUCAACAAAAGAAAAAAUUCAAAGAACUUAGUGAAGAAGGCCUUGGUGUAUUUAACACAAUACGUUGAAAUGAAGCAAAGCUUGUUUAUUGAUAUCUUCGAUAAGUUACAAAUAUGUACAUAUACAUGAAUAAAAAUAAACAAACAAGAGGGAGCCUUCACAAAGGUUGCUCAGGAGAAGUCUCAGCAGUCGGCAGAGCCCCAGAAAGAGGAGGCACCAAAGGGUGAUUAUUUGAAGCCUCAAUACUGGGCAGAACCCCAGAAGAAUGAGGCACCGAAGGUUGAUCAUUUGGAGCUGCAUUAUGCGGUACAACCCCAGAAGACGAAGGCAAUAAAUGCCUUUGGAACAAACCCACAAACCUCUGAUGAUCAAGUAAAAUCUGACCAUCAGAUUCCUGCAGCUGGUCGAGCUUCCUCUUCAUGUUUGUAGCAUAGUCAUGUGCGAGCCUGUGCAACUGUUUAUUCUCAUGCUUGAGCCCUAUGAUCUCUUGUUUGAGACUUAUCACUUCAGCCGCCAAUGAUUCAACUUGGUGGGUUAGACACAGAACCUGCACACUGAACACUGAGAGCCUGAGAAUCCUUAACAGCCAACUCAUCAGACCGUUUGGAAAGUAGUCUGUUAUCUUUGGGAGUGAGAAGGUUCCUGGCCACCACCGCAGCGGUCAUAUCAUUCUUCAUCACAGAGUCCCCAACGGUAAAAGAACCAGUAGGGGAUAAGAAGGAUGGGCGCCAUAUGUUGUCUUGAGAAGGCAUGGCUGCCUCUUCACCAAAGUUCAAGUCAAAAUGACGGUCGGAUGGGCCAGACAUUCUCAGAAACGAUGAAGGAGAAAUAAGGUGCAAUAAAUCUCUGAAGUACAAAAAUAAAGGGAAAAUUUAUGCAAGUAAUAACUCUCUGAACGUACUUCUUGCACACAAUUGGUGCCCCUAUAAAAGAAAGGGCAACAUGGCCGUUGGUUCAAAAAUCGAAGAGGCACCACUCUUCGGAUUUCUAGAAGCAAAUUUUCCUGAGUAAAAUAUGUCGACAAUCCCCGCACGCAACAUCAGCUCCUUAGGUACCACAGAUAACUUUGCCAAAGAUCUCUAACAAAGUUUAGACAUAUAAAUUUAACCCUACUAUUACCCACAAAGGUAAAGGAACAAACCGCUGCUUGAUAACUAAAAAGUCCCUAUGUGUGUCGACCUCCGUGCUCAGUGGCAAGGCAGACUGGCAAAAAUGCCCAACCUUUACUCACAUUCGAGAAAACAUUCCCAAUAAGGUUACUUGCUCAAAUAUCGAAGAGGCACCAUUCUCCGAAUCUCAAGAGCCAGACUCCCAACAGGAUUAUUUGCUCAAAAAUCGAAGAGGCUUCGCCCUCCGAAUCUCGAGAGCCAGACUCCUAACAGGAUUACUUGCUAAAAAUCAAAGAGGCAUUGCUCUCCAAAUCUCAAGAGCCAGACUCCCAACAAGAUUACUUGCUCAAAAAUCGAAGAGGCAUCGCCCUUCGAAUCUCGAGAGCCAGACUCCCAACAAGAUUGCUUUCUCAAAAAUCGAAGAGGCACCGUUCUCCGAAUCUCGAGAGCCAGAUCCCAGACAUGAUUGCUUGUUCGAACACCGAAGAGGCACCGCUCUUCGAACUUCGAGAGCCAAAUUUUUAGAUAAAGCUUGUCUGCAAUCUUCACACGCAACAUCAGCUUUCCAGAUACCACAGACCACUUUUUCAAAGUGCUCUGACAAAGUUAAAACACGUGAAUCUUGCAGCUUCCACUACAUUGCUAUGAUCGAGAAGGGUAAAGGAACAGCGUUACCACUCGAUUUUGGGACAAUUCCUAUAUAUGUCGACCCUCUUCCUCCACAUCCAGGCAGACUUGCAAAUAAAAAAAUGUUCAACUUUUCUUCACAUCCGAGAGGGCACUCUCAGCAGAGUCUCUAAAAAUACUCAGCUUCUUUUCCCCCCGAUAAUACCUCUACAAACAAGCCACACCAGAGCAAGAGUAUCUCAUAUCAUCAGGGUUAAAAGCAAGAGUAUCUCAUAUCAUGCUUUUUCCUUGUCUUUUCCUUUGGCCUUGUUCUUACUUGCAAGAUAAGGAGAAAGAGAGCAAUCAAUCAACACUUGGAAUCAAGCUUCCAGUUAGGAACUGACUGCCUGGAACCCCUUGCCUUAUUACUUACAUGGCAUUGCUCUCGAGUACUCAUUUUCAACAUCUAAUGCUUCCAGAGAAGAUACCACAUAUGCUUGAGGAACAGAUAAGGCAAGUGAGAAGGAUACAAGGAAGUAUGUGGAGACAAGCGUAACAAAACACGUGCCGAUACAUCCACUACUUUGUCAACAGCAAAAGUAUCCCAUAUCAUCAAAGUCGAACGUACUCUAGAUUUGAUGGACUUGUUUUGACCCUCAAAUUCUUGAGUCGGCCUUAUACUUUGGAGGAAACCAGAAAACCUUCCAGCCUAGUUCAAGAAUAAGCCUGUGGAAAUUUACUUCUUCAAAAGCAAAAGUAUCUCAUAUCAUCUUUUCUCUUUUUUCUUCUCUUUAUCCUUCUUGCUGCCUGCAAGAUAGGGAGAAUGAGAACAAUCAGCCAGAACUCGAAAUCAAACUUCUGAUCUAGGACUGAUUACUUGGAACUUUGAUUGCUUACCUUGUCUGUCACCUCUUUCGGCAAAUCUCCUAGCUCGACGGCUUAGGAGACUCCUACUACAUGGUUUGUAUCGUGCUUGACCUAGCCUGAAACUACAAGUAAGCUUCAAGUCAAAUUGAUACAUUACCUUGUGCAUCUCCACCGGUUAAAGAUACCACCCCUGGAUGGAGGAAAAGUACUUUCAGAGAAGAUGCCACAUCUAUUUAUGAGACAAAUAAGGCAAGUGAAGACGAUAUCACACUUCGAUACUUAGAAGUUUCAUGAUUACUCAGCGGCUUGGAUCUUGCAAGUCCCCAACCGAGGAGCAUCCCUCACUCAGGAACCUAGGGAAGCACUGUUUGUACCAUACUUGACCAAUCCUGAACUACUGAGCACUGGUCAACGUUAUACCGUCAAGGACCCAUAAGAGUUUCCUUCCAACCAGGAGGCCAAUCAUAGCGCGGCAUGUGUCGACAUCAGAAACCAAUCAUAGCGCAACACGUGUCAACAUCAGAAGUCAAUCACAACACGACACGUGUCAAUGUCAAAACAAAGAUAGAAACUUUCUUAUAUAGAAGGAGAUCAUUCUCCCACAAUAUUUCCGAAUGUCAUUUGUACUAAAUCAUUCACUUGUACUCACUAAAGGAGAGCUUGAACCUAUGUACGUAUGUAACCCUUCAUAAUUAAUGAGAACUCCUCUACUCCGUGGACGUAGCCAAUCUGGGUGAACCACGUAGCUCAAUAUUGUGGAGGUCAACCAAGAAGACCUUAGUUGCAACUUUUUCGAACCAUGCUGAAAUUCUCGCCUUGCAUGAAGCUACGCGUGAAUGCUUAUGGCUGAGAAACAGUUAUGGAACAUAUUUGAAUCACCUGCGGACUUUGUCAUUGACGUCCCUACAACAAUAUAUAAAGAUAACGCAGCAUGUAUCGAACAAAUUAAGAAGGGAUACAUCAAACGAGACAACACCAAACACACUGCGUCAAAAUUCUUCUUUUCACAUCAGCAACAAGAGCAUCAGAAGAUUGAAAUCAAGCAAAUCUAUUCCCAGGACAACCUAACUGAUCUUUUUACCAAGUCAUGGCUAAAGUCUACUUUUAGAAGCUUGUUCAAGGAAUUGAUAUGCGUAAAUUAUAUGUUUUGAAUUACUUGUAGUUCUCAUUUGGAAGUUUUGUCAAGUUCAGGGGGGUAUCUAGAAUGUGGGACCAUGAUUUUCCUGGGCGGAAGUAAGGCGGAACAAAAUACAAAUACCUCAGAAGUCAUGUCAUGGACUCAACAACUCUGAGCAGAGCUGGAUUAAUGGAGCCAUGAUGCCACCAUCAUCCUAUUCCAGAGUAAUGGGUGAAGCCCAAACAACUUUGUUGAGAAUGCCCAUUCUUGUUCUACAAGAUAUGGAAACCUGACUCAACAUGGAAUCAGCCAGGUUUCCUAUAUAUCAUGGAGUUCUUAUAAUCUAGGAACUAGUAUGCGCCGUAAGUAAUCACACUCUUGACUAGUAUAAAUACCCCCUUAUAGGGUUCAUCUCUAGUAACGCAGUCAUCACACUCUAACUCUCUUACUUACUACUUGAGUCUUAUAUUUACUUACUAACCCGAUCUUUGGCUUUCGCACAGUUGUUUGUUAUUUUAUAGGUUACUCGAAUUUGUGCAUCUCUACCACCUAUAGCGAUGCACGAAUUUGGUUCCAACACAGACGUAUAUUCACUUAAUCUUAAUGUACUCUUUUUAACUACGCUUAGAUGCAAUUUUUCUUUUGUUUUUUUUUUUUUGCUACCUGACGAGGUUUUAACAAGGCACCCAUCUUAGGUUGGUCAUAUCCUUGUGUUCAUUCUACUUGCGUCCUAAAGGUGUUUAGUUUUGACUUAAUGUAAGUUCUCAUUUUUCUCCUAAAACUAUGGGGAUUUAUCCUACUAUGAGUUUUACCAUAGUAACUUUUAUGAAUUCUACUACUUAUGCAUUCUUUCGUUUAAUUUAAGACUUGCAUUCCCUCACUGUGACGACGACUUCAUCAAUUGAACUUACUUCAUCCUUGAAGACCUGAUGCAACAUUUUGUUUUAGUAUUUACACACUCAAGAGGGAGUGUUGCAGUCUUAGUUUAGUUAGGAAUGUGAUUAUGGAAAUCCUAUUGAGAUUCUCCCCUCUUUACUACUAUAAAUAAAGGCACAAUGAAGUGAGAUAACACACACCUCAUAAUUCAUUGAUUCAAGGAUCUAAACUGCCUAUAUUUCAAUUCAUCAACAAUAGAUCAUCCUUAAAAAAAAAUUAGACAAAUCCAAAACCACUAAGACAUUCAGAUGUAUUGAAGAAAAUGAAUUUGGGUGGUUUUUGAUAGAGAUGAUCAUUAAGAAGGAGAUACAAAAGAUAGACGGUUGGAUUGUUAAAAGACAUUACGGAGUGAACCCCACGAAAAGAUGUGUCAAAAUGUUGUAAAAAAGGUGUGCCUCCAAAUCAUCCAAACCCAUAAAUAUACAUAUACGUAUAUUUGGGAAGUUUGGGAACAACAUAUAGGCUUGAGUCCCUGUAGUUAGUGUGCUAAUAUACUUAUUAACUUUUCAGAAAUCAAACCUUUAAGUAUAUAUUUAAGAAGUUUUGGGAAGUUAGUACUGACACACCCUGACUUGGGUAUCCAAGCGAACACCAAAAUCGAGGCAUGUUAGCUGACACAUGAAUGGGUGGUGAGAGCCAUAACAUGCACUGUCAGAGCAUAGUUUAAACUAAAUUAACUAAGAGUGAAGUGCGGGAAUGAACCCUUAGUACAGUGAUGCAGUGUCAUAGCAUAGUUAAAAUUGAAAUAAAAAAUAGAAUAUUCUAUCUUGGUUAGGAUGGAUAUUAUACAACUAAUAGGAGGUAGAAUUCUGACAUUAUUGUACGCAAAUGUCAAAACCACCAGUGGUCCCUCAUCGCCACAAAAUCCAACUACUUAGUCCGGGAGGGGCGCAAAUCAAAGAGCGUGAGUAGGCAAAAAUAAGGGUUUCUAAAACCUUCGCUUUUCAUAACAUAAUAACCCUUUGUUGUGAAACCCUUGUUGCAUCAAAAUACAGCCCUAGCCUUUGUGUGAUGCAUCGAUGUAAACUUCAUAUUCACCACUCUCGUCAGGAAGUACAAGUACUGGAGCGUGAGUGAGGCGAUAUUUAAGUUCUUGAAAACUAUGCUCACAAUCAUCAUUCCACUUAAAAGUCGCACCCUUUCGGGUCAACUUAGUAAGUGGGGCAGCAAUUGACAAGAAAUAUUUCACGAAUCUUUGGUAGUAUCCGACCAAACCCAAGAAACUUCGAAUCUCGGUAACAAUCUUCGGUUACUCGCAAUUGAUAACGGCAAAAAUUUUCUUAGGAUCAACAAAGAUUCCCUCAGCCGAGAUGAUGUGGCCUAAGUAACCAAUGUUAUCCAACCAGAAUUGACAUUUGUUGAACUUCGCAAACAACUUCCUCUUUCGUAACCUUUCCAACAGUAACCUUAGAUGACAGACAUGUUCUUGUUCACACUUGGAAUAUGCCAAGAUAUCCUCGAUAAAGAUCAUCACAAAUUCAUCUAAAUAAGAUUAAAAAUCCUAUUCAUCAAAUCCAUGAAAGUCGCAGGAGCAUUUGUCAAGCAGAAAGGCAAGACAAGGAAUCCAUAAUGACCAUAUCAGGUCCGAAAUGCAAUUUUAGGGACAUCCUCAUCUCGGAUCUUCAACUGAUGACACUUCAAUCUUGAAUCAAUCUUGGAAAAGACUUCUUUUCCUAACAAACAAAAUUGGAGCACCCCAAGGCGAGAUACUAGGUUGAAUAAUACCCUAUCAACCAGUUCUUGUAGUUGAAUUUUCAAUUCUCUUAACUAGGCAGAUGUCAUAUGAUACGGAGUAAGAGAGAUUGGAUUGGUACCUGGUAAAAAAUCGAUGGUGAAUUCAAUCUCCCGAUCAGAGGGCAAUCUAGAUAAAUCCUAUAGAAAUACAUUGAGGUACUUAUUUACGAUCGUCACAUCUUCAACAUUAGGGACUUCUUUUUCUUUAACCGUGACAUGAGCAAUGUAUCCCGCACAUCCUUUAGACAAUAGUCUUUUAGCUCGGAGUCAAGAAAUAAGACUAUUAGGUAAGAUCCUUCGUUCGCCCUUGAAUUUGACAUAUGCUCCUCCAGGUGGACGAAAGAUUACCAACUUCUGAAAACAAUCAAUGUGAGCAUGAUGUCUCGAUAGCCAAAUCAUACCUAACAUAAGGUCAAAAUUUACCAUAUGUAGGGGUACAAGAUCCGUUUCCAUGAGUACUGCACUCAUAAAGAUCAGACAAUUUCUAAAUUCCCAGUUAAUUCGAAUGGUUUCUCCCAUAGGAAACAUAAUCCAAAUUCAUGAUCUAAUAAAGUAUGUUGAACAUUCUCCAUACAAGUAAAUUGAGGAGAUAAACAAGAAUGGGUAGUGCCUAGAUCAAUUAAAAACUCAAGCAAGAUAUCCAAAAGCAUUUAACGUACCAGUGAUAACAUUAGGAUCCUUAUCGGCCUACUGACGAUUCAUUUCAAACAUAUGAUUCUACGUUGCACCACCCGAACCACCAGAAGUAAGUCCACCAUGAGAUCUAUGAGUUUAACCCCGAUGACCCUAUCGGUUAAUCUAACUCCGACUACCAGAAACUCCACCGCUGGACUGUCCCUAGGGGUUGCGUUUAUUGCACCGAACUAUCUCAGACUGGACUAGCUUUAGGGAUUAAGCUAGACUGCUUAGAUUAGACUAAGUUGGACUAACUUAGUGAAGUAUUUGGUACAAUGUCGGACUAAAAAGAGAAUAAUAAAAAAAAUUUCUUUUUUAUUCUUUUUCUUUCUAUUUCUGGAACUCUCUAUCUAUUUUUCUUUUUCUUAUUAUUUUUGUUUUCUAGGACUUUCUAUUUGAUUCUCCAUCUAUUUUUCUUUUUCAUUUUUUUCUUUUCUUUUCUUUUCUAGAACUCUGUAUUCUCUCCCUUCUCUGUUUCUCCAUCUGUAGUCCCCUAAGUUAGUCAAAGUGCACAAAUUGAUAAUCACAAAAUGGAGACAUGCCUCACUUUCAAUUCUCAAUUCCUAAUAUUUUUUUUCCCCAAAUUUCCAAUUCCCACCAAAAACCCCAAUGACUGCUCAUCCCAAUUCCAUCGGCGACCAUGUCAAGUUUUGCCAUUCGACAACCUCUCUCUCUCUUUCCUUUGUUUUCUCGUCUAAAUUCAUCCGGCCAAAUCCCUCUCUUUCCCAAUUUCAUCAGCGGGCAUGGCAAGUUUUCCGGUCUAGGUGGUUCUGAUUCUAAGAUUUUAGGGGGUUUUUGGUGGUUCUGCACUCCAUCGCGAUGCAAGAUUAUGGUGGUGGGUCGAGGGGCUUUAGGAAGACAAGAGGCAGUGACAUAGUCCUAGCUAAUACCAAAGUUUCAGUCGGGACUAGCUAGCGACGCUUAGCGAAGUUCAGAGUCGAGGCGAGUCCGACCUAGAAUCAUUUAAGUUAGUCCCUUGCUACGCCAAACACAGGACUACACAGACUAUUAGUCCAGUCCUAUCCAGUGAAUGUUAACGAUGUCAAACAAACACCCCCAAGAAGUAUUCUACUGAACCAAAUGCGGAGAAGAUUAUGGAACUUAAGGCAUAACAGGUUGAGAAAGCUGGUGAAUAAAAGGAUAGGCAUAUAAACUGGGCUGAAAAAACUAUUGCCCAUCAGCAGGAUAAGGUGCAAGCUAUUUAUAUGAAUUAUGCGGAACUUCAUGUUCAAGUUGCUAAGUCAUUUCAUAAGAUAUCCCCAACUGUUGCCUCAGAUAAGGGCAAUUCCUUAGAAAAUGUCUUGACUGACAACAAUUGAAGCAAAGUCUCAUACCCGGUCUACACUCCCCAUCAUGGUAUGUGAAGCAAAUAGUGUAGAAAGGUAUGUGGUCCUUACAAAAAGAGCCACCCCAAGAUUCAUUGCCAGAGAAUCGGCCAUUGCUGGUAAAACCCUUGCUGGCAUGAGGUGUAGUAUUGUUAGAUCCACCGUUAGUAGACCCAGAAAACUGACCUUUCUUCUUAAUAGCUACCUUACUCUUCAUUCCGCCCAUGGACAAUGCUUCCUUGAUAUUUUUGGCCUUAAACUUACUCUUAAAUACACCAAACUGUCAUCCACCACCACUAGUGCUCGUUUGUUUACCCUUCGCUAUCUGAUUUUCCUUCUUCUAAUUAAUCACUUAUUCAACUCGCUAAGCUGUGUGGAAAGAUGUCUCAUAAGUGACACCGUCGCUAACAAUGGCAUAAGUGCACAAUUCCGGAUUAAGGCCAGAAAUAAACUGCUUUCUCUUCUCAUCAGCACUAUCUUGAAUACCCGGGCAAUACUUGACCAAUCGCCAAAAUUCUCGCUCAUAGUCAACAACAGACAUAUCCCAUUGCUCGAGAACCAAAAACUCUCAUCUCCUGAUAGCUUGAAACUCAAGACUCAAAAAAUUACUCUUGAACUACUCCUCGAAAAGAUCCCAAGUCCAAACCUCAUCAGCCUGAAUGUUGUGACGCUCUGUCUUCUACCAAUUCUUAGCGUUGUCAACCAUGAAGAAAGUUGUUGUGCUUACUCUCUAGUCCAUCGGACAUCAUCCAUAUGCUCCAACCAAGAUUCAACUUCUUCCCCGACUCCACGACCGUCAAGAAAGUAAGGACCAUGACUCACGACAAUUUUCGCCUAAGUGCGACCACGAUUUGCAUCAGGAAUCAGUUGGGCUAAUGCCUCAGUUAACUGUUGUAAUCCCAAAAUAGGAAUAUGUUCACACCUAGGUGGCAUAAUUUGCCAAGUAGACAUUAAAUAAUUAGCACAAUUACUGGCAUCAUACAAUGCAAAUGUAUGUUUCCCCUAACCAUGCUCUGAUACCAAACUGACACACCGCAACCCUAAUAACACAAGUUAUAAGGCCAUAAUGUGCUGGCCGACACUAAAUUGACCAUAUGACCCCAUUAAGAGACAACGUCACAUGCCAACUUAAUGACGAAGCCAUAGUAAGGUAUUUAUGAUGUGCAAGAAUUUGAACAAAAACGUUCAUCACUAAUAAAUCCAAAGCUUCUACAAGUUCGCUUAUCAACCUCCCCACUUGGGGACACGAAUUAUCUCGAGAUUAACUGUCAUUAUUAUCACAUCACAUUAGAGCAACUAGAAGUUUCACACAACUAUAAACACAUAAAAGCACAGUAUUAUGCAUGAUCAAAAGUGCGAUCAUGCAACUAUUACAAUAAAGAUAAAACUAUAGUAAAUGAACCAUCAUCCUAAAUCCAUAUGAUGAAAGCCUCACUGCCAAGCCCACUCGUCACCAUCGGCAUUCUCCUUAUUCUCGUUACGUCCUAAAGGGGUUGACAAAAAAAACGUAAAUGGACCAGUUUUAUCACAUUUAAAGUUAUUCAACAUAAUAGUCCCUGUUUUGAAAACAUGUAUAGUGAAAUUUACAUACACAGUAAUACUACAAUAAUAGUAGUCAAGACCAACUCAAUCGUGCUCAUCAUAUCAAAGAAAGUAAAUCAAUCACAAAUAACGUAAUGUAUAGCAAGCAGGUAAAGUGACAUCUACCUGAUCGAUAUCUAGCAUCUACUAGCACAUUCUAGCCUCUAUUAGAAAAAAGGUACUUGCAAUAAGUCCUACGGCCAUAGCUAGCUAUAUGUAUGAUAACCAUGUGAUGAAAAUAAAUCACCAAUGAUCUCAAGAUAUCUUCUAAAUACAAUUCAAGCAUAAGUCUUGUAAGACCCAACAAUAUCACCUCUCCAGUGGACAUAACAUAAGCACGCACCCUAGGACACGACUUGGAGUGAAUAGAAAGCUAAGCCUACCCCCGAAGAGGAUCGAUCUAAUCAGGUGAUACCCUGAUACUAUCGAAUACAAACAAAUCAACUCUGGAGAGAACCAAGUCAAUCAAGAGUACAUACUCCACCAGCUGUCCAGGUACUAGGCUGCGCAGGCUAGCCUGCACAAUACCUUCUAGGCCACGUGAUGUGCCAUGCGAGGCAGUUUGGCACAGCCACUCCUCUCACCCACGAUGGAGAAAAGACAAAGUGUCCUUCUCCGACAUGGCAUUCGUAUGUCAGAUCGAUCUCCUUGUUGGACCCUUUAUUCCAAGCUAUGCAAGGGAAUGUCUAGUGAUGUGGACCGACUUCAUAGGGGGCCUAUAAAUAUGCCUGGUGACCCUUCACCAUAGGUAAGCCCAUCAACACCCCCAUAAAUACACUUUGCACCCCUCUCUACAAUCAUUGACUUAAGCAUCGGAGCCUCCACGCCAGGAAAUACCCUUCUCGGUGCUCAGACUCACAAUGUUGGCCUGUUCUUCAUCUACAGGUUUCACUCCACGGUGGUGGAAAAUCGGCUCCAACAAGUCUUAUCAAAGACUAACAUAAGUAAUAUGCAUCCGCAUAUAAAAUCAUAUAUAUAUAUAUAUAUAUAUGAUUUUAUAUAUCUAUAUAUAAUCGUAAAAACAUUUAGUUGUUCAAAGGGGUCCACUCAUAGGUAAGUAGAGUAUCCCUCCUCAAUAUGCUCCUUGCCUAAACUCUUUCGAUCCUCUAAUAAGUCAGUAAUAAUCAUAUAAAUCUAAGUUAUCUUUAAUCGACAUUUUAUGGAAAAUUGUCCAAAACUACCAUUUAGGUAAUGAAUUUGCACAAACGGAGGGUGUCACGUGAAUUUAAAACACCGAAAAACUAUGGAUAGGUCACAGAUCAUGCACGCGCCGUAGCGAUUAUGUCAUGCACUGUCAUGCGCCGCCAUGGGCCGUCAACGUCGUACUCACCACCGUUGUUCAGUGAGUAGACGUCACGCUUGCCAUCGCCAGUAUGGUGAGGUUUUAAGUGAGUUAACCAAAUAUACCUGCUCCGUUAGUAGAUAACGGAAAUUCAGUUCCUUCUAUUAAGGUUAAUAGAUGAUCAUCGCCCGUCGCCAUCGCUGGUUCCUUAAGUCUCGCCAAUUUGAAUGAUUUCAACGCCAAAAUUUGUGUAAUUUAGUCCUAAAUAUGAUCAGGAACUUACCUAGACCCUUUUUAAGACGAUGAGAGGUUGAAUCCACCUCAAAUUGAACGAGUGAAGCUAGAAACUGACAUACAACUAGGUUAAUUACUUGGGUUCGAUUCUAGUGGAGUCCAUGCACCACCAGUCAUAAACUCGUUGGAGUUCAUCCGUUCACACUCGCCGAGAACUGCAAAAAGAUAUAAGGUGCAUUCAGGGGUUAGGACUCGAUUAUGGAGUUAAAAACCUCAUCCCAAGUAUCACAAAAACUAUUGGAGAGAAUAGAAGUACUAGGACACCCACCGGUUUCUAACUCAACGAUAUUUCACCGAAAUUCGUCGACAAGGCUGGGUUCGAAGGUACAGAAAAUUGCUUGCAGAGGUUGAAACCCUCGAGUUUCAACAUAAAACUAACACCACAGGGUGAAAAACAACAUGAUUAAACCCGGAAAUUCAAAGGAUAAACAGAGGCCUCACCUGGGUAUGAAGUUUGAGAGCUUCUAGCUCUUUGCUUUAAUGGUGCCGAGGUCCACACUGCACCGAUCUCACAUGCAAGACCACUAUUCUGAUCCUUGCAUCCCACAGACUUCGAACAUGUAAAAUUUAGGUUUGAUUUGUGAAGGUAAGCGAUGUAAGUAUAAACUAACACACAAAUUAAACUAUAAAUUAUGCAAUCGUAGUACGAGUAAGUAGGGAUCGCUCUCUUCUGGAGAUUAGAAGUGAUGCUAAUCAACACAGAUUGAACUUAAAAAACUCAAAACUAAGUUAAACUAAUAAAAAAACAGUGACUGGGGGGAUUUUGGACGAAUUUAAUUAAAACAAAAGUAAAUGGCAAGAAGUAAAUUAACUUGUGAAUGAAAUAUGGAUUAAAAUGUAGCUAAAGGAUUCUUCUCCACACAUGAAUCAUAUGCAUACAAAUCGAUUUCCAACUAUUGUUCCUAUAAACCAUGAAUGACAAUGCCCAAAUUAAUCGUGAAUAGCACUAAUUAACUCGCUAAAUCCAUUGAAUUAGACUCAGCGACGCAACCAAAUUAUUCUUCUCAAGUUCCCUAACUAUGAAAACCAUAAUAAAGAUACAUCUCAAAGAUCAUUAAGUUCUGUGAAAAUCAUAAGCAUCGACAAAGCAUUCAUAACUAUGAAAAACAUGAUAUUCCUGCCAAGGAUUUACUUAACAUAAUCAGAACUAGUAACUUUUAAUACUUACAAAUAUAAGUUUAUAACAAUUAGGUGAAAUUCUCUUAUAUUCUAGCAUAAAAUCCCUGCAUGCAAACUAAGUAUGCAUCCUUAACAAGCAUACAAGAAUAAGUUCUCUAUAAAGCAGAUAAGUAAAUCACAUUCAUGUUUUAUGAAACAAUAACUGGAUGUAAUCAAUUUAUAUAAAACAUGUGAUCAUGGCUUCGAAUUCAUCUCUAGCUGUAAAAAAAACUUAGUUGCACAUGUUCAUCAUAAACGAAAAAUAUUCUAAAAUAAACAUUGAAACUUAAAGCAAAGAUAGAGAGAAAUUUGGAAAGUAAGGUUUACAAACUGAUCCCUUGUAGAUGGAAUGGGAUUCAAAUGGGAUGCCGCAAAGCCUUACAAGAAGGCUUAUUUAUACAUGUCAGAAAAGUAAAUAACCAUACAAGUGGCUUUGAUAAACAACACAAAGCAAGGACUAACACAUGCAAAACAAAUGAUGGUGUUCAAUGUCUUUACACCUUGUCAAACACAUGCAGCAACUUUGGGCCUUUUACACACACAUUUUCUGCUAUCUUUCUGUUGUCUUUCCACUGAUAGGAAUCGACAGUUUCAGCCAACACAUGGAAAGGUAGUGUGAAGGAAGCAUGAGUGCACAAACAGCUAGCAGCACAUGGGAAGGUAGUGUGAAGGAAGCAUGAGUGCACAAACAGCUAGCAACACAUGGGAAGCUCUUUUUGAACUUCCAAUCUCUUUAACUAGGAUUCCUUCAGAUUUUAGCACACGUUCAACGCCUUUUAAACACCAAAAUGUCCAAACCAUAUGCUAUCCAACCCAAGUCCAAAACUGUUCCAAAUUGCUCCAUUUGAUUAUUUAUUGUCAUCUUUACCCACUGGACCUACAAUAAUACGAAAAUGACUUAAAUUACUAUAAUAAAUGAAAAAUAACUAAGUAAAUGCAAAGAAAUAAGAUAACAAAGUCGCAUGUAUAUGCUACUACCAGUAAGUGAGAGAGUGAGAGCUUUCUUCUCUUGGUGCUAGAGAGAGAGAGAGUGAGUUUGAGAGAGAAAAAGAGUUUAGAGAGGGAGUGUUCUAAAAAUGAGGGAAGAGAGAGGACCGGAUGUGGAUUUAAUCCCGCUUAAAAUAAUUUAAAUGAAAUCACCCAAUUACCCUCCAUAGUUGCAAAAAUAACAAUUAUGCCCUCAUGGUCUCGAUUCGAAAUUCGUUUCGAAAUUGAACUAACUUCUGAGAAAAUUAAACUUAGAGAUAGUAAAAGAAUAUAAGUUUCGAGUCGAGGCUCGAAAAUUAAUUAAGACAUCCACUCGGACAAAAUAGUCAUUUCACAUAUCUUGGGAAUAAAAUACAAUAUUUCAAGAAAAGGGCCGUAACACUUUGGGCAUCCGAAAAAUUUUAAAUGUGUAAAGUUAAACAUAACUAAUGAAUUUGCUGAUGUGGAUUAUAAUCAAUGAAUUUUAUUCAAGUAAAAAACUUUUGUCGGUUUUUAUGUGAACAAAAUUAAGUUUCAAAAGCUAAAGUCAUAUUUUCAGUCAAAAAAAACUGGCUCGAGUUCCGUUUUACGCACCUUUUUUUCUUUUUCCUCCUAGUCCAUGCAGCUGUUUAUUGGGGCAUCAAUUUAUUGUGCAUUUCUUACAACACCGUUAGACUUCAGUCUUUUACAAGAUCGAUUCUCCUCGUAUGAGAGUCUCACCUGGUCUUGCGUAAGAUUGACAUCCUUGUCAUACCCCCUCCUUUUACGAGAUCCAUUCUCCUCAGAUGAGAGUCUCACCUGGUCUUGCAUAAGAUUGACAUCCUUGUCAUACCUCUGUCUUUUACGAGAUAGAUUCUCCUCAGAUAAGAGUCUCACCUCGUCUUGCAUAAGAUUGACCUCCUUGUCAUACUCACUGGAAAGUGUCAUAGGAUUGGAAAAUUCAUCGACUACAUUUUCCUGCUCCAGGUAAACCCCUAUUUUCUGCACCCUCAGAUGAAUAUCGUCUGUACUCCCGUGUCCUACAAAGCUUGCACCAACAUUUAUCUUGUCCCCAGCGUUCACUUUAAGCGUAUUGUUUGAUAAAUGUCCCAGCCAAAUAUUACUUUCAUGGCGAUUUAGUACGGUGGCAAACAUUGGAGAGCUUGAAAUCUCAGUUUCUUUGGUACGAUUUUCAACACAGAUGCAAAGAGAAUCACUAGAUUGGGAGUCGUUGCAAGAAUAAACGAUGCACAGAGUCAAUGCCUUUGCAUCAUCACCAAAACAUUGCGGCACAACUAUUUCUUUCUUAGGGUCAACGCAUGUAAACCCUGAUGGAAGAUCAUUUCCGGGGAUAAAAAGAGCAGAAACUAUUUCAUCCUUAGGGUCAACGCAUGUAAACCCUGAUAGAAGAUCAUUUCCUGGGCAAAAAAGAUCACCAUUUCUGCUCGCGCUCCAUCCCUAUGCCAUGGAGUAAGAUUUGUACAAAAAGUUAAUAAAUGCAUGUAUGUAUAGGCUGUAUACGGAUGGGUGCAGAUAGAGAGAGAGAGGACCUGUAGGAUUGCUUUUCUAAAAGCAGCAGUGAGAUUGGUGCACCCUUCCAUAUGAAUCCUUCUCAUAGUGUUUAACGACUUAUGCAAGCCUAGAAUCUUAGUGAGUUUGGGGGAGUGAUUCAGAUGCAGUUCUACCAUACUCGACAUUUCCGAAAAAUCUGGCAUCUUUUUCAAUGCAAUGCACUCAUCCGCUUUCAGGAUUUCCAAAUUUGUUGGUAAAUCUGGGAUUUCCUCAAGAUUUUUGCAUUUUGCAACAGAUAAAUACUUAAGGUUCUUCAAUUGUACUACAGAGUGGUGAAUCUCGGACAAACUCUUACAGGCUUCGAGUAUCAAUAUCUCAAUAUUUGGGAUUCUUGAAAAGUCUGGUGAUUGUUUCAGGUGAUCACAAUAACCAAGAUUGAGAAACUUCAACUUUUCAAGUGACUGCAAGACAAAAAGGGAAAACAAGUAUCAAAAUUCAAAUAGAAGAGAGAGAGCAUGAUGUUGGUAUGUAAAAACCUGGUGGAAAGAAUUGAUAGUUUGGUUGGGUUUGUAUCGUACCACGUUGUCAUUCCAGACUUUUAUAUUGCUAUAACUCAGGUCGACAUCAACUACGUUUGGUUGAUUAAAAUCUUCUGGUAUGGCCUGCAGAGGAAAGUCAGACAAACUUAACCAUCUUAACUCUUCGGGAAGAUGUUUGCAGUCUCCAGUGAACUUUACGCCUCUUAUUUUGAGUAAUCUCAGGUUCAGCAUCAUUCUGAAUGCUUCUGUACUGACGCUAAGCUUGUCAGGUUCUGAAAAAUCUAAAGUGAUUCCUUCGAUUUUUUUCUUUUCCUGUUAGAAAGCAAAAGAAACUAAAGUAAGACGAGGGUUAUUUGCUUAGACUUUAACCGGUGCAGAGCACCAGUACUGGAUCAGUGACAAGAGUUUGCUUAGACAUCAGUUUUGUUUGAACAAUCUAAAUUAGUCAUCUGUGUUACAGGGAUAAUUUUCAAAUAAUUCAGUAAAUAAAAUCAGCAUUUUUUUUCUCAUUUAUUACAAACAUGUAUUAAAUGCAAUUUGAUUGAGGAUGUACUUACACAUUUUUUCGUCAAUACGUGUUUUACAUCCUCAUGAUGCCACAAUCUACAGCGACUUUCAAGCUUCUUAGGGGAUUUAGCACGUACAAUUUCUCUGCCCGUGUCUCGAAUCAAACAAUGCAUCAUCAGAUUGCCUUCUGGAUCAACAGUUACAAGGCAUCGCUCCUCGAGUUCCUUAAUACCUAUUGCUGGAUUACUGUCACACCCAUCCAAUAUUGCCAUGACAUGGUGCUUGUUCAUUCCAAUAAAGAAACAGGAUAUGUCAAGGAAUAUAUCCUUCACCUUGUCAUCAGUAAGCCCGUCAUAACUUACCUUAAAAAUUUCAUGAGUUAUGCUAGGCUGUAGUCUUUUCCAUUUUUUCAAUGCAUCUGUCCAUUCACUUGUGGUUUUUGUACAUAGGUAAGAACCUACAGCUUCAAGUGCAAGUGGUAAACCCCCACAAUAAUCAACAGCUUCUCUUGAGACUUUGAGAUAUCCUUCAUUAGGAGAACUUUUUCGAAACGCAUGCCAACUAAGGAGCUCAAGAGCUUCAUUGUUAUUCAUUGUCGGUAGAGAACAUGCAUCAUCCACCACUUCAGGUGUCUUUAGCAAAUUUUUAUCUCUUGUUGUUAUAACAAUUCUACUUCCCGGACCAAACGAGUCAUGUUUUAUAGCUAAUGCAUUUAUCUGUCUCACACUGUCUACAUCAUCAAUUAUGACAAGAACCCUUAUGUUGCGAAGUCUUGUUUUUAUCUCCUCCGUCCCUUCAUUGACUGUACUCACAUUUAUGUUGGCCGAUCUCAAGAUUUUAGACAGAAGAAUGUUUUGCAAAUCAACCAUUUUCUCAUUUCUCACAUUUUCAAGAAAACAUGCACCAUCAAACCUGUCCUGGUAUGUGUUGAAAAUGGCUUUUGCAAUUGUUGACUUACCUAGCCCGCACAUCCCCCAAAUUCCAAUUAUGCGAACAACAUUUGAUCCUCCAACAUCAAAAUAAUUACUGAUUUUUUGGCGGCGAGAAUCUAUUCCAACUGGAUUUGCGGCUACAUUUAAGCAUCCAUUCUGCAGUUUUAUAGCGAUCUCCUCAACAACUUUCCUGAUAAACCUUGCUUCACGCCUGGAAUUAAAAUUCAUAAUUAAGAAAAAGUAAGAUCUACUAGUUAAACUUCUAAACAUUCAUUAGGAGUGUGUAAGAUUCGAAUAUAUUAGUUAAACUUCUAAACAUUCAUCACCAACACACUAAUAUUUAGUGAGAUAGAUCAAGCGUUUAUAUAUUAAUCCUCGUAUCAGAGUUUCUAAGCUUUGCGAUUAUAUUUUGAAAAACAGAACGAUUCAAAGAAUUACUUUGUUAGAGGAAAUAAGCAAGUUAUUACCCGUUAUUCACUCGAAAAUGCUCGCCGCUCAACUCUGCAGCUGCAGUAAGUGCCUCUCUCCACUCCUGGACUUUUUCUUCCGUAAACUUUUGUUCAUGGUUCUGAAACGCGGUUGCAAAACUACCAGUCUGAUGCCUGACAUCUGAAGGAUCAACAUCGUAGAAAAUCGGAAAAACAAGUUGACCCCGUUUUCUGCACUCCAUGAUCUGCACCAGCUCCUGAAGACACCAUCUGGACUCCGCAUAACGCUUUGAGAACACGAUGGCAGCAAGUUUGGACCCUUUGAUUGCUCGCGUCAGUUCUUCUGAUAUAGCAUCCCCUCUAGGUAAUUCGUCCUCGUCCAGAAAGACAUUGAACUUGUAGUCUUUUAAUGUACAGUAGAGGUGGUCCGUGAUGCCCAUGCGUGUUUCUUCGCCUCUAAAGCUCAAGAACACGUCGUACUUGCUGCCCGGGUUCUCCAUCUGUUCAACGAUUAUGUCUAAUCGGAACUGCAAAAUGGAACCAGGGGCAGAUGGUUUUUGAAUCGAACUAGCAAAGGAAGUCAACCACACAUCUACCCAAAAAAAAUGAACCUUAUAAUAACCCUAGAAUCGCUAUUCACAUACUCUUUCUUUUCCUUUUUUCUUUUUUCUUUUUUUCGGGUAUAAACAGUUAAUAUUAAGGAAAACUAAUGAAAAGGGUUUGAAAACUUUGAGUUUUAAUGAUAAGGACAAAAUUAAGGGUAAAGUGAAUAGUACCAGGAUUGACUUUUUAGUGUAAAAAUGUAGUUUUUCGUUAAAGUGAACAGUACCGGAUGCUUUUCGUUAAAAUCCCCUUAUUAUCAUUGCCAUAGAAAAUUUACAGAACAAAGCUAACAAGGGCCCAUACUAUAAAUACAAUUAUACAAAGCAAAAAUUGACCUUACAAACUACAUGUCAAGGGCCUAAAAAAGGGCUAAGGCCCAAAAACAAACACCGAAAGAAAGCCUUAGCCUUCUGCUACAUCCGCUGCUGCAGCACCACCCGAGCAGCAUGAACCAUGGACACCAACGAACAUCAAAAUUCCGACCAAUUAACGCCUCAGAGAUGGGAGGAAGGAAGACCAGUAAUCCAUCAAUGAAACUCUCUCCGAACGCAACCUCCAAGUAGAAGCAAACAAAGAAGCUUGUGAGAUUCCCACAAGUGACGCUGCCAAUAAAGACAGAUCGAGAGAAGAAGGUUGUGCGGAAACCCGAGCCAAUAAGCAUACCGGAGCUCUACACACCUUCUCAAUCAAUCAUUCCUAUACUACAAGAUGUAUUCCAAAGUAUUUACAUUUUUUAACGAAUGUAUGGUUUUAAUAACUUAUUUGCAAAUAAAAAUCCAGGAAUUAGAGGCUGUGAAGGCCUAAUCGGAUAAAUGGUCCCCGUGAUGUUAAGGUAAUCGGAAAGUAGCCCCCGUGGUAAAAAAUUUAGGAUUUAAACCCUCGUGAUGUGGUCCGUUAGCAAAUUUAGUCCAAAAGUGAUUUUUCAUUAAAUUCGUCAAAUACAAGGGUAAAAACGUAUUUUGAUGUGUGCACCUUCUUCUUCAAUGUUCAAUGUUCAAUCUAAAUUACAAUGAAAGUUAGGUCCAAUUCUAAAUUUUACUCGACACAAAAUGUCGAUGUAAAAAAUAAAAUUCAAAAAAUUGUAAAAAAUAAAAUUCAAAAAAUUGAAGUGCCAUAGUGAAGCCUUGCAGCAUGAGCAACAGAGAUGCUCUUAACUGCAUGAACCCUGGAAGCCCACAAGUCAACGUCCAUGGUGGUGGUUCAACUCUCCGGCGACCCAAGUCAGCUUUUUUCAACGAGAACUGGUGGAAACCGCCCCUUGGGGAAAUGGGUUUGGACCAAAAGGCUUAAGGUUUCAAGCUUCUCUUAGGGAAAUGGGUUUGGACCAAAAGGCUUAAGGUUUCAAGCUUCUCUUAGGGAAAUGGGUUUGGAUCAAAUGGCUUAAGGUUUCAAGCUUCUCUCUCUCUCUCUCUCUCUCUCUCUCUCUCUCUCUCUCUCUCUCUCUCUCUCUCUCUCUCUCUCUCUCUAUAUAUAUAUAUAUAUAUAUAUAUAUAUAUAUAUAUAUAUGUUUGUUAAAAUCCCAAUUGUUGUUGUAAGAGCAACUCCAUCAUGGGAAACCCCCCCAGGCUAUUUGAACAGUAAUUGUCUUUUGCAUCUUCACUGUUGCACUUGAAUAGCCCUGGCAAUAAGCAAUAAAAUAUUAGUUUUUUUUAAAUAAUACAAAAUAAUUUUAUUUGUAAUUUCGGAUAAGAUUUUUAAUAGUUCUCGUUGCGCCACGUGUCAUUAUCCGAAAAGACAAUUAUUGGUGAUGGAUUUCGAUAAGAUUUUUAUCCAAUGUCGUGCCACGUGUCGUUACCUUUUCAAAAUCUUUGAGGAUAGAUUUCAAUCAGAUUUUAAAUCGUUCUCAUUGCGCCACAUGUCAUUAUCCGAAAAGACAAUUAUUGGUGAUGGAUUUCGAUAAGAUUUUUCUCUAAUGCCGUCGUGUCAUGUGUCGUUACCUUUUCAGAAUCUUUGAGGAUAGAUUUCGAUCAUAUUUUAAAUCGUUCUAAUUGCGCCACGUGUCAUUAUCUGAAAAUAUAAUUAUUGGUGAUGGAUUUCGAUAAGAUUUUUAUCCAAUGUCGUCGUGCCACAUGUCGUUACAUUUUUAGGAUCUUUGAGGAUAGAUUUCGAUCAAAUUUUUAACGAAUGACGGCAUGCCACGUGGAUAGCACAUGUAUAGGCCAAGUUGGAUGGACAAAUUUGGAGUUCAAAAGGCUAGGAAUCUGAUAAGGAGAUGAAGAAAUUAAAUUCAAGACAAAGAAGAUAAGGAAUCAGCUCAAAAGAAUGAGAUAUUAUCCAAAACCUUAUCCAACCUUAUCUUAUCCAAACAAACAUUAUCUUAUCCUAUCCUAUCCUAAUCUUUUCCUAACUUAAUUCCUGCUGCAAGGGGGAGUUAAUUUCUGAUUUAAAUCACCUAGAAACCUUUCUAGAACGCCUUAUAUGUUCCUACAUUGGUGUUGCAUGCUUUUAGGCCUUGUUCUUCUAGAAAUCAGCCACAUAACAUUGUUUCUAGAAUUCCCUACAAAAGUGGCGCCCCAAACCCUUCUAGAAACCCUAAAAUCUGCACAAACCCUAGUUCUUUUCCCUUUUGGAUUGAGGCCCAAGCCUUGGCCCAAAAUUCUAAGCCUUUUCCCAUCAGAAUUUGUGAAAACCCUAGCCUAUAAAUAGAUGUUUUCAGCCACAAAUUCAUACACAACCCUCUACCAUUCAGAAACACCUCUCAGCCGCAACAGUUCAUCAUUCUACACCAUUCUACACCAUUCUCCACCACCAUACAUCCUUGCCGCAGCCCCCCUUCAACCUAAAUACAUUCCUGACCCUUCCAUUCACCCAUAAACAUCCAUAGACACUUGUGCCGCAGCAAGGUGUGGAAGAAGAAGGGCAUUGGUGUUUCAUGCUUGCAGAUUGGAGCGUUUUAGGUGUACUUCGUUCUUGUUUUCAAUGUUUACUUUGUUAUUACUUUCUGAUUUUGAUGUAAUCAUGAGUGGCUAAACCCCUAUUUAGUUAGGGGGAAGUUUGAAGCCAUGAACAUGCUUGAGAUAUGAAUUUAUUACUUCCAAUUGUGAUUUGUUAAGUUGUGAUUGCAAUUCAAUUAUCUGUUUUAUUGAUAACUGAUUCUUAUAUGUUUAUUAAGGAUGCAUACUUAGUUUUCAUGCAUGAAUUAGAUGCUAGAAUAUAAAUGAGUUUCAUCUAAUCGUUACAAGUUUAUAUGCAUUAGUAGUGAAGGUUGCUUGUCACAAUCACGUUAAUUGAAUUCUUGGCAAACAUAUCAUGCAUUCAUAGUUACAAUUGUCUCAUCAACACUUAUGAUUUUCAUGAAACGUAAUGAUCUCUGAUUGUAUCUCUAUUAUGCAUUCAUGUAGGGGACUUUUAGAGAAUGAUUUGGGUUGUUGCAUGCAUUCAUCCAAUCCAAUGAGUAAAGGAAAAUCUGAGGGUUAAUUUGUGCAUCACGGUUAAUCUGGGGUGUUGAGCAUCAUAAUCUAUUAAAAAGCAAUUGGAAAUCGAUUCAUGUACAAGUGUGUCAUGUGUGAAAAACGGACCUCUAACUAAUCCAUCCAUCAUCUUAUUUCUCAAAUUCGUUUUACAAUCUGCCUGGUUUUAUAACUUGUUUAUUUAUUUCAAAUUCGUCCAAAUCAAACCCCCCCCCCUUUUAUUUUCUUGUUUCAAAGUGUUUCAAAUCUGUUUUGUUUGUGUUUUUGAGUGUUUUAAUUCAAGCCAAAACACUAAAGUCGUCCCAAGUUGUGUUAGAGUCAGAAACUGCCCAGUUUGUGUUUAUAGGCAUUUUUUGAGUGUUUUUAAGUUGUUUUGAGUAUUUUGAACCUGGUUUGAGUUCCUUAAGUCUAUUCAAAUGUUUUUAACUUUGUUUUUAUGUUUUUGAGUCAGUUUAGAGGUUUUAGCAAGCCCUCCUAAUCCCCGGUUUAGAAUGAUCCCUACUUGCAUUUAUACUACAAUUUGACAACAAGAGGGUUUAAUUUGAGUGCUUAACUUUUAUCACAUCAAUCAGUAAGAGGAAGAAUUGUUUAACCAAUCCAAAAGAAUGUUCAAUCUCCAGGUGGCCCAAAAUGAGAUGGAAGAGGAUGAAGAGCGUAGAAAGAGCAAUGACGAAGCAAGAAUGGCUAGAGCCUCACAUUCCUGUCGAGUCAUCCAAGUUGUGGCUCAGAUCUCCAAGCCCAGCCUUUCCAUAAACCUUGAUAGAAACAUGCAACAACGAGGUGUGGACCUCUUGGACGAUUUUGUCCGUAACAGUGCAUUCCCUAAUACGUAUUUCAGACGUCGUUUUAGAAUGGAACGACAUUUGUUCAACAAAAUCAUGAUUGUUGUUUGCAACCAUGAUUCUUACUUUGUGCAAAAGAAUGAUGCUUUUGGUGAUAUGGGUCUCAUUCCUGAGCAAAAAAUUAAUGUUGCGAUGCGGAUGCUUGCAUAUGGAGCAUUUACAAACCAAGUGGAUGAGAUAGCGAGGAUGGGGAAAUUAACCAUUCUUGAGUCCCUGAUGAGGUUUUACGGAGCAAUCGAAUCUACACCGUAGAGUACCUUCGGAAAGCUACUAACAUGGACUUGCAAAGGCUUUUGAUGAAGGCAGAGGUGCGAGGCUUUCCUGGGAUGAUUGAAAGCAUCAAUUGUAUGCACUAGACGUGGAAAAAUUGUCCAAGUGCAUGGCAAUGCGCUUAUGGGGACAGAAAAUGAGCAAAAAGUAUCAUUUUAGAGGCGGUGACAUCUUUUGAUACAUGGAUUUGACACGCCUUUUUUGGGGUUUCGGGAGCUCAAAAUGACCUAAAUGUCCUUGCCCAAUCCACAAUGUUCAACGAUGUCCUGCAAGGAAAGGCACCAAAAGUCACGUACUGCGUUAAUGGACAUAUGUACGACGGGCCAUACUACCUAGCAGACAACAUUUACCCAAAGUGGUCAUCAUUUGUUAAAACAGUGCCACGUCCGCAAAGUGCAAAGGAAAAACACUUAGCAAGCUGUCAAUAGGGGUGUAGGAAGGAUGUGGAGCGUUGUUUUGGUAUCCUCUAAGCUCACUGGAUGAUUGUCAGGGGUGCUGCGAGAAUGUUUGAUGUAAAGUCGCUUCGAUCCAUCAUGAUGACGUGCAUCAUUCUUCAUAACAUGAUUGUGGAAAAUGAGUACGAUUAUGAUGUCGUUGAUGAAUAUGAGCCAAACACGAUGAACAAUUCAAGAACAUGUAUAUAUUGUGCUCAUGACGCCACCGAAGAACCCGUGCAACAUGAGCCAUUAGAAAGGGAUGGAUGUUACAAUGAAUUGAUCGUUCAACAAUAUACUGCACUUCAAAGGCCAUAUAUGCACAAUGCCCGAUAAAUUGACUUGAUAGAGCAUCAGUGGGAAUUGAAACAAGCUCAAGAUACUUAAGUUCAUUUAGUGUAUUUGUUUUUUAUUUGGUGUGUUUAUUUAAUUUUAUUUGGUGUGUUUUUUUUAGUUCAUUUAGUGAGUUUUUUUUAUUAUUUGGUAUGUUUAUGUAAUUUUAUUUGGUGUGUUUAUGUCAUUUGAAAUAAAUUACCAAAAAGUACUUUAUUCAUCAUCACUUUAAAUAAAAUACUAAAUUCAAUAAAUUGGAAACAACAUAAAGUAUUCUAUUCAAUAAAUAAUAAAUUACAAUCCAAAAUGAUUGGAAAAUUAUGGGCUCCGAUUACAAAAAGUACUCUAUUCAUCAUCACUUAACCAAUUUUGAAGACAUCGCAUGUACUUCGACUAUGCUCAACAUUAGCUCUUAACCAUGUCUCACAUGUGGCAUAGUGAAGUGAGGUGAAUCUUGGAAUGAUUUGAAUAUUCGCAACUAAGGUCAUAUCGUUGAACCCCCAAGAUAUUGCGGUAUCCCUAAUGGUAAAGACAUAGACAUUUGGGGAUGUCCCUUGUGUGGGUUUGAUAAACAUCUUGCGUCAACAUAACAAACAAGGCUAGGAUCAUUCUGAUGAUCAAGGGAUCGGAUCUGCUCGAGAUGUGUUGGGAUUAGCCCAAAUCCGUAGUACCUUUAGGGUAGCAAAAAAAUGUCCUUAUUACCAAUUCAGUGGUUGCAUGUAGGCGCGAUACUACAUCUUUAUUAAUAGAUUAACAACGAAUGAGAUAUCAUGUCUAACAUAAUGAGCUAAGUACAACAAAGCGUAAAGUUGAACUCAGAUAUGGAACUUUAGAUUCCAUAACCUUUUCAAGGGUCUCAAACAACGUUGGAACUUCAGGUCAAGGCAUAAAUGAGUCCUCAUCUCAAUUCCCAUCCUUAGGUGUUAGACAGUUUUCUCAAGCUUUUCUAGAGUCCUAAUGAGAUGCAUGUCAUCGACAUAAACUGUGACUCUAGCAAUUCGGAAUAUGACUUCAUAGUUUAACACGUAAUGGCAUAAUUCAUAUCUCUAAUUAAUCAAAUAAUCACUUAGACAUGUAUACCACAUCUGCCAGAUUGCUUCAAUUUGUAAGUGAACACCUCAAACAAGUUAAGAGGGUGUUUGUGGUCUAACUAUCUAAACCAGUUCAUGUAAUUCUUCGAGAACUUACAUGUCAAUCUCCGUAUCAAUAUUCCUAUUGAGAAACACUAACCACAUUCAUAAUUCUACAGUCAAUCACAGGGCGUUUAAGAGAAACAUUGUGUCGUAAGUAAUGUUAUUUCAUUCAUCUCAUUACGUUUCCUUUCCCACUUGUAACACAACAGGGUUACCUUGGACAAUGUAGGAACGACAUGUCCAAACAAACUUUGGUAAGGAAUUUAACCUAGAUUGUAAUCUUGGUUGUCCAAUCAGUUCUAUGUUAUCACUAAUCAACGGAACGUAAUUCGAAAUCGUCGCUUUUCAUUUAUGUUUGUAGUUACCAUAUAAGUGAAAACAUCAUUGAUGAUAAUCUCAUUCCAAUUCCAUAUCUCAUCUAAACUAGUAUACUGGACCAAGAACUUCAAGUCUCAGGAGUAAUCCGGAUUAAUCUCUUGAGGUGGAAAUUAUUUGAGAUGACAAUCGAUCAUGAAUUCACGUUGUGUCGUGAUCUUUCUCUUUUAGGGAAGUGAAUCUUAUGAACCGAGUGAUAUGUCGUGCUUCAGGCCAAGAACAGAUUGAUUGACAAUCCACCAGGGUACCAAGUCGCCCAACAUAGACAACUAACACCCUUCAGGAAUGUUGACUCAACGUCCAUUAAGUACAUAUAUCCUUGCAUGCAUGUUUGUAGCUAGUAUAUGAUCUCAUCACUUUAGCUAGAUCAAAGAAAUGCGACUGGACCAACAUUCUGAAAGUUAGAAUACAUCACACAUACUUAUCACACUUGUGUGGAUAUGAGACAUAGUGGGCAACGUCCACGCAAAUCUAUGUCAUUAUACAGGAACUUUGACAUUCUUAUCUCCCUCUAACAGCGAGAAGACUAUCUCAUUGAAGUGACAAUUCACAAAAUGAGUGGUAAGGAAAUUGCAUGCAAGGGUUGCAAAGAGCUAGUGCGAAGAAAAAUCAUAAUCGACAAAGAUUCACAUUCUUCUUUGAGGAACCAUAUUGGUAUGUUGCGGUGGCGCAAACUUGGCACAUGGAAUGCACACCCAAAUGUGUAAGUAUGAAACGUCAGGUUCGUCCCUAGAAACCAACUGUAAUGUCGAAUAGGCUGGGUGGCAAUGGCCUUAAAGUAGAUCAACAUAAUGGUGUACAUGAUUGCAUAGCUCUAGAAAUAUGAUCACUUUGUGAGGCUGUUUUGGGGUGAACAUGGGAAUUCAAUGUCCAAUUAUAAACCCCAAAAAAAAAAAUGCAAUACUUCUCAAAAACCUUCGAUAUAAACUUUCUGGUAUUGUUUAGUAUUCUAGACUUUAUAGGAUAAUUAGGGUGGUGGUGCCUUGAAAUCGGCCAGGAGGUUUAGCAGUAGUGUGUGUGGAUAAACAUGUGACCAGUUUGUUGAUUCAUCAGCCAAAACCAUAAGUAUUUAUAUUGCCCACAUUUUGAUUGGAUUAGUCCACAUAUAUUCCCUUGAAUACACUGUGAAAAGAGGGCCAUUUCGUAUCUUUGCUAGGGAUGAUUUAGAAAUCCAAUUUCCCAAAUGAAUAAGCUUGGCAAAGUGUGCGCUUGCAAACACAAGAUCCUUACUUUGGGUAAGGAGAUGCGUUUCGGCCUAAGUGUACCAAACGGUCAUGCCAUGGCAAGUAAACUACUCGAAUCACCCGGCUCUAAGCCGGCCACACAUGGCGUAUCCUAGUGGGGAGGUAGCCUAUUGGCCCUAAAAUAAAACUUUAGGUUCAUUUUGGGGGUGAUGCAAAGACAUUCCACUCUAUGUUUCAUCAGUGGUUUCAUUCAUAAUCAUUGUUCUCUCGAUUAUCCUAAAGACUCAACGAUGUUCUUCAGGAAUGAGAAGAACAUAAGGUUUCUUAAAUGGUAAUGUAGUACCAUUUAUACAACGAGAAGCGUGCCAAUGCUCCUAAUCAGGUUGGAUAAACUUAAAGUCGUAGUUAGAGAUGUGAUUUAGGUAUAAGUUAGUGUGCGUAGUGUCGCAUUUAUCCAGACAACUAAUUUUCCCACAUUCGAGGACAAUAUCGAUAAGAUUAUCCACAAAGUCGAUAUGAUUAUCCACAAAGUAAACCAAAGUUACUAAAGAGAUUCUCCCAACAAGGUCAUCCAUGUCAAAAUUUUGGAGAAAAAUUAGUCUCACAUAUUGAUUACGAGAAUGGUACUCCUUAACGACAUUGGUAGGGGCAUGAAGAGGUGCAUAACCAAUGAGUCUAGUCCACCAAAAUGGAAGUAGAUUAUGCAAGGUUGAGGUUCAUGAACAAUAUCCCUUAUUCUUGAAGUUUUAGGUCUUAAAUGCCAAGGAUCACACUUCGAGUUGUGAUGCCACACCUUGACAGGCCCUAAUUCUACCAUAUGUUGUAAAAACAAACUCGAAAUUAGAGAGGCAAACCCAUACUUGAGUUCGAAAGGUUCCAAUCGAAGCUGGAGAGGUUUGUUCGGUAUGCCUCUACACUGAAGCAGAGCAUAUAUUUUGGUGGGCUUUGACCAAACUGGGUCAAGCCAUUCGGUAAACUUCGGCCUAACUGGGCUUAUACUGUUCGGUAGACUCUAGCCGAAGUUGGGUCUAUACCUUUCUCACACGUUUUUUGUAGUAAUCAGAUUUGAGAAUUUGGUAAACUUCCACUCUCUAUGCUGCUGUUUCGAAAGCGAGUUAAAAAUAAGAAAUGAUGAGAAAAGUAUUCUCUAAUCAAAAUUCGAUAGGAUUUAUAAACUUCAAAAUCGUACUCAUUCAUGGACGUAAUCAUGGUAUGCUUCAGGCAAUAACUUUCAUGAUUAAAUGGUCUGUAAGAGUGAGCCAACGAGCCAUGGAAUCCUUGUUAGGGAGGUACUUCCAUUUGUUAUGUUUCAAGCAUAAGUCUUUGAAUGAAGAUCAUGACAGAGGCUUAUUCAGCUCUUCUUUACCAUUGUUGGCUACAAAUGGUUUCUCAGCUUCUUGAUAGUCAAGUGGAGAUUCACGUCUUAUAGCCACAUAAAGUGGUUUCAGUUAGAAACGUCCAAAUCAGUGAAAUCAAAUUUGUGACAAUCCAUUGAAUGGAGGGAACAAGAUUGUGAAUAGUGCUAUGGAAAAUAAAACAUCUAGAAGCAUCAAAGUUAGAACAUCCGAAUUCUAAGACAUGUACAUGAAAGUUGGACGUGGAAAAAUUAUUAAUGAGUUUAAAUAAAAUUUCACAUAAUAAUAUAGUCACAAAUAACUGUGUGAAUGGGGAGUUGAGGAGUUCCCGCGAGGGAAACUCGGGUCAAACAAAACAAGGGGUAAUUUUAUUUAAACCCAUCUAACCUAUUUCUACACCCAAUUUACUCUUUUCACCCAUUUGAUUUUUAACUAAACUAUUAUUAUCUCUUUAAACCAAAAUUUAAUACCUAAUAUACCCUUAUAAACCUAAUUCAGUAUGUAGAUUUAUUUUUACACCCAUUCAAAUUUUUAGUCAGAUGUAAGAUUGAAAUCGAAGAAGAAGACUAGGAAGGAGAAGGAGCUGCUCCUCCAUUUGUUAGCCAUCACUCCAUCAACGCCUUUUCUCCCCCUGCUAAAUCUUCCCGCCAUCGUGAAUCUACCGUUUGGCAGCCUCUAGAUCGUCAGACCCGCGGGGAGUCGAAUCGACCGGCACUCCGUCGUCGUCGCGCGGGGAUUUGGUUUCUUUGGACUCCUCGAUGGGUCCCAUACACUUUGCGCGACCCUUUUAUACAGACCUCAUUUGUGAGCUUCUAUGCUGAGCUUGGUAAGUUGUGCGAUGCGCAUAAGGUGUUUGAGGAAAUGUCUGAACCAUGUAUGGUUGCGUGGAAUGCGAUGAUUGAUGGGUUUAGGAAGAAUGGGGAAAUGGGUUAUGCUAUUUUGUUAUUUGAAAGCAUGCCGAAAAGGGACGUGGUUUCAUGGACAAGCGUUAUAAGCGGGUUUGGGAGAAAUGGGUGUGGUUGUGCUGUUUUGAGUCUCUUUGCUUCCGUAAAUUAUGUCUCUAGUUUCGGUCGGAAUGGGUGCUCUGAGAACGUCAUUUCUUGCAUUGGAUGCAUGGUGUGGUUACUUUGCAAUCAAGAGGUAGGAUUUGUUAAAUAAACUCUCUUUAUCUUCCUGCAGUUAUUGAUGAAUAAUUUGUGAAUGUAAUAUCAUUCACCCGUAUCUUUAUCCUUAAUUUGUUAAUGGUAUUAACCUUUUUGCAGAUUUGCAUUUAAAUGUCAUAGAAAAUCAGAGGCUGGAAGGGACAUUGUGUAUCCAGUAAAUGCAAUUGCAUUCCACCCCGUGUAAGUUACUUUUUUCUAUUAAAGUAUUGCGUACUAAACUUGUGAACUUGUGUGUGUUGAUUUAUUGAAGUCAUGAAAACGAUAGGCCAUAUCUGGUUUCCUGUUGAAGGCAUCUUGUGACUACAAUAAUAACAUAUGGGAAUUUCAUAGUAGUAACUUAGUUCAUGGUUUAUUCUUUGGUUGAAUGGUUCAAAAAAUAAGGAUCAAAAUUGUUCCUUGUUUUUGCGAUAGAUUAUGGCUUAGAUUAUACUUGAUCCGUUAGUUGGGAAUGUUUAAAACCUAAAUUAAGCUCGAGGGGAGCUUAAUAAUUUCAUAUAUACGUAGCUCAUGCUUUAAUAAAGUUUAUCAAGAGAGUUUGAGAAUGAGAUUCUUGUACAUUAUUGACUGUCAUGUUUUCAAGCUAUUUUGCCCUCUCGGGACAAAUUGAAAAGAGCUAUACAUACUUUCGCUUGAUGAGAGUUGCGAUCAUACUGCUUAUUGUAUGAGAGCAAUGAUGCUAGCAGUUUCUUUUUAGUCCACGUGCAUUUCUUUUAUUAGUUCUUUUCUGAAAUUCAAUUGCAGCUAUGGUACUUUGGCUGUUUCUCAGCAGCAGCCAUGUUGGCAAGGCGCCAGGAAUACCUUUACCUGGGGGGUUUGCUUUCUUCUGGCCUUUCUAUGCUAAUUUGGUUACACUUUGCUUCUUCUGUCUUUGGGGGUUUUGCAGCUCUUUUCAAGUUUGAGGUAAGGAAUUAUCAAUUAGUCAUGUGAAUGAUGGGCAAUGCUACAUUUUGUGUAUAAAAGCUAAAACAGGGUGAUAUAUGUGAAGGAAUAUAAUGAGAUUUAUGUGGGAUUUCUAGUGACUAGCAUGCAUAUACAAUUCAAAAUUUAUAUACAUUAGCAACGGAAGCAUGUUAUCACAUAAUAUCAAAGCUAUAGUCAUGCAAAUCCCCUUCAAGAAGCAUAGGUUCAUAUAUGAUGCAUCUAAGAAAUUAUUGAAGAACAAAGUGAAGGUAUAGUUUUAUACCUCUUGAUCUAGACUUGAGACCAAGGAUUGACCACCUUCAAGCUCUUUGUUCUUGGAACUCCUUAAGCCUAGCCUCCCUCCUUGCUUCCUCCACCUUGCUAGAAUGAGUGCUCCUUGGCUCUCCUUUAGUCUCCAAGGUUGAAGACCUCUAAAGAUCCACACCCACUAGUGUAGUGAGAUGGAUGGAGGAAUAACCAAAAGGGAGAGAAGAUGAUUAGCUACUUCUCCCUUAUGGUGGCCGGCCUUGUGUGUGUGUUUGGAGAGAGAGAUGUUUUCUUCUUUUGUGAAAAAUGAACACACAAAACCCUAAUGAAACUUUUUACUAAAAGUUCCUUUUAUAUCUCAAAGAUAGUUAGCCAACAACUUGACUCCCUCUCUCUCCCUUUCCCUUUAUUUGGCCGGCCCCUUUAGUGUUGUUUGGGCUUUGGGCUUUUAUUAUUUCAAGUCAUCAUAUGCUUAAAUAAAAGCCCAAUGGGUUUGGGCUUAAUGGGCCCAUAUUAACCCGAACUUUUCUUUAAGUCCAAAAACGAUCUUUCAUCGCUUCUAUGAUUUCUUUAGACUUUCUAAUUAAUCAUAACACUUAAUUAAUCCAAUUAAUUUAUUCCAUCAUCCAUUAGUUGUCUCAUUACAAGAGUGUAUCGGUGUACAAUUAUUUUGGGUUCUAAUUAGCAAGGUAGUGAGGUGAUUGGCACCAAUCCAAUUGAUUAUAUUUAAUCCAAUCACUUAGUGAAUUAAAACUUACUUUUAAUUCUCCUUCUUCUUUGACGACUACUUAUUUAAUCAUCUAGAAGAACUCACAAGCUAUGAGUGACAUCUAACCAUAUAUCAUGGUUACCCAAGCUAAUGUAGAAUUUGUUCGGAGAACCUAUUCAGUUGGAAUUACAAUGUAAUUCGAUCAUUCUUUAAAACAAUACUCUCAAUCACAUUAUUAGGGUAUGGAUAUAUUAUGUCAAACCCCUAAUGUGAUUAUUCCAUGUUAUAUGAUUCAAUUGAGUCGUAUAGGAACGAUUUCCUUUAUUACGCUCGAUACUUCGGCCGAAUAUUCCCGAAUCAUAUCUUAAAGUAUUCAUCCUCUCAUAACGAGGAUUAGAGAUCCCUUGUUGAUCAUUCACAUGCCUCUGAGAAUAAAUCAUUGACCUCAACAAUGCAUAGAACACACCCAAGAUGAGGUGUGGUCACGUCUCGUUAUCAAAAUGAUCAACAACGUAUCCCCAAGACAACUAUGAUGUCUCAGGUCAAAGAAUUACUUACAUUAUUCCAACCAUUAGAGUUGUUUGCUUCACAUGUAAGUAGACCUCCAUGCAAGUACUCUCGUUCGAUUGUGUUCAGUGAACUCAUUCCCAUAAUGAGCACCUACAUACCUGUCUUAGUGUCACUACACGAAUGGGAUGAGACUUUCCAUCAUUCCAAUUGAAGGGGACAUAGUAUGUACUGGUCUAUGCAUUGUCAGUAUCCCUCUGACAAUCCUAUGACUAGGAACCUUUUUGGACAUGAUGGUUAUGUGAAGAAGGUAUCUGUAGUCUAACAUCAUUAGAUUACUUCUUCCAUCGAUCCAUUGUCCAUGGAUUCACUAUUUAUGACAUAUAUCGUUUAUUGAGACAGUCCUAAUUAGUAUCUUUGCCUUUUGAUGUAUAAGAGUCAUCUAUACACUCAUUCAUUGUCCUGAAAGGUUUCUUCCAAAGAUUGACUUUCAGGGCAUAUCUCCAACAUUCUCUGAAAUUGUGUUGCAGCUGUAUUUCAGUUUUGUUGCUGUGUUUGUCCAUAUACUGGUUAUCAUGGUAAGUUCUCGUUAAUGCUUUAAGAGCAAAAUCCUUAUCUCGGUCUUGUUUUCUAUCAUAUUUAUGACUGUUGGUGCUUAGACCAUCUCCUCUUUUAUUUUAUAUUGUGAGAUGUUAUAUCUGUUAGGCUAAGUAGACUUGUUAACUAAAACGACUAUCGUUUCUUUACCACAGUUGAAGAACUUGGCCGAGAAGAAUGAGAAUAAGAAGAAAAGAAAGGAUUGAUGCUCCUUCUGUAACCCUGGUGAUGCAAAGCAAUGCAAAAUGAGAUCAUCACUUGUCUAUAUAGAGUUUUCCAUGUGACCUCAAAAACAAAAUGUGUAGUUGAUAUAUUCCCUACUCUUUGGUGGGUGGUAGACUGAUAGUGAUUGUCUAGUGUUGCUGCCGUUAAACUUCUACUUACUGUUUUGAAUGACAUCGUUUUAAUUCGUGACGAAGUUUAUUGUUGUGUUAAUAAACUGGCUAGCUCCUCCAUCUGCACUACUUGUAUGUUGGUAUAGCAGGUUUCCAAGUAGCGAUUUGAUACUUCUGAGUCCUUAUGGAACAAUUUUCGCCACGUCCAAUGAUCGAUCGGUGGCAAUAACCCCAGGAAGACAAUAGCCAUGAAGCAAUGUCUUUAAUCUAGUCAGGGCCCAAGUGUAAUUGUCUUCUUUCUCAGCCUCUAUAUACACAAAAACAACUGAGAAUGUCAUAUUAGUGGAUGUCACACCCACAAUUUUAAGAGUGGAAAACGAUACCUGUUAGUCUUAUAUGUGCAAUCCAUGAUAAGUACAUGUGGGAAUGCUCGUAAUAUCUCAAUACUAAUAGGGUGAGCCCAGAAAAUGUCAGUCACAGUAUCACCACAACUUCUCGAAAGUGCUAGUCGAGGGCGACUCACAAGCAAAUGUUAGUCGAGGGCGACUCACAGUAUUACCUUCACCUCCUAAAUCAGACCUUUUAAUAAUAAUUACCAUAUUAUUCAGCUUUCCCUGUUCACAAACCCAUGUAAUCAAUGCAUCUUUUCCUUUGAAUAUCUGCACGUAACACAUAUUUUAUUUCGAAGUAAAAUUCUAAAAUUAACUAACCCGUCAACGACACUAUAAAUAUAUAAUUACCUCAUAAGUUGUAAAUUGAUCAGUAUAAUCCACCACACAUUCUUGUCCAACCUCGUUACCUCGAUCAAAGGCAUCAUUGAAUUCUUGUUGCUAAAAAAUAAAUGACAAAAUUAUGAUUACAAUAAAAAAUCUUCAAGUUAUGAUUAAAACAAAUGGACAAAUAUAGCUAACUGCAGCAAUGUUUUCAUAUUACUGACUAAAAACAAAUCAAGCCCCAUUUUAUAGUAAACAACAGACAACUUCAACUACCUUUCGGUUUCCUCUUACACAACAAAUGGAGUUUGGAAUAUGUAGGACCAACAAUAACUUUCAUAUUGGGAGGGAGAGGGAGACCCCCGAAAAAUACAAUCAGAGAUUAUCCUUGCUUUCUGACUUACAGUAAUCAGGUUUAUAGGGACAAGGCUCACCUAGAUCCCGACAUGUAUCCCUCAAAGUUAGUAAAACUAAAGAUGGCAAUGGAUAUUUUGUAAUCCAAUAAUUGCUUAGUGCAGAGAUUUUCCAGUGCAGGAAACAAUGUUGGAAACUUUGAGCCAAUAAACCAUUUGCUUCUAAAAUGUUUUAGUCCUUGGGAAAUCGAAAAAUAAACCCCCAAAAGAGUCAACAAGACUGUAGAAUCAAGGUUCAAGAUUUUUCUCGAAAAAAAUCCCUUCACAUCAGUGGCAAUUCAAUGGGAAAGUCCAGACUUCCUCAACUCAAAAAAUCUUCCAUAAAGCAAAAAAUUAUAAGCUCAUGAAGGACUCACCACCCAACCAAACAUGACUGAAAGAUAUACACAUGCGGAACAGAAACCUUAAAGACAUCGUUCAAUUCGACAAGUUCUAAACUUUAAAAAAUUGAAAUCGAACGAACAAAAUAUUCAUAAAUUGAGUCAUACCUUGGUUGGAGGAUUCAAAACUUCAAAAUCACCAUCCAUCAAUAGAAAAUUUUAUUUUUCUCUAUGAGAGCUAUUAGGGUUUUAGCAGAAUGAACGUAUGAUAAACAAAGAAUGAUCGUAGGGUUUAAUUAUAAUGUUUGGGUUUAUUGAUAAAUUUGAGUUUUAUUAUUAAUUUCACUUUGUACUUAAUAGUAAUUAUACAAUAAGGUAAAAUAGACAAUUAACAUUCAAAAUUUUAAGUUUAGUGUAAAAAGAGAUUGCAUGAAUUUAAAUAAAAUUUCCCCAAAACAAGGCGCCUCUUUUCUUUUCGUUCUGGAGUUUUAUCAACCCGAACAAACAAACAACCCAAAAAAUAAUUAGAGACUCGUGAAACGAAAGAAAUCAAAACCGAAUUUCGAACCUGAAAAAAAAAAGGAAAAAAAAAGAAGAUAGGGAAAAUGGAAGCAGAGAUGGGACUGAUGCGUCGGAUGCCUCCCAAGUACACCGAGACGGCUCUAUCCGCCCUUCUCUCCCUUCUCCCCCAGCACUCCUCUGAUCUCCUCUCUCAAGUCGAUCAGCCCCUCCAGGUUCUCCCCUGUUUGUUUCCCGAGAAAAUCCAAUCCAAUUUUCACUUUCCAUUUUCUUUCUCAAGGGUUUCAUUUUAAUCCAAAAAAAAAAAAAAAAAAAACAAACAAACAAAAUGUUCUCUUCAAAUUCAAAUUUUAAAGUCACCGUGCUGCUCUCUGGUUUCCCGAAAUUCAGGUUUUGUGCGAUAUCGAAUACGGAAAGCAGUUCAUUUUGUGUGAAUAUAACAGAGACGCAGACUCUUACAGGUAAAACCCUCAAAUCUUUGUCAAUUUUGAUGGAUUGGUGUUAGUUUUCUGAUGUUUUACACUUUAAUUGCUACAUUUUUUAGGGACAUUUUAGAGGUAGCAGAUCUGGCCUUGAUUUGUGAAUCUGGAUGUUUGAUAUAUUUUGAUUAAUAUAACUUAUUGUUUUGGUUCAUAUGCUGAUUUAAUUGGUGUGAUUAGUGCAAUACAUGUAUAACUAUGUAAUCUAGUAGUUUAUUUUUUCGUAUAAUCGUUUCUGUUCUGUGAAUAUCGAUUGUCCAUGUUGAUAUUUUUGUGCUACUAUAUUUCCAUGUAGAUCGCCUUGGUCAAACAAAUAUCAUCCGCCACUAGAAGACAGCAGCCUCCCAUCUUUAGAGUUGAGGAAACUUGAAGUUGAAGCAAACGACAUCUUCGCCAUUUAUCUUGACCAGUGAGGUCCUUUACUUACCUUGUUCUUGUGUUAUUCUUUGCAUUGGUUGAACUGUAUAAAACACUUCUAAAAUAAUAUUUCUUCCAUUAGCUAAUUUAAAAAAAAAAGAAAAAAGAAAAAAGAAAAAGGCAAGAAUGUGUUGAAAGUAUCGUCGUGCAAUUUAUUUAGCAUAAUGGUUCAGUUCUUUGUUUCAUUCUGAAGAUUUCAUACAGCUUGGUUAACCGGUAAUUUGGUAGGUACUAUUUUUUAUUUUUUUUUAUUUUUUAUUUUUGAAUCUAGUGUCUCCGGGUCUUUGACCCGACUACUCACUCGGCCACCCGCCUGACCCCACAACAUUUGGUAGGCAAGAAACUCUAGCAAUUGCUAGGUGGGUACCUUGAGAGGUGUCGAACCCCAGACCUCUUGGUAACAAACCAAGGGCCUGACCAUUAGACUAAACACUCUUAGGUAAUUUGGUAGGUACUAUGAAGGUGGCAUUUCGUCAGUUUAUAUGUGGGAGGAUGAUAACGAAGGUUUUGUAGGCUGCUUUUUAAUAAAGGUAUACUGCCUAAACUUUCAAUUUAUGUUCUUGUACAUGUAUAUAUGCUGAUUUUUAUUAUUUGAUGCCCCGUUUGUUUGCCUUCACUAAGUUUCAUUGGACUAGACUGGACUAACUCUUAGUCCAGUCCAAUGUUUGGUAUCACGCGGGACUCACGUUAAUGAGAUUAAGUGGGAUUCGCACGGACUAAAGCUUUCACUGUAGGUUCUUAGCGAGAGUCCUCGACAACCAUGGGACUAGCUAAGACCUGCUUUGUUCCUCCGCUUCGCUCGUCUGCAUCACUUCGCGAACUCUUUUUGCUUCGCUUCGGAUCGUCGACCCAACACGCCAACUCCCCCAGCGGGUCUCAAAUCGCCAGACUCUCGCUCGGAGAAGAGUCUAGGUUGGUCGGAUCUGGGGCCUGGGAAGAUGAUAGUGGUUUGAUCAGAACAGUCCCCUCCGAGCAUUGCCAUCUCACCGUUGAUCACAAAAAGGGUCUCCCAGAAAUCAAAUGGCCACGCAUCUCCGUCCCUCAUCAUCUCCACCCAAAUUUCAAGUUUCCCCUCCUCUGUUCUUUCUACUGUACAUCGUUCCCAAUCAGCAAAAGGGAACCGGAAUUAGAUAUUCCUGUCUCGGAGGCCGCGUGGCUGGUGUUUUUCUGUAAAAAGGGAGAGAAAUGGUAGGUGUUGACGAAGACGACAAGUAAUUGGAUAGAUAGAUGCAGAUUAUCAAAGUUUAGUUUCAUUGAAAAAUGGAAAAAGACAUCAAUAUUGAAUCUAAAAUAUGUUAGUCCGAGAUCUAGUCCGGGACUGCACCAAACACUUAACUAUUUUUAUCCUGGUUAGUCCAAGCCAAGCCAGUCCAGCUUAGUCCUUGAAGUUAGUCCAGUCCGAGUUAGUCCAAUGCAACAAACGCACCCUGAGGGGUUUCAGAUGGCUCCAAGACAGGACAAGGUAGGAGAGGUUAUCUGCAGGAGGGGGCAUGGGAUGCUAUACAUGUGAUUGAGGUAAACUCUACUUGUCAUGGUAGGAACAACGUGGAUCUGUGGUGAAGGUGUUCAUAUAGUCCUGACACUCACCCCCUUUCACACUUACAUGUGAUUGAGGUAUACACUUAAUGUUCUUUAUUUAGUGUUGACCAAAAAAGGAGUUUCAACACCUUUUAGCUAUUUAAAGUUAUAGUGAACAACUCUUCUUUCUCUUGAUAGUUGUGAUAUGAACUUGCUGUUAGUUUGAAUGGUGCCUUUGUUAGGUCGAGUCAUUUGACAUGAUUAAUCAAAUUGGUUGAGUUAGGAUUGAUUCGGGAUGGACACAAAGUGAGGAAUAGAGAGCUGGAAAAUUUGAAAUUGAAGAUCAAAUAUGUGAAGAAUAGUGCUAACUGUGAGAAUGUGAGGACAAAGAUAGGUGAGUGACCAAACUAUGCAAAGGGCUUAUAAGAGGUUGAGUUGCUCUUCAUAUUGUCAAUUAGUUUUAUGAUGGAACCUUAACUUUCUUCAUGGUAUAUGAAUAGGUUGACCCAUGUGUAAAGCCUAAUGGCCACAUGUGCUCACAUCGCCCUGUUUGUAUCGUCCACAUGUUAGGCUUGAAAAUUCGCCAUAUAUGAGGGGGCGUGUGAGAAUGUGAAGACAAAGUCCCACAUUGGUGAGGAAACAAAACAUACAAGGGCUUAUAAGAGGUGGGACUAUUCCCUAUAUAACAUAUUGCCAAUUAGUUUUAUGGUAAAAUCUCAACUUUCUUCAGUAACAAUGCAUGAAGAUGAUGAUAUCAUAAGAAUUAUUAGUGGAGCGUGAGAGGGCUUUCUUAAGUUUAGGAGACAAAACUAAUAAUGUUUCAAUAGAGAAAAAUGAGAUUUGAUAGAAGAAUUGUAAUAGCUCAUGUGGAGCUAGGUUUAAGGAAAGGGAAUUUAUUACCCUUUUGGGGAAAGUAUGGGGGAAUUUUUGCUAUAUAAGGUUUUUUGGUCGAGUGAGUAUUGAUAGAAAUUUUCAGACUCCAUUUAGAUUUAAGGUGAGUGAUUGUUUACUUUAGUGGUAGUCUAGGGUUCAUGCCCUUCGCUAAGAGCAAGUCCACCCCUAAAGACUUUGCGCUAGUACCUAGCGCAUUUAUCCACUCAAGUAAAUAGUAAUAAACCCUAGUGAACAGUAAUAGGCCAAAGCAUCUCCACUCCUAAACAAAAAAUAGGCUGGUCAAUUUAUUAAAAUAUUAUUAUUUUUAUUAUAAAAUAAUAUUUUAUUUUUACUUUUUGACUUCUUCCCUUCAUCUUCUGCAACUUCCCAUCCCUUCCACAUAAAAAAAAACCCGACUCUUAGAAUCAUUGCUCCAACCCCAAAACUCCAAUCCCAGAAUUCCACUUUCCUAGAAAAGCUCAAAAGUUCCAAUCUUAGGUGGUUGAAUCGCGGGAGGCAGUCGGAUUUGGAGGAAAUGCACAUGCAGAUUUGGAGGAGCUCACAGGACGGGAAGCGGGAAGCGGGUGGAAGCUGCUCAUGGAGGCGAAUUAGCCGCUGCCGGUGGACAAAAGGGGGGUUUUGAGAGUGAGGUCGAGCUUGGCGAUGUUGACGGCUCCGUGGCUCCUUCCCUCCGUGGCUCCUUGCCCUUCGACACCACGCUGACGUCGGCUAGGCGUCACUUGAGACGGUCCCAAGGUCUGUCAAUUUUAAGCCGGCCUGUGGACUGGCUUGGGCUGGGUGCCAGUCGAUUCCACGGGCUGGAAUAGAUUGGCUGAGUCUCAACCUGUUUUUUCCACUAGGUGCUGGCCUAUCCCACCCCCGGUGGACUUGCUCUAAAAGUUUGGGGCAGGACAUUUUUGAUGUGGUGAUUUACAUCUAUGAUAUUUAAAAUUGAUAAAAUCAGUCUCUAAGUUUGUUCACAAUCAAUUAUUUUGGUCAUUUCAUAAAAAUUAUUCGUUAAAUAAGAAUAAAAUGACAAAAAUACCCUCAAUUUUUAUCAAAUUAUUUUGGCAUAUUGUUUAUUAAAUUGAGAGUAUUUUUUCUCAUUUUGAUCCUUACUUAAUAAAGUUUUUCACGGAAUGACCAAAAUAAUUAAAACUGGACAAACUCAGGAACCACUUCUGUCGCUUUCAAAUCUCAAGGACCAAGUGAAGAGUUAUAUCAGUCUCAAUAUCCACUUUAGCUAAAAAGCCCAAGGUAAAAGCCCAAGAUAACAUUACCCUUUACCCCUUAAUUUUAAAAAACUUGCAAUGAAAGGGGGCUCAAAAAAAUAAUUUUGAAUUGGAAAAAAAUAGAAGCAGAUUUGAGGUUCAAAUAGAACCAUCAUAAAUUCAUUUGUUUUCUAUUGGAAAAAAGGUUAGUUUUUGUUGCCAUCUUGGUCUGUGUUUAACUAGUUUUCUUUUAGUUGGAGACGCAUACGAGGUUGUGAUAGGUUUCGGGGAUGGGUAGUCUGGACUUGACACCCCAACAACUGGACCACUGACCCUUAGUGGAACAGAGUUGUCCUUGCUGAAUUCAAGAGAUGUCCAGUGUAAUGGUUCAGCUUUAGCCAGGCGAAUUUCAACUUUGGUGGACAGAACGUCAAAUCUGCACUUUGUAGGUAUUAUCUUUCCAAAUAAGCGAGGCUGAAAAUAGUAUGCAUCUUCACCAGCAACAUCAAUGCUAACACUGAGUAUUUGUUCACCAAAUUCAACAUUAACGUCUGCCAUGCCCUUGGUGAAUAUAGUCACAACAACCACUUCUGGCUUCUGGUAGAAUUCAUGCCUGUAUUUUGGCUUGACAGAUGCUACGGCCAACUCGAAGGGGUUCUAGAUGAACGCCUCCUUCACACGCUUUUUGAGAUCGGAGCCAUGGGCGGACAACCGUCAGUGUGGACUGAGGGAGAUGGAAGAGUCUAGGAAAGAAGAGUAUACAACUAUAGUUAAUUGUUGAUUUCUUUACAUCUUUGAGAUACGAAACUAAAUACAAUUUAUAGUAUUUAAAAAAAUAAAAAAUACCUUGAUAAAUUAAUAAAUUUUUAAUUCAUCGAUCAUUUAAUAUUUUGCUAAAUAAUAGUCUUCCUGGGUCUCGAGGCUAUUAAUUAAAGAAGUUUAAUUAUAUAGAAAACCAAAAGCAAAAAUCGGGCAAAAUAUAAAAAUAACCAAAACCUAAACUUAGGUGCUAAAAUUUGGCAAAUAUACGAUAUAACUCUAAUAAUUUCGGAAGUACAAACCUCGUCAGAUGAAGUAUUGCUCGGUACGGCACCAAUCUCGUCAUUGCUAGAGAUGCGUCACCGCCAUCACCAUCAUCCCAGAAUAGAUUAACUCCUGUUUUCAUCAGUCUCCCUCUCCCAUGAGCCUCUGUAACUGCAGAAAUCGAGACUUCGUCCCCACUUUGCAAAUGGAGUACAUCAUUUGAUAAUACACUUUGCAAACGGAGUACACUGUUAGCUACACUGGAAGUAGAAUCUCCCCAGAUGUGCAAAGCCUUACCCUUUGUAAAUUUGUAACAGUUAAUCCAGGACGAUAUGUUUCGAAAACACAGCACAGAGUCAAUCCUCUAAAAUUAUGACCAAUAAAUUGAGGCACUUUAAAAUGAACAUUUUUGGGCUCAUGAAUAACAACAAACUGGAACCACUCCGGAAUAUCAUAAAUUCCAUCGAGAAAAAUGUCACUAUGUCCGCAAGAAGUCCAUCCCUAGAGCAUACCAUGUAAAGCCCGAUUAAUUUGUAUAAGCAAUAGCCUUAAUUAUGCAUGCGUGUGUCAUGUACAUGUACAGUACAGGUCCUCUGUGGGCAUGUGAUAGAAAGAGGAGGAGAAUACAGCUCUUAGAGAGAGAUCUGUAGGAUGUUCUUCCUAAAACUCAGAAUGUACAUGUCAUUCUUAUGCAUAAGAAAUACAUGCAUGUCUUAGGCGUGUAUGUGUGGAUCUAUGUGUGUGUGUGUGUGUGUGUGUGAGAGAGAGAGAGAGAGAGAGAGAGUGAGAGAGACCUGUAGCAUGCUCUUCCUAAAAUCAGCAGUGAGAUUGGUGCAGCCUUCCAUAUGAAUCCUUCUCAUAGUGUUUAACGACUUAUGCUAGCCUAGAAUCUCACAGUGAGUUUGGGGGAGUAAUUCAGAUGCAGUUCUACCAUACUCGACAACAACAACAACAAAGUCUUUUCCCACUAAGUGGGGAGUUCUACCAUACUCGACAUUUCUGAAAAAUUUGGCAUUUUUUCAAUGCAAUGCACUGAUUUGCUUUCAAGAUUUCCAAACUUGUAGGUAAAUCUGGGAUUUCAAGAAGAUCUUUGCAAUAACUCAAAUCUAACAUUUUAAGCUUGGAGAGUCCACUGAGGCAAGGUCGGCUAUAAAACAAAUUGCCAUCAAGCACCACAAACAACAACAAAGCCUUUUCCCACUAAGUGGGGUCGGCUAUAUGAAUCCUAGAACGCCAUUGCGCUCGGUUUUGUGUCAUGUCCUCCGUUAGAUCCAAGUACUCUAAGUCUUUUCUUAGAGUCUCUUCCAAAGUUUUCCUAGGUCUUCCUCUACCCCUUCGGCCCUGAACCUCUGUCCCGUAGUCACAUCUUCGAACCGGAGCGUCAUUCGGCCUUCUUUGCACAUGUCCAAAUCACCGGAGCCGAUUUUCUCUCAUCUUUCCUACAAUUUCGGCUACUCCUACUUUACCUCGGAUAUCCUCAUUCCCAAUCUUAUCCUUUCUCGUGUGCCCACACAUCCCACGAAGCAUCCUCAUCUCCGCUACACCCAUUUUGUGUACGUGUUGAUGCUUCACUGCCCAACAUUCUGUGCCAUACAACAUCACUGGCCUUAUUGCCGUCCUAUAAAAUUUUCCCUUGAGCUUCAGUGGCCUACGACGGUCACACAACACGCCGGAUGCAUUCUAACACUUCAUCCAUCCAGCUCGUAUUCUAUGGUUGAGAUCUCCAUCUAAUUCUCCGUUCUCUUGCAAGAUAGAUCCUAGGUAGCGAAAACGGUCGCUUUUUGUGAUCUUCGCUAGAUUGCUCCGGUCAUUAGUGUGGAUAAGUAUAUAAAUGGAUAGAGAUAGGAAAGCAAACACAAGAUGUACGUGGUUCACCCAUAUUGGCUACGUCCACGGAAUAGAAGAGUUCUCAUUAAUUGUGAAGGGUUUACACAAGUACAUAGGUUCAAGCUCUCCUUUAGUGAGUACAAGUGAAUGAUUUAGUACAAAUGACAUUAAGGAAAUAUUGUGGGAGAAUGAUCUCGUAAUCACGAAACUUCUAAGUAUCGGAGUGUAGAGUCGUCUUGACUUGCCUUAUCUGUCUCAUAGGUAGAUGUGGCAUCUUCUCUGGAAGUACUCUUCCUCCAUCCAGGGGUGGUAUCUUUAACUGGUGGAGAUGCACAAGGUAAUGUAUCAAUUUCACUUGAAGCUUACUUGUAGUUUCAGGCUUGGUCAAGCGCGAUACAAACCAUGUAGUAGGAGUCCCCCAAGUCGCCGAGCUAGGGGGUCUGCUGAAAGAGGUGACAGACAAGGUAAGCAAUCAGAGCUCCGACUGAUUGUUCACCUUCUCCCCAUCUUGCAGCAGCAUGAAGGAUAAAGAGAAGAAAAAUGAGAAGAGAUGAUAUGAGAUACUUUUGCUUUUGAAGAAGUAACUUUCCACAGGCUUAUUCUUGAACUGAGCUGGAGGGUUUUCUGGUUUCCUCCAGAGUAUAAGGCCGACUGAAGAAUUUGAGGGUCAAAACAAGUCCAUCAAAUCUAGAGUACGUUCCACCCUGCUGAUAUGGGAUACUUUUGCUUUUGACAGAGUAAUGGAUGUAUCGGCACGUGUGCUGUUACGCUUGUCUCCACAUGCUUCCUUGUAUCCUUCGCACUUGCCCUAUCUGUUCCUCAAGCAGAUGCGGAAUCUUCCCUAGAAACAUAAGAUGUUGAAGAUGAGUACUCGAGAGCAAUGCCAGGUAAGUAAUCAGGUAAGGGGUUCCAGGCAGUCAGUUCUUGGCUGGAAGCUUGAUUCCAAGUGCUGACUGAUUGCUCUCUUUCUCCUUGUCUUGCAGGUAAAAACAAGGCCAAAGGAAAAGACAGGGAAAAAGCAUGAUAUGGGAUACUCUUGCUUUUAACCCUGAUGAUAUGAGAUAUUCUUGCUCUAGUAUAGCUUGUUUACAGAGGUAUUAUCGGGGGGAAAGAAAGCUGAAUAUUUCGAAAGGCUUCGUUGGGAGUGUUUUCUCGAAUGUGAGUAAAGGUUGGGAGUGUUUUCUCGAAUGUGAGUAAAGGUUGGGCAUGUUUGCUAGUCUACCUUUCCACGAAGCACAGAGGUUGACACACAGGGACUUUCCAAUUAUCCAGCAAUGGUACUGUUCCUUUACCCUCUCUUCGAUUUUUGAGGAAGUAAUCAUGUUGGGAGUCUGGCUCUCGAGAUUCGGAGGGCGGUGCCUCUUCGAUUUUGGAGCAAGCAAUCUUGUUGGGAGUGUUUUCUCGAAUGUGAGUAAAGGUUGGGCAUGUUUGCUAGUCUACCUUGCCACGAAGCACAGAGGUUGACACACAGGGAGUUUCCAAUUAUCCAGCAGUGGUACUGUUCCUUUACCCUUGUGGGUAAUAAUAUGGUAGCUAGACCUUCAAAAUUUAUGUGUCUAAACUUUGUUAGUGUUGUUUCUUUGCUAUUCUUUUACCUUUCUUGGUCAGAGCGAUGUAGUGGGAGCUGCAAGCUUCACGUGCUCAACUUUGGCAGAGAACUUUGGCAAAGUUAUCUGUGGUACCCAUGAGCUAUUGUUGCGUGUGGGAAGUGGGUGAUUGAACAGUAAGAUUCAUGUGCUUUCUACUUCACCAGAAGUCUUCGACAGAAUGCCCAUAAUUUCUGCAAAGCUGAGUGUGCGUGUGACAGGUGCUGACAAGGCUAGAAAAGUAGGUGCCUCUUCGAUUUCUGAGAUCGGCCCUCGUGGUCUCUGAGCAGCCCAGCUUUUGAGAAAGCGAGCGCCUCUUCGAUUGAUUCGAAGAACGAUGCCUCAUCGAUUUUUGAGAAAGCAGUCACGAUGGGGGUCUGGCUCUCGAAGAUUCGGGGAGCAGUGUCUCUUCGAUUUUUGAGAAAGUAAUCAUGUUGGGAGUCUGGCUCUCGAGAUUCGGAGGGCGGUGCCUCUUCGAUUUUGGAGCAAGCAAUCUUGUUGGGAGUGUUUUCUCGAAUGUGAGUAAAGGUUGGGCAUGUUUGCUAGUCUACCUUGCCACGAAGCACAGAGGUUGACACACAGGGACUUUCCAAUUAUCCAGCAAUGGUACUGUUCCUUUACCCUCUCUUCGAUUUUUAAGAAAGUAGUCAUGUUGGGAGUCUGGCUCUCGAGAUUCGGAGGACGGUGCCUCUUCGAUUUUGGAGCAAGCAAUCUUAUUGGGAGUGUUUUCUCGAAUGUGAGUAAAGGUUGGGCAUGUUUGCUAGUCUACCUUGCCACGAAGCACAGAGGUUGACACACAGGGACUUUCCAAUUAUCCAGCAGUGGUACUGUUCCUUUACCCUUGUGGGUAAUAAUAUGGUAGCUAGACCUUCAAAAUUUAUGGUUCUAAACUUUGUUAGUGCUGUUUCUUUGCUAUUCUUUUUACCCUUCUUGGUCAGAGCGAUGUAGUGGGAGCUGCAAGCUUCACGUGCUCAACUUUGGCAGAGAACUUUGGCAAAGUUUUCUGUGGUACCCAUGAGCUAUUGUUGCGUGUGGGAAGUGGGUGAUUGAACAGUAAGAUUCAUGUGCUUUCUACUUCCCCAGAAGUCUUCGACAGAAUGCCCAUAAUUUCCGCAAAGCUGAGUGUGCGUGUGACAGGUGCUGACAAGGCUGGAAAAGUAGGUGCCUCUUCGAUUUCUGAGAUCGGCCCUCGUGGUCUCUGGGGAGCCCAGCUUUUGAGAAAGCGAGCGCCUCUUCGAAUUUCUGAGAUCGCCUUCGUGGUCUUUGAGCAGCCCAACUUUUGAGAAAGCAAACGCCUCUUCGAUUUCUGAGAUCAACCCUCGUGAUCUCUAAGCAGCCCAGCUUUUUGAGAAAGCAAACGCCUCUUCGAUUUCUGAGCAGGCGCCUCUUCGAUUUCUGAAGCUCCGUCGAGUGCAGAUUUUUAUAAGGGGCUGGCAUUAAGUUCCAAAACACACUUGAAUCUCCACCAGUAGAAGCUUCCAUUCUUGCACUUCUAAGAUCUUGAUUUGUCCGACCUCUUCUCUCUUCAACACCUUUGAAAAUGUCUGGCCCCUCCGACCGUCGUUUUGACUUGAACCUUGUUGAAGAGGCAGCCCCGCCUUCUCCAGACAACAUAUGGCGCCCAUCCUUCGUCUCCCCUACUGGUCCUCUUACCGUUGGGGAUUCCGUGAUGAAGAAUGAUAUGACCGCUGCGGUGGUGGCCAGGAACCUUCUCACUCCCAAAGAUAACAGACUACUUUCCAAACGGUCUGAUGAGUUAGCUGUUAAGGAUUCGCUGGCUCUCAGUGUUCAGUGUGCAGGUUCUGUGUCUAAUAUGGCCCAACGCCUAUUUGCUCGAACCCGCCAAGUUGAAUCAUUGGCGGCUGAAGUGAUGAGUCUCAAACAGGAGAUUAGAGGGCUCAAGCAUGAGAAUAAACAGUUGCACCGGCUCGCACAUGACUAUGCUACAAACAUGAAGAGGAAGCUUGACCAGAUGAAGGAAACUGAUGGUCAGGUUUUACUUGAUCAUCAGAGAUUUGUCAGUUUGUUCCAAAGGCAUUUAUUGCCUUCGUCUUCUGGGGCUGUACCGCGUAAUGAAGCUCCAAAUGAUCAACCUCUGAUGCCUCCUCCUUCUAGGGUUCUGUCCAGUACUGAGGCUCCAAAUGAUCCCCCUCCGGUGCCUUCUCUUUCUGGGGCUCUACCGACUGCUGAGACUUCUCCUAAGCAACCUUUGUGAAGGCUCCCUCUUGUGUGUUUAUUUUGACUCAUGUAUAUGUACAUAUUUGUAGCUUAUCGGGGAUAUCAAUAAAUAAGCUUUCCUUCAUUUCAACGUAUUGUGUUAAAUACACCAAAGCCUUCUUCGCUAAGUUCUUUGAAUUUUCUUUUGUUGAAGCUUGUAUGUUGAAGCUUUCUGAGUGGAGCAUGUAGGUUGGGGUAGUGUUCCCUUAAUUUUCCGAGUGAGGAAAACUUCUCGGUUGGAGACUUGGAAAAUCCAAGUCACUGAGUGGGAUCGGCUAUAUGAAUCUUAGAACGCCAUUGUGCUCGAUCCUGUGUCAUGUCCUUCGUUAGAUCCAAGUACUCUAAGUCUUUUCUUAGAGUCUCUUCCAAAGUUUUCCUAGGUCUUCCUCUACCCCUUCGGCCCUGAACCUCUGUCCCAUAGUCGCAUCUUCUAAUCGGAGCGUCAGUAGGCCUUCUUUGCACAUGUCCAAACCACCGUAACCGAUUUUCUCUCAUCUUUCCUUCAAUUUCAGGCUACUCCUACUUUACCCCGGAUAUCCUCAUUCCUAAUCUUAUCCUUUCUUGUGUGCCCACACAUCCAACGAAGCAUCCUCAUCUCCGCUACACCCAUUUUGUGUACGUGUUGAUGUUUCACCGCCCAACAUUCUGUGCCAUACAGCAUCGCCGGCCUUAUUGCCGUCCUAUAAAAUUUUCCCUUGAGCUUCAGUGGCAUACGGCGGUCACACAACACGCCGGAUGCACUCUUCCACUUCAUCCAUCCAGCUUGUAUUCUAUGGUUGAGAUCUCCAUCUAAUUCUCCGUUCUUUUGCAAGAUAGAUCCUAGGUAACGAAAACGGUCGCUCUUUGGUAUUUCUUGAUCUCCGAUCCUCACCCCUAACUCGUUUUGGCCUCCAUUUGCACUGAACUUGCACUCCAUAUAUUCUGUCUUUGAUCGGCUUAGGCGAAGACCUUUAGAUUCCAACACUUCUCUCCAAAGGUUAAGCUUUGCAUUUACCCCUUCCUGAGUUUCAUCUAUCAACACUAUAUCGUCUGCGAAAAGCAUACACCAAGGAAUAUCAUCUUGAAUAUGUCCUUGUUAACUCAUCCAUUACCAACGCAAAAAAGGUAAGGACUUAAGGAUGAGCCUUGAUGUAAUCCUACAGUUAUGGGAAAGCUUUCGGUUUGUCCUUCAUGAGUUCUUACGGCAGUCUUUGCUCCUUCAUACAUAUCCUUUAUAGCUUGGAUAUAUGCUACUCGUACUCCUUUCUUCUCUAAAAUCCUCCAAAGAAUGUCUCUUGGGACCCUAUCAUACGCUUUUUCCAAAUCUAUAAAGACCAUGUGUAAAUCCUUUUUCCCAUCUCUAUAUCUUUCCAUCAAUCUUCGUAAGAGAUAGAUUGCCUCCAUGGUUGAGCGCCCUGGCAUGAACCCGAAUUGGUUGUCCGAAACCCGUGUCUCUCUUGCCUCAAUCUAUGCUCAAUGACUCUCUCCCAGAGCUUCAUUGUAUGACUCAUUAGCUUAAUACCCCUAUAGUUCAUGCAAUUUUGUACGUCGCCCUUAUUCUUGUAGAUAGGCACCAAAGUGCUCGUUCGCCACUCAUUUGGCAUCUUCUUCGUUUUCAAAAUCCUAUUGAAAAGGUCAGUGAGCCAUGUUAUAUACCUGUCUCUCCCAAAAGUUUUCCACACUUCGAUUGGUAUAUCGUCUGGGCCUAUUGCUUUUUAUGCUUCAUCUUCUUCAAAGCUACAACCACUUCUUCCUUCCGGAUUCGACGAUAAAAAGAGUAGUUUCUCUACACUCUUCUGAGUUACUCAACUCCCCUAAAGAAGCACUCAUUUUCAUGUCCUUCAUUGAAAAGAUUAUGAAAAUAACCUCUCUCCAUCUGUCUUUAACCGCGUUCUCUGUAGCAAGAACCUUUCCAUCCUCAUCCUUGAUGCACCUCACUUGGUUUAGGUCCCUUGUCUUCUUUUCCCUUGCUCUAGAUAGUUUAUAGAUAUCCAACUCUCCUUCUUUGGUAUCUAGUCGUUUAUAUACAUAUCGUCGUAAGCCGCUAACUUAGCUUCUCUGACAGCUUUCUUCGCCUCUUGCUUCGCUUUUCUAUACCUUUCACCAUUUUCAUCGGUCCUCUCCUUGUAUAAGGCUUUACAACAUUCCUUCUUAGCCUUCACCUUUGUUUGUACCUCCUCAUUCCACCACCAAGAUUCCUUUUGGUGUGGGGCAAAGCCCUUGGACUCUCCUAAUACCUCUUUUGCUACUUUUCGGAUACAACUAGCCAUGGAAUCCCACAUUUGGCUAGCUUCCCCCUCUCUAUCCCACACACAUUGGGUGAUUACCUUCUCUUUGAAAAUGACUUGUUUUUUCUUCUUUUAGAUUCCACCAUCUAGUCCUUGGGCACUUCCAAGUCUUGUUCUUUUUGUCUUACUCUUUUGAUAUGUACAUCCAUCACCAACAAGCGAUGUUGAUUAGCCACGCUCUCUCCUGGUAUAACUUUGCAAUCCUUACAAGUUAUACGAUCCCCUUUCCUCAUUAGAAGAAAAUCUAUUUGUGUUUUUGACGACCCACUCUUGUAGGUGAUCACAUGUUCUUCUCUCUUCUUAAAGAAGGUGUUGGCUAAGAAGAGAUCAUAUGCCAUUGCAAAAUCCAAGAUAGCUUCCCCAUCCUCGUUUCUCUCCCCAAAACCAUGGCCACCAUGAAAACCUCCAUAGUUGCCUGUCUCCCUGCCCACGUGUCCAUUUAAAUCUCCUCCUAUAAAUAACUUCUCCUCCGUUUGAGCAAUUCCUUGCACCAAGUCUCCAAGAUCUUCCCAAAAUUUCUCCUUCGAACUCGUAUCCAACCCUACUUGAGGUGCGUACGCACUAAUCACAUUGAUAAGUUCUUGUCCUAUUACAAUCUUGAUUGCCAUGAUUCUAUCUCCUACCCUCUUGACAUCUACAACAUCUUGUACCAAGGUCUUGUCCACGAUGAUGCCAACACCGUUUCUCGUUCUAUUUGUGCCCGAAUACCAAAGUUUAAACCCUGAGUUUUCUAGAUCCUUUGCCUUACUACCAACCCACUUAGUUUCUUGUAGGCACAUAAUAUUUAUCCUUCUCCUCACCAUAACUUCCACUACUUCCAUAGAUUUUCCCGUUAAGGUUCCUAUAUUCCACGUUCCUAAACGCAUUUUGCUCUCUUGAACUCUACCCUUCUGUCCUAGCUUCUUCACCCUCCCCCGUCUAAUAAGAUCAAAGUACUUCUUUUGUGUGUCCCGGGUAAAGUUGAUAGGAGCAUAUGCUCCCAAACAACUUUGAGUGGAGUCGUUUGAAAAGAAGUUUCUAUGGCCCCCUUGCUCAUUUAACACUGCAUCCGGGUGCCGAUGGAGAUACAGCGACCCUUGCUCACUUAUCACUGUGCUCGGGCCACACAGCGCGCCACUUACGGGUGACGCCCUAGCUUUAGCGUGAUUUUGUUCUGGAUUCAUUUUCAUAAGGAUUCGACGUGAUCAUGGAGUGCCGGCUGUCGACUACCUGACGCCCUCCCCCUCCUCCUUUAUCCGGGCUUGGGACCGGCCAUGUAAGACAUAGGCGGAGUUUUGCCAUCAAGCUCCAAUAUUUCUAAAUAAAAAUAGACUACCAAGAUCCUUAGGGAUGGAAUCAUCAGUUAAAUUGCAGUUUCCAAGACCUAAAAAUGUCAACGAAGGGCGCAAAAGAUUACUUGAUGGUGACCCUCUCAAACCCCAUAGAAAUAAAGAUGUCAGGUUCUUCAAUCUUGCAAUUGAAGAUGGAUCUUGGCUUAUCAUUGUAUCCGACACGUCGACCUAGAUCCUUUGGGAUGGAAUCAAGUAGAAGAGAGAGCAAAUACCUGGCUUAUCAUUGCCAUCAAGCUCCAAUAUUUCUAAAUAAAAUAGAAGAGAGAAAGCAAGAUAUUGGUAUUCACAGAAGCUGAAGAAAAUAAUAAAUAAUUUGUUUGAGAUCAUAUUAUACCACGUCAGUGUCCUCACAAACUCGUAUGAGUUUGCUAUAGCUCAAGUCAAUAGCAACUAGGUUUGGUUGAUAGAAAUCGUCAGGUAUGACCUUCGGAGGAAAUCCAUGCCAACAUAACCAUCUUAAAUCCUUGGAAAGAUGGUGGUAACUUCCAGUGAGCUUUAUGUUUUUGAGUUUGAGCAAUCUCAGACUCAGCAUGUUUCUAAAUGAUUCUGAACUGAAGCUACGCGUGUCAAACUGUUGUAUAUCUAAAGCAAGUUAACUUAUUGAAAGACCAUGAAAUUCACCAUUUUCCCUAAUAUAGGCCUUUAUACACCAAAAAAUGGGAGGUCUAUCAGCUGAGCACUUAACUGUUAGAAAGCAGGAAAUUAAGCAUUGCCCUUGAACGUUUGUGUUCAAGAGUCUAACAUGUCUUGCUCUGCAUCUUCUGAAGCUGAAAGGCCACUCACUUCUUCUUUGUCAUCCUCCCAGUCACUGUCUUCCAAUUGAGGACUCUCGGACCUCUUCUCUGACUCUGCCCCUUGCCUUCUCAUGUGUUCUGAAAUAUUUCACGAAAGCAAACAAUUAAAGACCGGGGGCAUGUAUAGUCUGGGGAAUGUGAGGCAAGAGAAGAGGAAAACUUACUUUUAUUGGUAAUUGCGUGACGAGUCAUGACCAAGAAUUCAUCCCACUUGAAUUUCCUGAGUUCUUGCUUCUCCUCCUCAGAAAGCUCAAAAUUUGGUUCCCUCCCACACAUGAAAGCAGCCCUGAACACAAAUAACAAAACCAACAAAGUUUAUAUGGCAUAUAAUUUAUUGCAUUUGACACACAAAGCUUACCACCCAUUUUCCCAUUUGGCUUAUCAAGUUUCAUGUUUUUGAAUGUCGGGGGAUUGACACGAACCACUAUAUCAUGUUGAUAAUGCAGACACAACAGACCUUCAGGUUUUAAAAAAUAAAAAACCAGAAGUAACAUAAAAAAGGACACAGGUAACCACUGGUUGGAAUGAACAUAUAGGAUGGCAUGUUCUAUCUGGUGACCCUGUCCAAAGAACGUGAACAAAAAAAACCAGUGUAGCAACAGUGAAAACUAAGAUUGUUUUACUUGGUGUAUCUAAAAACAUGAUGACGAACCACUAAACAAGAGAAGGCAUUCGGUAGUCGAUAGACAAAGGAAAACUGCAAUGGUUUAUGAUUUUCAAUAUUAUGCACUACUGAAAGAUCUUGUAUCUGCUGAUCUUUCCUUAUAGUGCUCAUCCAAUAAAAAUUGUUCGUAGUGAAAAAAAUGUGAUCGUACCUGUCGUACAAAUGAGCAGCCUCUUCUUGGGAACCAACAGUGCCCAAGUGGAUUUGUUUCUUGUCAACUUUUAUUGCUGCAUGCCACUUCAUAUUCUUAAAAUACACACCUCUCAGUAGACUUGGUUCCUGGUUUUGAGCAUACUUUCUGCGAUGUUGCUUUCUGUGUUUGACUGGUGGCCCUGAAAAUAGCAUAUUAUGUUUUAGAAACGAGCAACCUGUAACACAGGCCUCUCAAGCUAAUUGUAAUGGAUAAACGUAUAUGUUAUUUUUAAUACUUCCAUUAUCAAGAUUCAAGAAUAUGCCGUGUGCAGGAGGCCUAGGCAAAUAUACAGAAUUACUGCAAAAUCAAGAAUAUGCUGUGUGCCAAAAUAUUUCUAUAGGCAAAUAUACCAAAAGUUGAAAAUAACUGCAAAUUAAAAAUCUUGCAUCUUCUCUGAGAAGACAAUCAUGAAGUUCCUCAUAACGUAAAGACAGAAAAUACAAGUUUCAAAAGGAUGAGUUCGCAAAUUUGUGGUCCAAUAGUCCAAGACAUCCAGCAUUCUAAUCUAUGAAUAUGUAAUUAGAAAUGAUAGAAAAUUUAAUUUAAACAACAAACCUGCCACAUCGUGCUGCUCUUCGGAUAAGCUAAAACCAGAUGCAAUGAAGGAACGAGGUUCUGCUUUCACAAUGGUAUUCUGGUAAUAAGUAAAGCAUCAGAUAGAAUGAAACUAAGAAGCUAAGAAAUGAUUGAAAUGAAUCCAGAACUGAAAUGAAAUAUCCCAAAUAGAGCUUUUGAUUUCCUAUUUAUGGUAUAUAUUUUUACUUUUUUUUCUGAACACAUUCCUUACUAAAAAAUGCUACUUUUUAGCUUUUUUGAUAAGCAACUAUGAAUUAAGAGCAUACUGGAUCACAAAACCAGGUUUAGGGGCACCAACAUCUCUAAGGGUUUACUGCUUAUAGAAAUGCUAUUCUUACUUUGAAUGAGAUAUUGUUAUUUUAUAAACCGUACUUAGGUCUUAUAUGGCGAUCAUUGCCAUCUUACCAUUUUUCUCUCGGUACCCUGCUAAGCUUACUUCACGUUAAAAAGCAAUAUUACGCCAUUGAGACAUUCUGCCUGCGGAUUUUUGUUCUAAAUUAUAUAUAUGGAACUUUUCUCUUACCAUACAUACAUGUAUAUUAACAAAAAACGUAGAAAUCCUGUCUGACGAGUGUCCUAAACAAGCUAAUAAAACCUUCAAACAAAACAGUACCCCAUAUAAUGUAUGUAUUUAAUGAUCGAUUGAUCAACAAUCUUUUCUUACCCCAUCUGGUUGAUUUGCAUCAUUCAAAGGCAUGGGAUGCACAGUGACAGGAUUUGUACGGGGUUUCGAGGAUAGGUAGGAUGGACUUAGCACUCCAACAACUGGGCCAGUGACCUUUAGUGGAACAGGGUUGUCCUCGCUGAAUUCAAGAGAUGUCCAGUGUAACGGUUCAGCUUUAGCCAGGCGAAUUUCAACUUUGGUGGACAGAACGUCAAAUCUGCACAUUUCAGGUAUUAUCUUUCCAAAUAAGCGGGUCUGAAAAUGAUAUGUAUCUUCACCAGCAACAUCAAUGCUAACACCUAGUUUUUGUUCACCAAAGUCAACAUUAACGUCUUUGGCUGAUAUGCCCUCAGCGAAUAUAGUCACAACCACUUCUUCUGGCUUCUGGUAGAAUGCAGGCCUGUAUUUUGGUUUGACAUAUGUAGUGGUCACCUGAUUGGAAGGUUGACUCGCAGGCUGAACAUUUUUUGCAGGUAUAACAUUCUCUGUAAUGUUUUUCUCCAAUGAAGCCGUUGGUAGAACAGCAGUUUCCUCUGCAAUUUUCUCAUCACACUCUUUUAUCAAAUUAGCGAAUCUUGUCUCAUGUGGGGCCAAAGGAGCACCAAUUUCCAGGGUUGCCUUUGCAGUCUGAUAUUCCUCGAGCUUGAUGCAGGCAAUUCCUUUGCGCAAAUACGCUUUGUACAAUAAUGGAUCGAACUCGAUUGCCUUGUUCGCAUCCGCAACAGCCUCAGUGAGAUUGCCGGAUUUGAUGUUGGCCUGCGCGCGGUUGGUGUAGAGCUCGGCGCUCUGAGGGUUGAAAGCAAUGGCAUGGGUGUAGAGGUCAACGGCCAACUUGAAGCAGUCGUCGAUGAACGCCUCAUUGGCACACUUUUCGAGAUCGGAAGCCAUGGGCAGACAACCGUCCAUGUGGACCGAGGGAGAUGGAAGAGUCUAGAAAAACAAAAAAAGUAUACAACUAUGGUUAAUUGUUGAUUUCUUUACAUAGAUGAGAAACUAAAUACAAUGUAUAAUAUUUAAGGAAAAAAAAAUACAUUGAUAAACCAAUAAAUUAUUAAUUUACCGAUUAUUUAAUAUUCCGCUAUAUUAAUAGUCUUCAUUGGUCUCAAGGCUAUUUAUUUAUAGAAGUUUAAUUAUAUAUACAACAACAACAAAGUCUUUUCCCACUAAGUGGGGUCGGCUAUAAUUUGGCAAAUAUACGAUAUAACUCUAAUAAUUUCGGAAGUACAAACCUCUUCAGAUGAAUUAUUUCUUGGUACAGCACCAAUCUCCUCAAUGCUAGUGUAUUUGUCACCGGCAUUACCAUCAUCCCAGACUAGAUUAAUUCCUGUUUUCAUCACUCUCCCUAUUACUCUCCCUCUCCCAUGAGCCUUUGUAACUGCAGAAAUCGAGACUUCGUCUCCACUUUGCAAAUGGAGUACAUCAUUUGAUAAUACACUUUGCAAACGGAGUACACUAUCAGCUACCCAGCAGGUAGAUUCUUCCCAGGUGUGCAAAGCCUUACGCUUGGUAAUAUUUGUAACAGUAAAUCCCGGACAAUAUGUUUCGAAAACACAGCACACAGUCAAUCCUCUAAAAUUACAAGGCACUUUAAAACGAACAUCAUUGGGCUCAUGAAUACCAACAAUCUGGAACCACUCCGGAAUAUCAUAAAUUCCAUUGAGAAAAAUGUCACCAUGUCCGCAAGAAGUCCAUCCCUAGAGCAUACCACGUAAAGCCAGAUUAAUUUGUAUAAGCAAGUCUUAAUUAUGCAUGCGUGUCAUGAACAUGUACAGUACAGGGGCCUCUGUGGGAGUGUGAUAGAAAGAGGAAGAGAAUAUGUCUCUCAGAGGGAGAUCUGUAGGAUGUUCUUCCUAAAACUCAGCAUGUACAUGUCAUUAUUAUGCAUACGAAAUACAUUCUUGUACAUGCAUGUUUUUGGUGUGUUUGUGUGGAUAUGUGUGUGUGUCUGUGAGGGAGAGAGAGAGAGAGAGAGAGAGAGAGAGAGAGAGAGAGAGAGAGAGAGAGAGAGAGAGAGAGACCUGUAUGAUGUUCUUCCUAAAAUCAGCAGUGAGAUUGGUGCAGCCUUCCAUAUGAAUCCUUCUCAUAGUGUGUAACGACUUAUGCAAGCCUAGAAUCUCACUGAGUUUGGGGGAGUGAUUUAGAUGCAGUUCUACCAUACUUGACAUUUCUGAAAAAUUUGGCAGUUUUGCGAGUGCAAUGCACUGAUUCGCUCUCAAGAUUUCCAAACUUCUUGGUAAAUCCGGGAUUUCAAGAAGAUUUUUGCAAUAACUCAAAUCUAACAUUUUAAGCUUGGAGAGUCCACUGAGGCUAGGUAGGCUAUAAAACAAAUUGCCAUCAAGCUCCAAUAUUUCUAAGGAAAAUAGACUCCCAAGAUCCUUAGGGAUUGCAUCAUCAGUUAAACCACAGUUUCCAAGACCUAAAAGUGUCAAAGAAUUUAAGCCAUGCAAUGAAAGGAGCACAGAUCUCAGGUUCUUCAAUCCUGUUAUUGAGGAUGGUAAUUUCCUUGUCAUUGUAUGGCUUGCUUGAGGUGUUGUCGAUGAUACCAUCUCCCCCUUGUCCUUCAGUUUUAUAAAUCCUGUACAGCCUUUAAGAAUAAGAGUCUCAACUGAUUUUGACUUACAGAAAUCCCCUGGAAAAUACUGAAGCGUUUUGCAGUCUUCAAGAUUUACCAAUGAAAGUCUUUCAAGAUGCCCAAUAGAUGGGUGAAUCUUAGACAAUCUUACACAGUUUACCAAUAUCAGUUUUUCAAGAUUUGGGACUUUGGAAAGAUCUGGUGAUUCUGUUAGGUAAUGGGAAUGACUGAGAUUGAUGAUUUUCAGAUUCUUGAGCAGCUGCUGGGGGAAAAAAAAAAAAAAAAAAAAAAAAAAAAACAGAACACAAAAUAGAAAUUCAAAUAGAAGAGAGAGAAAGCAAGAUAUUGGUAUUCACAGAAGCUGAAGAAAAUAAUUAAUAAUUUGUUUGAGAUCGUAUCAUACCACGUCAGUAUCCACCCAAACUUGUAUGAGUUUGCUAUAGCUCAGGUCAAUAGCAACUAGGUUUGAUUGAUCGAAAUCUUCAGGUAUGACCUUCAGAGGAAAUCCAUGCCAACACAGCCAUCUUAACUCUUUGGAAAGAUGGUCGUAACUUCCGGUGAGCUUUAUGUUAUUGAGUUUGAGCAAUCUCAGACUCUGCAUCUUUCUAAAUGCUUCUGUACUGAAGCUACACUCGUCAGACUCUUGCAUAUCCAAAGCGAGUCCUUCAACGUCUUCUGUUCCCUAUUACAAAAAAUAGUUGAAAAUUGAAAACAAACCAACAACAACAACAACAACAGAGGAACUAAGAAAAGGGUUAUAUGCAAGUGAAAAGGUGAUUAAUUCAUACAUCAGAACCACAAGGCCUUGAAUUGGAUGGAUGAACCACAUGAGAGGUGGACAAUUACACAAUAUAGAACAUGGGACCUCUCAUAGGCAACUUUUAUUAUAUAUCUACUAUAAUAUGCUUAUAUGUCUGGAUUAUAACCAUAAAGUUGUACUUUACAUCUGUCUACAUUAAUUAGGUAUCUUUAGCAAGCUUCUGUUACAGGUAUCAUAAUUCACAAAUUGUACUUAACCAGAGGAGGACAUGUGUGAUUCUGUUAUUUAAUUUGAGAUGAUUCAAUACAAAAAGCUCCUUUUUUGUCUCUUACAGUUUCCUUUCUCUGCUACAUUAGUACAUGCAUUUAACAUCAAAUUUAAUUGCAAAAGUACUCACAGAUUGCUUCGUCAAUACGUCUGUUAUAUCUUCAUUAUACCACAAUCUACUACGUUCUCCAGGAUUGUCAGGGGAUUCUGCACGCACGAUUUCUCUGCCCAUGCCUUGAAUCAAAUCAUGCAUCAUGAGAUUGCCUUCUUUAUCAACAGUUACAAGGCAUUGAUCUUGGAGUUCUCGAAUCCCUAUUUCUGGAUAAAACUGACAGCCAUCCAGUACUGUCAUGACAUAGUCCUUGUUCAUUCCAGUAAAGAAACAAGAGAUGUCAAGGAAUAUAGCCUUCACGUCAUCAUCAGUUAGCCCAUCAUAGCUUAUUUCAAGUCUUCUGUGAAUUUCCCGAUAAGGCUGUGAUCUUUUCCAUUUAUCCAGUACAGUUUCCCAUUCACUUGUGCUUCCUGUACGUAUAUAAGAACCUAAGACUUCAAGUGCUAGUGGCAAACCUCCACAGUAGCCAACAGCCUUUCUUGAGAGCUCAAUAUACUCUUCAUUAGGAUAAUUGUUUCUAAAGGCAUGCCAACUAAGUAGUUCAAGAGCUUCUCCUUCAUUCAUUGCUGGCAGAGGACAUAUCUUAUCCACAUUAAUUAUCUUUAGCAAAUGUUCGUUUCUUGAAGUUAUAAUGAUUCUGCUCCCUGGACCAAAGGAGUCAGGUUUAUAGCCAAAGCAUCUCUUUGUUGAACGCUGUCUAAAUCAUCAAUUACGACAAGUACCCUUCUGUUGCCUAACCUUUGUUUUAUCUCCUUGGUCCCUUCAUUGAUACUACUUACCAAUAUGUAGGCCGGUUUCAAGAUAUCAGAAAUAAGUUUUUUUUGCAAAUCAACCAGUUUCUCUUCGCUCGCAGUUUCAAGGAAACUUGCACCGUCAAAACUAUGAUGAUGUUUGUUGAAAACGGCUUUUGCAACCGUUGUCUUACCCAGUCCACACAUACCCAAAAUUCCAAUUAUGCGAACAUCAUUUGAUCCUCCAACAUCUAAAUGCUUACUAAUUUCUCGCACACGAGAAUCUAUUCCAACUAGCUUCGUAGGUACCACUAAGCGAUUGUUUCUGCUCAGUUUUCCAGUGAUCUGAGAAACAACGUUCCUGAUAAAAUUUCCUUCAUUCCUGGUUGUUAAAAUUCAACAAAGCAAAAGUAAAAAUUUAUUAUGCGACUUCAAGAUCACAUUAAUCUUUCAGAAAUUGACGAGUCAAAAUCUCCAGAUACUAUUACAAUUUCCUAAACUGAAAUCUUGGUUGUUAAAUUUCAACAAGGCAAUUAUUACCGAUUAUUUUUUUAUUGUGUAUAUCGAUAUUUUACACUAAGAAGAAGAGAGGGAAUUCGGCUAGGUCACACAAUAAGCAACAUAAUUUGGUAUCGAAUUCGCCAUCCACGAUAUUCCAACAUAAGAUCUCUCGCUUAUAAGUGAAGAGUUAUACCAUCAAAUCCUAGUAUUGAGUGGCUAGAUAAGCCUGAUAUAAUCAUUACUUAUACAUAAAUAAAUAAAAUGGAAGGGAAAUUUCAGCCACACAAAGUAAAGAAAAUAAAAAGGAAAUAAGAAAGUAAUUACCCGGCAGAUUUGGUUCCAACAACGUCAGUCUGUCGAAAAUUGAAUCCGGCCAAACUUCCAGCUUCCUUAAGAGCGUUUCUCCAGAGAAGUACCUUUUCUUCCUUAACUUCCUGUUCAUAUUUCUGAAACGCCUGUGCAAAACUACCACUCUGGUUCAGGACAUCUGAGGAAUCAACACCAUAGAAGAUUGGAAAAACCAUUUGACCCAGUGUUUUUCUGCACUCCAUGAUCUUCACCAGCUCCUCGAGACACCACGCGGACUCUGGAUACCCUCUUGAGAAGACGACGACGGCAACCUUAGACCUUUCGAUUUUUUGAAUCAGGUGUUCUGGUAUAGCUCUAUUACUUUUUUCUAGCUUGUAAUCGUAUUCGUCUCCGUACAUGAAGACGUUGAAUCGGUGGUCUUCUAAUGUACAGUAGAGGUGGUCCGUGAAGGUCGUGCGUGUGUCUUCACCUCCAGAACUCAAGAACACGUCGUACAUCGGAUCGUCUUUGGAGGAUGAAUCCAUCAAUUGUUACUCCAGGAUGUCUUGGCAGGCAGCACAGAUCAAAUUUGAGAUCUACAGACAACCGUAAGGGCAAAGUAAACUCAAAACUCCGAAAAGAAAAGUGGGAACUGGCAAGUGACAAGUCAAUUACGAUCGAUCCCACCCAUUUUAUUUUUUGAUCCAACGGUAUCAAAAAGCUCAAGGAAGAAAAAAAAAAUUUAACCAAUUUUUUUAAGAGAAUUUUAACUAAAAGCUACCGGUACGGUUUACUUUAACGAAAAAUCAUAUUUUUACACUAAAAAAAUCAAUCAUCGUACUUUUUAUUUUAUCCUUUAUUUUGUUCCUAUCGUUAAAAAUUAAAGUUUUUAAACCAUUUUCAUUAGUUUUCUUUUUUUUUAAAGACAAAAUAACACCUAUCCUUCCUAGAAAAAAAAAUAAAAAUAAAAAAUCCAACUGUCACCCAAGGGCCAAGAGCCAAAAGACACAAGCUGUGUGAAAGGUGCUAAAUCGUCUCACUCCUUACUUUAGUUUAGUACAAGACUGGACCUUUGUAUCAAGGAAAACGAUAGAUUGCCGAUGAACUAAACCACCUAAAAAAAUCUAUGACAACUUUAAAGAAGGAAAAAAAUAUCUAUGACAAUUUGAAGAAAGCAGAUGGCAAAUCAAACAGUAAACACUGAAUUAAAAACAAUAAACUCAUCCAUACAUCCAGCUCCCAUCUCUCUCAAAUCUGUCAGUCCCUCAAAGUCACCCAUACCUCCCUCAGUCACCCCUUCCUGACCGGCCAACCCCACAAACUGCACACAACCAUGCCUUCCCCUCUCUCUCUCUCUCUCUCUCUCUCUCUCUCUCUCUCUAAAAUCAGAGGAAACCUCAUAGAUCCUGGCAGAUGACGUAGAUAAAUCUCUCUCUCAUUGAGUCGAAAGCCCUAACACCCAUAUCUCUCCAAUAUGUCACUCCCCCUGUCCUCCCCUAACCACCCGAAGCACAGCCAUCUCUCCCCGAGUCAAAAUUGGCGGCCCUCACUCUCUCUCCAUUCUAUCAGCUCUUAUCUCUCUCAAAUCUGCAGGUGACUCCUCUCUGUGGGUGAUUGUGUGCCCAAACCCCAUUUCCAUCCGCCCAAUACAAAUCCAACCAAGCAAAUAAAACCCCAUCCAGAGCCUAAACCCACAAAGCCCAUUUUUUAAAGGAAUGGCAUGCCCGUAAAUAAAAUGAAAUUCGAACCCAAACACUAUUCAUUUCUAUAGUGCUAAUUCCAAUGCUUUCCUUAGACUAAAGUAAUUUUAUUUUAUGGGUUAAUAUCAGUUUAUUACUCUAAUAUUUAGUGGUUUUCAACAUUUGGUAUAUGAAGUUUUUUUCAUCUCAGAGUCAUACCUCAAGUCUUAAUUUUGGAGCAGUCUCGUACUUUCGUUAGUCAUUCUGUUAAGGACUCUGUUAAAACGUGAUGUGGCACUUGAUUGGGCAACGACAAUGCAAAAUGUGGCACUGUGGGCUCCACAUAGACCUAUAAAACAAUUAGAUAAUUAAAUAAUAUUUUUUGCCUACCUUUUCUCCAGUAAGAAGAACAAAUAAAUAAAAAAUAAAAAUAUUAUAACUCCCAUCUUCUCAAAGUCUUUAAGCUUGUUUGGAUGUAUUUUUAAAAUAACUGAAAGCGCUUUUGGUGAAAAUACUUUUGAAAACUAUCCUUAGUAAAAAUGUUAGUAAAUUCUUGAAAAGUACUUAGGGUGCGUUUGUUGCACCGGACUGUCUCGGACUGGACUAGCUUCAGGGACUAAGCUGGACUAACUUAAUGAAAAGUUUGGUGCAGUGUCGGACUAAGAAGCAAAAUAAUAAUAAAUUCUAAUAUUAUAUAGUUUAAUUCAUAAUUUAUUCCUAAUUCUAGAAACCUCUCCGUCCAUCAACCUCUGUUUUUAUUCCUCAUUUUUCUCAGUCCCACCCUCAUCCUCUUUCUCUACCCUCUCCCUCUCUGCCUCCUAUCUCAAGUCGUGGAAAAGGAAGAAACUUGCUCUAAUUCUCCUGCACUUGAGCUUCCAAGAAGGACCCAAAGUCUUGAGCGAUUUGUAUUUCUUUUUUUUUUUUGUUUUUUUGUCAAUUCACUGUCAUUUUCCCAGGCCCCAGAUCCGGCCGACCCAGACUCUUUUCGUAGUUGGAGCUAACGAUUUGAGACAUGUUGGGGGAGUUGGUGUGUUGAGUCGACGAUUCAACGGCGGAGGUUGUGAAAGUCCAAGCUUUUCCGAUGUAUGUGCGGCAAGACACGCGGUGAUUCAACUACGGAGUCAUCGAGCUUUUUUUUGGAAAAAUCAAACCCGUUUUCUGGUGGAGUUGGUGAAGGGAAGCAGACGAGCGACAGAGGAACGAAGCAAGUCUUAGUUUGUCCCAUGGUUUUCGGGGACUCUAACUAAGAACCUCUAGUGACGCUGUCAGUCCCGAUGAGUCCGGGCUAAUCUCAUUAAUCUUAGCCCCGCAUGAUAACAAACACUGGACUAAACCAAAAGUUAGUCCAGUCUGGUCCAGUGAAACCUAGUGAAGCAAAACAAACGGGCCCUUAAAGUGUUUCCAGGGAGAAGCACAUAACUGGUGCUUCUUGUAGAAAGCACUUAAAGUGCUUUUGGAACUCAAAAAUAUUUUCUUUAAAAGUGCUUUCAAUCAUUUCAAAAGCACAUCCAAACGAGCCCUUUAUCACCUACAACUUCUCCAACCACCCCUACAUCUCCUCCGACAACCACGCUUCCCUAGCCGCCAUUUUUCACACACCUAGAACCUAAAUCCUCCAUUUUCCUCACUGCCUCCAUCUCAUCCUUCGACUCUUUCGCUACCAUAGUUAUCUCCUUCACCAAACCCACAACCUCUAUCGCUGGCAUAGCUGUCGAUUACGGCGAUCCAGAUCCGAAAACCUUAUGGAAGAUUCCACGACAUGUUGAAUAUGGCCACGAUAGUGAUCGAAUGCUCGGAUUUGGCUACGGCGAUGAGUGAGUUGUCUGGGAUCGGGAACCCCAACUGGAUUGGGACAAAACGACGACUUCAGAUCUUGGCUUCGUCUGUACAAUUAGGCAAUUAGGAACCGAUUCUUUGAACCAUGAGGGAUCCAAAACCUUGGCGACGUCUUCAGAUCUCGGUCUCGAUGGCGAAGAUGAGCUAUUGGAAAUAGCUCGUUGUCGCGGACCAGAUCCAUUGCGAAAUAGAUCUUGGACUUGCUUGCCAUGACCUUUUUAGAGUUGGAUGAUGUUGGGUGCUUCACCAUCCUCAUCACAAAGGACGAUGUUGGGGUUCUUUUUUAGGUUUUAGGUUUUAAAUUUUUUAAUGUUUAAUUUUUAUAUUUUUUUAUUUUAAAAAAAAUUAAUAUCCAUGUAGGUCAUAUUGACAUGUGGCGUCUAUUCAUUGUCUACAUAAAUGCCACAUCACCAGUUAAUGACUUUCUUAACAAAAAGACUAACAGAAAUAUGAGACUGUCCCAAAAUUAAAACUUGAGGUAUGACUCUGGGAUGAAAAAAAACUUCAUGUACCAAAUGUUGAAAACCAGGAAAUAUUAGGGUAGUAAACUGAGAUUAACCCUUGUUUUAUAUUAUGAAUACUUUACUCACUCCUUACUUAGUUUAGUGUUUUAUAUUAUGAAUAUUUUAUUAGGUAGAUACAGGUCGGGCAAAGCAGACACUCUGCACUCUCAAUCAAGGUUCUAAAAAACGUUAGGCGCUAGUCGGGCGGUGGGCUGGCGCCUAGCGCCUAGCGCCUAGGCGGCUAAGACCAUCUCCAACCGAAGGGUCUAGAGGGCCAGAGGGCCGAAAAUAGCCCUAAAACCGUCUCCAACCGAGGGUUAGGCUAGAGGGCUCGGGAAUCUGGGAGGGCCCCACGGGAUCGGAGAGGGCUGGAGGGCUGGAGGGCUGGCUGCUUUCGGCCAGCCAGCCAGCCUCGGGCUGGCUAUUUUUUUUUUAAUGUUUCUUAUUUCUGUCGGUUACAACCGACAGAAAUAACAUUUUGAAUUCAAACUUCCAACGGCUAGCGCCACUAGCCGUUGUAAAUCCUUUUUUUUUUUUUUAUGAAUUUAAACCUUUUUUUUCUUUUUUUUUCUAUAACUUCCUAUAACUUCUAUUUUACAAAAUUUGUUUCAAUUUUUUUUUAAUUCUAUUUUUUUUCCUAUAACUUAUAUUUUACAAAAUUUGGUUCAUAUUUUUUUCAUAUAACUUCUAUUUUACAAAAUUUGUUUCAUAUUUUUUUUUAAAAUUCCAUUUUUUCCUAUAACUUCUAUUUCACAAAAUUUGUUUCAUAUUUUUUUUAAAUUCUAAUUUUUUCCUAUAACUUCCUAAGCCAUUAUACAACAUUAAAUUAAAUUAAGUAACAUGAAACAACAUUAAACAAUAUGAAACAACAUUAAAUAACAUUAACCGACAUAAAAAUUAUACAACACUAACCAACAUGAUUUUUAAAUAAAAUUAAGUUGUAGUUUUUAAAUAAUAAAUUAUGUUUGGCCCUAUGGCCCUUUGGCCCUCGGUUGGAGACGGUUUUUUUUUACAGGGCUAAAACGAGCCCUCUGGCCCUCUGGUUCUCAGUUGGAGACGGAGGCAAAUAUGGCCAUGUACUGUUCAUUAAAAUAUUAAUAUCUUGGAGAAUCUUAGAGGGCCAGAGGGCUAAAACGAGCCCUCUGGCCAGCCAUCGGUUGGAGAUGGCCUAAGAGGGUCUAGGCAGGCGGCCUAGGCAGAUUUAGAUAAAUUUCUUGUAUAUCUUAUAAAUAAGUGCAUAUUAACACUUACAAAAAAUUAUACUUGUAUGAAAUCUAUGGAUAACAUAAUAAAAGAAUGAUAAAAUGAAAAAAGAGUACCCAACAAGUCCAAUUUAAAAACACAUUAACCAUAUAUGCCAUAUAACCAUAAUGAGGAGUAUAGUAGGAUGACACAUGUAUUACAAGUUCACAACUUAGACUUAGAUAGGAUAUUUUUUUUAAAUUUAAAAAAUAAAAAAAAUAAAAAAUAAAAUAAUAAAAUAAUAAAAAAACCACUUAGCCUCCUAGCACUGCCUAGCUCGCCUAACCCGCCUAGAGCCCAGCCAAUUUGCAAGAAAAUGCCUUGGGUCACCACCGCUGAGUGCCUAGGCAAUUUUUUAGAACACUGCUCGUAAUUGAGUGCUGAGCAAAAAUAAGGAUGAGGUCUUCUUUGUGAGGAUCUUAGAGAUUCUCACAUUUUAACUGUUUUGUACGAUCAAUUUUCAUUCAGUACUAUUUGUGUUUAAUUUUAAAUAAAAUUUUAAAAUGAUUUCUGAAUGCAAGAUAUACGAUGAAUGACUAGAAUCGGAUUCCCACAAUUUAUAUCCGGAUGGGAUCCAAAUCCCAAAAACAAGUCGUAAAAGAAAUGUAACAAACAAUUUACUCAAUAAAAUUUUAUUCUCAUUUGUUUUUUGGAAGAUUAUUAAUUUUGAGGUCAACUCAUUCUAAACAAUGCGUUUAUUAAUCACACCUUUUUUUUUAAUAACGAAAUACGUUUUGCUUCUAACAUGAUAAAAAUGAAUUUUCGAGAUCAAUGUCUUUAUUUGAUUUUGCGGUUGCACUUAGGUGGAACCCUAGACUACCUACCUACCUUUUUUGAGGGAUCAAGCCGCUUGUUCUUCAUCAUUUUCAAUGAGUGAAUGACUCACUGAAAAAGAAAGAUUUGGUUAUGCUGAUAAUAGAUUGAUUAUGCAUCCUUCGUAGAAUCAAACUGGCAUAAUUCUAGAUUUUCGAUGAGUGUAUGACUGAAAGAAAUUUUUUAUAUUUUGGUGAAUUUGGUUGAAUGAACUAGGGAUUUGAUUUGAAUUUGGACUUUGUGAUGAAUUUGGUUGAGGUGAACUAGGGAUUUGAUUUGGACUUGUUUUGGUUUUGUGCAUUUCCAUCUAGAUCGAAUCUAGAUUGCCUACACCUUUAGCGGAUCAAAUCUGAUGUAGUUGAAGAUGUUUUGUGUGGCUUUGUGCCAUUUGGAAUAUGAAGUGGCUUUGUGCCAUUUCGACCAAUUCGGUAAUUUUCAUGGGAAUUUAACCUAUUAAUGUGACUUGGUUCACAACUGCUGAAUUUGAGGUAAUUUGCCUCCAUGAUUUUUGAAGAUUCGCAUCCACUAAUGUGACACGGUUCGAAGUUUUCUCCAUGUUUUUCUUUAUUUUGGACUACUUGGAUGUGGUAUGCCUCCGCCAAGCCGUUUCGUUCUUGGUCCUGUUUGAUUCAUUGAGCCUAAGUUUGAAAGCUAUGACCAUUUCCAACCGAUCAAGCCAAAGGGUCAUAGGCCAAAAUAUAGCCAAUUUUGACAGAAAAUCGUCUCCUAUCGAGAGCUAGGCCAAAGGGCUUGUGAACCCCACUAAGCCAUACUUCAUCCAUUAGGCCAGUGGGCUGGCCAAAAAGAGCCAGCUAGCCCGUUUCUAGCAGCCCAAAACAGGGAGAGAAUAGGCGUGCCCCAUCUCACUGAGACCGAUUGCACAGAUUCCAAAGACACGUGUCCUAGCUGAGAACGAAACACACCCUAAAAUCCAUGGAGUAGGAUUCUCUCCCCUCUUUUUUUUCCCUCCCCUUCCCUCCCCUCCUAUUUGAACGGUCACAAUUAAGCUACAUCAACAUCUUAUAUUAAUUUAUUAAAGAAAGAGAAAGAUAAAAUAAAGAAUGUGAGAUGAGGAGAUGGAAAGAAAAGGGUAGAGAAUCAUAAUCCAAAAUCCAUUAAUGUGGACAACUCCUUGCAAGGCAUGUGUCAUCCUUCCUCAGAAACAAUGAUGCCUCCAAAAUAAUAUUCACAUUCUUCUACAUCCUUUCAUCAUUCUAUAUCAUCUUACCUCAUUUUAUUUCAAUUCUUCACAUUCUAUUCUCUUACAUUUUUCAAUAAUCUUUCCUUUAAUAUUUUCAAUAAUUUUCAAAUGGCCACAUCUUCAAUCAAAGAAAGGGCUUAUUCAUUUAACAACAAGUGGCACUCAAAAUACGUCAUAAAACCUUAUUUUAAUUCAAUUAACAAUCUUAAUUCAAUUAAAAUAAUAAAUUAUUGAGGGGGCUAAAAAAUAGCCCCCUUCGGUUAGAGAUGGUUUUUUGUUAAACGGGCUAUGUUUUGGCCUAUGGCCAUUUGGCCCCCUCAGUUGGAGGUGGUAUAAAAUAUAGCCUGACUGUUCAUUAAAAAAUAAUUUCUUGCAUACCUAUAGGGCUAAACAUGGCCUUUUGGCCUCCUUUCAGGCCAUCUCAACCGAUCCGGCCAAAGGGUCAUAGGGCCGAAAAUAGUCCAAAAUGACACGAAAAUCGUCUCCAACAGAGGGCUAGUCCAAAAGGCUUAUGGGCCCCACUGGGCCAAAAAUACAAAAUCAGGCCAACCCGCUGGCCCAAAUAAGCUAGCUAGUUAGCCCUGGGCCGGCCCAACCUUUUAAAAGCAACGGCUACCUGGCAUCAGCAUGACGCCAGCUAGCAAUGGCUAGCUGAUGCCAGGUAACCGUUGGAUUUGAAUUUUUUUUUCCUGACAAAAUUAAAAAAAAAAAAAAUUCCAAUUUUUUUCUAUAAAUACCUAAUUCAUUCCUACACCAUUUCUCACAUUAUUUUCACCAUUCCAUACUAUUUUACACGAUUUCUCUCCUAAAUCAUUUCUUACCUUUUCCAAUAAUCUUUGCUUCAAUUUUUUCAAUAAUUUUCAAAUGGCCAGAUCUGCAUUGAAAUGUAGGGCUUGGACCCGAAAAGAAGAUGAAGCUCUUUGCAGGGCUUAUAAGUGGGUCUCCAAAGAUAGUGUGAAGGGGAGUUCUCAAACAAGUGAAGGUGUUUGGACUCGUACAUCCAAAAAAUACUAUGAGUUCUACAAAAGCACCACUCCACCGAUUUCCCAAAACCACGAGAGUUCUUCAAGAUCGAAAAAACAUCUUCAUCCAAGUUUGAAUAAAUGACAUCAAGCAGUGUUAAAGGCCAAAAGCAGACAUGAAAGUGAAGCCAAUUACUACGACCAAGUAAGUGUUUUCACAAGUUAUUUUAAAUGUUUAAUUGGGUAAAUUACAUAGUAGCUCCUCAGGUUUGAGCUCUAUUGCAAUCUCAUACAACAUCUUUAAAACAUUUCACUUUCAUACCUCAAGUACUAUUUUAUUUCAAUUUCAUACAACCGUUAGAUUUUCCAUCCAUGGAUCUGUUAAAUGCUGACGUGGCUGCCACAUAUAUGACACGUGGCUGCCAAAUGUCUGCCACGUGGCAAAUAAAAUAAUUUUUUAAUUUUUUUUUUUUAAAAAAACAUAUCUGCCAUUUUUUUUUCUCUUUCUUCUUCUUCUUCUCUUUCUCUUUCUUCUUCUCUUUCUCUUUCUUCUUCUUCUAGGUUCGGACCUUUUUUUUUUUUUUUUUUCUUCUUCUUCUUCUUCUUCUCCCUCCUCCUCCUCUUUCUUCUUCUCUUCUUCUUCUUCCUCCUUCUUCUUCUGGGUUCGGUCCCUUUCUUUCUUUUUUUUUUUUUUUCUCUUUCUUCUUCUUCUUCUUCUUCUUCUCUUUCUUCUGGUUCGGACCUCCUUUUUUUUUUCUUCUUUUUCUUCUUCUUCUUCUUCUCCCUCCUCCUCCUCUUCUUUCUUCUCUUCUUCUUCUUCUUCCUCCUUCUUCUUCUGGGUUCGGUCCUUUUUCUUUUUUUUUUUCUUUUUUUUUCUCUUUCUUUUUCUUCUCUUUCUCUUUCUCUUCUUCUUCUUCUCUUUCUUCUUCUUCUUCUUCUGGGUUCGGACCUUUUUUUUUUUUUUUCUUCUUCUUCUUCUUCUUCUUCUUUUCUUCUUUUUUUUCUGGGUUCGGUCCCUUUUUUUUUUUUUUUUUUCUUCUUCUUCUUCUUCUCUUCUUCCUCCUCCUCCUCCUCCUCUUUCUUCUUCUUCCUCUUUCUUCUGGGUUCGGACCCCUUUCUUUUUUCUUUUUUUUUUCUUCUUCUUCUUCUCUUUCUCUUUCUUCUUCUUCUGGGCUCGGACUUUUUUUUCUUUUUUUUCCUUCCAAUUUCAGGUUUUUAAAAAAAAAAUAAAAAAUUAUUUUAUUUGCCACGUGGCAGACAUUUGGCAGCCACGUGUCAUAUAUGUGGCAGCCACGUCAGCAUUUAACAGAUCCAUGGAUGGAAAAUCUAACGGUUGUAUGAAAUUGAAAUAAAAUAGUACUUGAGGUAUGAAAGUGAAAUGUUUUAAAGAUGUUGUAUGAGAUUGCAAUAGAGCUCAAACCUGAGAGGCUACUAUGUAAUUUACCCUAUUUAAUUAUAUUACAUUUAAUUUCAUAAAUUAAUUUCCUUUAAUUUUUGUAAUUAUAUUUUCUAGGUACGCCAAGCGGAGGAAUUGUAUGUCAAGGACAACUCGAAACUCUUUAAUCAACACAGUUGUUGGAGAAUUUAUAAGGGGUGGGUGUUAUUUGAAGAUCCACCUCAAGAAAGAAUUGCUCCUAUGCCGGUGUUCGGAAAUGCAUCCUCAAAUGCAGUUGGGGAUGAAUAUGGAUCUCCUAUCGUUCAAGAAACAAGGGUAGAAAAUCUAUCUUCGGGUGAAGGUUCCAUACCUAGGGCUAUGGGACGAAAUAAGGCCCAAAGGGCAAAGCAAAGGAUGAUUAUGCCUUUCAACAGGAAAUGGAGUCCUCAUUACGAUUAAUGGCGAAGCAAAAUGCCUUUGCCGCGGAAGAAAUGAAUCGUAGGCAUGAAGAACGGGCAAAACAAAUUCAAGAAGAGAUGGAUGAUAGGAACAUGCAAAGGAACACUUCGGAUUACACUUCAAUGAGCAAGACCUAUUUUGAUAGGAAAAAAAGUGAAAUUAUGGUCCAACGGGAGUUGUUUACAUCCGACUAUAAUCCUACAAUGGCGGAUGAUGAUGAUGAUAAUUAUAGACUUUAAAUUUAAGUUGUUGUAGUUUUUAAAUUUAAGUUGUUGUAAUCUUUAAAAUUUAAAUAAUAAAUUAUGUUUGGCCUAUGGCCCUUUGGCCCCCACGGUUGAAGAUGAAUUUUUGUCACAUGGCUAUGUUUGGCCUAUGACCUUUUGACCCCUCGGUUGGAGAUGAUAAGAAAUAUGGUCUGGCAUUGUUGUUACGCCCCGGACCCGGGGUCAACAGGAAAACUCUCGAACCCAAAUCCAGUGCACGAGCUAAAAAUAGAAUUAAAUAAAAGGAAAGUGAAACUGGGUGGAAAAAUAUGAAAUUCCUCUUAUAACGAGAAAUCGAUAAUUCUUUACAAGACUAAAAUAAAUAAAUACAAAAUUAUAUCCUCACCCUUAAUCUGAUCUCAUCCCGUCUACCUUUUCUGACUGUUUAGUUCUUAAACCUACUUAACAAUAGAGGGUUGAGCUUCAACAGCUCAGCAGGGACAUAACCUUAUCACAGUAAAUUGACAAUAUUAAAUUAAGUGUCAUGAAAUCAUAUGGCCAAAUAUCAAAUCAUUAUUGAUCAUGAAUGCACUUGAAACUCUUCGGCUACCCCUGUUAAUUUAUAUAAUAAAACAAGCGGACUUGCACGUUCCAUACUGUAACAUCCCACAUCGCCCAGGGGAGUGAUCCUUAAAUGUAUAUUCUCAUCCCUACCUAGCACGAGACCUUUUGGGAGCUUAUUGGCUUCGGGUUCCGUCGGAACUCCGAAGUUAAGCGAGAACGUGGCCAGAGCACUCCCAUGAUGGGUGACCCACUGGGAAGUUGCUUCUGAGUUUCCAGAAACAAAACCAUGAGGGCGUGUCAGGGCCUAAAGCGGACAAUAUCGUGCUACGGUGGUGGAGUAGGCCCGAGAAGUGUUCCGCCCAGGGCGGGAUGUGACAAAUGGUAUCAGAGCCAAUCCCUGGCCGGAAGUGUGCCGAUGAGGAUGUCGGGCCCCUAAGGGGGGUGGAUUGUAACAUCUCACAUCGCCCAGGGGAGUGAUCCUUAAAUGUAUAUUCUCAUCCCUACCUAGCACGAUGCCUUUUGGGAGCUCACUGGCUUCGGGUUCUGUCGGAACUCCGAAGUUAAUCGAGAACGUGGCCAGAGUACUUUCAUGAUGGGUGACCCACUGGGAAGUUGCUCGUGAGUUCCCAGAAACAAAACCGUGAGGGCAUGGUUAGGGCCUAAAGCAGACAAUAUCGUGCUACGGUGGUGGAGCGGGCCCGGGAAGUGAUCCGCCCCGGGCCGGGAUGUGACACAUACCAUGCAUUUUACCCUUGCAUAGAUGGUUCGAAUAUUCUAUUAUAGAAACUAACCCUCAUAUGAUAUCCCAAGUUCAUUGAUCUCCAGCCUAAAUUACCCACAUCGACAAUUCCUGUCAAUCCUAUUCUAAUGUGCACACCGGGCUCGCCUGGAACUAGUUUCACAAUGAUUAGAUUCAACUACACAAAAGAUCAUUUCAAACUACCCUCAUUUCCAUACUUCCAAUCUUAAGGCUGAAAUUUCAACCACAUCAACAUGAAUGAUGCACAAACAAUGUCAUUUCAUCUUUCACAUGUAUCACAGUACAUUCUCAAUGCAUAGCAUUUCAGCAUUAAUUCCAUAACCAAGAACAAGUAAACACUUAACUGAACCAAUUAGCCAAUUAUUAUCCAAUCACAUUAAUCAACCAAAAAGAUCAAGAAUAUUAUAGCACUUCACGAAAUUGAAUAAAAUCAAUUUCUGUAAAGGUUUGCCGUAUUUCCCCUACCUGGAUUCCAAAGCAUUGCUCCGACUCUCUAUUGCAAGAGUCUACCUUCAACAACUCCUAUCCACAAGUGUAAGAAAUUACUAAAAAAAAUGACAUGAACUUUAAUCCUAGUCAGAAUACUUAAGCUUGCUAAUUACACACUACUAAUUCAAAAGUCAUUUGGUUAAUUUACAACAGCAUGGUCAUCAGUGAAGGAAACUUUUGAACUAGAAUACCUUUAUAAAAUAAGUAAAGGUAUACUUCGAAAUACAUAAGUACAUUAACAUACUUCAGCCAAGCUAUAGAUAAAAGCACUAAUCUGUUAGUAUUAUGAAUGAUGUAAAAGCCCUUUAAUUGGCUAUGGUUUUGGCCCAAUUAGAAUAGAACAAACAGCUUAAUAAAAUAAUCUAAAAGAAAAGAAAAUGAAUAAUAUGAAUAUAUAGUUCAAAUACUACCGUAAUGGUGUACUGAACUUAUUUGGUUCAAAAUAAUAGUAAAUUAGAGUAUAGAAAAUUGAAAUAAAGGAAUUAACGAUUAAAUAAGAAGUAAUACAAAACUUUAUGAAAUUAAUAAGUAUAUACAACACAUAAUUAUAUAUAAUUAUUUUUGAAAAUACAGGUCCUCACAAUUGUUUAUUAAAAUAUUAAUUUCUUAAAUGACUAUAGGGCUAAAAGAGUCUCUAACCCUCUUUUGGUUGGAGAUAAGCCUCAAUUGGAGAUGGUAGCCAUUAUGAAUAAUAAUGAUGACUAAUCGUGACAAACGUUUGAAAUCUACAUGAGUAGGUAAGGUUUUGGCAGUAGGCAGUGGAUGUCUCUUUUUGAUUCCCAUCCACUUGUUGUCCACUUGCUCCGUAAGUGCAGCUUUUCAGUGCCUUUUUUUCUUAAGAAAAUUAAUAAAAAUAAGCUUUAAUUUUUUACAUUUUAAUCAAAAAUCGUUUAUUAAUUUUAUUUAACAAUAAAAAUAAAAAGAAUAAAAAAUAAAAUAAAAAAUAAAAAUAUACAACUCACGCUGGGCGCACGUACCUCCCACCCUUUUACCUCUCUUUCACACUCUCCUUUCUCCCGUUGUCAGCUAUCAUUAAGAGUUUUUUUUAGAAUAAGAAAAAGACUUCAAAUUAAAUUACAUUUCUCAGUUUUAUUUUUGUGGUGUUGUUUCCCAAUAGUAAUUAAGAUGACGAGAGACUUUUCAAUGUGUACAGAAAACGGGUAGUACACUACAUGUCUCUAUACAUGUGGUGAGAUUUUUAUGUUAAAAAUUAUUAACGUAAAAAAUAAAGUUUCUCACCACUUACACAAUAACACGUGGUGUACCACUUGUGUUACGCGCAUAAGAAAUUUUUUCUCCAAGAUGACACCUAAGCUCAAAGAAAUUGGAUGAAGAGUUACAUUUAAUUAAUGCAGGUAUGUAAAAAAGUGAGGAAAUUUUAAUUUGGUAACUGAAAACAACUUUUUAAAUAUAAGGCUAAAUAGCCAAAAUGGUCCCUGAGAUUUGCAUAACUCAUCACUUUGGUCCCUAACAUUUCAAAUCAAUAAAAGUGGUCCCUGAGAUUGUCCACCAUCCAUCAUUUUGGUUCUUCCGUUAUGCUAAAACUCACAAAACCUCACUAUGGUAAAACCCACAAAACCUCGCUAUGGUAAAACCUAAGGUGGGAGAAAAAACUCAUAGACUAAGGAGAAAGGUGAGAAGUUGCAUUAAGUCAAAACUAUACGUCUUCUGGAUGCAAGUAAAAGAGCUUACAAGGGUAUGACCAGCCGAAGAUGGGUGCCUCGUCAAAACCUAGUUAGGUAGUAAAAAACCCAGUGGGAAAAAUGCUAUCGUAGAAAAAAAAGUACAUGAAGAUCAAGUGAGUAUAAUUUUGGAUACUUCCGCAGAGUUUGACAAAAUUUCCAAAUAAGAAUGACAAGCAUUGCAUAUGAUUAGUUAGGCAUACCAAUUCCUCAGACAAGUUUCGAGAAAGUAGACUUCGGCAGUGACGUCGUGUAAAGGUUGGCAAGGUUGUCAAGGAUCGGCUUGCAUAACUUCAAUCUCCUGAUGCUUUGUUGAUGUGGUGUAGAUGCAAUAUCUCUUGGCGUUGACUUCGUUGAUGUAUCAUGUCUUUGUCGAGUUGAUACAUGCUGCAUAGUCUUCAUAGAUUGUCGUUAGGACUCAACGAUGGAUGAAGGCAUUGCAUGUACUUCAAAUAUGCUCAACAAUAGCUCUUAACCAUGUCUCACAUGUGGCAUAGUGAAGUGAGGUGAGUCUUGGAAUGAUUUGAAUAUUUGCAACUAAGGUCACAUCGUGGACCUCCAAGAUAUUGCGGUAUCCCUAACGGUAAAGACAUAGACAUUUGGGGAUGUCCCUUGUGCGGGUUUGAUAAGCAUCUUGCGUCAACAUAACAAACAAGGCUAGGAUCAUUCUGAUGAUCAAGGGGUUAGAUUUGCUCGGCAUAUGUUGGGAUUAGCCCAAAUCCGUAGUACCUUCAGGGUAGCAGAAAAACGUCUUUAUUACCAAUUCAGUGGUUGCAUGUAGGCGCGAUGCUACAUCUUUACUAAUAGAUCAACAUCGAAUGAGAUAUCAUGUCUAACAUAAUGAGCUAAGUACAACAAAGCGUAAAGUUGAACUUAGAUAUGGAACUUUAGAUUCCAUAACCUCUUCAAGGGUCUCAUUUGCAUAUAGCGUAUGGAAGAUCAUAGGUAUACUCAAAAGAUAACACCUUUGGGGUGUAGUUCGAUUGGUAGACCAAAAUAUCAUCAAAACACAAAACAACGCUUGAACUUCAGGUCAAGGCAUAAACGAGUUUUCCUAAGAUCCUCAUCUCCAUUUCCAUCUUUAGGUGUUAGGCAGUUUUCUCAAGCUCUUCUAGAGUCUUAAUGAGAUGCAUGUCAUCGACAUAAACUGUAACUCUAGCAAUUCAGAAUAUGACUUCGUAGUUUAACACGCAAUGGCAUAAUUCAUAUCUCUAAUUGAUCAAACAAUCACUUUGACAGGUAUACCAUAUCUGUCGAAUUGCUUCAAUCCGUAAGUGAACACCUCAAACAAGUUGAGAGGGUGUUCCGUAGUCUAACUAUUUGAACUAGUUCAUGUAAUUAUUCGAGAACUUACAUGUCAAUCUCCGUAUCAAUAUUCCUAUCGAGAAACACUAACCACAUUCAUAAUUCUACAGUCAAUCACAGGGCGUUUGAGAGAAACAUUGCGCUGAAAGUAAUGCUAUCUCAUUCAUCUCAUUACAUUUCUUUUCCUACUUGUAACACAACAGGGUUACCUUGGACAGUGUAGGAACGAAAAGUCCAAACACAUUUUGGUAAGGAAUUUAACCUAGAUUGAAAUCUUGGUUGUCCGAUUAGUUUUACGUUGUCAUUAAUCAACUGAAUGUAAUUCAAAAUUGUCGUUUUUCAUUUAUGUCCGUAGCUACCAUAUAAGUGAAAACAUCAUCGAUGAUAAUCUCAUUCCAAUUCCAUAUCUCAUCCAAACUAGUAUACUAGACCAAGAACUUCAAGUCUCAGGAGUAAUCCGGAUUAAUCUUUUGAGGUGAAAAUUAUUUGAGACAACGAUCAAUUAUGGAUUUAUGUUGUGUCGUGAUCUUCCUCUUCUAGGGAAGUGAAUCUUAUGAACCGAGUAAUACGUCGUGCUUCAAGCCAAGAACGGAUUGAUUGACUAUCUGCCAGGGUACCAAGUUGCCCAACAUGGGCAGCCAACACCCUUUAGGAAUGUUGACUUAACGUCUGUUAAGUACAUCUAUCCUUGCAUGCAUGUUUGCAGCUGGCAUAUGAUCUUGUCACUUUAGCUAGAUCAAAGGAAUGCGUCUAGAGCAACAUUCUGAAAGUUAGAAUACAUCACACAUACUUAUCACACUUGUGUGGAUAUGAGACAUAGUGGGCAACGUGCACGCGAAUUUGCUUCGUUCUACAGGAACUUUGACGUUCUUAUCUCCCUCUAAUAGCGAGAAGACUGUCUCAUUCAAGUGACAAUUCACAAAAUGAGCGAUAAGGAGAUCGCAUGCAAAGGUUGUAAAGAGCUAGUGCGAAGGAAAAUCAUAAUCAACAAAGAUUCACAUCCUUCUUUAAGGAACCAUGUUGGUAUGUUGCGGUGGUGCAAACUUGGCACAUGGAAUGCACACCCAAAUGUGUAAGUAUGGAACGUCAGGUUCGUACCUAGUAACCAACUGUAACAUCGAAUAGGUUAGGUGGCAAUGGCCUCAAAGCAAAUCAACAUAGUUGUGUACAUGAUUGCAUAGCUCUAGAAAUCAAUAGCUUGGUGUGUUCACCAAGGUCCAACGAUCAAUUAAACUGCGCUUUAUGAUCACUCUGCGAGGCUGUUUUGGGGUGAACAUGGGAAUUCAAUGUCCAAUUAUAAACCCAAAAAAAAAUGCAAUACUUCUUGAAAACCUUCGAUAUAAACUUUCUAGUAUUAUCCAGUGUUCUAGACUUUAUGGGAUAAUUAGGGUGGUGGUGCCUUAAAAUUGGCCAAGAGGUUUAGCUGCAGUGUGUGUGGACAAACAUGUGACCAGUUUGUCGAUUCAUCAACCAAAACCAUAAGUAUUUAUAUUGUCCACAUUUUGGUUGGAUUAGUCCACAUAUAUUUCCUUGAAUCCACUAUGAAAAGAAGGCCAUUUCGUAUCUUUGCUAGGGAUGAUUUAGAAAAUCAAAUUUCCCAAACGAGUAAGUUUGGCAAAGUGUGUGCUUGUAAACAUAAGAUCCUUACUUUGGGCAAGGAGAUUCUUCGUGGCAUCAUUGUUCGACCUAAGUUUACCAAACGGUCGUGCCAAGGCAAGUAAACUGCUCGAAUCACCCACCUCUAAGUCGGCUACACAUGGCGUAUCCUAGUGGGGAGGUAGCCUAUUGGCCCUAAAAUAAAACUUUAGGCUCAUUUUGGGGGUGAUGCAAAGACAUUCCACUCUAUGUUUCAUCAAUGGUUUCAUUCAUGAUCAUUGUUCUCUCGAAUAUCCUAAAGACUCAAUGAUUUUCUUCUGGAAUGAGGAGAACAUAAGGUCUCUUAAAUGGUAAUUUAGUACCAUUUAUACAAUGAGAAGCAUGCCAAUGCUCUUAAUUAGGUUGGAUAAACCUGAAGUCGUUGUUAAAGAUGUGAUUUAGGUAUAUAGUUAGUGUGCGUAGUGUCGCAUUCAUCCAGACAACUAACUUUCCCACAUUCGUACCUAAUCACGUUUUUAAUUGAAUUCGGUUAGAAACAUUAUUCAAUUAACUCAUAUUCGAGGACAAUAUCGAUAAGAUUAUCCACAAAGUAAACCAAAGUUACUAAAGAGAUUCUCCCAACAAGGUCAUCCAUGUCAAAAUUCUGGAGCAAAAUUAGUCUCAGAUAUUGAUUACGAGAAUGGUACUCCUUAACGAUAUUGGUAGGGGCAUGAAAAGGUGCAUAACCAAUGAAUCUAUUCCACCAAGACGGAAGUAGAUUCUGCAAGGUUGAGGUUUGGGAACACUAUCCCUUAUUCUUGAAGUUUUAGGUCUUAGAGAGUAUCCUACGCACGUUUGGUGACUUUUAUCAUGGCAUUUAUGAUGAUCAGUUUCUCUUUAUUUGCAAUGGUAUGCAGGCCCUCGUUGAUCUUAAGAAUCUUCUACAACUCAGGACAAUCGCAAUUCUCGAGCCUCUCGUUUUUAAGAACUUUUGUGGGCUGGAUGGUGCCUUGGAGAUAUUGAGGCAGCGACUACAGGGUUUAAUGGUGGUGGAAGACCACAGAGAUUAUGCUAUGGAUGUGCAAAGCAUCCGCAAUGAAGUGCAGCAGAAUUUUGAUAGAAAGCUGGAAGAGGUGGUUGCUAAACUUGUUUUGGGUAGCAAUCUGUUUAGAAAUUUACUUUUGGUCGUAACUACCAUCCUAUUAUUUUCUUUUACUUAGCGUCUUAUGGAAAUGACAGGUAAAGCAAAAGGGUGGCCAGGGGAAGACUGAAAUGCAUAUGUGAGUCUUUCGGCCUCCAAAAUGGUGGAUUGACGUAACAAAGCCACCAGCUGGUUCCGUAAACAACAUUACAUACUUGGGUACAUCUGGUGCGCUUGUAAUUUAUGUAUUGCUCUUGAUCUUGGAUCUGUACAUAGCGAACAAUUGGAAAUCUAGUCUCUUUCCCCAUAAGGGAAACUAAGGUAGGCUUUGGUUGUAACUUGUAGUCAUAAAUUGAUAGGUGAAACUUCAGGGGAAGAAAUGUUAUAUGUUAUACUAUCUUCUUGGAAAAUGAAUUUAUCUUGGCAGUCAGCUUAUCCAAGCAUCUUCGGUGAAAAUGAAGUUUUGUUGUGAAAGUAAUUGACGAUUAGCAAACUAGUUUAUAUGCCUGUGUAAGAUUAGUGGGGGUGAACAUGCUAUGAUUGCGUGAUGGAAGUUAAAUUUUCGCUCAGUAACUAAUAACCCAUGUAUCAUGGUGAAUGGGGAGGAGUAGUUCAACUCCUUAGAAGCUUUCUUUAACUUCUCAACGUACGAUAAUUCCAUAUUCUCACAGAAACAGCAUGUAGAAGCAACAAAGAAAGUUUUGAAGUGAUACUUCUACAGUUUGAUACAAGAGUAAGACUCUUUCAUGAAUGAAGUAGGUGAACAAUUCUUGUUGAACUAUUAAAUAGCAAUUUUUCUCUUUGGUACCUAAAAACACGGACUAUCGUUGCAUGAUUGAUUGCUGGAUUUGAUCUAAAAACUUAAAAGUUUAACCUUUGGAUAUGAUGCUACUGUUCAGGCUAGAUCUGUCCCUCGCACAGCUCCUUGGAGCUCUUGCUUGUCAGGCAAGGUUUGCUGCAAUAUGAACUUGCUGUUAGUUUGAAUGGUGCCUUUGUAGGGCCUUUGUUAGGUCGAGUCAUUUGACAUGAUUAAUGAAAUUGAUUGAGUUAGGGUUGAUUAGAAUUUGGGAUGGACACAAAGCGAGGAAUAGAGAGCAGGAAAAUUUGAAAUUGAAGAUCAAUUAUGUGAAGAAUAGUGCUAACUGUGAGAAUGUGAGGACAAAUAUAGGUGAGCGACCAAACUAUGCAAAGGGCUUAUAAAAGGCUGAGUUGCUCUUCAUAUUAUCAAUAAGUUUUAUGAUGGAACCUUAGCUUUCUUCAUGGUAUCCGAAUAGGUUGACCCACGUGUAAAGCCCAAUAGCCACAUGUGCUCACAUCACCCUAUUUGUAUUAUCCACGUGUUAGGCUUGAAAAUUCGUCACACAUGAGGGGGCAUGUGAGAAUGUGAAGACAAAGUCUCACAUUGGUAAGGGAACAAACCAUACAAGGGCCUAUAAGAGGUGGGACUAUUCCCUAUAUAAUAUAUUGCUAAUUAGUUUUAUGGUGAAAUCUCAACUUUAUUCAGUAAUAGUGCAUGAAGAUGAUGAUAUCAUAAAAAUUAUUAGUGGAGCGUGAGAGGGCUUUCUUAAGUUUAGGAGAGAUAACUAAUAAUGUUUCAAUAGAGAAAAAUAAGAUUUGAUAGAAGAAUUGUAAUAGCCAUGUGGAGCUAGGUGUAUGGAAAGGGAAUUUAUAACCCUUUUGGGGAAAGUAUGGGGGAAUUUUAGUUAUAUAAGGUUUUCUGGUCGAGUGAGUAUUGAAAUAAUUUUUCAGACUCCAUUAAGUUUCAGGUGACUGAUUGUUUACUUCAGUGGUAGUCCAGAGUUCAUGCCCUACGCUAACAGUUUGGGGCAGGACAAUUUUGAUGUGGUGAUUUACAUUUAUGAUAUUUAAAAUCAAUAAAAUUGGUUUGUUAACAAUCAAUCAUUUUAGUCAUUUCAUAAAAAAAUUUCGUUAAAUAAAAAUAAAAUAGCAAAAAUACCAUCAAUUUUUGUCAAAUUAUUUUGGCAUAUUAUUUAUUAAAUUGAAGAGUAUUUUUUUCUCAUUUUGGUCCUUAUUUAACAGAAAUUUUCACGGAAUGACCAAUAUGAUUGAAACUGGACAAACUCAGUAACCACUUCUGUUGCUUUCAAAUCUUAAGGACUAAGUGAGGAGUCAUGACAAUCUCAAUAAUCAUUUUAGCUAAAAAGCUGAAGGUAAAAGCCCAAGAUAAUAUUACCCUUUACCCUUUAAUUUUAAAAAACUUGAAAGGAAAGGGGGCUCAAAAAAAUAAUUUUAAAUUGGAAAACAAAAAUAAAGCAAAUUUGAGGUUCAAAUAGAACCAUCAUAAUUCAUUUGUUUUCUAUUGGAAAAAGGUUUUUUGCCAUCUUGGUCUGUGUUUAACUAGCUUUCUUCUAGUUGAAACCUAAUUUCCCUAAUUCUCUAAUACAUUAGUUUCAAAUGUUUUUUUUUUUUCCCGUCAUUCCUGUAAUCCCAGAUUUAUUUCAAAGUAUUUAGAUUUUUGUAACAAAUGUAUAGUUAUAAUAACUUAUUUACAACUUAAAAUCCAGCCAUCUAAACUUGCAAAUUGUUGCAGCCAUGAGGCUCGUUAAUUAUUUUUUAAUAUUUUUUUUCACUGUUUUCCUAUAUGAUAAAGGGUGGUGCAAUCUACACACCUAACUUUACCUCUCACAUAUCCCUUGUUAAUUACUGUCCUUUCUAUUUUUCAAUUCAUUCGAUCAAUUUCAACUGUACAAUACACAAGCAAAACACAAAAGCGAAUACACCAAUUCUGGUUGAUUUCUUAAGAGAGAGUCAUCAUCCAAACCAGAGUAGUGCUAAAGACUAAUUGGAAAACUAAUCAUUGUCCGUACAACCAACAAAAUCACACUCCCAAAUAGGUUACAAGCAUUCAUCCAAGUUCCAACUAGUACUAGAGAGCAGCAACAGUCUAGAACUCCCAUUUCUUCAUGUCCACGCCGACCGGAGCACUUCCCUCAACCUUUUGUUUCCCACUUCCUUACAGUUUGUCUAAGUCAUUGUCCUGUUCCACUCCCCACAGCAUGUCUUGUCUCCACAGAGCACUUCCCUCAACCUCUUGUUUCCCACUUCCUUCCAGUUUGUCUAAAGCACUGUCCUGACUUCCCUCAGCAUGUCCUGUCUCCUCGGUGCCCUUUUUCGUCUGUAUUCGAAGAGGUGAUAAUUUUCCGCACCUCCAUUAAGUUCUUCCCGCCGCAUCGCUUAGUCUACCCUUUUUCGUUUCGGGGAUGGGUAGUACGGGCUUGACGCUCCAACAACUGGGCUACUGACCCUUAGUGGAACAGAGUUGUCCUCGCUGAAUUCAAGAGAUGUCCAGUGUAAUGGUUCAGCUUUAGCCAGGCGAAUUUCAACUUUGGUGGACAGAACGUCAAAUCUGCACUUUUCAGGCAUUAUCUUUCCAAAUAAGCGAGGCUGAAAAUAAUAUGUAUCUUCACCAGCAACAUCAAUGCUAACACUUAGUAUUUGUUCACCAAAGUCAACAUUAACGUCUUUGGCUGGUAUGCCCUUGGCGAAUAUAGUCACAACCACUUCUUCUGGCUUCUGGUAGAAUUCAUGCCUGUACUUUGGGUUGACAGAUGCUACGGCCAACUCGAAGGGGCCAUAGAUGAACGCCUCCUUUGCACGCUUUUUGAGAUCAGAAGCCAUGGGCGGACAACGGUCCAUGUGGACUGAGGGAGAUGUAAGAGUCUAGAUAAAAAGUAUACAACUAUGGUUAAUUGUUGAUUUCUUUACAUCUUUGAGAUAAGAAACUAAAUACAAUUUAUGGUAUUUAAUAAAAUACAAAAUACGUUGAUUAAUUAAUAAAUUUUUAAUUUAUCGAUUAUUUAAUAUUUUGCUAAAUAAUUGUCUUCCUGGGUCUCGAGGCUAUUAAUUUAAAGAAGUUUAAUUAUAUAGAAAACCAAAAAUAAAAACAGAACAAAAUAUAAAAAUAACCAAACCUAAACUUAGGUGCUAAAAUUUGGCAAAUAUACGAUAUAACUCUAAUAAUUUCGGAAGUACAAACCUCGUCUGAUGAAGUAUUGCUUGGUACGGCACCAAUCUCGUCAUUCCUAGAGUAUGAGUCACCACCAUCACCAUCAUCCCAGACUAGAUUAACUCCUGUUUUCAUUGCUUUCGCUCUCCAACCUGUAACUGCAGAAAUCGAGACUUCGUCCCCACUUUGCAAAGGGAAUACAUCAUUUGAUAAUACACUUUGCAAACGGAGUACACUAUUAGCGAAACCGAGUGUAUAUUCUCCCGGGAUGUGCAAAGUCUUACCCUUGGUAAUAUUUGUAACAGUAAAUCCAGGACAAUACGUUUUGAAAACACAGCAGAGAGUCAAUCCUCUAAAAAUUACGACCAAUAAUUUGAGGCACUUUAAAAUGAACACCAUUGGACUCAUGAAUACCAACAAACUGGAACCACUCUGGAUUAUCAUAAACUCCAUUGAGAAAAAUGCCACCAUGUCCGCAAGAAGUCCAUCCCUAGAUCAUACCAUGUAAAGCCAGAUUAAUUUGUAGAAGCAAUAGUCUUAAUUAUGCAUGCGUGUCAUCAACAGUGCCUCUGUGGGCGUGUGAUAGAAAGUGCAAGAGAAUAUAGCUCUCAGAGAGAGAUCUGUAGGAUGUUCUUCCUAAAACUCAGCAUGUACACGUCAUUCUUAUGCAUAAGUAAUAUAUUCUUGUACAUGCAUGUCUUAUGCGUGUAUGUGUGAGAGAGAGAGAGACCUGUAUGAUGUUCUUCCUAAAAGCAGCAGUGAGAUCGGUGCAGCCUUCCAUAUGAAUCCUCCUCAUAGUGUUUAACGACUUAUGCAAGCCUAGAAUCUCAGUGAGUUCGGGAGAGCAAUUCAGAUGCAGUUCUACCAUACUCGACAUUUCUGAAAAAUUUGGCAUUUUUUCAAGUGCAAUGCACUGAUUCGCUCUCAAGAUUUCCAAAUUUGUUGGUAAAUUCGGGAUUUCAUGAAGACACAUGCAAAAACUCAAAUCUAACAUUUUAAGCUUGGAGAGUCGACUGAGGCUCGGUAGGCUAUAAAACAAAUUGCCAGCAAGCUCCAAUAUUUCUAAAGAAAAUAGACUCCCAAGAUCCUUAGGGAUUGCAUCAUCAGUUAAACCGCAGUUUCCAAGAUCUAAAAGUGUCAAAGAAUUUAAGCCAUGCAAUGAAAGGAGCACAGAUCUCAGGUUCUUCAAUCCUGCUAUCGAGGAUGGUAAUUUCCUUGUCAUUGUAUGGCUUGCUUGAGGUGUUGUCGAUGAUACCAUCUCCCCCUUGUCCUUCAGUUUUAUAAAUCCUGUACAGCCUUUAAGAAUAAGAGUCUCAACUGAUUUUGACUUACAGAAAUCCCCUGGAAAAUACUGAAGCGUUUUGCAGUCUUCAAGAUUUACCAACGAAAGUCUUUCAAGAUGCCCAAUGGAUGGGUGAAUCUUAGACAAUCUUACACAGUUUACCAAUAUCAGUUUUUCAAGAUUUGGGACUUUGGAAAGAUCUGGUGAUUCUGUUAGGUAAUGGGAAUGACUGAGAUUGAUGAUUUUCAGAUUCUUGAGCAGCUGCUAGGAAAAAACAGAUAACAAAAUAAAAAUUCAAAUACAAGAGAGAAAGCAAGAUAUUGGCAUUCACAGAAGCUGAAGAAAAUAAUUAAUAAUUUGUUUGAGAUCGUAUCAUACCACGUCAGUAUCCUCCCAAACUCGUAUGAGUUUGCUAUAGUUCAGGUCAAUAGCAACUAGGUUUGGUUGAUCGAAAUCUUCAGGUAUGACCUUCAGAGGAAAUCCAUGCCAACACAACCAUCUUAACUCUUUUGAAAGAUUGCUGUGACUUCCGGUAACAUUUACAUAAUUGAGUUUGAGCAAUCUCAGACGUCGCAUCUUUAAAUGCUUCUGUACUGAAGCUACGCUCGCCAGACUCUUUCAUAUCUAAAGCGAGUCCUUCAACGUCUUCCGUUCCCUAUUCAAGGAAAAUAAAAAGGAAAAAAGUAAGACAAAAUUUAUUUUGACGUGAAAAGAGAAUUUACACACAUGAAGAAAGCCAUGAAUGGGAUGUAUGAACUAGAAUUCAGUUGUGAUUUACAUUUUGCCAAAUUAAUUAGGUAUCUUAGUCGGCAUCGGUUACACGGUGUUACUUUAUGUAUUACUAAACCCUUGGCACACGCGUGUGCCUUUAAUAUUGUUUUGGACUUCUAUUUUUGAAUAUAAAAAUACGUGGUGUACAACUCGUGUUCCGGUUACAAUAAAAAAUUUCUCCAUCUACUGCGUGGGUUUGGGGUUUUUAAUUUAAAAAAUUAAUUAUUGCAAUAAUAGGUGGCAUAUACUUAUCCCUUAAUGAAGUUCAUAUUUAACAAAGAUUUGAUUGCCGAAGUACUUACAGAUUGUUUCGCCAAUACGUCUAUUACAUCCACAUGAUGCCACAACCUACUACGUUCUCCUGGAUGGUAACGGCAUUGUGCAUGUACGAUUUCUCUGGCCAUGUCUCGAAUCAAGUCAUGCAUCAUGAGAUUGCCUUCUGUAUCAACAGUUACAAGGCACUGAUCUUGGAGUUCUCGAAUUCCUUUUUCUGGAUAUAAGUCACAGCCAUCCAAUAUUGUCGUGACAUAGUUCUUGUUCAUUCCAAUAAAGAAACAGCCUAUAUUCAGGAAUACAUCCUUCACAAGGUCAUCAGUUAGCCCAUCAUAACUUAUUUUAAGUAUUCCCUGUAUCUCCCUAGGAGGAUGUCUUUUCCAUUUAUCCAGUACAGUUUCCCAUUCACUUUUGCUUUUUGUACACAGAUAAGAACCUAAGACUUCUAGUGCUAGUGGUAAUCCUGCACAGUAGCCAACAGCUUUUCUUGAGAGCUCAACAUACUCUUCAUUAGGAUAACUCUUACCAAAGGCAUGCCAACUAAGUAGCUCAAGAGCUUCUUCUUUAUUCAUUUCUUGCACAAUAUAUAUCACAUCCACAUUAAGCAUCUCUAGCAAAUGUCGAUCUCUUGUUGUUAUGAUAAUUCUACUUCCUGGACCAAAUGAGUAAUGAUUUAUACCUAAUGCAUCUAACUGUGCAUCGCGGUCUACAUCAUUUACUAUGACAAGCACUCUUUUGUCGCCAAGUCUUCUUAUAAUCUCCUUGGUCCCUUCAUUGACCUUAAGAACCUUCAUGUUUCCCAAACUCAAUAUAUCAGAAAGAAGUUUGUUCUGUGAAUGAACCAGUUUCUUAUCUUCUCUCACAUUUGGAAGGAAGCUUGCACCAUCAAAACUAUGAUGAUGUUUCUUGAAAACGGCUUUUGCAACCGUUGUUUUACCCAGUCCGCCCAUACCCAAGAUUCCAAUGAUACGGACAUCAUUUGAUCCUUCAACGUCUAAAAAAUUACUGAUUACUUGAACGCGAGAAUCUAUUCCAACUGGGUGUAUGGCUACGUCCAAGUAAUUGCUUCUCAGUUCUCUACUGAUUCCUUCAUACCUGGUAGGUAAAAUUCAAUUCAAAAUUAAGCAAAAGUAAGAUUUACAAAUAAACAGCACAAUUAAAUUGAACUAAUAUCUUGCUCAUUAUGACAAGAGCUUGGGAGUGGAAGAUUUGAAAGCCCAGUGAUGCAUCAAAAUCUUUGAAAAUCAUUAAAGCAUUAAACAACACAGAUUUCUCAUGGAAGAGUCUGGAAGCUCUACAUUGCAAUGUGUAAAAUCAAUUACUCCAAGGCGUAGUUAUGAUAAUUUCAUUGUUUCUUGACAUUUGAUAUAUAUGAGAGUUCAAUAGACCAAUACAUUAUGUAGCCAAUUAAUAACUCUUGUUAGAAGGAAUGGGAAAUAAAAAAAAAUCCAAAAUAUAGGAAAGGAAAAAAGAAAUAAGAAAGUACCCAUCAGCACCCAAUAACCAAUCCGGAUGUUGGUCAAAAUCGUAUAGAAGCAAGUCUGAAUCAUGCAUAUUUUCCUUCAUAAAGUUGUCCCAUACUAGAUUAACCCCUAUUUUCUUCACACUCACAGAAGCAUCUGCAGGUUCAACAGGCUUUACAAAUAUAUCAACCUUGUCCCCUCCUUGCAAAUUGAGCACAUAGUUUGAUAUAUGUCCCUGCCAAAGAUAAUGGCCAUCAAGCGUGCAGGAAGUUGGUACCGAGGCAUAUGUUAUCCGGGCGAGCAAAGCAGUACACCAACAACAACAACAACAAAGCCUUUUCCCACUAAGUGGGGUCGGCUAUAUGAAUCCUAGAACGCCAUUGCGCUCGGUUUUGUGUCAUGUCCUCCGUUAGAUCCAAGUACUCUACGUCUUUUCUUAGAGUCUCUUCCAAAGUUGUCCUAGGUCUUCCUCUACCCCUUCGGCCCUGAACCUCUGUCCCGUAGUCACAUCUUCGAACCGGAGCGUCAGUCGGCCUUCUUUGCACAUGUUCAAAAUCACCGGAGCCGAUUUUCUCUCAUAUUUCCUACAAUUUCGGCUACUCCUACUUUACCUCGGAUAUCCUCAUUCCCAAUCUUAUCCUUUCUCGUGUGCCCACACAUCCCACGAAGCAUCCUCAUCUCCGCUACACCCAUUUUGUGUACGUGUUGAUGCUUUACCACCCAACAUUCUGUGCCAUACAACAUCGCUAGCCUUAUUGCCGUCCUAUAAAAUUUUCCCUUGAGCUUCAGUGGCCUACGACGGUCACACAACACGCCGGAUGCACUCUUUCCAUCCAGCUCGUAUUCUAUGGUUGAGAUCUCCAUCUAAUUCUCCGUUCUCUUGCAAGAUAGAUCCUAGGUAGCGAAAACGAUCGCUUUUUGUGAUCUUCGCUAGAUUGCUCCGGUCAUUAGUGUGGAUAAGUAUAUAAAUGGAUAGAGAUAGGAAAGCAAACACAAGAUGUACGUGGUUCACCCAGAUUGGCUACGUCCACGGAAUAGAAGAGUUCUCAUUAAUUGUGAAGGGUUUACACAAGUACAUAGGUUCAAGCUCUCAUUUAGUGAGUACAAGUGAAUGAUUUAGUACAAAUGACAUUAGGAAAUAUUGUGGGAGAAUGAUCUCGUAAUCACGAAACUUCUAAGUAUCGGAGUGUGGUGUCGUCUUGACUUGCCUUAUCUGUCUCAUAGGUAGAUGUGGCAUCUUCUCUGGAAGUACUCUUCCUCCAUCCAGGGGUGGUAUCUUUAACUGGUGGAGAUGCACAAGGUAAUGUAUCAAUUUCACUUGAAGCUUACUUGUAGUUUCAGGCUUGGUCAAGCGCGAUACAAACCAUGUAGUAGGAGUCCCCCAAGUCGCCGAGCUCGGGGGGUCUGCUGAAAGAGGUGACAGACAAGGUAAGCAAUCAGAGCUCCGACUGAUUGUUCACCUUCUCCCCAUCUUGCAGCAGCAUGAAGGAUAAAGAGAAGAAAAAUGAGAAGAGAUGAUAUGAGAUACUUUUGCUUUUGAAGAAGUAACUUUCCACAGGCUUAUUCUUGAACUGAGCUGGAGGGUUUUCUGGUUUCCUCCAGAGUAUAAGGCCGACUGAAGAAUUUGAGGGUCAAAACAAGUCCAUCAAAUCUAGAGUACGUUCCACCCUGCUGAUAUGGGAUACUUUUGCUUUUGACAGAGUAAUGAAUGUAUCGGCACGUGUGCUGUUACGCUUGUCUCCACAUGCUUCCUUGUAUCCUUCGCACUUGCCCUAUCUGUUCCUCAAGCAGAUGCGGAAUCUUCCCUGGAAACAUAAGAUGUUGAAGAUGAGUACUCGAGAGCAAUGUCAGGUAAGUAAUCAGGUAAGGGGUUCCAGGCAGUCAGUUCCUGGCUGGAAGCUUGAUUCCAAGUGCUGACUGAUUGCUCUCUUUUCUCCUUGUCUUGCAGGUAAAAACAAGGCCAAAAGAAAAGACAGGGAAAAAGCAUGAUAUGGGAUACUCUUGCUUUUAACCCUGAUGAUAUGAGAUAUUCUUGCUCUAGUAUAGCUUGUUUGCAGAGGUAUUAUCGGGGGGAAAGAAAGCUGAAUAUUUCGAAAGGCUUCGUUGGGAGUGCCCUCUCAGAUAUGAUGAAGGGUUGAGCAUUUUUGCAGGUCUGCCUGUCCGUUGGGGAUGGAGGUCGACAUAUAUAGGAGUCUCCCUAACAACAAGUAGUAAUGCUAUUCCUUUACCCUGCUUGGUCAUAGCACGGUAGUGGGAGCUGCCAGUUUCACAUGUUUUAACUCUGUCAGAGCACUUUGAAAAAGUGGUCUGUCUGUGGUAUCUGGCUCUCGAGAUUCGGAGAACACGAUGCCUCUUCGAUUUUUGAGAAAGCAAUCAUGCUGGGGGUAUGACUCUCGAGAUUCGGAGAGCAGUGUCUCUUCGAUUUUUGAGGAAGUAAUCAUGUUGGGAGUCUGGCUCUCGAGAUUCGGAGGGCGGUGCCUCUUCGAUUUUGGAGCAAGCAAUCUUGUUGGGAGUGUUGUCUCGAAUGUGAGUAAAGGUUGGGCAUGUUUGCUAGUCUACCUUGCCACGAAGCACAAAGGUUGACACACAGGGACUUUCCAAUUAUCCAGCAAUGGUACUGUUCCUUUACCCUCUCUUCGAUUUUGAGAAAGUAGUCAUGUUGGGAGAGUCUGGCUCUCGAGAUUCGGAGGACGGUGCCUCUUCGAUUUUGGAGCAAGCAAUCUUGUUGGGAGUGUUUUCUCGAAUGUGAGUAAAGGUUGGGCAUGUUUGCUAGUCUACCUUGCCACGAAGCACAGAGGUUGACACACAGGGACUUUCCAAUUAUCCAGCAGUGGUACUGUUCCUUUACAGUUUGUGGGUAAUAAUAUGGUAGCUAGACCUUCAAAAUUUAUGUGUCUAAACUUUUGUUAGUGCUGUUUCUUUGCUAUUCUUUUACCUUUCUUGGUCAGAGCGAUGUAGUGGGAGCUGCAAGCUUCACGUGCUCAACUUUGGCAGAGAACUUUGGCAAAGUUAUUUGUCUGUGGUACCCAUGAGCUAUUGUUGCGUGUGGGAAGUGGGUGAUUGAACAGUAAGAUUCAUGUGCUUUCUACUUCACCAGAAGUCUUCGACAGAAUGCCCAUAAUUUCUGCAAAGCUGAGUGUGCGUGUGACAGGUGCUGACAAGGCUAGAAAAGUAGGUGCCUCUUCGAUUUCUGAGAUCGGCCCUCGUGGUCUCUGAGCAGCCCAGCUUUUGAGAAAGCGAGCGCCUCUUCGAUUGAUUCGGAGAACGAUGCCUCAUCGAUUUUUGAGAAAGCAAUCAUGCUGGGGGUCUGGCUCUCGAGAUUCGGGGAGCAGUGUCUCUUCGAUUUUUGAGAAAGUAAUCAUGUUGGGAGUCUGGCUCUCGAGAUUCGGAGGGCGGUGCCUCUUCGAUUUUGGAGCAAGCAAUCUUGUUGGGAGUGUUUUCUCGAAUGUGAGUAAAGGUUGGGCAUGUUUGCUAGUCUACCUUGCCACGAAGCACAGAGGUUGACACACAGGGACUUUCCAAUUAUCCAGCAAUGGUACUGUUCCUUUACCCUCUCUUCGAUUUUUAAGAAAGUAGUCAUGUUGGGAGUCUGGCUCUCGAGAUUCGGAGGACGGUGCCUCUUCGAUUUUGGAGCAAGCAAUCUUAUUGGGAGUGUUUUCUCGAAUGUGAGUAAAGGUUGGGCAUGUUUGCUAGUCUACCUUGCCACGAAGCACAGAGGUUGACACACAGGGACUUUCCAAUUAUCCAGCAGUGGUACUGUUCCUUUACCCUUGUGGGUAAUAAUAUGGUAGCUAGACCUUCAAAAUUUAUGGGUCUAAACUUUGUUAGUGCUGUUUCUUUGCUAUUCUUUUACCCUUCUUGGUCAGAGCGAUGUAGUGGGAGCUGCAAGCUUCACGUGCUCAACUUUGGCAGAGAACUUUGGCAAAGUUAUCUGUGGUACCCAUGAGCUAUUGUUGCGUGUGGGAAGUGGGUGAUUGAACAGUAAGAUUCAUGUGUUUUCUACUUCCCCAGAAGUCUUUGACAGAAUGCCCAUAAUUUCCGCAAAGCUGAGUGUGCGUGUGACAGGUGCUGACAAGGCUGGAAAAGGCUGGAAAAGUAGGUGCCUCUUCGAUUUCUGAGAUCGGCCCUCGUGGUCUCUGGGGAGCCCAGCUUUUGAGAAAGCGAGCGCCUCUUCGAUUUUUGAGAUCGGCCUUCGUGGUCUUUGAGCAGCCCAACUUUUGAGAAAGCAAACGCCUCUUCGAUUUCUGAGAUCAACCCUCGUGAUCUCUAAGCAGCCCAGCUUUUGAGAAAGCAAACGCCUCUUCGAUUUCUGAGCAGGCGCCUCUUCGAUUUCUGAAGCUUCCGUCGAGUGCAGAUUUUUAUAGGGGCUGGCAUUAAGUUCCAAAGCACACUUGAAUCUCCACCAGUAGAAGCUUCAUUCUUGCACUUCUAAGAUCUUGAUUUGUCCGACCUCUUCUCUCUUCAACACCUUUGAAAAUGUCUGGCCCCUCCGACCGUCGUUUUGACUUGAACCUUGUUGAAGAGGCAGCCCCGCCUUCUCCAGACAACAUAUGGCGCCCAUCCUUCGUCUCCCCUACUGGUCCUCUUACCGUUGGGGAUUCCGUGAUGAAGAAUGAUAUGACCGCUGCGGUGGUGGCCAGGAACCUUCUCACUCCCAAAGAUAACAGACUACUUUCCAAACGGUCUGAUGAGUUAGCUGUUAAGGAUUCGCUGGCUCUCAGUGUUCAGUGUGCAGGUUCUGUGUCUAAUAUGGCCCAACGCCUAUUUGCUCGAACCCGCCAAGUUGAAUCAUUGGCGGCUGAAGUGAUGAGUCUCAAACAGGAGAUUAGAGGGCUCAAGCAUGAGAAUAAACAGUUGCACCGGCUCGCACAUGACUAUGCUACAAACAUGAAGAGGAAGCUUGACCAGAUGAAGGAAACUGAUGGUCAGGUUUUACUUGAUCAUCAGAGAUUUGUGGGUUUGUUCCAAAGGCAUUUAUUGCCUUCGUCUUCUGGGGCUGUACCGCGUAAUGAAGCUCCAAAUGAUCAACCUCUGAUGCCUCCUCCUUCUAGGGUUCUGUCCAGUACUGAGGCUCCAAAUGAUCCCCCUCCGGUGCCUUCUCUUUCUGGGGCUCUACCGACUGCUGAGACUUCUCCUAAGCAACCUUUGUGAAGGCUCCCUCUUGUGUGUUUAUUUUGACUCAUGUAUAUGUACAUAUUUGUAGCUUAUCGGGGAUAUCAAUAAAUAAGCUUUCCUUCAUUUCAACGUAUUGUGUUAAAUACACCAAAGCCUUCUUCGCUAAGUUCUUUGAAUUUUUCUUUUGUUGAAGCUUGUAUGUUGAAGCUUUCUGAGUGGAGCAUGUAGGUUGGGGUAGUGUUCCCUUAAUUUCCCGAGUGAGGAAAACUUCUCGGUUGGAGACUUGGAAAAUCCAAGUCACUGAGUGGGAUCGGCUAUAUGAAUCUUAGAACGCCAUUGUGCUCGAUCCUGUGUCAUGUCCUUCGUUAGAUCCAAGUACUCUAAGUCUUUUCUUAGAGUCUCUUCCAAAGUUUUCCUAGGUCUUCCUCUACCCCUUCGGCCCUGAACCUCUGUCCCAUAGUCGCAUCUUCUAAUCGGAGCGUCAGUAGGCCUUCUUUGCACAUGUCCAAACCACCGUAACCGAUUUUCUCUCAUCUUUCCUUCAAUUUCGGCUACUCCUACUUUACCCCGGAUAUCCUCAUUCCUAAUCUUAUCCUUUCUCGUGUGCCCACACAUCCAACGAAGCAUCCUCAUCUCCGCUACACCCAUUUUGUGUACGUGUUGAUGUUUCACCGCCCAACAUUCUGUGCCAUACAGCAUCGCCGGCCUUAUUGCCGUCCUAUAAAAUUUUCCCUUGAGCUUCAGUGGCAUACGGCGGUCACACAACACGCCGGAUGCACUCUUCCACUUCAUCCAUCCAGCUUGUAUUCUAUGGUUGAGAUCUCCAUCUAAUUCUCCGUUCUUUUGCAAGAUAGAUCCUAGGUAACGAAAACGGUCGCUCUUUGGUAUUUCUUGAUCUCCGAUCCUCACCCCUAACUCGUUUUGGCCUCCAUUUGCACUGAACUUGCACUCCAUAUAUUCUGUCUUUGAUCGGCUUAGGCGAAGACCUUUAGAUUCCAACACUUCUCUCCAAAGGUUAAGCUUUGCAUUUACCCCUUCCUGAGUUUCAUCUAUCAACACUAUAUCGUCUGCGAAAAGCAUACACCAAGGAAUAUCAUCUUGAAUAUGUCCUGUUAACUCAUCCAUUACCAACGCAAAAAGGUAAGGACUUAAGGAUGAGCCUUGAUGUAAUCCUACAGUUAUGGGAAAGCUUUCGGUUUGUCCUUCAUGAGUUCUUACGGCAGUCUUUGCUCCUUCAUACAUAUCCUUUAUAGCUUGGAUAUAUGCUACUCGUACUCCUUUCUUCUCUAAAAUCCUCCAAAGAAUGUCUCUUGGGACCCUAUCAUACGCUUUUUCCAAAUCUAUAAAGACCAUGUGUAAAUCCUUUUUCCCAUCUCUAUAUCUUUCCAUCAAUCUUCGUAAGAGAUAGAUUGCCUCCAUGGUUGAGCGCCCUGGCAUGAACCCGAAUUGGUUGUCCGAAACCCGUGUCUCUUGCCUCAAUCUAUGCUCAAUGACUCUCUCCCAGAGCUUCAUUGUAUGACUCAUUAGCUUAAUACCCCUAUAGUUCAUGCAAUUUUGUACGUCGCCCUUAUUCUUGUAGAUAGGCACCAAAGUGCUCGUUCGCCACUCAUUUGGCAUCUUCUUCGUUUUCAAAAUCCUAUUGAAAAGGUCAGUGAGCCAUGUUAUACCUGUCUCUCCCAAAAGUUUCCACACUUCGAUUGGUAUAUCGUCUGGGCCUAUUGCUUUUUUAUGCUUCAUCUUCUUCAAAGCUACAACCACUUCUUCCUUCCGGAUUCGACGAUAAAAAGAGUAGUUUCUACACUCUUCUGAGUUACUCAACUCCCCUAAAGAAGCACUCAUUUCAUGUCCUUCAUUGAAAAGAUUAUGAAAAUAACCUCUCCAUCUGUCUUUAACCGCGUUCUCUGUAGCAAGAACCUUUCCAUCCUCAUCCUUGAUGCACCUCACUUGGUUUAGGUCCCUUGUCUUCUUUUCCCUUGCUCUAGCUAGUUUAUAGAUAUCCAACUCUCCUUCUUUGGUAUCUAGUCGUUUAUACAUAUCGUCGUAAGCCGCUAACUUAGCUUCUCUGACAGCUUUCUUCGCCUCUUGCUUCGCUUUUCUAUACCUUUCACCAUUUUCAUCGGUCCUCUCCUUGUAUAAGGCUUUACAACAUUCCUUCUUAGCCUUCACCUUUGUUUGUACCUCCUCAUUCCACCACCAAGAUUCCUUUUGGUGUGGGGCAAAGCCCUUGGACUCUCCUAAUACCUCUUUUGCUACUUUUCGGAUACAACUAGCCAUGGAAUCCCACAUUUGGCUAGCUUCCCCCUCUCUAUCCCACACACAUUGGGUGAUUACCUUCUCUUUGAAAAUGGCUUGUUUUUCUUCUUUUAGAUUCCACCAUCUAGUCCUUGGGCACUUCCAAGUCUUGUUCUUUUGUCUUACUCUUUUGAUAUGUACAUCCAUCACCAACAAGCGAUGUUGAUUAGCCACGCUCUCUCCUGGUAUAACUUUGCAAUCCUUACAAGUUAUACGAUCCCCUUUCCUCAUUAGAAGAAAAAUCUAUUUGUGUUUUUGACGACCCACUCUUGUAGGUGAUCACAUGUUCUUCUCUCUUCUUAAAGAAGGUGUUGGCUAAGAAGAGAUCAUAUGCCAUUGCAAAAUCCAAGAUAGCUUCCCCAUCCUCGUUUCUCUCCCCAAAACCAUGGCCACCAUGAAAACCUCCAUAGUUGCCUGUCUCCCUGCCCACGUGUCCAUUUAAAUCUCCUCCUAUAAAUAACUUCUCCGUCUGAGCAAUUCCUUGCACCAAGUCUCCAAGAUCUUCCCAAAAUUUCUCCUUCGAACUCGUAUCCAACCCUACUUGAGGUGCGUACGCACUAAUCACAUUGAUAAGUUCUUGUCCUAUUACAAUCUUGAUUGCCAUGAUUCUAUCUCCUACCCUCUUGACAUCUACAACAUCUUGUACCAAGGUCUUGUCCACGAUGAUGCCAACACCGUUUCUCGUUCUAUUUGUGCCCGAAUACCAAAGUUUAAACCCUGAGUUUUCUAGAUCCUUUGCCUUACUACCAACCCACUUAGUUUCUUGUAGGCACAUAAUAUUUAUCCUUCUCCUCACCAUAACUUCCACUACUUCCAUAGAUUUUCCCGUUAAGGUUCCUAUAUUCCACGUUCCUAAACGCAUUUUGCUCUCUUGAACUCUACCCUUCUGUCCUAGCUUCUUCACCCUCCCCCGUCUAAUAGGAUCAAAGUACUUCUUUUGUGUGUCCCGGGUAAAGUUGAUAGGAGCAUAUGCUCCCAAACAACUUUGAGUGGAGUCGUUCGAAAAGAAGUUUCUAUGGCCCCCUUGCUCAUUUAACACUGCAUCCGGGUGCCGAUGGAGAUACAGCGACCCUUGCUCACUUAUCACUGUGCUCAGGCCACACAGCGCGCCACUUACGGGUGACGCCCUAGCUUUAGCGCGAUUUUGUUCUGGAUUCAUUUUCAUAAGGAUUCGACGUGAUCAUGGAGUGCCGGCUGUCGACUACCUGACGCCCUCCCCCUCCUCCUUUAUCCGGGCUUGGGACCGGCCAUGUAAGACAUAGUAUUUGUCUUAUGGGUGUGCCAUCUGCUGUCUUCUGGCAACUCUUUCCCAAGCCUUCAGCCAAGUUUUCAAAUCUUGAACGGCUGUUAAGAAUAAGAGUUUCAAUAGACUUGGAAUUAAAGAAAUUCAGUGGGAGAUCCUUGAGAUUUUUGCAGCCUUCAAGAUUAACCAAAGUAAGUCUUUCAAGAUUCCCAAUGGAUGAGUGAACCUCAGACAAACUCUCACAAUCAUUCAAUAUCACUUCCUCGAGAUUUGGGAGUCUUGAGAAGUCUGGUGUUUUUGCCAGGUUAGGGGAAUGACUGAGAUUAAGAAGCUUCAACUUCUCGAGCAACUGUUCAACAAAAGGAAAAACUAAAAUAAAUACAAAUGGAAAAGAGAAAGCAUGAAGUUGGAGUUUAUAAAACCUGGAAGAAAGAAUUAACAAUUUGGUUGAGGCUAUAUCAUACCAAAUCGGAAUCCUCCCAAACUCGUAUGAGUUUGCUAUAGCUCAGGUCAAUAGCAACUAGGUUUGGUUGAUCAAAAUCUUUUGGUAUGACCUCCAGAGGAAAUCCAUGCCAACACAACCAUCUUAACUCUUUGGAAAGAUUGUGGUAACUUCCAGUGAGCUUUAUGUUAUUGAGUUUGAGCAAUCUCAGACUCUGCAUGUUUCUAAAUAAUUCUGAACUGAAGCUACACUCGUCAGACUCUUGCAUAUCUAAAGUGAGUCCUUCAAUGUCUUCCGUUCCCUAUUACAAAAAAUAGUUAAAAAUUAAAAACAAACCAACAACAACAACAGAGGAACUAAGAAAAGGGUUAUAUGCAAGUGAAAAGGUGAUUAAUUCAUACAUCAGAACCACAAAGCCUUGAAUUGGAUGGAUGAACCACAUGAGAGGUAGACAAUUAGACAAUAUAGAACAUGGGACCUCUCAAAGGCAACUUUUAUUAUAUAUCUUCCAAUAAUGUGCUUAUAUGUCCGGAUUAUAACCAUAGAGUUGUACUUUACAUCUGUCUACAUUAAUUAGGUAUCUUUAGCAAGCUUCUUUUACGGGUAUCAUAAUUCACAAAUUGUACUCAACGAGAGCAGGACAUGUGUGAUUCUGUUAUUUAAUUUGAGAUGAUUCAAUACAAAAGGCUCCUUUUUUUGUCUCUUACAGGUUCCUUUCUCUGCUACAUUAGUACAUGCAUUUAACAUCAAAUUUAAUUGCAAAAGUACUCACAGAUUGCUUCGUCAAUACGUCGGUUAUAUCUUCAUUAUGCCACAAUCUACUACGUUUUCCAGGAUUGUAAGGGGAUUCUGCAUGCACGAUUUCUCUGCCCAUGCCUUGAAUCAAAUCAUGCAUCAUGAGAUUGCCUUCUUUAUCAACAGUUACAAGGCAUUGAUCUUGAAGUUCUCGAAUCCCUAUUUCUGGAUAAAACUGACAGCCGUCGAGUACUGUCAUAACAUGGUCCUUGUUCAUUCCAGUAAAGAAACAAGAGAUAUCAAGGAAUAUAGCCUUCACGUCAUCAUCAGUUAGCCCAUCAUAGCUUAUUUCAAGUCUUUUGUGAAUUUCUCGAUAAGGCUGUGAUCUAUUCCAUUUAUCCAGUACAGUUUCCCAUUCAAUUGUGCUUUUUGUACGUAGAUAAAAACCUAAGACUUCAAGUGCUAGUGGCAAACCUCCACAGUAGCCAACAGCCUUUCUUGAGAGCUCAACAUACUCUUCAUCAGGAUCAUUCUUUCUAAAGGCAUGCCAACUAAGUAGCUCAAGAGCUUCUCUUUCACUCAUUGCUGGCAGAGGACAUAUCUUAUCCACAUUAAGUAUCUUCAGCAAAUGUUUGUUUCUUGAAGUCAUAAUGAUUCUGCUCCCUAGACCAAAGGAGUCAGGUUUUAUAUCCAAAGCAUCUAUCUGUUCAACGCUGUCUAAAUCAUCAAUUACGACAAGUACCCUUCUGUUGCCUAACCUUUGUUCUAUCUCCUUGGUCCCUUCAUCGAUACAACUUACCCCUAUGUAGGCUGCUUUCAAGAUAUCAGAAAGAAGUUGUUCUUGCAAAUCAAUCAGUUUCUUUUCCCUCACGUUUUGAAGGAAACUUGCACCGUCAAAAUUAUGAUGAUGUUUGUUGAAAAUGGCUUUUGCAACCGUUGUCUUACCCAGUCCGCACAUACCCAAAAUUCCAAUUGUGCGAAUAUCAUUUGAUCCUCCAACAUCUAAAUGCUUACUAAUGUCUCGCACACGAGAAUCUAUUCCAACUAGGUUGGUGGGUACCUCUAAGCUUGUGAUGAUGCUCAGUUUUCCAGUGAUCUGAGAAAUAACGUUCCUGAUAAAGUUUCCUUCAUGCCUGGUUGUUAAAAUUCAACAAAGCAAGCGUGAAAAUUUAUUAUGCAACCUCAAGAUUACAUUAAUCUUUCAGAAAUUGACGAGUCAAAAUCUCCAGAUACCAUUACAAUAAGCCUGAUUUAAUCAUUAUAUACAAAGAGAUAAAUAAAAUGGACGGGAAAUUUAAAGCGCACAAAAUAAAGAAAAUAAAAGGGAAAUAAGAAAAUAAUUACCCGUCAGUCUUCCUCAAAUUUAAUCCGUCCGAAAGGGAAAGUGCAGCUUCCCUAAGAGCCUUUCUCCAGAGAUGUACCUUUUCUUCGUUAAUUUUCUGUUCGUAUUUCUGAAACGCUUGCGCAAAACUACCACUCUGGAUCCGGACGUCAAAGGGAUCAACAUCAUAGAAAAUUGGAAAAAAUAAUUGACCCAGUGUUUUUCUGCACUCCAUGAUCUUCACCAGCUCCUCCAGACACCACAACGACUCCAGAUACCCUCUUGAGAUGACGACGACGGCAACCUUAGACCUUUCGAUUGCUUGAAUCAGAUGUUCUGGUAUAGCUCCAUUACUUUCUUCUAGUUUGUCAUCGUACUCGUCUCCGUACAUGAAGACGUCGAAUUGGUGGUCUUUUAAUGAACAGUAGAGGUGGUCCGUGAAGGUCCUGCGUAUGUCCUCACCUCCAGAACUCAAGUACACGUCGUCCUUGCGAUCGUCUUCGGAGGAUGAGGCCAUCACUUGAUACUCCAGGAAUUUCUUGGCAGCACGGAUCAAAUUUGAGAUCUACACACAACCGUAAAGGCAAAUUAACGUCAAAACUCCGAAAAGAAAAAGGUGAACUGGCAAGUAAUAGACUCGCAGUUUUCUGACACGACCAUGGUAUAAAAUAUCCAUGAUAUCGGAAAGAUGGUAGUUAAACAUAGAAUUUCGAUGAAAAUAUUAGGAUAUUAUUGAUAUCGAUAAAAAUUGAAUAAAAAUUAUGAAAAUUGUAAAAAAAAAUUAGAAUUUUUUAUUGAAACUUUGGAGAAUAUUUAUUUAGUCAAUUAUCUAUUAGUUUAUCAAAAAAAAUUAAAAGGAAAUGCAUUACAUGAUGAAUUUAACUCAUUUAAGUUGAUUAUAGAGCGAGCUGGCAAACACUGAGGGUAGAAAAUAUGUAGUAAUUAAUGAAAAAAAGAUUAAACACACCAUAAUCAUUUAUAUAUAAUGAUUUACUACAAUAUUUUACAUUUUAUACAUUGCAUGGUAAAAUACAUGAGUGAUUUAGUAUCACAUAAAGUUCCUAUAAGGUUUAAAAUUUUCACUAUCUUCAUCAUCUCUAUGUGUAGAGUAAGUUUAUUGUGAAAAGUAUUCAUCAAAUGAUAAAUCUCCAAAAUACUUAUGCAUCUAAUUGUUAACAUGAAACUCAUAUAAAUAUAAAUAUUUUAGCAUAUUAUCACUAAAACAUAAGUGAUAUAUGGUGGUUAUGGUGUUUGAAGAGUAAAAUGGGAGGGGUUCAAAUCCCUUUUGUGUUUUUUUUCCUCCCUUUUUUCCCUUUUUUUCUUUUUUUUUUCCUUCCUUUAUAUCGAUAUUUUUGAUAUUUUAGCGAUAUUACAUCGAUAUUUUGACAAAAUAUUGCUGAAGUGUAAGCGAAAUUAUCGUCAAUAUUGUCGAUAUUUGUACGAUAUGUACAUGGAUAUGUUCCGAAAUAUCCGUGAUUCGAAAAAACCGAAAUAUCCUCGAUAUUUCGUCAAUAUUAUCGAUAUUUCAGACUAUGGACACGACAUAAAAACAACACAAAAAUAACAGGUUUCGGAUCAACACGAUAACUUAUCGGGUCAUUAUCGGGUAACCCGUUAAUAACGAGUUCUUAACGGGUAUACACGCAGGUAACACGUGAGUAACCUGUUUCGAUCCGUUAAGAAAAAAAUUAUUUUGAUAAUUUUAAAGUUUAAUUACUAAAAGAUUUAUUAUAAAAUACAAUAGUCAUAUUAAUAUAUACAAUAUAUUCUAUAUUAAAUAUAUAGUUUUGUAUUAUUAUUCUAUAUAAGUUUAAAAAAAAGUUUUAGUCAUUAUUUAUUUUUAUUACGAGAGUUCCUUAUUAUAAUUACUACGAUAAAUUUUACUUAACAGGUUGUUGUCCAAAAUUAAAAUAAACUAAUAUAGUAUUUGCAUAGGUAAGAACUAAGAAGACAUACAUACAAGUAUGAAAAAUGUGAAAGAAUAUAUAAACACUCGUAAUUCAUCAUUAUUCCACCCCCAAAUAGAUAAUGGUUACACUUCCAUUAUCGUUUAGAUUUUUAAAAUCUUCCAAACCUUCAUGAAUAAUGUUUUUUUAUUUGAGGGAAAAAUUAAUAAUUAUUAUUGUAUAAGUGUAAAAAAUGUUAAAAAAAAAUACAAUUACUCAUAGUGACAAACUUUACAACUUUAAUGAAGGAGUCAACUUCAAAAUCCAACACUAUAAUUCAUAAACCUUAAAUUUAUAUUUAACUGUCGAUUGUCAUUUACACUUUAUUCUUCUUGCUGAAUUUCAUUUUUAAAAUUUUCUUUUAUGAAAACAUGAUUAUCUGGCGAAUGUAAGAACAUGAACAGUUCAGAUCUUUGAUAUCACGUUUCGAUAUUUACGGUUAACUGAAAUAUGAGUCGAUGUCAUAUAGUUUGUAGAAACUUUAUAAACAUCAAGCAAUAUUUUCACUAACCGUAAAACUCUUAAUAUAAUAUCAACGAUCCAAACCGUUCAUCUUCUUGCAUCCUCUAAUAGAUCAAGUUUUCAAAAAAUAAAAUUUGAAAAAAACAAAAUUUGAUGAGAACAAUGAAACGUAAAUGUAAACAACAAUCAGCGGUUAAAUUUUGAUCUAUGAUUUAUAUGAUUAUAGUGGCGAAUUUCAAAGUUAAGCUCUUCAUGAAAGUUGUAAAGCUUGUCAUUACGAGCAUUUCUAUAUUUUUUCUAUAUUUUUUACACUUCUAUAUUAAUUAAAAAACUAUUAAAGACUUUAGGUAAGUGAAAAUAUACUUAAAAGAAAAAUUCGUUUUUAUGUUUUGGAUGUGACAAUAUGGUAUGUAUAUACUUAUUUAGUAUUAUGUUUUUUAUUUGAUUAUUUAUUGGUUUAAAAUAUAUUUUCCUUAACUGAUAACGGGUCGGAUCAUAUUACCUGUUAAUAUUAUCGAGUCGAUUUAGGAUCAUGUCAUUUUACCCGUUUAUUUUAACGGAUGUUACACGACAAGACCCGUUAAGAUAUCGGAUAUGACGCAAAAAUAACACAAACACGGAAAACACAACACGAAUGUCAGGUCUAAUACUGAGUCAAUUACAAUUGAUCCACCUAGUCUUUUUCAUCCAACGGUAUCUAAAAGCUCAGCAGGGAAGAAAAUGGCUUCUUUUUUUUUUCACCAAAUGUUUGUCAAAGACGAAAUAAUUAACAGCUGUCCUUCCCAUGGAAAAACAAAUAAGAGAACAUUUCUUGUCAACUAGUUCUACGGCCAGUGGUGCUAUCUAUCUAUUCUAUUAAGAGAACAUUUCUUGUCAACUUUUUACCUCUUUUUUCUCAUUUUGAUACAUAAUAUUGACAUGAGAAGGUAAAAUAGUAAUUUUGUAUCUUUUGAGAAAAUAGCAAUCAUAUCCCUAUUUUACAUUUUUUUAAAAUGACAAUCAUAUUCCUAUUUUUCCUAUUUUACCUUCACUUUUGAUACACAAUAUUUACAUAAAGAAGACAAACAUUAAUUAUGUAAUAUUAAGAAAAAAUAUAUACUUAUUAAGAAAAACUAGCACAUCAUUAUUAUUUCAUACUCUUUUUAAAAUUUUAAAAACUAAUCAUACUCCUUAAUAGAAAAAUUCUGUUUAAAAUUUUAAAAACUAAUCACACUCAUUAAUAAAAAAAUAAAAAACAAAAUGAAAUUGUUCACACACACAAAGUGUGUGCUCAUUUGCUAUUAUCAAUUGUGUGAACGGUGCUAAAUCAACCACUUGUCUCAAUCAUUAUUUGGUUUAGUACUUUAUAUUAUGAAUAUUUUGUUGUGUGGAUAGAAGUUGUGUUUCGAAUUCUGGCGCCGGUAAAUGAUACGGUAAUAGUUAAGGAGGCUAAUAUAUUUUUAUGUGUGUUCUCAGCCUCUAAAUGGAUAGAAUACUGUGGUGAAGUCACCAGUUGAUUUUCUUUAAAAAAAAAUUAUUAGAUAAGAAAUGCUUGUCCCUUCUAUAGCGUAUCCUAAUUUGUUAUUUACGUAAUUGCUUUAACGUGAAUGGUGCUAAAUCAUAAUCUUUGUAACAAAUUUAAGUUAUAUAUAAUCAAUUAUCAAGAUUUUAUUAUGCGAAAUUAUAGAGCUAAGUGUAUUCUAACAUUCUAUGCAAAAAUUGAAAUCAUGAUUGUUGGAACUAAAUAUGUGCACACCCACGAAUGAAGGUGAAAUCCAGUCGGAUUUGCCAAUGCUCUCUGAUGAGGGAAGAAUGAGGUUAAUUGAAGGGUGUGGUGAAUCUGAAUUGAAUUGCCUACAUAUCUUCCGAAAUACCUCUGUAAAUCUUCUUGGCUCCUAGAAGGAUAGAAUAUUGUGGCGAAGCCAGCAACUGGUCAAUUUUUUUAAAGAAAACACACUAGAUAAGUGAUACUCGUCCAUCCUAUCACAUACCCUAAUGCGUUACUUGCGCAAUUGCUUUAACGUGAAUGAUGCUAAAUCACAAUCUUUGUCCCGAAUUUAAGUAUAGAGAUACUUUAGAUGCGGUCCCUAAUCCUUAACAUUCUUUGAUUAAAACCUUAGUGGUAUUCAAAAUUUGAUCGAAGUCCCCUGACUUUGUAUACCUCAUUAUAUUACAAUUAAUAUCAAUAUUUUUAUAGUUUUGACAUUAAUUGUUUAAUAUUUUAUGAGAUUUAUAAUCCUAUAAAUUUAAAAUCCCUCAUUAUAAUACUAUUAUAAACGGUUACAAUAAAAAAAAUUCAAACAUUUUGAUUGAAUAAAUGGAUAAAAACUACAUAAAAAUAAGAAAUAAUAAAUGGAAAAAGAAUGUAUCCAUAGUGUUAAAAAAAUUGGUACAUUUCACAUAUAACAAAGUGGUACAUUAAUAAAGAAGAAUGGGUACAUUAUAAAUAAAUUAGGGUACAUAUAAAAGAUUAAACAAUUAUGAGUACAAAUGAAUUUUUAAAAAAUAUAGGCACUAAAAGAAAUUAAUACAUGGGUACAAAAUAAAAUUAAAAAGAAAAUACUACAAAUUUAGAAAAAUGUUGCAAAUUAAAAGUGGGUACAAACUAAAUAUAUAAAUAUAUGAUACAAAGUUUAGGCAUAAAACAUAAGUAUACCAUAUGUAAUUUUUCUAUCAUUGAUUAAAUAUACAAUGUCACGUGACGGUAUACACAUGGGUACAAACACAAAUAAAACUUUAAAAAAUAUGGGCACAAAAAGAAACUAAUAUAUGGGUACAAAUUAAAAAUAGGUACAAACUAACAAUAAAAAUAUAUGAUAAAAAAUUUAACCAUAAAUAUAAAUAUACUAAUUUUAACAUUUUUAUUUAAAAAUAAAAAUAUUUUAUUAUUCAAAUAAUGAAUGAUGUUAUUAAUACCCAAGGACAUUGAUCAAAAAUUUAAAAUGAAUAGGAUUUUAAUCAAUGGAGUAACAAAAAGAAGGAUGUGAACCUAAUUUCUCUUUAAGUGUAUAUACAAUCUAUUAUCAAGAUUUUAUUAUGUGAAAUUAUAGAGCCAAGCGUAUUCUAAGAUUCUCUACAUAACUUGAAAUUAUGAUCGUUGUAACCAAAUGUGCGCACAACCAUAGACAGAUGUGAAAUCUAGUGAGCUGACUUGUCAAGUCAGUCGACAAUACCGAAACAUAAUAAUCCCCACGUCUAUAAGAUAGUUCGUAUAAGAAGUCCAGGGUGAUAUUUUCCCAUCUCCAUUCGAAUACAGGAAGUGAUUAUAACCACUUGAAUGAUUUCUUUAUGCUUUCACUUGUGAUAAAAACAGAUAUCUACUUAACGACUAAGCAAUCUCUUUUUUUCAUCUCAAGUCAAAAGUAGAAAGAUCGAACUUGGAAAUUAACUAACAACAUUUCCUGAUGAUCAGUAAAUAACGUCACAUCAAUACUCACGAAUUCUACUUAAGGUGGAAUAUGACAGGCUAAAGGGUAUUCAGUCAUUCAUGUGUUUUUCUGCUGAAGUUGUCGAUAACUACGUUUGCACAACUAGGGUAAUACAUGAUGGCACAAUCGUAGGCAUAGAUUUGUUUCUUCCAUCGCCGCUAUUUGAAAUUUUGUUCCUUUCGGACGAAGAUGUACUUGAGAAAUUUAUGUGGUCUAUAAAGACUUUGACAAGUUUCUUCACGGAAAAGUGUCAUCAGAUUUUCAAGUAAAUAAGGUAAUCAUUGACUCUAGGUUAGGAGUAAGGUAGUUCACUUCAUGCAAUUCCACCCAUCGCUAGACAUAAGCAAUACCCUAUCAUGCUGCAUCAGCAUGCAACCAGAACAUUCAAUGAAACUUCACUGUAGAUAUAAAAUUAUCAAUGUCAUCGACAAGUGUAAGAACAAUGCUUGGAAAGAGACAACACUUCAAUUGUCAGAAACUUUAUUCACAUUUAACGUCUAAAACUAAACUAACUUUCCUCGAUCAACUUGAAAGGAAAAUGCUAUAGCUGAAAAAUCAUUAAUAAAGCUUUAAGUAAUCCUAAAAAACAAUGGUAUUUCAUAUUUCACAAUACUUUGUUAGGAUUUCAAUUUUCUUCCGCUACAACCUUUUGGGAAAAUGAAAAGAAUAUCAUCUACUGAGACUACAUCUUCCAAGAAAGGUAAAUAAAGCUAAUAUUUGAGGAACUUGAUAUAAAGCUGACUAUUGGUGUUUAGAAAAUUUGAUCUAGUUGUUGGAAUAAGUAAGAAAGUCGUCGGGAAUGAUAUCAAAAAUCCAUCAUUGGAUCAUUCGCUAACUCGAAUGACAUUACAAAGAACACAUAAUGGUCAUUCAAGUCUUGAUCGCAGUCUUGGGAUCAUUAACGCUUCUGAUCUUUAGUUGGUUGUAACUAGACUUCAGAUCAACUCGAAUAAAAUUCAUUCUCUACUGAGUUGGUCAAAAAGACCAUCAAUUCAACACAUUGUUAACGGUUCUUAAUCAUCACCCGAUUAAACUACCACAAAUAUAGGUACAACCCUAAGGUUCAAUCUUUAUCUUCGCAAAUAGGUUUGUUAUUGCCUAAGAUAAAUGUUGGGUUAGAUAAAUCCCUAAUCAAUAAGCUUUUGUAACUAAGUUCUCUCGAACACGCCCCAACCCAGAUAUCCAAAUGACACCUGGAUGUCACGUGUUGGCCGACACUCAAGAGUGACGAAAGCCAUAAAUAUAAAAAUGUGCACAGACAUAAGGAAACGUGUAAUCGAAAAGUCACAUAAGAAACAACAUUCAUAAAGAAUGUACAAAACCUAAAGCAAUAAUAAUAAAUAAGCAUUACUCAUAAGAUAAGAAGGAUGUCCAACAAUCAACAAACCGAAAGAAAAGACGCACAAUUAUGUUCAGAGCAUACUACUAAACGAGAGUGCUAGUGAAACGAAAGUCAUUAAGUUACAAUUACACAUAAAGAAAUCGUACGUAAGUGGAAGAACACAAGAUCACUGGUAGGGAAAUGCCUUGAAGCUCUGGUCAUUUUCAUCGUCACUUGGUCCUAAAGAGGGUGUAGGUGCAUAGACCAUAGUUUAUUAUAACCAUAAUAAUAAGAAAACCAUUUUCUUUCUGAACAUACUAACCCCCUCCCCCCGUUUUAAAAACAAUAUGAUACUACGUAAUAGGUUUUUCGAAACUCUACAUGUUAUAAAAAAUUACAACUCGAAGUGAUAUCAAAAUCACAACUCGAAGUGAUAUCAAAAUCACCUAAAGGUAAAAUCCGUAAAAGCUCAUAAGUCAAAAACACUAAUGUACUCAAUAGGGCUAUCAUAUUCACCCAAAGACAUAUCCAUCACCCGAGGGUGAAGCUGUACGACACUGGCUUACGCCAAUGAAGAAACAUGGUAGGUCCCAUCACCCGAAGGUGAAGCUGUAUGACUUUGGGUUACACCAAAGAAGAAAUAUACAUAACACACCGACACUAGCCAUGGCUAGUGAAGUUGUCUGACAUUGGUUUCGCUAGUGAAGCUAUGAGUGUGUCAUAAAUAUCUUACAACUCAUCAACUGUGUCCUAUGACUAUAGACGUAUACAUACUCAUGUUGUGUGUAUGUUUCAUAUGAAUACCCACUAAUUAAGCACAUAAAACGUAAUUCAAAAACUCAUACCAAACUUAGAAUUCAAAACCUCAUCAUCCGAAAAUCAUAAGCAUUUCCAUAAACGUGAUUUCUAGAAAGAUAAAAUUUUAUAAACCUUAAAUUGAUAAAUCGUAUAUAUUUUGCAAAAGAAAAUUAAAUAAAUCAUAGAUUCUCCAUAAUUCAUAAAUCUAGAAAAUUCGUAAAACGUAUCAUAAAACGUAAUUAAUUCAUGAAAUGUAGAAUGAAUGCAAGCCUAAUAUUUUUAUAAAAAACAUGCAAUUUGAGAAGGGGUCCUCUCACAAAUAUUCUGCUACUGGGAGUCGAUCGAACUAGGGAGGACGAAAUCACUUCCAACCAACGCACCUAAACACAAAUAGGGACCAUUUAUUAAAACUCUACUAAAACGGUCGAAUUUGGGAAAACGGAUGGCUAAUUCGGAUUCUGCACAUAAAAAACCUAAGAAGGGACUUCAGGUUCCCUACGCAUCACCACGGGGCAGCGACCUGGGUCAUCACCCGCCACCCCACGCACUACCACAUGGCAAGAUAGGUGUCGGAAAGUUGGCCGAAAUUUGGUCGGCAUAGUGCCUCCAGCGGAGGCGCGUGCACUCCAUGCGCUGAGCACAUGUGGCCUCCACGCGCCGCGAGUCGCCCGUACUAGCCUUCUACAUGAUUUCUGGAAAAUUUCCAGAUUUUUCCUCCACAUCAAGUGAUUCAAAAGCCAAAGUGUAGUUAGGAAUGUGGAGAAGAGAUUCAAAAGCCAAAAUUCCUACAUGCUGCGAUAUGAGAGUCAACGUUUUCACCGCUAGGGGUAUUUUCAUAAAUUUAUCGAAUUAAAACGUAAUAUUCAAGACGGGUUGUUACACUUUCAAUGUCUUAGGAGUCGUUUGAUAAAAUGCAGGAAGAAUAGGUGUUGUAUUUGAAAGUGGAUCGAUGGUACUCCACUUCACACUUUGAUGGUAUCCCAAGUAAAUUUUGAGAAAUGACGCCAGGAAUAUACGUCCUUGAACUAUACUGUAUUGCUUUCUCAUACUACUACACGUACUAAUAGGCUGUCAAAACUUUUCUAAAUAUUCGUUUCAACCUUACAGCAAGAAUUUACUCAUACUUCAAUUGCUAAUGUCUGCCUGUGAAAGUGACCACAAGGAUCACUGGUCAUAGGAAAAUAAUCAUCUUCGGUUUAUGUUCCACUGAAUUGAUAAUUCUGAUGUAGUCAAUCCAUCCCUAUCCACGAGAUCCAAUGAAAUAAGAUUAAUUGCACCGUUGGAUUGGUAAAGAAAAUGAUACAUCCAUCGCAUUCGCACGGGACAAGGCAAACUUUGCUUCAUAACUUUGGGAUUCACAAGACGUACUCGACUAGGGUACCAGAAAGAUUUAAAAGCUAAGGAUGAUGAGACAACUUGAGUGGUGCUCGAAUCAAUCAAAGUCUUAGCGAAAAUGUCCUAAUAACAUACUCCUGACUAGGUCAGGAAUGUUCUAGUCACCUAAGUGGGUGAUAUGGGUAAUACAACUGCGGGUUUACUUUCCUCCUACAAGGUUUGGUCCUAAGUUUCCACGAUUUUAAUUUCUUUGGUCUAGAUUGUCAAUGUUAGCCAGUCUAUUAAUCACACCACUAAUUGACGCAUGCGUGAUAUUUUAAUAUUGUUCGCCACUGAAAAUGUGAACUAGCAUUUUGGUACAAAGCUAUCACUCCCAGAUACUAGUAUAUGCCCGGUAUCAGAAAUCAUACCCCUGGAUACUGGAUCUAAAUAGUAUCGUCAAUGAGUAGCGCCACCAUAGGCUGACUAUAGGUUAGAGCCUGCUCCGAUGGAUAGUUUCAGUUGAUUGGUAAGGAAUUGGUUUUGGGAUUUGGUUCCGUUAACUCUAGAGAAAAUUAAUUACUGAUUCUGGUAUUUCUGUUAACCGUAGGUAUAACAACUUAUACUCUCAUGCAAAAACACCGUAUUGACGGGUACCGCAUCAGAAGUAUAUAUGAGAACUAGUGUUGGUUGAAGUGUCCUAAGGUAGGGAAAUGGAAUUUGCUAAUAACCUACUUCAAAAUGAGGUUUGACGUACUUCAAUCUUCCUAUUGAAGAUCCAGAAAUAUAACUAGUACGUUUGAAAGAUUAGUGCUAUCGGGAACCAAAUGUGAUGUCCCCCAGAUGUUCUUCCAUUGACUACUACCGCUUUAGCACCACAUUAUCACUUGAAAUAUUUCUGGAAAUUUCGACGAAAAGUAAAACUUCGUAUGAAUUCUAAUAGGUGGUAUACUAGACGGGUACUGCCAAGGAUCAAAACUAUUUAUGAUUUUCUAUCUCGGACGGGUUGGUAAUGAUGACUGAAUAUUAAUAUGAUUGAUUGGUAAAAUUUUCGGUGGUAUGUAACUAUCUAUAAAUUAGCCUUGCUUCAGGUCUAUCAACUCAUUCCAAAUCGGGAUUUUCCUUGGCAAGGAGAUUCUUCAUUCAAAGUCUAGAGGCGGGCGCGAAAAUGUUUUUCUAGAAGGUCGAUAAGUCAUCUAAGUCGCCUACAACUUAGGAAAAGCUAAUACAUUUCUCGUGCUCGAUAAGGUGGCAAGACUUGACAUUAGGUUCAAGAACCAAAAAUGCUUACAUCACGUGUCUGAUGAAUGCAAUACUGCCCAAACUUAUGCUCUGAUACCAAAUUGACACACGCCGGCCCGAUAUGCAAAGUGAGCAUAUCGGUGUAAUGUGAGCAUACAUGUGAAGACUGGCUCUGGCCCGUGCAAGUACUAACACCAGUGUUGCAUGCACAAUGAGUAGUAUAACACAAAUAUGAUCAUGUGACGGUAAUUCAAUAAUUCUAGUCAAUAAAAUAUUAUUCAUGGCCACAAAUAUAAUUAAGGCAUCCUAUAAUAGUAUGCAUACCUGUGCAUCCCGUAGGAUUUAGGAUAAGUUCAUAAACUCCGUCAUUCCGCAUAUUCAUAUAAGCGUUAGUCUAAUCUAGGUGUACUGUAGAAAAUUCUUUACUAAAUAUAUAUAUAUAUAUAUAUAUAUGAAAAUUAAAUAAAUAUACAAUAUUUAAAAGCAAAAACCCACUCAUAAAUCAUGUCGUCGGUUCGAACCCGCCUCGCGGGCAUCGAAGAUCCUUGCGAUGCGUUUAAUCUAGAAACGAAACCAUUCACGUAAAUAUAAAAUCUACUAGCUUAAAUUCGCGUAUUCGUACUAAGUACGGCUAAUAAAGAAACUAUUUUAAAACGAUCGAAUUUCGGAAAAUGAAUGGCGAAAUCGGGUUCGGCACGUAAGAAACCUAAGGGGAGACCUCGGGUGCCUCUACGUGCUACCACACGCCGCCACAAGGUGGCAGUCCAGACAGCCACGUGCUGCAUGCGCCAAGGAUAGGAGAGUCCACACGUGCCUUCACGAGCUCGCGAGUGUCUAGAUUUUUGUAGGUUUUUCUUUAACUUCCAGAGCUCUUUCCGAGUUCUAUUCUCAACCAAAAUCGAUGAUUCAAAAACCUAAAUGAAGUUAGAAAUGCAGGGAAUAAAUCUAUACCCAUUUGAGGCUGUGUCAUGGUCGGAGUUGGCUGAAAAAAUGGCCUGAAGAUGGCCUGACGGCAACGGUUCUACAUUUCCAGAAAACUGGGAAAUCUUCCUUAACGGUUCUACCACCAAAACAUGCAUUCAAAGUUAAAAAUAGGAUCAUAUCAUCACUACGGGGAAGAUUCAGGGAAAAACAAUGCUUACCCGAGAUCGGGCAACCGAGAAAUCUCGCUGGAGUUCAAUGAAGAAAACAGUGAAUAGUGGCAUAAGCCACUGCGCAGUGCCAUGCCCUCGUUCAAUAGUGUUGUUUAUGGGUUUGUGGUUCGUGACUGGUCUGUGUUUGUAGUGGCGGUGCUUGCCGGAGUGGUGAAGGUGAUGGUUGUGUUGUUUCUCUGCACUUGUAGAGAGAAGGGGACGAGAAGGAGCUAAAAGAAAGAGAGAGUGUAUAGGGUAGAGAGUGAGGAGAGUUUUUGUGAAUGAUAGAGAUGGAGUGAGGGAAAAGAGAGAGACAGUAUGGGAGGGAGACAUGGAAAGGGGACACGGGAGAGAGAGAAAAGAAUGGGGUGUGGGCCCCACUUAGCACAUAGCCCAAUCCAUAAAAAGACGAAACAAAAAAAUAUCUCCCGUAAAUGUGAAAUUACCAAUGCCCUUCACGCUACAAAAUUCGUAAAAUCUUCGUUGUAACUUUGAAUUCAGUUCUGCUUGUGCCCAUGUGUUCGUACCGUCAAGUACUUUGAGAAUAUAUAUGUUUCUUUGGUCAUGCCCAGAUAAUAAUUAAUUAGGCAUGAAGCCUAAUUAAUAAAAUACUAAUAUAGACAAGCCUACUUACCCAUUUGCUUAACAAACCCAACGAAUAAGCUAUCGAUAUUACAGUUUGCAGCCCGCAAUACUGAUAACUCACUGUUGUCUCAAUAAACAAGUAAUAAAUUCCCAAGAGUACAAAAAUACCAUUUUUCCCCUCAUCGGGAAACGUACCUAAAUAGUCAGAUUUAUGCCUCGUUCGCUCUCACGUGUUCGUAAGGACAUGUACUACCUAGAAAUAUGUCCAAGGUGAUAAAGAGUGUUAAGGACUCAAAUGUCCACGUAUGAUUUCCACCUGUCAGGGGCAUAUUCGUAAUUUUACCAAGGUUAGGGAAUAAAAUAAUAUUAAAUUCAGUAUGGGACGGGACGUCACAUGAAAUACCUCUAUAAGUCUUCUCGGCCCUUAGAAGGGAGGAAUGUUGUGGCGAGCCACCACUUGAUCCUUUAAAAAAAAAAAAAAACUGGAUAAGCAAUGCUCGUCCCUUCUACCACAUACCUUAAUGUGUUACUUAUGUAAUUGCUUUAACGUGAACGGUGCUGAAUCAUAAUCUUUGUCAUGAAGUUAAGUGUGUGUGUGUGUGUGUGUUACUUAUGUAAUUGCUUUAACGUGAACGGUGCUGAAUCAUAAUCUUUGUCAUGAAGUUAAGUGUGUGUGUGUGUGUAUAUAUAUAUAUAUAUAUAAUCUAUUAUGAAGAUUUUAUUAUGUGAAAUUAUAGAGCCAAGCCCAAGUGUAUUCUAACAUUUUGUACAUAAAUUAAAAUCAUGAUUGUUGAAACCAAAUAUGUGCACAUUCAUGGACGUCAGUGAAAUCUGGUUGGAAUUGCCCAUUAUCUCUAACAAGGGAAGAAUAGGGUUGAUUGGAAGGUGUGGUUAAAUCCGAAUUGGACUGCCUACAUAUCUUCGGGAGGAACACAAUGUUUUUUUUUUUUUUAACCAAGUGUUUGUUUAAGACAAAAUAAUAGAUGUCACCCAUGACAAAAAGGAAGAAAAUAAUGCGAACCGGUUCUACAACCAUUGGUGCUAAAUUAAUCAAUUAUGUGGGAAUGGUGUUAAAUUAAGCCCUUGUCCCAACCCUUAUUCAGUUUAGUAUUAUAUAAUUAUGAAUAUUUGUAUAUGUAGAUACAAGUUGGGUUUAAAUGGAUAAACAAAUUUGGAUUUUAUUCCUUGCACUGGUAAACCACAUGAUGAUAGUCAAGAAAGACUGAAAUGCCUCUAUGAAUCUUCCUGGCCCUUAGAAGAAUGCUAUGGCGAAGCCACUAGCUUGUCCCAUUUUUAAAGAAAAAAAUUGGAUAAGCUAUGCUUGUCCCUCCUAUCACAUAUGAUAGGGAUUUUGCUACACGGUUAAAACCUCCUAUAAUACUUGCAAGAAUUACAAGGUUGUUGUAGUAUAAACAGAUCUUGCGAGGUUAUUCUCCACAUGGAUUAUUAAAUAAUUCGAAACAAACCAAAUUUCAAUUAAUUAUUAUAAAGUAGAAAUUGAGAUGAUUGAUUUAUAACGUACUUAAAUUAAAACGAAUUUAAUUAAUAAAAGUAAACUAAUCUGCAAUAUUAAAGAUGAAAGAGAAGGAAAUAGUUUUGGAGAAAUCAAAUUAAGAAAACACUAGGGUUCCACCAUCACCUAUCAAUCCUAUGAACUUUUACCAAUUACUUAUGAUCUACACAUGCCACUUUGAAGGUUAGAUUUUCCUAAUUCAUAUUCUACUUGGAACCUUCGACAUAGAACGUAUAUCUAACAUGCAACCCGUCUGGACAUUCGGAUCAAAUCUGAACAUGAAAGACUCAUUAUGCUUAUCGAAAACCCUUUGAAAAACCAUGCAACCCUUAAGACGUGGUGUUCAUCCUAAGUGAAAUUACAAUUAUUAAUCAUAAGAAGCCAGCGUCAAUUUCAGGGAACCUUCCGACCAAAAUUGCAUCAAAUUACUUUUCUAAAGAUCCUAAUGGUGAUCAGGCAUUAAGACAAUUAGAUAGUUUUUAUCCCGGUAAUUAAUAAUUCAAAGUAUGCAUGCAAUCAAUCAUAAGCAAUUAAAUAAAAAUCACAUAUUCAUGCUAAGGCUCAAGACUUUGACCUAGCAAAAGGAAUUAGUUACACAUAUUCAUAAUUAAAAACAUAGAAAAUAUUAUUAAGAAAAGGAUUGAAAACACCUUAAAAUAGAAAAUCUCCAAGAACCCUAUCAAUUUUCUCUGUCUCCAAAGUUGCAUAAAAGAAAGCGUAGGAAAAAAAAUAAAGAACGGCAAAGCAAUAUAUUUGCUUAGCCAUCCACAAACCCUAAAACAUAGGUCUCUUAUUUCAAUUAGGAAACUAAGAAAAAUAAUAAAAUAUCUUAGAAAAUAAAACCUUAAUUAAACUAGGGGAAUCUGCCAAGUACUUGUCCAGCCACGUUUUAGCCUCAGAUCUCCUCCAAAUCUGGCACAAGAUAGCUUGUUUUAAACAUUAGGACGUUUUGAACACAUCUCCAGAAGGCCACGAAACCAUCCAAGGUCAUCUUGGGCUCCAAAAAUGUAAUUUAAGCCCAGAAACGUCAUUUUCCAACACCGUGCACUGCUUCUUUAUUUUAUCGCCAGAAAAUAACUGCUUGGUAGAAAAAUCCCAAAUUUUGAUACGAUCAAGCUAAGUGACUCAUGAAUGUCCUUCAACUAGAAUUACUCCAAAAUUCGUCCAUUUGGUCCUGUUUUGCUCCAGAGGAAAUUGAAAGUCCUAUAUUGAAAAUACAAUUCAAAGUAUCAAAAUUCUUCCAGAAUAUUAACCAAAAUAUACUAAGAAUAGGGUAAAAUAUAUAAUAUAAAAUCUACUCAUCAACAUACCCUAAUGCAUUACUUACGUAAGUGCCUUAACAUGAAUGAUGCUGAAUCAUAAUCUUUGUCACGAAUUUAAGUAUAUAUAAAAUCUAUUAUCAAGAUUUUAUUAUGUGAAAUUAUAGAGCCAACCGUAUUCUAACAUUGUCUGCAGAACUUGAAAUUAUGAUUGUUUGAACUAAAUACGUGCACAUCCAUGGACGGAGGUGAAAUCCAAUUGGAAUUGUCCACGAUCUCUGACGAGGAGGGAAUGGGGUUGAUUGGAGGGUGUGGUUGAAUCUGAAUUGGACUGCCUACAUUUAUCUAGGAGGAAGAUAAUGUUUUUUUAACCAAAUGUUUGCUUAAGACAAAAUAACAGAUGUCAACCAUGACAAAAGGAAGAAAAUGAUGCAAACCGGUUCUACAAUCAUUGGUGCUAAAUUAAUCAACUAUGUCGGAAUGGUGUGAAAUUAAGACCUUGACCCAAUCCUUAGUUUAGUAGUAUACAAUUACGAAUUUUUUAUUAUGCAGAUACAAGUUGGGUUUAUAUGGAUAAGCGAUUUUGGAUUCGAUUCUCGGCACUGAUAAAUCACACGAUGAUUGUUAAGGGAGUCUAAAAUGCCUUUGUAAAUCUUUUCUGCCCCUAAAAGAGUGGAAAUGUUAUGGUGAAGUCACCAGCUGGUCCUCGUUUUUAAAGAAAAAAAAUUGGAUGAGCGAUGCUCGUCCGUUCUAUCACAUACGCUAAUGUGUUACUUACGUAAUUGCUUUAACAUGAAUGGUACUGGAUCAUAAUCUUUGUCACGAAGUUAAGUGUGUGUGUGUAUUGUGACAUCUCGACCCGAGAUUUAUCGUAUUUUAUUCUCGGUAGUAGUGAAAUUAUCAAAAUACCCCUAAGAUGCCACGUAGGCCUUCCACAUGGACCUCAAUUUUCCUUUCACUUUUCUCAUCUUAUUUUACUAUUUUUGAAUACUACUCAUUUUUACGGACACAUGAUCGCAGACGGAAUUCAAUUCAAAGUUAUAACAAACAAGUUCUGCAAGCUUCAAAACUAAGGGCGAAACUGAUAAUUUUGCACCUUGGGAAUUUGUGACAGCUGACUAAAUUCAGCUUUUAUGUCUGAUGGUCCUCGUGCAGACCAAAUCCAUGCAUGGUUUAGAAAUUUGAACGGCAAGUAGUAAAUGAAAAUAAUAUUUAUUUUGGGUUUGAAAACCCACAUGUCCCAUCACACUUGUCACCCUCACUUUUCUUUCUCUCUUGGCUGGUUCUUUCCCUCGGAAAUGGAUCAUUUCCAGAUCCCUUCCACCUAAGCCAACUGAGGACGAAAUCUGAACCCUUGAAAUUUGAUCCAACGACUAAAGUUAUUAUAACUUUUAAUGAGGCCCUGUUUUUAGUCGUUGGAUCAAAUUUCAAGAGUCCAAAUCAAAUUUCAAAAAUCCAGAUUUCAUGCUCAGUCGGCUCAGGUGGAAGAGAUCAUGAGGGGAUCCCUUUCCCUUUCCCUCUACCUCAUCCUCUCUCUCAAGCCUUAUUUUAUCAUUUCAACUGGCCUCAUUUCUUUCUACCCACUCAACUUUCCCUCACUUUUCUGAAAGUCAUUCUCUUUCUCUAAGUCUCGGUACUCUCUCCAUCCUCACCACCUCUUUCUUCUCUAUGAAACACAUAGAUGGCUCUCAGUCUAUCUCGACUAUGUGCUCACUGCACAGAAAACGUAGCUGCAACACCACCAACUAACCUAACUCCGGCGAGUUUUCGAACAACCAAACCACCCCUCUUUAUGCCUCUUCAAAUCAAACAAAUCUCUAUCAUUGCUUCCUGGAAACCGAACCUGAGCCUCGAACUAACGAGCUCUGACGAGGAGCAAGUUUCUUCGGCGAGUUGGAGGUUUUUGGAGCUCAUGUUUUAUUUGAAACAAUCCCAUGUAUUUAGAUAUCCUCUUGCAUGUAAAUUUUAGUUGGAAGUUACUGAGAUUUGACAUGCAUGCACUGUGCUUCCUAUUUCCAGAAUCUGGUGAAGGCUUUCGAAGGGAAUCUAUCGAAUCCGAGGUGGAUUCGACCCUUAUUACUCCUUUAUCUGUUCAAAGUAAGUCCAUGAGCCUUGUAGUAGUGUUUUCUACAAGAUUUAACUUGAAAUUCGUGAAUUUUGGGACUAAAUUCAUGAUUUGCAACUUUCUAGAAUUUUCCCCAGUUACCAGCAAAGGACCCCGUUGUUGCAGGCCGUUUUCCGUCCACUUUCGACCACGGCUGGUCCUCGUGUUGGUAAAUCCUUGUUUUCCCUUUCCUUAGCUUCAAUUUGACAUAUGGAUUGAUGAAAAUGGUUGUGAUUCGAAUCUAAUUGGAGCUUAGAAAUUUAUCCCGGCCAAACCAGCCCAGAAACCGACGACCUGACCCACAAUAGGGACAGGGUUGACCCGACCAGAAGAAAAAAAAAAGCCAACCAGAUAUGUAGGCUAGAUUCGACCCCCGACCCGCGAGUUGGGGUUAACUCGACCCAGUAUAAAAAAAAAGAAAAGAAAAUGGCCUAAUCCCAAAACCUUUUACAGGCCCAAGCCCAGACACUCCAACCCGGAUCCGAACCUAGGAUCUGGCCCAUUAUAUUUUCUAGAAUAUUCCUUGUGUUGACUUUUUCAAAAUUUUCUUGGAAAUCCUCCUAGGCUAAUUUUGACUCCCUGAGUUCGUUUUUGACAUCUAUUUAGUGAAAUUUCAAAGUUUUAACAUAGUUCACCGUCGGAGCGUCUUGGUUGACUUUUUAGGGUUGACCGUUUAUGUUUUACAAAAUUUACCCGGCACCCUUCUUAGCGUAUUUCGAUGCUCUAAAUCUGAAUCUGCACUCCGUUUUCCCAAAUUUAGUCAUUUAAGUUGAGUUUUACUGAUAGGUUCCAAUAUUAUGCUUAGGUGUGAUUACUAUUGGAGACUCCGACUUUCCCAGCUCGAAUGGUUAUGACAUGCAUGUACCUGUGAGUAGGUUUUUUUGUUUUUACGUAUAUAUAGGUAUAUGUGAUUUUUCUCAACAAGUACUUUUACAUACUAUGAUGUGACAUGCCACGUUUAGCUUUACAAAUAGACUUUUUGACACUUUAUGUUUUUAAUUUUAUUUGUGAGCAUAAACUUGUGGCAUGACAUCCUUGCAUUUUAUAUGCUCAUUAUUACAUGUUUGCACAAUGUCUCUUAGUUAUUUGUACUGUCCUGAGCCAAGGACUAGCUUCACGUGUAGUUCACAUGCACCGUUUACGUUCGCUUUGGAUCCAGAGUUAGGUGUCAGCCUGUCCUUUUGUAUUGAUGUGUUGGACUCGUAUGUGAUGCGACUAGUGCAUCUCACGUGAUGUAGUACCAGAAUGUAAAACCUACACCCAACCUGUUCCAUUGUCUGAUUAUCUCUACAAUGGACUUAUGUGCCUACAGAAAUUAAUGAGCAUUGUUUUCUUGUGAUAUGGAUUUGAGAUUUAAUGUUGAGAUAUCUUGAUGGUGUACCCUACAUCUUUCCAUUCACCUUUGUUACAAGGUACCGUAUUACAUACUAGUAUUAUAUUAUUUUUGGGAAACCAUAUACUUGUUUUACAAAUAGGGGUUACAUUUUUCGAAAAGGUUUUACAAAACUUUAUUUUCAAGCCCACUUACCCUUGUUUUUCGCCCCUCCAGGAUUUUAUUGGCAGAGUUUUCGUGACGACGAGGAUUGUUGGCAAAAGCUGCUAUGUAGGAGACUUCUUCUUUUAGUAUUAAUGUCAUUACCCUUCUUUUACUGCAAUUCAUCUAUGCUCUGACAUCACUUGUGUGAUAUGGAUUCAAUCCCCGCUCACAUGCGUACUCUAAAUUAGUCACUUUUAGGUUUAAUUAUUCACAUUUUUCACAUCACUACACUUUAUGGCUUCGUCACCUUCUAGGUGUUGGCCAGCACAUCGCAAUUUGGUGUGUCCAGGUGGACAUUCCGGGUCGGGGUGUGUCAGUUUGGUAUCAGAGCAUAGGUUAAGCAGUAUCGCAAUCAUCACACACAUGAUGUAAGCAUUUUUGGUUCUUGAAUUCUAACGUCAUAAUUAUGCCACUUCGUUAAACACGAAAUAUGCCAGCUUUUCAUGAUUGUUGAGCAAUUUGGAACAACUAUUGCUGACAAUUUUCUGACGACUUACCAACCUUCUAGAAGAUUACUUUGGCAACCACCACUAGAGUUAAAGGGAAGAACCUCAUUUCCAAAGAAAGACCCGAAAUAGAGACAUUUUGUUAACCCUGAAGCAAGGUAGAUGUAUUGAUAAUUGUGUACCAUCGGAAAUUUACCGACCAAUCACAACUACAAUCUAACCAUCGUUACCAACCCUUAUUUAUUAGGAAACUACAAGCGCUUUCAUCCUUGGCUAUCUUUAUUUUGUGCCACCUCCCAUAACCUUCUCGAGGUUUUGCUUCACCUCGAUGUUCCUGAAAAUUUCUUAGUGACUUUGUUAGUGAUGAUGUGGUUGCAGUUAACGGAAAAACAUCUGGGGGAUAGUCACACUUGGUCCCCGACAACGUCAAUCUUUCCAACAUAGUAGAUAUGAUUCCAGAUCUUCAGGAGGAAGAUUGAAUCUCAUUAAACCUAUCAUGAAGUAUGUUAUUAGUAAAUUCCUUUUUUUCCGACUUUAGAACACUCCAACCAAUACUAGUUCCCAGAAUUUCUUUUGGUGUUGUACUUGUCAUUUCAAUGAGUAUAUGCACUAAAAUAUGAGUUGUUAUACCUAUGGUUAGUAAAAAUCCCCGAAGUAGUGAGUAUUUUCCCUAGAAUUAUGAAACCACCUCAUAGGACCAAUUUCUAACCAAUCGUCUGAAACCAUUCACUCAAGUUGGCUCUAACCUGUAAUCAGCCUACGAUAACGCCAUUUGUUGACGAUGUUGUCCGAUACCCCAAAACUAUAAACCAGUAUUCAGGCGGUAUGAUUUCUAAUACUAGACAGAUGCUAGUAUAUGAGAGUGAUAUCUUUAUGCUAGAACGCUAGUUCACAAUUUCAGGGUAAUGAACAAUAUCAAAAUAUCAUAAAUGUGUUAAUUAGCGGCAUGACUAAUAGACUGAUUAACAGUGACUACCUAAGCCGAAGAAAUUAAAAUCGUGGAAACUUUGGGGCAAGCCUUGUAAGAGAACAGUAAACCCAUAGUCAUGACAACGACAUUAACCACUAGUCAGUCAUUUUAUCCAUAUUUGCUCAAAUACUUCAAUCACAUGGUACCUUAGUCGGGUAUGUCUCGACAAAUUCCUAUGCCACAAUGCAAGUCUGUUAUGCCAGUGCGAGUGUAGUAGUUGCACCAUUUCCAUUACCAAUCUGGUAAUGCCAAUUAAUCUUAUUUUAUCGGAUAUCGUGGAAUUCCACAUAAUCCAAGAAAUGGAUUGACUGCAUUAUUAUUAAUCCUUUGGUGGAGCAUUUACUGAAAGUAGUCAUUUUUCGACGACCCAUCAUCCCUAUGGUCAACCUCAUUGGCAAACAUCAGAAACUGAAACACAAAUUAAUCCCCGUUGUAAAGGCGAAACAUUUAUUGAGAAAAAUUAUGAAGGCUUAUUAACACAUGUUGUAGAGGAAGAAAACAAUCUAAAACAACUGGAAAUUAUGAACCCGGUCAAACUAAAUUAGUGACGUCAUUCCUAAAUAUUUACAUGUGAUACCACUAGAUUGAGAUGUGUGAGGCACCAUUGAUAUUCCUAGGAUUACCAGUUUCCUCAAGCAAACUCGGCCCUCCCAUGGAGAACCUACCACCACUCCACGGUGGAAACAACCCCAUCCUAACCGAUUCUACUCAUACAUUAACAUUACAACCCUAAACAUUACUACCCUAACCGACCCCACCAUGAAUCCUACCCUACCUAUACCGCAAGUUGUUACAUAAAUUGUCCAUCAUGAUUCGUCUACUGCUUCGAUUGGCAUCAAACUCAAUGGUGCCAAUUAUGGAGUUUGGUCUCAGAUUGUUGAGAUGUUUGUUGUUGGAAAAAGACAAGUUGGGCUACUUGUUUGGGAGUAAUCCCCAACCACCUAUUGAUGAUCCGGCCUUCACCAAAUGGCAUACGGAGAACGCUAUUGUGAAGGGUUGGCUCAUCAACUUUAUGAACCCAAUUUAAUUGGGUACUUUCUUCGACUACCGACAACAAAGAAAGUGUGGGACGCGGUUGCUCGCAUGUAUUAUGACAACUCUGAUAUAUCUCAAGCCUAUGAUCUUACCUACAAGGCCUCUCGUAUGAGGCAAAAUGGACGGCCGGUGGAGACAUACUAUAGUGAUCUUCAAUCUUUGUGGCAGGAGAUUGAUUAUCGUCGACCUAAUCCGAUGAAGUAUGGUACUGAUAUUGAAAUUUUUAAUAAAAUUGUUCAAACGUAUUGUAUGUACACUUUGCUUGUAGGAUUGGAUGUGAUGUUUGAUAAAAUUCGUAUUGAUAUUUUACGAACUGAGCCCAUUCCUUCCAUCGAACAAACUUUUGCCUAUGUUCGUAGGGAAGGCAUGCGACAAGCUGUGAUGAAUACCAGAGGACAGCUGCCAAGCUGGACAGCCAUGGUAGCUCGGCCUGCCACACGAGCCGUAGCUCCGCCUCGUCCCCAUGCCCUCGAUAAGUCACCUGCACCGAGCCUAAGAUUGCAACCCCAGGCUACUGCCCCGAGCCAGCACAGGGCUCGCUCUUUGCUGCUAGGACGACCUCACGACCCAGCACAGGUCCCCGUCCUCCUCGUCAUAAACCACCCGUCUCGGCUGGUUGUUGUAUUUACUGAGGCAGUGAAAAGCUUGGCCGUGAUAAUUGCUUGCAAUUGCAUGACUAUCCUAACUGGUGGGAACCGUUAAAGCUUCAGAAACAACGGGAACGAAACGAGCAAGCCAAGCUUGGGCAAGCCAAUCUCGCCACCUCUAUGUCCCAAUUAUCUUUGAUAUCUCAAGAUGAUCCUCCUCCGGUUUUGAGUUCCUCUGACAUGUCUCCUGAGUUUUCAGGUAACUGUGGUUAUGUUUUUAAUAUGAAUAGUGAUGCUACUCCAUCCGGAUGGAUCAUUGACUCCGGUGCCACAAACCAUAUGACUUAUGAUCCCACUGAUUUAGCUUGUGAUACUGUUUCACUUUGACGUAAUAUUACUAAUGCUAAUGGAGUCACCUCACCGGUAACUGGCGCUGGCACCGUGCACAUUACACCCACUCUCUCUUUGCCUCAUACAUUACUUGUACCUUCACUAAAGCAUAAAUUGAUGUCUUCUAGCCAAGCUACUGAACAAUUGAACUGUUGUGUGCUAAUGUAUCCAAAGUUUUGUCUUAUAUAGGAUAUUCUCACGAAGGAGAUAAUUGGUCGUGGUACUAAGAGGGGGGAUCUCUAUUUUGUGGAUGAUGUCAGUACAUGACAGGCCAAUCUCGCCCAAUGAGUCGUUCAUCACAAGAGGCGUCAUAUAUGGUUAUGGAAUCAGCGUUUGGGUCAUCCAUCUUUCAGUUAUUUGCAGCAUAUGUUUCCGGAUUUAUUUGUUGGUUGUUCAGUUUCAGACUUUAAAUGUGACACUUGCAUACUGGCCAAGAGUCAUCGUGUUUCUUAUCUACUGAAUUCUAAUAAAAGUGUUAUUCCUUUUGGUCUUGUUCAUUCGGAUGUUUAAGGGCCAUCUCUGAUUACUACUUCAUCUUCGAUGGUUUGCAACGUUCGUAGAUGAUUGCAUAAAGAUGACAUGGUUAUAUCUUCUUAAGCAUACAAGUGAUGUUUUUUUGGCUUUUAAGACCUUCAACACCAUGGUUCAGACACAGUUUUCUACUAAAAUACGGAUUUUGCUUUUUGAUAAUGGUGGUGAAUAUGUUAAUAAUGAUUUCUACCAUUAUUUAACUAAUCACGGAAUUCUUCACGAUACUACCUGUCUUCAGACUCCUUAAUAGAAUGGGGUGGCUGAGCGCAAACAUCGUCAUCUCUUAGAAAUGGCUCGCUCACUCUUGAUUGGGGCGUCUGUUCCCCGAUCUUCUUGGGAUGUUGCUCUUCAGAUCGCCACUUAUCUUAUCAACCGUCUGUCAUCUAAAGUCCUGGAUUUUUUUACUCCCUUACAAGUCCUUGUUACCUUCAUGCAUCUACCGUCAGUUUUAGUACUCCUUCUUAGGGUUUUUGGAUAUGUUGCAUUUGUUCAUCUUCAUAAAAAUCAACGGAUGAAACUUGAACCGUGUGCUUUAUGUUGUAUUUUUAUGGGGUACAGACUCUAUCAGAAAGGGUACCGUUGUUACCACCCUCCUUCCUCAUUGAAUGUAUGUUACUAUAGAUGUCACUUUUUCCGAGUCUGAGAUGUAUUACCAUUCGGAUUCUUCCAAUCCUACUCCUUAGGGGGAAACAUGGUAUAAUGAGAAGGAUUGGACCAUGAAUGAUACUGUUGAUCUUCCACUGCCACUAGCCGAGCUUAUAGCAGUUGCCCUACCAACCCAGCCAAUAACAGCCGUAGUGCUGCCCACAGAAUCAACUGCAGGCAUGGCAAUGUUGUCUUCACCCACGGCAACAGUGCUACCACUUGUCAACUUUGAGAGAGUUCUACUAAUACUACUCCCCAUCCUCUCUAAAUAUAGUACCACCAGAUGACCAUACUCCUAAGAAUAUUCCUGAGGUAAGCUUUAUCAAUUACCUCUCAGGCACAACCGGGGAAAGCCACCCAAUUGAUAUUCACCGGACACAAUGAAAGGCUCUAAAUACCCCAUUGCCAACUAUGUGUCAUCACAGAAGUUAUCAAAACCUGGCAAAGCUUUUGUAUAACAAAUAUCCAAUGGUAGCACACCAAGUUCAUUGAAGAAGGCACUAUCUGACGAUUGAUGGACCAAGGCAAUGGAGGAAGAAAUGGCUACACUCCAGAAAAAUCAAAAUUGGGAUUUAGUUUCACUUCCUCGAAGAAAUAAGAGAUUUGGGUGUCGAUAGGUGUACACCAUCAAGUACAAAGCUGAUGGGUCCGUUGAAUGAUAUAAAGCACGAUUGGUGGCCAAGGGAUAUACUCAGACAUAUAGUGUUGAUUAUACAGGGACAUUUGCCCCGGUAGCAAAGAUUAAUAGGGUAAGAGUAUUGCUUUCAUUGGCGGCCAACUUAGAUUGGCCAUUACAACAACUUGAUUGGAAAAUGCUUUCUUACAUGGUAAUCUUAAAGAAGUGUAUAUGGAUAUUCCACUUGGUUAUGCAUUGGUUGUAAACCCAGAAUAGUGUGCCAGUUGAAUAAAGCGUUGUAUGGGUUGAAACAAUCACCUUGAGCAUGGUUUGGUAGGUUUCGGAUGGCUAUGAGGAAAUAGGGGUUCAAGCAGAGCAAUUCCGAUCAUCACUUUUCUUAAAACGUCGAAUGGGGAAAUUAAUGGCACUUAUCAUCUAUAUGGACGAUAUGAUUGUUACGGGUGACGACAAAGAGGAAAUCUCAAGGCUCAAAGAUUACCUAGCAACCGAGUUCGAGAUGAAAGAUCUUGGUGGUUUGAAAUAUUUCUUGGGGAUAGAAGUAGCUUGAUCUAAACAGGGUAUAUUUCUGUCUCAAAGAAAAUAUGUUCUAGGCUUAUUAGUUGAAACCGGAAUGCUUGAUUGUAAACUGGCUGACAACCCACAUGGUCCAAAAUCACCAUCUUGUUGUGCAUCCUAAUCAAGUUCCCACUAACAGAGAUCUUUAUCAAAGGUUAGUUGGGAGGUUAAUUUAUUUAUCUCACACCAGGCCUGAUACUGCAUACGCAGCAAGUGUUGUUAGUCAAUUUAUGCAUUCUCCGAGUGAGGCACAUAUGGGUGUGGUUGAACGCAUCCUACGAUACCGAAGUCCUCACCGGGUAGAGGCAUCAUGUUUUCCAAGAAUGAUCAUUGCCAAAUAGAGGGUUACACCGAUGCAGAUUGGGUAGGCAACGUUAUUGAUCGUUUGUCCACAUUUGGUUACUUUACAUUUGUGGGAGGAAACUUAGUGACUUGGCGGAGUAAGAAACAAAAAGUGGUUGCUUUAUCAAGUGCAGAGGCAGAAUAUAGGGGUAUGGCAAAAGGAGUAUGUUAACUAUUAUGGCUUCGGAGGUUACUUGGUGAACUCGGGUAUCCUUCGAAAUCAGCCUUAGAUUUAUUUUGUGAUAAUAAAGCAGCUAUCGAUAUCUCACACAACCCAAUUCAACAUGAUCGCAUGAAACACGUGGAAGUUGACAGACACUUCAUUAAGGAGAAAUUGGAUGGGAAUAUUAUUCAAUUCCCAUUCGUAAAGUCAGAGGAUCAAUUGGCGGAUAUCUUAACUAAAGCUGUUGCAAGUCAAGCGUUCUACAACUCUCUUGUCAAGUUGGGCAUGAACGACAUUCAUGCACUAACUUGAGGGGGGGUGUUGGAGAGUUGACCCUUUGUAAUUAGUUUAGUUACCUAUUUGAGUCCUUGUAAUCAAAUUGUAAUUAGGUUAUUUGAUGUUUCUUUCCUUGUAAAUCACUCUUGUACAUUAUAUAUUUUCCUCAUUGGUGAGAACAAUGAUAUCAGGAAACCCCAAAAUAAGCUCUAAUUAGCACCUUCAUCGUAAAGACCUUUGCUUCCAUUCAUGAAGGGCAAAGACUGAACCUUAAGAUUGUACAUUAUUUACUAGUACUUCAAUUGGGCGACGAUUAAAAACCGUUAAUCCAUGUCUUGAAUUAAAGAUCAUUCAAACCAACUCUAUUGAACUUGAGCUUUCUUCGAGAUUGAUUUGAAGUUUGGUUACGACCAGCUGAAGAUCAGAAAUGAUGAUGCUUUAACACUACGUUCAGGACUCGACAUGUUCAUUAUGAUUCCUCGCAAUGUCAUGCGGGUUGACGGAUGCUCCAAUAUCGUUCAUGAACCUGACAAACCGUGCAUUUUACCCAUGUCCCGAAAGUUCGUGAUAACCUUAUCGAGAACUUCCUUGUUACUCCAAUAAUGAAGUCAGACUUUCUAAACACCGAUGAUUUGAUCUAAGCAAUUUCAAAGCGAAUCAGCUUUACACUAAAUUUUCCAAAUGCCAGUUUUGUUUAGAUCAUGUUUCUUUUAGGAGACGUGAGCUCAGCAAAUGACAUUCUUGUCAAUCCCAAAAAAUGUUGCAGUUGUAAAAAAAUUGGAAACCCUACAAGGUUUUGCAAAAUGCUAGGUAUCUUUGGUCUCGUCGAUUACAAUCGACAUUCGGUGCUAACUUUCUCCACCUUAGGCUAACUCCUUACAAGUUGACCAGGAAAGAAGUUAGUUUCAUUUGAGAUGUGAAUGUGAUUAAGUUUCUGACAACUGAGAUGUUGCCUCUUUCUGACUAUUGUUCUUACACUUCUCGAUGACACCAAUAAUUACGAAAUCUACAAUGAUACUUCACUGAAUGAUCUGGAUGCAUGCUGAUGCGGCAUGGUAGGGUAACCGCUUAUACCUACCAACAACUGGAACCACAUGAAGUGAACAUUCUUACUUACGACUUGGAGUUGACAAUUGUUGCUUUUAGACUAAAAGCUUGAUGACGAUUUCUCUAUGGAGAAACAUGCCAAAAUCUUUAUCGACUCCCUUAAACCCCUCAAAUACAUAUUCAAUUGGAAGAAGCUUAAUUGCAGAUGGCGGUAACGGAAGAAAUUAAUCAAUGUCUACGAUUACACCAUCAUGUACUACCCCGAUUGUGUAAACGUAGUUGCUAACGACCUCAACAGAAAAGCACAUGGAUAACUCAGCCAUUAUAUCCUAUUUCAGUUACAACUCACGAGUAUUGAUGUGACGUUACUUACAGAUCAUCAGGAAGCCUUGUUAGCUAAUUUCCAAGUCCGACCCUUCUAUUUUUGACUUGGGAUGAACAAUGAGAUUGCUUAGCUAUUAAGCAAAUACCUAAUUUUCGGCAUGUCAAAGCAGAAAGAAAGAAAUCGUUCGAGUUAUUAUAAUCACUCCUUAUAUUCAGGUGGAUAUAAAAGAAUAUCACCAUGGACUUCAUGUGCGGGGUCUGUUGGAAGUAUGCCCACAAAGCCACUCAUUUGAUGUAAUAGCUUUUGGAAUACUUAAUGUGUUAAACUAUUAUAUGUUUCAUGAAUGAAAAUUUUUAUUGUUAAUCAUUAUUUAUUGUAUUAUGCAUUUAAGCAAUAAGGGAAUCCAAGGAAUGUAUUUAAUCUAAGAGAGAAGUUAUCUAAGUAAGUUUGAUUAAUGAGACCUUUCUCUUAUGUUCAUUCCUAAAACGUUCCUAGCCACAUGAUUGCCAAUUGGGCAUUGACAAUCCGCUAAGGUUAGUAUGUGUUAUGUUAACUCAAGUGUGAGUAUGACUAGUCUCAAGUCAUUUAGUGUUGGACACUGAAACGAACACAUAGGUGCUCAAAAGGUAAUUGAGUACACUGAACAACGAUAAAAAAAGUUCGAACAUACAUGUCAUGUAAGAACUCAUAAGUUGCAAUAUGCAAAGUAAUCAUUUGACCUGAGUCAUCAUAGAUGUCUAAUGGUUAGGUCCUUGAUCUUUGAUCAUGCAAAAGCAUUCCAUCGAGAGUGUCCACAGCAUUGUUGGGGUCAAGCUAUCUAGUCAUGUAGGCAUAUGAAUGCACAACAAGGGAUCUUUAACCUUCCAUGGUGGAGGGAGAAUACUCUGAGAUAUGAUUCGGGAGUCUUUGGUGAAAGCAUACGAACAUGACUGAAGUUUGUUCCAAAUCAUAUUCAAUUAAAUCAUAUAGAGAAAUAUCACAUUGGAUAAUAGACAUGAAACAAACUAUCACUCAAACAAUGUGAUUAAGAGUAUUGUAUUAGAGAGGGACCGUAUUGCAUUGUAAUUGUAACUGGAUAGGUUCUCCAACCACUUCUACUUAGCUUGGGUAGCCAUGACAUACUGCUAGGUGUCACUCAUGGUUUGUGGAAGCCCUGAAGAUUAAUAAACACUAAUCUUCAUCAAAGGGAGAAUUGAAAUGUAGUUUCAAUUCACAAUCAAUCGUUAAGAGUAACAAUCGCCCACUGCCUCGCUAAAUGGAACCUAAUGGAUCGUACACCAAGUAAGGAAAAUGUGAAGAUAUAAAAGAGAUGGAUAAGCAAUUAAAUGGUUUAAUUGAGAAUGGUCAAGAUUAAUUAAUUAGUUAAUUAAUCUUACGAAAGGUUCGUAUUGGGCUUUUAAGUUGGUUUUGGGUUUUGGGGCCCAAAAGGGUUUUGGUCCACAAGGCCCAUUGAGUUUAUGUUGUGUGACAACUAAAACUAAAUGGAAAAAUAGCCCAAGAACAAAGCUAAAACCGGACACAUUAGGGAGAGUGAGUUGAUUGACUUAUUACAAGUUUGUCACUCACUUGUGAGAUGGUAUAAAGACAACUUUAUAGCCAUUACCUCAUUAGGAUUUUCUUGAGGAAAAUAAGAGAAACCUUUUCUCUCCCUUUUCUCUAUAGAGGCCGGCCUUCCUAAGGGUGUUUACUAGCAUCUAACUUCCUCUAGGUAAUCCAUUUCAUCUUCACACCAUCAUCCUUGGUGUGGAGACUUAGAGGUACCAAACCUUUGGUACUUUUGGAGUUCCUUUCCUCACAUCCUUAAGGAGCAAGAAGAGCAUCAUAAGGAAAGAAAAUAACAAGUAAGAUCUAAGGAGCUAGGAGGUGACUUGAAGGCUUUCCACUUGGGUGAAUCCCUUGUGUAAACAAGGAUGAGCUUCAAGGGUAAUGAAUCUCAAAAUCCUUUCUUCUCUUUAAUGCUGUUAAAGAGUCUUAUGGUUCACCAUUCACUAGGCUUUGAAAGUCAUGGGUUUUAGAAUUGUUUUUGAAUACAUGCCUACUUUAAAGUGUUAUUAGUUUGCAUAUGUGUUCAAAUGUUCUCACAUGUUCUUAGCUAGGACAAAACUUUACCUUCAAGGUCACCUUGUAUACUUGGAGACAAUGAUGAUGUUUUUGUGAUUGUUGACCAACUUACUUGGGUGCACAUCUUCUGUCGGUCAAUGAGGACACCCUUUCGACCGAUUGGAAAAAUCCUAUCCCACAUUUAUUUUUAUUUUAUUCCCUAAUGCUGGAAAAUUUCAAAACGCCCUUGACCGGUUAAGUGGAAAUCCUACGCAGAUUUCAGGCAUGGACAUCUGAGUCUUCAUUACUCUUUGUUCCUUUUCACAUCCUUCUAAUACGUGUUCUUACAAACAUGUGUGCACGUAUAAGGCGUAAAUAGCAGGACACACACACACGUGUGCAAGUAUGCCUGUUUCUGGUAGUAUUUUAUUAAUUAGGUUUCAUACGUAAUUAAUUAUUGUUUGGGCUUGACCCCCCCCCCCCACACACACACACACACACACACACACUUACUCUGGUAGUGCUUGCCACUACGAUCACGUGGACGCAAGCGAUAUGAAAUUUAAAGAUACCACUAUGUUGAAGAGGCUUCAUGGGAAAUGGAAGAACGUGUGAGAGACUUGUAUUCGUAUUUCUUCCUUGACUAUUGUUUUGAAUUUCGAGGAUGAAAUUUUCUUAAAGGUGUAGAUUGUAACAUCCCUUCUCGAGAUUUAUCGUAUUUUAUUCUCAGUAGUAGUGAAAUUAUCAAAAUACCCCUGAGAUGCCACGUAGGCCUACCAUGUGGACCUCAAUUUUCCUUUCAUUUUCUUGUCUUAUUUUACUAUUUUUGAAUAGUACUCAUUUUUACCUACAUGUGGCCACAUAUGUGAUUCAAUUUGGAGUUAUAACGAACAAGUUAUGCACGUUUCAAAACUGAGGGCAAAACUGAUAAUUUUGCACCUUGGGAAUUUGUAACAGCUGACUAAAUUCAACUUUUGUCGUCUGAUGGUCCUCGUGCAGACCAAAAUCCAUGCAUGGUUUAGAAAUUUGAACAUCAGAUAGACUCCGGGCAAGUAGUCCUUUAAAUAAUAUUUAGGCUAAAUAGCCAAAAUGUUCCCUGAGAUUUGCAUAACUCAUCACUUUGGUCCCUAACAUUUCAAAUCGAUAAAAGUGGUUCCUGAGAUUGUCCACCAGUCAUCAUUUUGGUUCUUCCGUUAAAAACUCCGUCAAGUGUCCCAGAGCUCUUGGCCGCAAAUUUGGACAAUUUUCAAAGCUUCGUAACUCAAUCGUUCUUAACCGAAUUCGACCCAUAAUAUAUCAAAAUGAAGAUAGGAAAGUGUAGAAUAAGAUUAUACCUAUUUGGAAGUCUAAUGGCUUCCAGAGAUAGCUGGAAAAUAGCCUCAAAGUUGACUGGUCCGAUGGAAAACUGGAAAACUCGCCGGAAACUGGGUAAACUUUAAACGUUCAUAACUUCUUCAAUCACCGUGGUUUGGCCAGAAAAUGGCUUGAAAGUGGCUGUUUUGGUCUCGAGUUAGCCACUUUUGAGCCGUUUUCCGGCCAAACCACGGUGAUUUAGUCAAGAAGUAUUAUGGGUCGAAUUUGUAUAAUCUUAGUAUAAUCUUAUUCUACACUUUCCUAUCUUCAUUUUGAUAUAUUAUGGGUCGAAUUUGGUUAAGAAACGAUUGAGUUAUGAAGCUUUGAAAAUUACCCAAACUUCCGGCCAAGAGCUCUGGGACACUUGAUGGAGUUUUUAACGGAAGGACCAAAAUGAUGGAUGGUGGACAAUCUCAGGGACCACUUUUAUCGAUUUGAAAUGUUAGGGACCAAAGUGAUGAGUUAUGCAAAUCUCAGGGAUCAUUUUAGCUAUUUAGCCUAAUAUUUAUUUUGGGAUUGAAAUGGAAAAUACUUGGGUACUCAAUGGGGAGUACCCAAAAGACUGACUAAAUGAAGUGGCCCAAUGAGAACAAAACACCUGUUUCAUUAUAAGUUCAAUAAACAUGUAACCAAACACAAUGUUAACCACACAUCCAAACAACCCAUUUCUUCCCCAACGCCCUCCCCCUCCCAGCCUGCAUCUCCUUCUUGCUUCUGCCAGUUUCAGUGCCGGUAACCUCGUCUCAUCCAUCGAACCCACCCGUAUCUUCUCCUCCAAUCUCUCUAACGUCUCGCCCCCAAACCCUCUUCUUUAUCGUAGCCAUGGCAGCACCACUUCCCUCCCUUUCCUUCACCGGAGACCACGUCAAGAUCGGCGUCGAUUAUCAAACUACAAAAGAUACCCACAACCACUUCUCUGCGCUUCGCUAGAAACCAUGUCAUCAUCGGCGUCGAUUGCAUCCGGCGACUUCCUUUUGAUGUUGAUUUGAAGAGAAAGAACGAAAGAGAGAGCAAAUCCUCUAAUGGUGGGUGAUCCGACGAGGCCACGGUGGUCGGUUGACACUUAUAAAUGGGGGUCUACUUGUCUUCUUGUUAAGAGAGAAUAUGAGUGCUUGGAUAGUGAUGAAGAGGAAAUUUGGAGUGUUUCGUUAGGGAAAUAGCGGGUGUUUUGUUAAUAAUAAAAGAUUGCUUAAAGUGCCAGCUAUUUCAAUAUUAUUGGUCCACCUCAAAAAUUCAAUAUGUUGCGUCCUGAUCGGUCAAGUCCCAAGUAUUAUCCGUUUGAAAACCUACAUGUCCCAUCACACUUAUCACCCUCACUUUUCUUUCUAUCUUGGCCGGUUCUUUCCCUCUACCUCAUCCUCUCUCUCACGUCUCAUUUUUCUUAUUAUUUUAUAAUUUAUUUUUGUCAUUUCAACCGGUCUAAUCUCUCUCUCUACCCACUUAACUCUCCCUCACUUUUCUGAAAGUCAUUCUCUCUCUCUCUGUAACUCUCGGCAUUCUCUCCAUCAUCGCGCAUUUUAAAUCAGUCACUUUUAGGUUUUAAUUUAUUCACAUUUUCCACAUCACUACACUUUAUGGCUUCGUCACAUUCCAGGUGUUGGCCAGCACAUCGCGAUUCGGGGUGGACAUUCGUGGUCGAGGUGUGUCAUAUAUAUAUAUAUAUAUAUAUAAUUUAUUAUCCCUUAUACAUAAAACCAGAGUCGUAAUGAAUAGUGCAUUUAGGGUCACGGCUUCGACAAAAAUGAAUAUGGCCAAAAUGCCCCUAAGCCAAAAAAUAAAUUCAAAAGAAGUAAAAUAGAAUGCAUAAAAUAAUACAAGGGUAAUUUUGUAAAUUUAAUUUUUUUUAAUACUGCCACUGAAUCUCUGACACACCCUGACCCAGAAUGUCCACCAGGACUUCGAAUCGAGUUGUGCUGGCCGACACCUGGAAGGUGACGAAGCCAUAAAGUGUGCUGAUGUAAAAAAAAAUGUGAAUAAAUUUAAACCUAAGAGUGCCUAAAUACCAAAGUGCACCAGUGAGCAGGAAUGAACCCACUUCACGAGUGACGUUAGAGCAUAAACAAGUGCAUAAGAGUGAAUUAAGAAUCGUACCCUUCAAAUAAUCUCCAAUACUAAGAAUUGCCACGAAUCUUCGACAAUAAGAAGCUCAGCUAAUAAGACCUGGUGGGUGAAGACAAGACAAAGGUGAGUGACCCUGUAAAUAAAAUUUUAAUAGAAACCAUAUAAAUUUUUAUAACCCCUCGCUACGACACCCGUAUAAUUUCCAGAAAAAUCAUAAACAUACCACAACCUAUCAUCUGGUCAGCAAUAUCAAAUAAUCAUAUGAUUAAUAACUCAUACUAGUACGCAAGUCGGAGUCACCUAUGGUGACCUGUACUACUUACCCGUAUUUCAUCACAUAUACUAAUUCAUCACAUAUUUCAUUACAUAUGCUAACUUAUCGCAUAUUCAUCACGGCUGCUAGCUCAUCACGUAUUCAUCACAUAUGCUAGCUUAUCACAUAUUCAUCACUUAUGCUAGCUCAUCACAUAUAUUCAUUACACAUGCUAACUUAUUGCAUAUGCAUCACGUCUGCUAACUCAUCACGUAUUCAUCAUAUAUGCUAGCUUAUCACAUAUUCCUCACAUAUGCUAGCUCAUCACAUGUUCAUCACAUAUGCUAGCUCAUCACAUGUUCAUCACAUAUGCUAGCUCAUCACAUGUUCAUCACAUAUGCUAGCUCAUCACAUGUUCAUCACAUAUGCUAGCUUAUCACAUAUAUUCAUCAUGUCUGCUAGCUCAUCACGUAUUCAUCACGUCUGCUAGCUCAUCACGUAUUCAUCACGUCUGCUAGCUCAUCACGUAUUCAUCACAUAUGCUAGCUUAUCACAUAUAUUCAUUACAUAUGCUAACUUAUCACAUAUUCAUUACAUAUGCUAGCUCAUCACAUAUUCAUCACAUAUGCUAGCUCAUCACGUAUUCAUCACCUAUGUUAACUCAUCACAUAUUCAUCAGCUAGCUUAUAAGUCGGAGUCACCUCUAGUGAACUAUACGACGUAUUCAUAUCUCAUUAAUCAUGGCUAGCAUGUAAGUCGGAGUCACCUCUAGUGACCUAUACGACACUAUGCCUGCACACGAGUUGGAACCACUGUAGUGGUCUAUACGAUAGGACUGGGUAUAAAUGUAUACGCUCAAGUGCUACAAUCACAUGAAGAGUCACCUACGAGUCGGAACCACUUAUAGUGGUCUGUACGACAGGCCUGUGCACCUACCUUGAAUUCAAGGUGAACAUAUGGUGCGGGAGGUGAACAUUACGUGAAGAACUAUGCUCUGGCCACGGGCGGGAGCACUAACAUCGGGGUGUAGGUUUAUGAGCUUUAAAUGCAUCUAAUACAACAUGUACGACUCAUAAGCAACAUGUACGACAAUGCCGGAGUUGCCUACUAUUGCAACCUGUACAACAAUGUCGGAGUUGCUUAAAACAUAAAUGUAGUCAUACCAUAACCCCAUUAAUUCAACUAAUACCGUAUACUUACCUGAACUUACCUGCGCCUCCUCAGCAUUGUUUAACACAACAUAAUUCAAAACAAUGUAACACUUAGAAUAUAACACAUUUUAGAAUAGCAUGAAUUGCAUAACCCAACUUAAAACAUUUUUGGAAACCAUAAAGCAUAUAUAUAUAUACACAUAAACAAAUGCCCACUCACAUUGCUCAAUUCCCCAAACAAUGCUAUUGUCUCAAUUAUUUAGUCUUAUUUAUUAUAUGGCUGCAUCUAACGUCUCGCUAGACUGCCUACGUACCCUAAACAGGGAUCAAGCCAUUCGUAGUUCAUAGUAAUUGUAAGUCAUAAACAAUUAUAGACGUUUAUGGAAUUAUCAAUCACACACACACACACACACACACAUAUAUAUAUAUAUAUAUAAUAUACGAUGGAAAGGAAAAGACCCACUCACCUGAGGCCCACGCUAUGAUCCUCUAGCACGCACAUCUAGGCGUCCUGAACGAUGGGCGCCUGUGACCAAUUAUAGAAUCACAUCUCAGAACUCUUAUCAAUAGAAUACGUAAUUCACAUAAAGCAAAUCCUCAAGGACGUUCUAAAAUAGUUUGAGACCCAUUGACCACAAGUCAACCGUCGAUCGAAGUUCGACGGUUGGGUCCACAACCCUGUAAAACUCGAUCCGGAAGAUCCGUAUCUCAAAUUCCUAAUCCACAACCUCCAAAGAUCCAAAAUAUACUUCUAGAAUAACAUACUAAAAUUUUAUUACGAUCCAACGGUCAGAUCUCCUUCAAUUGCCCAAAACUAAGUGACGGUUAAUAUUUAUUUUAUAAACUUACAAAUCCAGUUCGAGAAGAUCUGUACAUCAGAUUCCCAUUCUGUAAGUUCCUAUGAUCCUGAAGUAUUAUGCACUAUAAUGUAUUAAAGUUUGGUGAUGAUCCAACGGCCGGAUCGUCAAUUUAUAUUUUGACCUAUUCACGUGUCGAAAUGAAACUAAGCCCAAAUAAUGAAAUUACGUCAUACGGAUAUCAAUUAUGAACCCAGGGAAUCUAAUAGCACUUAAAUAAAACAUCAUUGGCUCACAGGCCACGUGCCGCCGCGGGUGGCGGUUGGCCGCCCCGACUCUCCGGAAAAUUCAACUAUUUUUAAAAAUUCUCAAAAAUUACAGAAUUGAAGAUCUCAAAUAUUAGAGUAAACUUUAUACCUGUGGCCAAGUCCCAUUUGGCCUAGAAAGGCUCCAAUUUUUCUAAAACCGUACGAAACCCUAGAAUUAGGUGUGAUUCGAUUCGACCUCCAAACUUGCUUUGACGCCUCCACCAUUACUUGGGCUUUGUUCCUGGGUUCUAGGGGAGUGUUUUGGUAGUGGUAAUUGAAGGAAAACGUUUCACAAAUGGGUGGAUUUCGAGUAACCUUUCCUGCGGCACCCAUGGUGGUUUUUCCAGCAAACUUCAACCAAAUUCCUUUUAAUUUUGGGUGGAAAUGGAAGAGGGAAGGUUAUGGAGUAGGUUGCAGGUAGUGGGAAGGUUUGAAUUGCCUGAAAAAUUGCCAAAUUUGGCCGUGUGCUUGUUUGGUCGAACGGGUCAAGGGGGAAACCCGGUUUCCCCUUUCAUUUUAUUUUUCCUCCUUUCCCUCCUUUCUGCCUUCUCUAGUUGGUCACCUCCUCCUCUCUCCUCUCCCCAUUCGUCUACCCUUUCUCUCUAUAUUUUUUGACUGGGCAGUAGCCCUUUCUUUUUCUUCCUUCCCCCGUUCCCCACACUUCUUCCCCUAUUCUUCCUUUUUUCAAAAUAACUAAAAAAAUGAAAAAAAUAAUUAUAUACAUUAUAAAAAUAUAUGAAAAUAUAUAAAUAGUGACUAAAACCAAAAUACUUCUCGAGUACUUCAGGAAAACGCUAAAUGAUUAAUUCAUACACUUCACUAUAUACUGAUCCACGAAAGUCAAUACCCUCGCCUCUAAAGGUAUUUUAGUAAAUUCACAUUUUCAAAUUUAUAAAAUAAUAAAAUUUGGGACGGGUUGUCACAAUCUCUCUGCUGCUACUUUUGUAAAUUUAAUUUUCUAGGGAAGCAUCUGUAAACAUGGAAAUUCAUGCGAUGAACAAGACAAGAACAUGUGUACAAAAUAAUAUUUGUAUUGAUGAUUUAAGGGUUACAAUCUCUUCUACAAAUUUAGCAUCUGAUUCUAUUUUUGUAAUGGGUAAUUUUGAUGUUGUUGAUCCAAAGGGUCGUCGGGGCUUGAUCUUUAGGAUGAACGGAUGAUGAAUGAUGAACACUUUCUUCAAGGGCCGUCUGGGCUUGAUCUUGAAUUAGUGGAAGUUUCUUCAAGGGUCGUUGGGGCUUGAUCUUGAAGGAGGAUUUUGACGAAGAACGAAGAGGGCUCUCUUGAUUCUUCGGGAUUUGCUUGAGAGCUUUAGAGUUUCAAGGCUUCAAGGCUUUGGUGUGAUGUGAAUUCUCUUCCAAUUUGGGAGUAGAGAUAAUGUAUGUAAAAUCCUCCCUAUUGCUUGAUGGAGAAGCCUAUUUAUAGGCUUUGAGAAUGAAUCAACACCAUCCAUUUGUUUGGUGAAGUAAGUGGAUGUUGUAGGUAGGAUGAGUGUGUGUUGUAGGUGAGGUGAGUGUAUGCUGUAUGUGAAGUGAGUGUAUGAUGUAGGUGAAAUGAAUGGGGGGUUGUAAUUUUAAUACAAUUGUCAAUACUUAUUUCACCGAAAUUUCAAUGUCUACAAAUGCCCCCACUUCAAGGCGCGUUGUAUACAUGUGAUUGUCACGUGUAGAAGAUGCGUUUUGAAGUCCCUUAAUGUAGAUGUCGAUCCAAGGGCCGUGAGGCUUAAUCUUGAAUUGGGCUGGGAGUUUCUUCAAGUGCCGUUGAGGCUUGUUCUUGAAUUUUGUUUGAAAUUUUUUCAAGGGCCGUUGAGGCUUGAUCUUGGAUGAAAUUUGGACCACAAGGAGCUUCAUGUGGUAGAUGAUCUUUGGCUUUGGUAAUGGAUGAAUCGGCACAUAUUUUGUUGCGCUUGUUGACUUUCCACAACUUUGAUCUUGAACUAAGUUGGAGGGUUUUCUAGUUUCAUCCAAAGGACUUUCCACAUACUUAAUCUUGAACUGGAUUUGAUUCAAGGGUGGUGGACACUUGAUCUUGAAUCGGACUUGUGAUUUCUUCAAGGGCCGUUGAGGCUUGAUCUAUAACUUAAACAUGACCACGAGCAGUUUCAGGAUUUGGACACAUGGCAAGUAGGCACGAGAUGGAGAUGAUGGUCUGCUUCUUUUUUUCAAUCUUUCCAAUUCAUAUUGAAGAAGGUCAGGGAGGGGAUAAGGUCAGAUGUUACAAAAAUUUUCUUUGAAAGAUCAAGGAAGUUCGCAGCAUUUUCAUAUGAACCCUGAGCAGUUUGGUUGACGGUAUGAUCUUCAAGGGUUGUCGAGACUUUGCUCUUCGGAGACAGUGCGAGUGAAAGGUUGUUGAAGCUUCUCGAGCUCUUUGAUUAUAGCAACGAUGGUGGGCUUGAAUUUGACUUAGACUCAUGUCAAUCAGCUUCGAAAGCUUCAUUUACGGGCGUUGUGCUGCAGUGAUUUUUUCCUGCUUAUCAUGCUGCAUUCUUGUCUGCUUGUUUUUUUCGCCUAGCAGAAGUAGCGCAACCCUUUGCCUUUAAAUGGUCUUUCAGAGCAUCACUUUUCAGCCACUUAUCCAUGCUUGGCAGCUUCAGUGUAAAGAGCCAACACUAUACAACUGUCUUGAAGUAUUUACAGAGGGAAUUCGAGACCUGUCAAUAGUUGAAGAUGAGCACUCGAGAGCAAUGCUAGGCAAACAACCAGGCAAAGGUUCCGAGCAAUCAGUUCCCAAUCGGAAGUUUGAUUUCGGGUUCCGACUGAUUGCUUUCUUUCUCCUUGUUCUGCAGGCAAGAGCAAGGGCAAUGGAAAAGAUAGGAGGAAAACAUGAUAUGAGAUACUUUUGCUUUCGACCCUAAUGAUAUGAGAUACUUUUGCUUUUGAAGAAGUAGCAGACGAUUAGCACAUGUAUUUGUUGUGCUUGUCUCCACAUGCUUCGAUGCAUCAUUUUCACUUGCUUCUUCUGUUCUUCGGGUAGGUGUGGUAUCUUCUCUGGAAGCAUAAGAUGUUGAAACAAUGGGUAAUUCGAGAGCAGUGCUAGGUAAGCAACCAUGCAAAGGUUCCAGGCAAUCAGUCCCCGAUCGGAAGUUUGAUUUCAGGUUCCGACUGAUUGCUUUCUUUCUCCUUGUUCUGCAGGCAAGAGUAAGGGCAAAUGGAAAGACAGGGGAAAAGCAUGAUAUGAGAUACGUUUGUUUUCGACCCUGAUGAUAUGAGAUACGUUUGCUUUUGAAGAAGUUGCAGAUGAACCAACACGUAUUUUGUUGCACUUGUCUCCACAUGCUUCGAUGUAUCAUCUUCACUUGCAUCAUCUGUUUUACAAGCAGAUGUGGUGUCUUCCUUAGAAGUACAUCAACGAUUGAAGAUAAGUACUUGAGAGCGAUGCUAGGUAAGCAAUUAGGGAAGGGGUUUCCAGUCAGCCGGUUCCAAGUCGGAAGGUUGAUUCCAAGUACCGGUUGAUUGCUCUAUUUCUCCUUGUCCUGCAGUGAAGAUGGAGGACAAAUAAAAAGAUAGGGAGAAAGCAUGCUAUGAGAUACUCUUGCUCUCAAUCCUAGUGAUAUGAGAUACCUUUGCUCUGGUGUGACUUGGUUGAAGAGGUGUUUCCAGGGAGGAAGAAAACUGAGUAUGUUGAGAGGUUUGGUUGUAGAUGUAUUCUUGGCAAGGAAGAAGAGUCAGACGUUUGUAUCUUCAGGGAGGAAGAAAAAUGAGUAUGUUGAAGGGUUUGGUUGCAGAUGCAUUCGGCAAGGAAGAAGAGUCAGGCGUUUUGGAUGUGUGCCUUGCUAUAGAGGAUGUAGGUCGAAUUAUAUGGUGUUUUCCCAAUAGCAAGUGGUAGUGCGAAUGCGGCCUUGUUACCCAUGCUUGUCGGCCAAAAGUGUGGUAGUUGGAAUAAUGGACUUCGCACGUUUUCAACUUUGUCAGUGAUCUUUGACAAAGUUGCACGUGAUAGCCGAAAGCUGAGAUUGCGUCUGAAAAGUGUUGACGGACUUUACGUAGGAAAUUCCGUGUUUUGAAAUUCGAAGAGUGGUGUCUCUUUGAUUUUUUGAACAAGUGGUUGUGUUGCCUUUCCUUUUAAAGAGGUGUCAAUCGUAUUCAACAUGCACAUUUUAAAGAUUGCCCGCCCUUGAAAAUUGUCUUUGCUGUAUUUCUGAGAUUUUACUCACUCCAACCCUUUUCUUUUACCAUUUUUUUGGAAAUAGCAUACCCGUAUAACAUUUGCUUAGAUUUGAGUUUCGGGAAUGAUACAGGUGCGCAACGUUAGGUUAAUAUAUGGCGCCCGUCCUUCUUUUUUUCUAAUGGCCCUUUUACAGUUGAAGACUCUGUGAUGAGGGAUGCAACAACGGCUAUGGUUGUAGCUAGGAACCUCCUCACUCCUAGAGAUAAUAGGUUGCUUUCAAGGCGGUUCGAUGAGUUGGCUGUCCAAGACUCCAUAGCUCUCAGUAUUCAGUGUGCGGGCUUUGUGUCCAAUAUGGGCUAGGGUUUAUUUGCUCGAACUUGCCAAGUUGAAUCAUUGACGGCCGAGGUUGAAAGCCUUGGACGAGAGAUCAAACGUCUCAAGCGCGAGAACAGAAAGUUGCAUGAGCUUGCAAAUAAUUAUUCAACCAGCAUGAAGAGAAAACUUGAUGAGCUGUAGGAAUCUGAAGGUCGGAUUCAAAGUGACCAUCUGAAGGCCAGAAUACUUCUUUCAAGCCAUAAAUGAUAUAUAUUCCUUCAAUCGUCACAUCACCAUCACCAUUUGCGUCCUUUCAAGCCAUAUAUAUAUAUAUAUAUAUGUGGAAGUUGAUCAUCCCGUCACCAUCACUGUGUACACAUUGUAUAUAUUUAUAUAUGGAACUUGGUUGCCGUGUCUUACACACACACACACACACACACACACACACAAUACCAUAUAAUGUGUCUAUUUUUAUGCACAGUGUGUUUGUGCUCCCCCACUGAUGGAUUUCUUUACUGUGAUGCCAGGAAAUCUUUUAAAUUUAAGAAGGCAGAGCAUGACGUCGAGACCCUUAUGAAGCUUUCAGAGGUGUGAUUGUUGGUGGCGGAGUGAGCAGGUUGCCUACUGCUUAUGCUAGAGACUGCAACGGGGUUUCGAUGUGUAGUGCCUUUUAAUCAUAGUUUUCCCUUGGUGGUGCGCUGCCGUAUGGUGCUAUGCAAGAGUCUGCAGCGGGGCUUCGCUGCGUAAUGCCUUUUGGUCAUAGUUUUUUCUUGGUGGUGACGUCGACGUGCGGUGCAAGAAACUACUUGCGUAGUCACUGCGGGUUUGCGUAGUACGAUUACGUAGCAUUUUGGUUUCCUUUGCCACUGUAGCAUGCCUUGAAGGACCAUCCUGUAGCUGCCAUCUUUGCCGCUGCUGCUUGGAGCCUGUUCCAGUGUGUCACCUUUACCGUGUGGGGUUGUGUAAAAGAUUGCAGCAAGUUUAUGCUGUGUAGUGCCUUUUGAUAUAGGUUCCCUCUUUAAUUGGAAAUUAGAUCAUUCUAGGAAAGGGAAAUAAAUUACUUCUGAAGUCUAUUUAAGUCUACAUUAAGUAAAUGAUUAAAUCAACUUCAAAGAGCAAUUUAUUCUACCCUACAAGAGAGAGAAAGCUAGAGGAUAUUUGUUCCUCUUCCCCUAGCAAUCUUCUACACUUGCCCGUGCAAAAGACCAUCUUUCGUUGCUUUGUUUAUCUUCUCCACGCCAUAUCGUGGUAAGAAAAAAAAAUUCCUUGUCUUCUUCUUGGAUAGUGCUGUCGCGCUGCAGCACGUCGGCUCGGCAUGGGCCGAGGAGGUGUUAUGGCAGAGACCACCGCUUAGGCUGCUCGGCUUGGCUAAAACCAAGGGCAGCUGUGUGGCAGGGGCUACAGAUUGAGGUACUAGGGCGCAGUGCUAGGCGAGCUGCAUUGCUUAUGUCUUUUGGGGUCUUGAACCUGACGUGGGCCAAGCCGGCGGUUAAGAGAAAUGAGGAGAUUGUAGCCCUCAUGGGCUAUUGGAAUGUUGGACAUCCAGGCCUCCUGCUUGCUGGUCUAAGAGAAUAAAUGAGGGAAAAGCCAAUAUGGGUUGAGCUCCCCUGCUGAGUACUGUGAAUGGCGUUAGCUGCUUAGUCAUCUUCGUCGGGAGAAAGGUGGGCUGCUCUUAAAAGAGGAGAUAGGAUUACGGCGGAUGCAUUGGCUCGUCUGAUCGCUGUCAUGGAGCCUAUUAUGAAUGAAAGUGUAAAGAAGAGAUUUUUCCAGCCUGCUCAAGAGAUGACGGUUGAGAAAAAACUGAAGACUUCCUCCGCUGCUCGUGAGAGUCCGCUUAUUGCCGAAAAGCAUAUGAUUGACUUGACUUGUUACAAUGAGAAGAAAAAUUAUGCUGCUAGAUCUGAGCCUGUGACGCCUGCUAUGCCGAAAAUGGCUAGUAUGAAUGCUAAUAGGAUUGCUCAGCAUAGAGGUUCUGUCAUGCCCUCAGUGCCCAAGUGUGUACCAAGACGUUCGUUGGGAGCUAAGAACAGUUCACCUUUGGAAAAGCUUGCUACUAUAAAGAGCGAUAAGGUGGACUUUGCUGCUAAAGUGGCACCAAGGCAUAAUCAUCCUGCUGCUGAGACUGGUUCGUGUGCUAAGAAAGAGGAGACUGCUCGAGUGAGCAAUUGUGAGAAAUCCAACAAGCCUAUUUCUAGAGAAGCUGCUGAGAUCUAUGCGCUUUUGAAGCCAGAUCUGCACGAAGAUAUGGAUAUGUGUGCCAAGCUUGUUAAUGGCGUUAGAGGGGUUAUUUGUCCAAGUUCGUUUGUGAACCAUACGACCCAAUAUAAAAAGACUUAUCUGCUUGCUAUGAUGCAGAAAACGACAAUUUUGGCAGCCGAGUUUAUGCUUAAUAACCAAGAGGAUACCAAGACUGCCAAAGAGGUGGCAAAAACUAUAGCAGAUGAAGCUUAGAGGUUAUAGUUUGAGCUCGUUCUUUGAAAGGGUCUAAUGUAUAUGCCCUCACUUCUCUGUAGCUUGAGACCGCUCACCAAGAAUGUCACACCCUGAUCCCAACAUACGUCGCAAAUCAACACGUGACAAAGAAAAAAUAACAUUCGUUGAAUAUGACAUACCAUACGGAAUGAAAUACUUUAACUGCAACCCAAACUAAAAAAGAAGGUGGCUAAGUUCUUCACAAGAUAUUUACGAAUAUGUACAUCCCAAAAAGAAGCAUAAUCUUUGCUUUACUAAGAACAAGAACAAGUUUGAAGUGCUCAAAAGAAAGUCCCAAAAGAUACAGUACAAGGUGAAUCAAGGGUAACCUAACGCUCCACAUCUCUGAUAACCACACUACUACCCCCACCUACGGACUUCUCGGAGUCUACUCAAACCUGUCACCUGUAUGAUCACUGCCUACACCAUCGGAAUGGUGCAUUGGGCAAACAUCAACCCGGAUAAGCUGUGAAGCUCAUGUGAGUGACAAUAAUACAAAGUAUGUGAUACAAUAAUAAAACCAAUCGUUAAUCACAAUUUAUAAACCUUGAAUAUAAAUCAUGCAUGAGAAAUCAACACCAAACUUUUGAAAACUCUGAAUAAGUCACCCCAGACAUUCAACGAUUCGUCUGAAACAAUCACAACAUCUCACAACCAUAUUCUCAUACAACACAAUGAAAGGUAGGGUUAGGGCAACAUAGUUCAGCCGAAACCUACACCUUUGAAGCUAUCUCAAUCCAAACUCAAUAAAACCCAAGGUGGAUACGAUCCCGGACCAUCACUCUAUGGAAUCGCAGAGUAUGAGGGAUUCCAGAUCAUCUCUCAACGAAAUUCGAGUGAAUAUGAUUCCAGACCAUCACUCCAUGGAAUCGCAAAGUAUGAGGGAUUCUGGACCAUCUCUCAAUGGAAUCCAAGUGAAUACGAUUCCGGACCAUCACUCUACGGAAUCGCAGAGUAUAAGGGAUUCCGAACCAUCUCUCAACAGAAUCCGAGUGAAUACGAUUUUGGACCAUCACUCAACGAAAUCACGGAAGGCCAACAACCAUAAUGUAUAACGGCUCAAAGAAAUGAGAUGAGACAAGCACAAGUUACUUAAUUUACAAAAGCUCAACUAAGGGAAAUAAGGCACAACUACUAAAUUUAGAACGAAUCAACGAAGCGGGAAAUGAAACAAUAUCGAAGCAACAAUCCUCUUCAUAAUGGGUUAUGGCCCACCAUUAGCCUUCACAUUUCAUCACAUCAUGCCAAUCAAACAAAUCAAACCAUAUUUCAAUAUACAUACAUCAAAUCUCAUUUCAUAACUUGAAUCAAUGGCUAAGCAUUCAAAAUAACAAUUCAAUAGAAAACAUAUAUAUAAAACCAAGUCAUAUCUACACAUGAUAACAAUUACGAAAACAAGGUAAUCACCAAUAUCACAUAUGUUAAAGUCACUCACCUAGAGUCCACGCUAAUGCACCCUAGCAUGAGAGUCAAGGCAUCACGUUCUAUCACCGCCUAAACAAGGUACAAGUCCAUAUUUAGAUUUCAUUCGAUAAUUCACAUACUUAAAAACUCUCAUAUGUCUCCCACAACAACAUUUAAUGAGGAAUCGAACCGUCAUUCUAAGAAUAGGGUCCAUGAUCUUUCAUCACUUAUUCUGUAAGAUCUAAUCACUGGGUUUUCACUUAUAAGUUCCUAAGGUCCUUAAACAAUAUCUACCAAAGCAUACUAAAAUUGGGUUUCAAUUCAAUGGUAAGAUUGUUAGUUGCUAGAAUAAUCAAUUGGUGGACCUUAUCGAUAAUAUACUCAACCAACAGCAUUUUCAUAAAUCGAAUGUCACACAUCGGGAAAUUUGACUUUUUCCAAAAAUUCUCAAAUUUUACAAGAAUGAAGAUCUCAACAAGUAGAGUAAACUUUAUAGCUGUGGCCGAGUCCAAUUUGGCCGGGAAGGACCUUAAAUUCGCUCGCACCCGUCGAAACCCUAAGGUGGGUGUUCUUCAAUUCGGCUUCCUUGGUGUUCCAACGCCCCACCCACCAGUUGGGUCUUGUUCCUAGGUCCAAGGGAAGUUGAUUAAGGGUUAUGAUGAAUGGUGAUACUCUCCGGAACGACAAUUUGUCGUCGAGAACCCCCGGGUUCUCCUGUGGAGUUCUACCCGAAUUAGGCCUUAAAAAUCCUUGUUUUUUGGGGGAGAUGGAAGGAAGAAGAUAAUUGAGCAAGUUGCAGGUGAAUGAGAUAGGAAAAUCAUAUGAGAAAUGGAGGAAUUGGCCUGAAAUUGGCCGCUUUGAAAGUGUGCUGGUGGAGCACACGGGUUCACAAAUGGGGGAGGGAGGAUUUUUUGCUUUUCUCCCUUUACUUGGUCCUUUCUACCCCCAAAAAAUCUGAUUGUCCCCUUUUUAUUAUUAGACUAACUUAAUUUUUAGCCCACAUGUGGAAUUUAAACAAUUCCCACAAUCUAUAGUUCACAACUUCAAACGUCAGUAACUAUACCGUUAUAAUUCGGACUCGUAAACGGUUUUCGCCUAUGCGUUCGUGGGUUCGAGAUCUAUUUAAAAACACUAGUUGUAACUUUGAAAUAUCAUCGAAAGAUAAGGAUUGAUUAAGAAACUUCCAACUCGAUAACUAACCAAUUACUAAACUUAAAAUUAACGGAAUUGAAAUUAACUAAUAAAGAUAACGUAAUCGCGAAAUACGAAUUUAAAAUACGAGAUACGUAAUGAAUGGUGAAAUUCCAGGGAUGGGAUUUCACAAAGAGAUCGUUGACUUGAAUAAUAGGCUUAACGCGAUCCAAGUUAAGCAUGAAAGUGCAGAGAAUGAGAUUGGAUGUUACAUACCUCAGAUUCAAGAUCUUAAGCAUGUUGUUUCUGAGCUUCUUUUCGUUGCUUACGCAAAGGAUGAAGAGUUGAUUGUUGCCUAUAAUCAAGUGAUCCACUUCAAGAAGAUCGUCGAUAGGCUUGAACCCUAAGUGUUGGAACUCCAAGGUGCACUGAAGAUCAAUGAAAGUCUGAAGAAGGAAGUGGAUGAACUGUAGCACGUCCGUGUUGGUUUGCUCGAGGAGAAUGAACAGCUGAAGGGUGAGAAGUCUAGGCUCGAGGCUUCGCUUUUUCAGAGUCGGGCUGAUUUCUACAAGCUAGGUUAUGUAAAUUAUCUCUUUGGUAGGUCUUUUGACUUUGAGUUUGCUAGGAAAGAUUUCGAGACCUUCUCUAUUUCUCCGGAAGACUUGAUUGCCUUUACUUUUGAGGCUUCCAUUGGUGAAGUAGUCAUAAAAGUUGGUUCCCAAGCUGGAGCAGCUGGGGAUGAAGCGUUGGAUGAUGCCACUGCUGAGAACAUUGCAGAUACUAAAGGUGUGGCGACCGAGUAGUCGUGGGAUGUCCAAGCUUUAGUGCACUCGGUAGCAGCUUUAGGGUUCCAAGGCAACCAUCCAUAGGGCGUACUGCGUAAUGUGUCUCCUCCAUCUCUGAGGCCCGAUCCCCCAAGGAUUUCUGAAUUCCUCGUUGAAAAAAUAGUGAAACAAAAGAAAACUUAGCUGUAAGGUAGGAACUGCAUAACAACUGGAUAGUUAUCGGCUUGUGAGGUGGUGCCCGUCGAGCUGCUUGAGCCUUUGGGCUUUAAUGUAGUGGGAGGUCACACAUGGUACUUCCUCAUAUUGUAGGCAUUCCACUGUUUUUCGAUCUCUUUGUUGUUCAUGUUGGCAAGGGUGUAGCUACCCUUGUCGCCUACUUUGUUAAUCUUGUACGGACUUUCCCAGAUGGGAUUCAUCUUUUUGGAUCCUUCUCUGCGGGCAGUGAUGAAGGCUUUUCUUAGGACUAGAUCUCCAGGCUGAAACUGCCGAAUCUUGGCUCUUUUGUUGUAACUGGAGAUGAGCUGCUGCUGGUAGGCUGCGAUACGAGUGAUGACCUUAUUGAGUUUCUUCUCUGCCAGAUCUAAGUUUGUGGUCAUCUUCUUUCUGUUUUGCUCUAUGCUUGUCAUUAGAGUGUUGAUACUUGGCAUGAUGAUAUUGGAAGGAAUGAUUGCUUCUGAAGCAAAUGCCAAAGAGAAAGAAAUCUCACCAAUUGCUCGUCGUAUGGUUGUGCGAUAUGCCCAUAGACAUCCAGGAAGUUCAUCUGGCUAUUUUCCCUUCUUGUCAAAAAAGGAUUUCUUAAGGCACUCGAGAAUCAUCUUGUUAGAUGCUUCGGCCUGCCCAUUGCCUUAGUGAUACCUUGGCGUGGAUAUGUGCUGCUUAAUGCUAUAUUUAUGAAAGAACUUCGCCAAAUUUUUGCCAACGAAUUGCAGGCCAUUAUCUAUGACGAUGGAUUGAGGGAUGCCAAAUCGGCAAAUGAUGUUUCUCCAUAUGAAGCACUCUAUGUUUGUCUAAGUUAUGGUUGUCAUGGGCUCUGCUUCCACCCACUUAGUGAAGUAGUCAGUUGCCACGAUCAUCAUGCCUCUGCCCCCAGUAGCGGGCGGCAUUAGCCCUACCAAGUCGAUUGCCCACUGCAUGAACGGCUAAGGAUUCGUCUGUGGGUGUAGUUCGUUGGCAGGCAGUGCUGGUACCGGCUUGUAGUGUUGGCAGCGGUCGCACUUUUGUACUAACUCAUUAGCGUCUUGAUGCAUAGUAGGCUAGUAGUAGCCUGCGUUAAGAGCCUUCUGUUCUAAGGAUCAGCCUCUAAAGUGAUUUCCACAAACACAUUUGUGGAUUACACUUAGAACCUUUAGGUUGUCAGGAGGUGCUAGGCAACGGAGAUGUGGUCCAGUGUAAGAUCUUCGGACGAGAAUGUCGUUCCACAUGUAGUAACGUGUUGCUUUUGUUUGAAACUUUCUAAACUCCAAUCUUUCCAUGGGGAGUGUGCCAUUGACCAAAUAGUCUAUAAUGAAAUCUUGCUAGUUUGGAGUUGUACUAACCUGUGACACCUCGGCUACUGGCUCCACCUUUAUGCUUGGCUUGUCUAAAUAUUCCACCGAAAUAAAGUAUUUGCGUUAGCGAUCGAGGGCAAAGCCUAAGCCGGCUAGUGCGUCCAUAUAGACGUUGUCUGCCGGCGGAUCUUGAGUGAAGGUGUAAGUCCUAAACGCCUCAAGUUGAUUUCGUACCUUCCCUAGGUACUGCGCCAUCUUUAGAUGUUUUGCCGAGUACUCCCCAGUAGUCUGGCUGGUGAUUAGCUGGGAAUCAUAAUGAAUUGCAAGCUUUUUCACCACCAAGUUUUUUGCUAUUCGGAUGCGUGCUAGUAAGGCUUCGUACUCUGCUUUGUUGUUAGACGUUUUGAAGCCUAUAGUGAUUGCCUACUCAAGCAUCGAACCGUCUGUGGUGACAAGGACCACGCCUGCUCUUGAGCUCUUGUAGUUGGAUGCACCGUCGACGUGCAAAUGUCAGAAGUCUCCAUCGGGUGAAGCAGGUGUGGCUAAGGCGCGCUCGGUUGCCUAGGAGGCAUUGUUGGGUCACUUUGUUGCGUCGCUUAGGAUAGGCAUGAAGGUGCGAUAAGGAGUUGUGAAGCUAUGGCCAUGUUACACAUAGCACGAGAUGCUCAACUGCCAGUAUUGGGCCACUCUAGAACUGAAUUAUGAAGCAAGGGUUGGCAAGGGCCGUGUGACGUGUAGCAGGAGGUGGUGCUUAACUGCCGGUACAUGUUGCUCCUAUGUAGAAUCUUUUGGUGCGACGAUGACAAAACUUGUUUCCGAGUGUGUCUUUCUAGUGUUCGUUUACCCUUGGCGCGCCUUUGGGGCUGAGUUGUUGUGUUCGUAAAAAAACGUUGCAUUUGCCAGUGUCUGCACCUUUAUCGCAGCGCGUCUGGAUUUGGUGGAAUAGUGUAUCAUAAGGAUGACUGCAUGCACCUGAAGGUAUAACUUGAGCUUCCGGGUUGCAACAAUUGUCACUAAAGUUGGCUUUUGAAUUUAUGGUAACUGGUUUUCGCAUUGAGGAGAGUUUUUGAACUGCUGAAUACAGGUAGUCGGGCCCCCAACUCUUCUCAUGUGAGGGCAGAGCUUAUUGCUACUUUAGAUACCGUCAAACAUCUAAAUAGGUUCUCCGCUGCUUCCGGUUUGGAUAGUAGGGAGGUGAUGCCAGGUACUUCUUCAGGUCUUUGAAUGCUUUCUUACACUUGUCGUCAUGUUCGUCUUAUUGCUCUUUUUCGAUUGAGUAAAAAAAAAGUCUCACGUUGAUCGGUGGACUGCAAGGGUAAAAGGUUGAGUACGGCUACUCAUCUGGUCAGACCUUGAAUCUCCUUCAGAGUAGUGGGGGAGAUCGCUCGGAUUUACCUUGAAUGUGCAUCGGUGAGCCUCGUCCCAAAGUGCAUGCUUAUCUACCAGAGCGAAAGAAUUUGCUAGAUUUAAAUCUUCUUUCAGGAUCAAGUUUUAGAACAACAGGUAGUCUGUUGAGAGUCAUUUUUAGAAGGCUGCACUAGCUAUCGAGUUGUUGCAUCCGACUAUCUUUGCCUUCUCUACUUUGAACCUCUUCAUAUAGUAGUGAAUCAACUCCUUUGGGUUCUUCUUGACAUUGAACAAGUGGUCGGACUUCUUCUUGAUCGAGCAUUAUGAUGAAUAUUCUUUGGUGAAAACCAAAGAAAUUUCGUCGAAACUCCAGAUGGAUUGUGGCGGCAGGGUAACCAAUUUUGCACCUCGCCUUAUAGAGCGGUGGCGAAUAUCUUGCCCAUGAGAGCAUCGCUGUUCUGAUAAAGGAUCAUUAUGCUUCGGUAGUACUUUAGGUGUCUCUCCAAGUCUCCAUCCCCUUUGAAGGAUAUGAAAUGUGGCAUACUGAACAUACGUGAAGGCUUUGCCUACUCGAUCUUGUCCGUAAAGGGUGACCAGCUUAUAUUGGUCAUGUCCCAUCGUAGCGCCUCAUCAGUGACCUUGUUGCGUUGGAAAUCGUGUAAUCACUCGAUCAAUGGUCUCUCUACUUCUUCAUGAAUUUUUCUUCGUUGGGGUAGCGAAGCUCUCGGCUGCCCCCGGUCUUAACCUGCUGGUCUAGGCUGCUCUUCCAUAUGUUCGACUCGUCUAUGUCGCGGCUACGGUGCAUGUGGUACAUUCCUAGCAAGCAAACGAGUUCUUCGCAGGCUGCCGGUUGAACUUCAGCUGGAUUGAGUGAUUGCUUCUCUCCGUCCCUCGUGUUGUCUACUCCAAUGUGAGGUGGAAGAUGCUCCUUACAGGCUUAAUCGCAAAUGAACACUUCGCCUGGAAGGUUACUCAUGUUGGUUAUCAAAUUGUGGCCCCAAUCAUGAAUGUAUGCUUGUCAGUGGGCCUAAGCAAAAGUGCACGUUCCUCCGCACGUUAAGACGGAAGUAUUCGUUAUCUCGGGGACCCAGUUGGGAGUGUACAUUGCCAGAACUCUCGCUUCGUGACUAGUCAAGUGGUUGUUUGCCAGGAGGCUGUGGAAGGGGCUCGUCUUUUGCCUUUGUCCUACUUUGGGACACCUCGUCUAGGGCACGUUGCAUCUAGGUGCGCUGCAAUAGCUGAUUCACCAAGGUUGUCUAUUGUGCAAGGGCGCUUGUCAACUCUAUGACUUGUCGAGACAAGUGUGGUUCGCCAUUCGGGUUGGAAGAUCUUGGACGGUAUACCUCUCCUUAAGUUAUAGAACUGUAAUUGACUCCGAGCGCGAAAUUUAAGUUGGGAUAUAUCAAAUCUAUGAAGAAAUGAGGUGAAAGUACCCCUAGUUCAAUCAUCAGUCUAGAAAUCUGAAGUCGGGAUGGUUGAACCGAUCUUAGACCGGUUUGGAUUGCUUGGAAGGCCACGGGAGUGAACCGAACCUCGGGUUAAACCAAGGGAGCGGGUCAGUGAUAUAGAUAACCCUCUCACCUAUUCCAUGCCAUGAAUAGUCCUCAACAAGCUAUAUGGAACACUACAAUGAAUGAGGAAUUAGAAUCGAUGUCAUAUAACAAUGUAUGGACAUUAGUGGCUUCUAAUCCUCAAAUCAAGGCUAUAGAAUGCAAAUGGAUCUAUAAGACCAAGAGAGAUGCUUAGGGAAAAAUUGAGAGGUACAAGGCCAGAUUGGUUGCUAAAGGUUUCACUCAAAGAGAAGGAGUUGACUACAAUGACGCGUUUUCACUUGUCUCUUCCAAGGAUUCUAUGAGAGUUAUAAUGGCACUUGUUGCGCAUUUUGACUUAGAACUACAUCAAAUGGAUGUGAAGACUACUUUUCUCAAUGGUGAAUUGCAGGAAACCAUUUACAUGAAGCAGCCUCAUGGAUUUGUUGAAAGGGGGAAAGAUGACAUGGUCUGUGAUAAGAGCAUAUUUAUGCAACUUAGUUAGCUUGUUUCUUGGCAUUUACUUAGUUUAAUUCUAGUUAUUUUAGUACUUUAAGCUAUUUUUGUGUGUUUGUAGGUUCAAAUAACAAAGUUAGCAACAAAGUGCUAUUUGGAGCAUUUUGGAGCAUUUUUGGGCCAAGAUUGGAUAGUGCAAGCAUGGAGACAUGAGGAUGAACGUUUUUGAAGAUUUGAAGGCUAGAAAUCAGCAUGUGUGUGUGCAAGUGUGUUGACCUACAACUACAAACAUUCAUCCACUACACCCAUUACAUCCACUCAUUACCAAACAUCCAUCCACUACACCCAUUACAUCCACUCAUUACCAAACAUUCACCCACUACACCCAUUACAUCCACUCAUUACCACAACAUACACCACUACCACCUUAAUUAGAUGAUGGUCCUCUCCCUAUCCUAUAAAUACAUCCACCUUUCACCAUAACAAGGGGGGAUCCAUCCAAAGACCUUACAUUCAUCCAUAUAUUCCCACAUCCCCCAAACACUUACAAUUCCAUUCCUUUGCCGUGGCUCUCAUCCAACCUAAAUACAUUCAUAACCUUUCCAUAUAUCCAUACACAUCCUUAGAUACUUGUGCUGCAACAAGGUGGUGAAAACGAAGAUCCUUGGCAUUUCAAGCUUGAAACUUUGGAGCGUUUUAGGUGUACUUCGUUUUUGCUUUUAAUGUCUACUUUGUUAUUUUCUGAUUUUGUUGCAAUUAUGAGUAACUAAACCCCCCAUAGCUAGGGGAAUUCGAAACCAUGUUCAUGCUUGCAAUAUGAUUUGAUUACUUUCAGUUGUGAUUCAUAAGUUGUGAAUUCAAUUUACUUAUCCAUUUGAAUUAAAACUGAUUUGUGUUUAUUGGUUGAGAGUGCACGCUUAAUUUUCAUGCAUAAAUCUGAUGCUAGGAUAUAAGGGAGUUUCACCUAAUCGUUAUGAACUUAUAUUCACAAGUAGUAAAGGUUGCUCGUCACAACCUUGUUAAGUAAAUUCUUGGCAUAAGUUUCAUGCAAUUCAUAGUUACAAGUGUUUCGUCAAUGCUUAGGAUUUUCAUAGAACUUAAUUAUUCUUGCUUGUAUCUCUAUUAUGCAAUUCUUGUGGGGAAUGUUUUGGGUUCUUGUAUGCAAUCAUCCAAUUCAAUGAAAUUAGGAAAAUCUGAGGGUUAAUUAGUGCAAUUCACAGUUAAUAUAGGGCGUUGAGAAUUCGUAGUUUAUUGAAAAGCAACUGGAAAUCGUUUUGUUUGCAAGUGUGUCAUGUGUGGAGAAGAACCUUCUAGCUAGCCUUCCAUCAAUUUAAUUUACUCAAAUUCGUACAGAUUUACUUGUUUUGUUUUCAAAUUCGUCAAAACCAAAACCCCCUUUACCUUGUUGAGUCAUAGUAGUUAGAAACUAAUUUAGUUUGUGUUUUUAAGUGUUUCGAACCAAGUUAAAACCAAAAUUCGUCCAAAAGUGUGUUUAGAGUCCAAAUCAACCUAGUUUGUGUUUUUAGGCAGAUUUGAGCUUUUUUAGCUUGUUUUGAGUCUUUUGAGUUUGUUUUGAGUUCUUUGAGUCUAUUUUAGUGUUUUUAACUUUGUUUAUAUGUUUUUAAGUCAGUUUAGAGGUUAUUAGCAAGCCUUCCUAAUCCCCGGUCCAGAACGAUCCAUACUUACAUUCUUUACUGCAAUUGAUACAAGAGGGUUUAAUUUGUGUGUUAAGUUAAUUUUUGCAUCAGUCUGCAAACUCAACAAGUCUAUUUAUGGAUUGAAGCAAGCAUCAAGACAAUGAUUUUUGAAAUUUGAUCAAGUUGUUACAAGACAUGGUUUCGUGGAAAACAAGUUAGAUGAUUGCAUUUAUAUUAAGUGGUCAGGUUCAAGCUUUAUAAUUUUAGUAUUAUAUGUUGAUGACAUUCUACUUGCGAGCUCUAACUUGAAGCUCCUUAAGGACACCAAGCACAUACUCAGCAAGAACUUUGAGAUGAAAGACCUUGGAGAGGCACACUUUGUGCUUGGCAUUGAGAUUGUCUAUUAUAGGUCCAAAAAGCUUCUUGGAUUAUCACAGAAGGGGUACAUUGAGAGAGUUUUGUUAAAGUUUAACAUGGAAAACUGUAACAAUGGUGAAGUACCUGUGAAUAAGGGAAACAAAUUUUCUAAGGCUCAGUGUCCUAAAAUGAAAUUGAAGCUAGAUAAAAUGCAAUACAAGCCUUAUGCUUCAUUGGUUGGGAGUCUGAUGUAUACAACUAUUUGCACUAGACCGACAUUGUUUUCAUAGUAGGAAUGUUGGGUAGGUUUCAAGCAAAUCCAGGAAAGUCUCAUUGGGUUGCUGUGAAGAAAGUUUCAAGGUACUUUCAAAGAACCAAGAAUUACAUGUUGGUUUAUGGCAGAGAGGAACUUUUGGAGCUAGUUGGCUACACAGAUUCUGAUUUGGGCGAGGAUGUGGAAGACAAAAAAUCCACUGGAAGUUAUAUUUUUAUACUUUGUGGUGGUGCAGUCUCUUGGAAAAGUGCGAAGCAGACUAUCAUAGCAACAUCUACAAUGGAGGCAGAGUUUGUAGCCUGCUUUGAAGGAAUGAAACAAGUUGUAUGGUUAAAGAAUUUUUUGAUAGAUAUGACUGUUGUCAAUUCUAUGCAAAGGCCUAUUAAAAUGUAUUGUGACAACAAUUUUGCAGUAUUCUUUGCCAAGAACAAUAGGAGAACUUCAGCUUCAAGAUUGAUGGAUGUAAAGUUUCUUAAGGUCCGAGAAAAGGUUAGAGAAUGAGCAUUUCAGGUGGAGCACUUGAGUACUGAUGCGAUGAUUGCAGAUCCUUUAACCAAGGUAUUGCCAAUUGGAGUGUUUAAAGCUCAUGUCUCUCGGAUGGGAAUACUUGAAUCAUUUUAUCAAUGGGAGUGAUCUGUUACAAAGUGACUAUCAGAUUGCUGUUGUGAAGUUCAGAGAGCUGGUGCAGCAAUAUAGACAGGUUUUAUGUUUAAAUUUUAAAGAUUAUGGCUAAAUAAAGAUAGUAUCAGGUUAGCUAGCCUUGUUUUCAGUUUAUUUUAUUUUUCGAAUAGAGAUCAGUUAUGUUGGUCUAUUGUUUUGAGAAAUAAAGUUUGAAAUAAUUCAUUUGAUGCUUUUAUAAUGGUUAGUUUGUUUAAAGCACUUGCUGAAUUAUUGAUUCAUAUGUUGUUUUGGAGCAAUGGUUUGUCUUUAAAUCUUGCUGCCAAUGGUAUGAAAUAGUGGGAGCAAAUUAUUACAUGUUUGCUUAUAAAGAUCAGGUUCACAAUGAUAAGAAUACAGAUCGAAUAUAUGUAAUUCUGGAAAACUGUUUUGCAUUAUGGUUGCAAUUUGAGUUACAAAGUUCUAUAUUUUGAAAUGUAUGUAAGUGGUUUGUGAUUGAAUACUCUUGAUACAAGACUUGGUGAUCACUUCUAUCUAAGAAUUGAAUAAGUCGGGUACUUGAAACUGUUAUCAUAGUCAAGUGGGAGAAUGUUAGAAUGAGUAUGAGAUAGAGAAGUUUUAGGGACCGGUUAUGGGUAUUUAGUUUGGUAGAAGAGUCUUGUUGAUAAGAGGUAUGUUGAUCCUUGCUUUAAAAGGAUUUUGUAUAUCAUUCAGAUCUUUUGGAACAAGGAAACAAGUAUCUGUUUCCUAUCAGGAUUUUAAUAGGGAAUCCUAUCUAAUUAUGGAAUGGACUAUAUGUAUAUAUAUAGUUGCCUCUCUUCUCACAUAAUAUAUGCCUAUAUUUGGGAUUGAAACCUAUUUGUAAGUCGCUUGAUGCUUGAUGUAUUUUCCAGGGGAUUUCUAUAAGUCAAAAUCAGGGGAUUUCUGUAAGUCUAAUUCUUGAACAGCCAUUAAGAAUAAGAGUCUCAACUGAUUUUGACUUAAUGAAAUCCCCUGGAAAAUACUCAAGCAUCAUGCAGUCUUGAAGAUUUACCAACGGAAGUCUUUAAGAUGCCCAAUGGAUGGGUGAAUCUCAGACAAUCUUAUACAGUUUACUAAUAUCAGUUUUUCAAGAUUAGGGACUUUGGAAUUCUGGUGAUUCUGUUAGGUAAUAGGACUGACUGAGAUUGAUGAUUUUCAGAUUCUUGAGCAACUGAUAGAAAAAAACAGAACAAAAUAAAAAUUCAAAUAGAAGAGAGAGCAAAAUAUUGGCAUUCACAGAAACUGAGGAAAAUAAUUAAUAAUUUAUUUGAGAUCAUAUCAUACCACGUUAGUAUCCUCCCAAACUCGUAUGAGUUUGCUAUAGCUCAGGUCAACAGCAACUAGGUUUGGUUGAUCAAAAUCUUCACGUAUGACCUUCAGAGGAAAUCCAUGCCAACACAACCAUCUUAACUCUUUGGAAAGAUUGUGGUAACUUCCACAGCUUUAUGUUAUUGAAUUUGAGCAAUCUCAGACUUCGCAUCUUUCUAAAUGCUUCUGUACUGAAACUUGAAUCAUCAGACCCUCACUAAACUAAAGCAAGUCCUUCAAUUGCGACAGUUCCCUAUUCAAGGUAAAAAAAGGAACAAAGUAAGACAGAAUUUAUUUUGACAUGAAAAGAGAAUUUAUACACAUGAAGAAAACUGGAUGUAUGAACUACAAGCCAUGAAUUAGAAUUCAGUUCUGAAUUUCACCAAAUUAGUUAGGUAUCUUAGUCGGCAUCUUAGUCGGCAUCUGUUACACGGUGUUACUUUACCUAUUACAAACCCCAGGUGACAAGAUCCCCGGAAACACACCCUUUUGCCUCACACCACUUUACCACCAUCAUCCAUCCAUUAUUUCCAUUUCUUCCACAACAUCUUGAGCAGUACUGCUUUUAUUCAUCCCUUGGUCAUCAAGAGCUGGAGGAUUACUAAAGUUAUCAUAAUUUGGAUAACUAAUAAUACUGUGUGGGGAAGAAGAUGUGGUAAAAGAAUUUGACCGUGGUAAGCCGGUGAGGCGUUGGACACAGUCGCUGAAAUCGCUAAGGUUUGCUUGGAUGACAUUCAGGUGCACCGAAUAGAUUACGACCGGCUGAUGUGAUUGGUUUUAGUACAACUGGAGGUUUGUUGAUCUAGUGAGAGUCUAUGUGUGUAUCUUGAGAGGCGUUGGACGUGGACCCUUGAGUUGAAGCUCUCUUCUCGGAUAUACAAAUGGAGAUUGGUUGAUCUUGUGAGAGUUUCUGUGUAUCUUGAGAGGCGUUGGACGUGGACCCUUGAGUUGAAGCUCUCUUCUCGGAUAUACAAAUGGAGGUUUGUUGAUCUUGUGAGAGUUUCUGUGUAUCUUGAGAGGCGUUGGACGUGGACCUUUGAGUUGAAGCUCUCUUCUCGGAUAUGCAAAUGGAGGUUUGUUGAUCUUGUGAGAGUCCCUGUGUAUCUUGAGAGGCAUUGGACGUGGACCUUUGAGUUGAAGCUCUCUUCUCGGAUAUUUUUCUGUUGAAUAAUCCAUGCCGUUGAAGGUGAAAUAAGGCUGUAAUCUUUCCCAUUUAUCCAGUUCAGUUUUCCAUUCACUUCUGCUUUUUGUAUGCAGACAAGAACCUAAGACUUCGAGUGCUAAUGGCAAACCUCCACAGUAGCCAACAGCUUUUCUUGAGAGCUCAACAUACUCUUCACCAGGAUAAUUCUUUUUAAAGGCAUGCCAACUAAAUAGCUCAAGAGCUUCUUCUUUGUUCAUUUCUUGCACACGACAUAUCGCCUCCAGAUUAAGUAUCUUUAGCAAAUCUUGAUCUCUUGUCGUUAUAAUAAUUCUACUUCCUGGACCAAAUGAGUCAUGCUUUAUAGCUAAUGCAUCUAACUGUGCAUCGCUGUCUACAUCAUCUACUAUGACAAGUACUCUUUUGUUGCCAAGUCUUCUUUUAAUCUCCUGGGUCCCUUCAUCGACCCCACUAACCUUCAUGUUUCCCGAUCUCAAGAUAUCAGAAAGAAGUUUGUUUUGUGAAUCAACCAGUACCUUAUCUUUUCUCACAUUUGGAAGAAAACUUCUACCAUAAAACAUGUGCUGAUAUUUGUUGAAAAUUACUUUUGCAACAAUUGUUUUACCCAGUCCGCCCAUACCCCAGAUUCCAAUGAUACGGACAUCAUUUGAUCCUCCAACAUCUAAAUAAUUACUGAUUUCUUGCACGCGAGAAUCCAUUCCAACUGGGUGUAUGGCUACGUCCAAGUAAUUGCUUCUCAGUUCUCUACUGAUUCCUUCAUACCUGGUAUAGGUAAAAUUCAAUUCAAAAUUAAGCAAAAGUAAGAUUUACUAAUAAACGGUACAAUUAAAUUGAACUAAAAUCUUACUCAUUAUAACUAGAGAGCUUGGGAGUGGAAGAUUUGAUAGGCCAAAGAUGAAUCAAAAUCUUCGAAAACCAUUAAAGCAUUAUAAAUUUCAGAACUUACAUUUAUACAGGCAUAAAUGUGUAAAAUCAAAUAUUUGAUUCAUGUGGUUGGCUCAAUAUCUGACCACACAUGACACACAGAAUGUGUUCAUAAAUUCUCAUGGAAGAGUCUGGAAGCUCUACAUUGCAAUGAGUAAAAUCAAAUACUCAAAGCCGCAGUUAUAAUAAUUUCAUUGUUUGUUCGACAUUUGAUAAAUAUGAGAGUUAAAAAGACCAAUACCUUACGUAGCCAAUUAAUAACUUUUGUUAGAAAGAACUAAAGGUAGUACGCAUGAUUGUGUACAAAAAAAUGGGCCCGGAAAUUUAAAAAAAAAAAAAUACAGGAAAGGAAAAAAGAAAUAAGAAAGUACCCAUCAGCUCCCAAUAACCAAUCCGGAUGUAGGCCAAAAUCGUAUAGACGAAAGUCUGAAUUAUGCAUAUUCUCCUUCAUAAAUUUGUCCCAUACUAGAUUAACCCCUACUUUCUUCACUCUCACAGAAGCAUCUGCAGUUUCAACAGGCAUUACAACUAUAUCGACCUUGUCCCCUCCUUGCAAACUGAGCACAUGGUUCGAUAUCUGUCCCUGCCAAAGAUAAUGGUCAUCAAGUGUACAGGAAGUUGGUACUGAAGCAUAUGUUAUCCGGGCGAGCAAAGCAGUACGCUUAGUUUUAUUGAUAACGAUAAUGCCGAGAGGACCUUCACGUUGUUUCUUUGAAGAGUAUAUGCAGCACAGAGUCAACCCGCUAAAAUUGUGACCAAAAAUUAGAGGUAUGUGAAAACUGACCAGAUCACCCUUGACAAAAUCAAACCAGUCAGGAAUAUAAUUUCCAUUGAGAAAAAUGCCACCAUAUCCGCAAGAAGUCCAUCCCUGUACGAUGUAGAGCCAGAUUUGUAACAAAAUACAUUGUUAUGUAUGCAUGUGUCAUAUAUAUGUGCUGCUGUGUGUGUGGUAGAAAGAGAAAGAACAGGCUAGAUAGAAAGAGACCUGAAGGAUGUUCUUCCUAAAAUCAGCAGUGAGAUUGAUGCACCCUUCCAAAUGAAUUCUUGUCAUCGAGUUUAAUGACAUAUCCGAGCCCGGAAUCUCUGUGAGUUUGCAUGAAUGACUUAGAUACAACUCUCUCAUAUUCAACAACUCUGAAAAAUCUGGCAUUGUUUCUAAUGAAGUGCACAAACCCGCUCGCAAGACUUUCAAAGUUGUUGGUAAAUUUGGGAUUGCAUGUAGGUUUGUGCAAUCAUCUAAACACAAUGUUUCAAGCUUAGAAAGACCAAUGAGGCUUGGUAGGCUACAAAAACUAUUUUUUCGAAGAUCUAAAUCUUCUAAAGAAAUUAGACUCCCAAGAUCCUUCGGGAUUUCGUCAUCGGUUAAAGUGCAGCAUCCAAGAUCUAAUUUCC